Molecule: long non-coding RNA, 271624 nt
Filed under: Zea mays
Lineage: Eukaryota; Viridiplantae; Streptophyta; Magnoliopsida; Poales; Poaceae
Description: long non-coding RNA (ZMAY_LNC000153)
Source: RNAcentral
GCUCUACUCGACCUCGAAGGACCGCAUCAAGUAUGAGCUCGACGGGUUCCACUACGAGAUCCAGGCGACCGACCCAUCCGAGGUGGACAUUGAGGUUCUGCGGGAGCGGGCUCACUGAAGCUGGUUCGCCUUUGAAAAAGAAGGGACCUGUGGAGGGCCAUGAACCUUUUGGUUAGAUGCAAAUCCUAUUACCAAUGAUGAAAGCUCCCACCUUGGUAUUUGUUAUUAAGUUUCUGUAAGCAUGUCGUUUAGGCGCGACACGUGACUCUACCUGGUGAAGCGUUAUCAAAGCUGUAUCUGUAUGAGCUUUGGUUGUCGAGCCUAUAAACGAAGCAAGGUUUGCGUACUUGUUAUAUUAUGGUAUUGAUGGUACUGGAUUACUGGCUGUGGGUUGCUGGGAAUGCCUCUGUUGGUCUGGUAUGUGGGCGUGGUUGUUGUUCGACCAGGAAUGGGCCCUGUUGGUUUGGACGUCCGAAUCUGUGGAUAGACUGGUGUUAAUCAAACGAAUGCUAUUGUGAUGCUGGAGACUGGUUUGGAGGAAGCUUUGUCCGUUGUUGUCGUGUUGGGAACUUUAGGUUCUCACAUUUUCCAACUAUAUGGAUCUGUAUCUAUCGUUAUAUAAGCUAUGACUAUGGUUAGUCUUUAUAGACUAGCGCUUUAGUGCAUAGUUUAGUUAUCUCAAUGUUACGUUAGCUUUUUAACAAACUUUUAGGUAGCAUAAAAAUAAGUUAUUUUAUUAAAACAAAAGUAUAUUUGAUUACAUAAACAAAUAACAUUACAUAAUUUGUAAAGCAUAAAUUAAAAUGAUAUAAUUCAGUAAAAUAAAAGGUUGUAUUAUUUAUAAAUAAAACCUAAUUGUGUAGAUUGUAUAUAUGCUUUAUUAAAUAAUUUUGAAGCUCCUCAUGGACAAGAUCAGUAUGGAUUAUGGCUUCAUGUUAAAUGAUGGUUGCAUAGUUCGGUUCAUGGAUGCUUCAGAGUGAUGAUUGAUAAUGCAGUAAAGGACUUGAAUAUCCCAUAGUCAUCCACAUCAAAUGAUCUUCUAUACUCAUACUCAAUGAUUAUGUUGUGUUGAACAAUACAUGAACAUAUGGUCAUCCUGAAUAUUCACUGGGAAAAAGAACGACUUAGGCUAGCCGGAAUAAAGACGCUAGCCUUAGGUCUUCUAAAAUACAACAAAUACAUGCCAUUUUAGAGUCUAUGAGAGAGAACUAGUAUGCACCGGUCACUAGGAGUAGAUGCCAUCGACAAGGUUGUACUCUUGGUUAACCUCAUGUCCAUUCAUUGUGAAGUCCAGUUUGGUGCUUCUCCCUUAAGCACGUCAGAACAACGACAAUUGGUUGUGCACCUUGACAUCAUUGAUCGGCCUUGCUACCCAAAAGGGAAUGUCAAAUUAAGUCAUACAAAAGAGUAUUGAACAUGCUCUUUCCUCUAGGAUAUAAAUCAUUUAACACACCUUCCAAACUUCUAUAGCUUGAUCACCAAGAAGAAAACCUCAGAGUAUGGUUGAUGACAUUAGGCUCAUCAUUAAAAAUAGUCUCGAACGUCUAUUUUCUUUUAUUUAUGAGAUAAUGCAUUUUUAUAGAAAUUAAUAGCCAAGUCCCCUCUUAUAUGAACAAAACAAAUAGUUAGAAUAGACACGUUUGUAGUACUUUUGACAACAAAUACAACAACACAUAUCACGUUGAUUAACUAUAAGGGGUGUUUGGUUUGAGGAAUCACUUCAUCGAAGAUAAGGUGAUGCAUCAUGAGUCUAUUCAUAAAAUUUAAUAGAAUGAUCUCAUUCUUAUAUUAGUACUAACUAUGAGAAAUGAGGUGAUGAUGAAUCAACUCAUUCCAUUCCACGAACCAAACAAAAAAGGUGAUAAGUGAGAAGAUGAUGGAAUAACUCAUUCCUCGAACCUAUCACCCUAUAAGUAUCUAAACAAUAUUGUUUGUCAGAGUAUAAAUCCCAAAGCGACCAAUUGUUUGGAAACAGAUGCUAGUAUUUUGGAUCAGGUGGUGGACAGGUGGACUACAUGACACUAUACUAACAAAAAAGAGCUGCACAUAAAGUAGGGAACUAGUCUCGCAAACCUCUACUGUCCUGGUACUGGUAGUAGAAUCGUAUAGGAGUAUUUGUAUGAGCUGUGUUUAAGCACAAAAAACUACUUUGGCCAGCGGAUACCGUCACUUUGGACACAGCAAAUAAUGAGGCGGUUUUAUAUGGCAAAGAUGAAAGGGUGUAGAAGUCUAGAAGAUGAGUCAUUAAGGAAUCAGGGUUACUAGCUCGUUAUUACGCGUGUGAAUUGUGCUUUUACAAUCCCUUUCGAAAUGACUGAGAAAAAGAGGGCAAAUGUGCGAGUUCUUUGCUCAACCGUAGUCUCAACCAGAUGGUGGAACAUGCUACCACGGAUGAAGAGGUCAGAAGUACAACACGGUGCAGGGCAUUCGUCACUCGACUGUUGCCUCCAGGUACAGACUCCAGCCAUGCCAGGCCAGCUCCCCUCCCUCUAGGACACCAGCGCCAACGGCAACGGUCACUUGCCGCUACGCUGUCAGACAGUAGCCAGCACACUUCACAAGCUUCUUCUCUUGCAGGCUCCAGCUGCAGCCCGACCUGCCUCCUUCCCUAGGAUUCUUUUGCAGCUUCCAUUGUCUCCCCAGCUAUUUAACCCACCCACCCCCGCUUCGUCUCCCAUGUCCCAAAGCAAAGCAAAACAAAGCUUCAAAGCAUCUCUGCUGGGAUUUCAGCAAGCGACAAUGACCUAACGACCCAAAAAAGCAAUCAAUAGUCACCAUAUCUGCUCCUCUCGCUCCACAUCCCCCUGCUCUGCGACUUGAGGCAGGACAGGAAGCAGAGACAUGCAAUGGGGUUCAUGCUGGUGGUCUCUCUACCCUUCAUCUUCCUCUCCAUCCUCCUCGGCUUCGGCUGCUACUUCCUCGGCAAGCAUAGGGGCCGGAAGGAGAGCGGACCGGCGUUGGCGCACAGAUCUACGGCACGCCGCUGCCGCCGCCCGGCAUUGUCGGUGCCUCCUCGCCGCCGACUCAGCCGUUCCAUAGCAAGAAAUAAGGGUCCGAGGCUGUGUGACUGAGAUUCAGACGUCUCUCCAUCCAUCCAUUCUACUACUACUACUACAUAUAUGUCUUGGUGGUGAUGUUGGAUUUAUAUUCUUUCUUCUUUAAUUUCGCCCUGGUUGUCUUGAGAGUGUAGAUUGAGAGUCAAAUCUGUGCUUGUGUCUAAAGAUGGUGUGUGUGUGUGGAUGUUGUGAUAUGAUUGCAAUCACACUUUAUAUCUUCUGUAAUCAUGCAAUGGCGUUGCAGUAGAAUGGCUUGUGUGUGUGACUCCUGCAGGCUAUAUAUGUGUUUGAAGAUUGCAACUGAGCAUCUCCACAAGAUCUUUCAAUUUAGGAUAAUACAAUAGAGAAAUGUUAUAGCAGGAUCAUCUAAAACUUGUCUGUCGUAAUUCUUGAAAUGUGCUGUCAGAUGUCUGAAGUUGGGGAAACGUCUGAAGGAGCGUUCGAUAGGGAGAAAACCGAGAUACCAAAAUGCUGCCAAUUUCCAGAACUAGGUUAGCCUUAUUUGGGUUAUUCGGGAAGGAUUUUAAGGUUUGGUUGACUGCCUCACCGUCCACGCCACAGAUUUGUCGCCGUCGCUGUGGCGGCCAAAUCGAGCGCCGCUGCUUAGGCAGGGUGUGGCAGCGUUAGCGCCACACCAAACAUGCCCAUAUGGACUAGGAUAGGAACGAACAGGCCCUCAAAAUCCCCUCAAAUGUAGAUUGGAAGGAAACUAAACGAGCCCCUUACCAGUUCCACCAAAAUGAACUCACAAGCAUUAACAUUAAUAGGUAUCAUCGUAAAUUCAUAAUACCGAGAGCAUUUACUCUCUGUUACAAUCAGAUCAUUUCCUUAUUAUUAUUACAAACAGAUAAAACCAACACCAAAAUUCGCAGAACAAACAAUUCUGCCCAGAACGAACAAGGAGGAGAAGAGGCCAAGAAGGCAAGGCAAGCAGCACGUGCUGAUCGCUUCCCCACCUGACCUGGCUAAUUGCAGAGCAGGAACCUGGUGAGCAUGAGCACCCCGCAGGCGACGGCGAAGAACGCGAAGACGGCCAGGUCCCUGGUCUGCCACCUCCUGGGCCUGUCUGCUGCGCCCUUGGCCUCAGCGCGGAGGUUCUUGGCCCUGCGCACAGUGUCCACCUCCUUGAGCAGGUCGAAGCGGAGGCCCUUGCGCUUGAGCUCAGAGACGCACCUAGCUAGGUGCAGCGCAUCCUCGCGCUCUCGCGCGAGGACGCGCUCCAGGAUGGCCUCCGUGUCAGACUUGUACCACAGCGCCCAGAUCAUGGCGAGCGAGGAGAGCAGCGAGACAAGGCAGAGGAUCCAUGAUCGUCUGCACGCUGUUGUCGCUGCCGCCAAGCCAGCGGAGGAGGAGGAGGAGGAGGAGAGGAAGAGGAGCAACACGGAAGCGGAGUGGAAGGCGAAGAAGGCGCAGUAGAGGAAGGCGAUCUCCUUGCGGGCGCCGUUGAGGCAGGCCUCCCAUAGCACCACGCGACGCGCCAGCAGGUCCUCCUCCUUGACCCACUGCUUGAGCAGCAGCCGGUGCGUCUCGCUCGCCGCGAUCUGGCUCAACGGGUGUUGCUGUCGCGCCUCCGUCACGACGAGGGCGCCAGAGUCAGCCAUGUGCGGCGGCGGCGGUUUCGUCUCGUGCGCGUCCUGGUUCUGUUAGGAUGGAUGGACCGAUGGAGGGAAGGGAGUUUAUUUGGGGUACAAGUGCAACGAUCGGGGGAGGGCACGUGGGCUUAAAAAGGUUUGGGGGAAAGAAGCCGAAAGCAAACGGGUUCGCGCACAUGAGCGGCGCAACAGUCGGAAUUUUCUCGGGCCGAAUCAUUCGCGUUUCGUGGUGGCCGGUGGACCUACCUAGCACGCAUUAAGACUGGGCCACUGUGGACUGAGAUUUUGGUCCACUAGUCGAUCUCAGUCCUGCAAGGGAUCGGCCCACUAGACCGUCGUCAGUUCUCGGACUCGAUAUUUUUACGCAAAAAAAAACAUGCCAAUCAAUACUGCAAUAGAGGAUAGCGGCAUGAAUUUCAUACCCUAGAAAAAUGCUUCAAAAAGUCUUAACAACGCCCCAGUGGAGACACACUAAACACUAUCCCGGUGGUGUCACUGUCCUUGGUCAAUAAAAGGAUCAAGUACUCUCUAUAAAUUGGUUCUUCAUCGUUCUGGUGUAGUGAACCGCUCACAAAAGUGUGUUGUGUCAAAUAUUUUUUGUGAUCCCUAUUACCUAGUGGACUUGUACACCAGACAUAAAAGUUACAAUAAGGGUGACAACAAUCAUGUUGUAGGUGGGCGCUCAGUCACAUUGGACAUUUGUGUAAUGCAUCUAAACGACACUACUACAAAAGGCUAGCUGCAUAGGUGCUAGAAUUUUGUGAAACAACACAAGACCUUUUAACUCUAAUCCGAGUUCAUACAAUGUGCCAACAAAAAUGAUCGUAUUGCUACAGGAAUCAAAUGCAGCAGCUUCCAACCUGAGUAAAAUGUCCAUGUGCAAUCCACACUCACUAUAUUAUACUAUAAUGAGUAAAAUAUUGUUGUAAUGAAUGUUCAACUCCCCAAUGGUUUGCUUAUUAACCUAGCUUUGUCCAAGUAUGGAACUCAUUUCCUGUAAUUUUUGGCUUGAUUUUAUUUGGUGGAGGCUCUAUACUUUAUUUUCCCCCUUUGGUGGCUCCCAACCCGAGUAUGUCACUUAUUAACAUGAGAGUGUGGUGUUAGUGGAGAUCGUGUUCCAUUACUGCUUGUCAGGUUCACACCAUAAAUCAUAAUGAUUAUCCCUUCAUAUGAUACACAUAGUGAAGGUAUCCACUAUUGGAAAAGUAGACAUUUUUGGAUUAAAACUAGAAUAGAGAUCAUGACCUCGAGACGAUGGAGCUAAGGCCAUUGUUAUUGUGCCAAGUUGGCUUAAUUAGUGGUGCUCCAAACAUAGUUGUAGCAACAAGUGUAGGCUACCAGUUACCACAAAGGUGACCACACGAGUGGUGAAAUACCACUACCCGAUCAAUGAUAUUCUAAAAAAACAUUGUGCAAGCUCAAGGUUCCCUAUGACAAAUAGAUGAAGAAAGGACUUGUUCCCACAUUUUCGUUUUCGAUAUACCUCGUUCCCGUUCCCGUACCGCAAAAUAAAUAUGAAAAUGAAAACAGUAGAGGUGUUUUACCGACCGCUUUGAUCCCUAUACCAAGCUCAAUGAGAUCAAUGGUGGUGCACAAUAAUUACACCCUUAUGAACUAAUGAGAUUGCUAACCAAGCGAAUUUCAACUUUCAAAUCCCUCACUAGGUAAUGAUUCUUUCUCACACUCAAUAUGAGUAUAAAUGCAUGAAGUGGGUCGAAGAAGAUGGGUAUAUUUUUGCCCCCUACAACUUCAGGUAACUAAAAAGGUUGUUUUAAACAUAUAUGUAACUAUUGGGAUCAACCUUUUCAUAUUUCGAGAUUUCAAACUUGUAUUGUUUGAAUGGUGCAAUCCUGACACUAUGGCUUACUAGACUACAUUUCUAAUCUAUCCAUAAUAUGGACAUGCAGUUAUAUUAGACUCUUUGGAUACUCUAAAAAAGUGUACAUUGACUUUGAAAGCAUAUUGAGCUUGCAAGUGAUAGUACUUAUUAUUUUGUAUUUAACAUACAUGUUAAAUUUGUCGUUACUCCUAUGGUUUUUAUACACUGCUUACAGAUGUACCUCGAGGAUUCUAAAUCCGUCGAUCCGAGAAAUGAGAAGAAGAAAGAACAUGAUUAACCGUUAGGCGUGACUUCCUGGUACGUAUCAAUGUUCGUAUUUUGUAUUAUAUCAUGCAUGCUAUCUAUAAGUUUUAAUCGAUUGCAACCACCCAGAUACUAUUAUGUGGAUACUAUGCUUGUGAGGACCUGAGAGAAUCUCACAAAUGCAACAUUAGGUACAAAUAACUAAGUAAUGCACAAGUCUGGUGGACAAUAGAAUGUAUCACCCAAAUGCAAAUAUUGAGAAUUGUAGGACAUAUGUGGAGUCAUCUUGCACAAAUGCGUGAUGCAUAAGUCCUAGUGGACAAUAGAAUGUAUCACCUAGAUGCAAAUAAUCAGAACCGUAGGACAUAUGUGGAGUCGUCUUGCACAAAUGCGUGCAUCAAAAUGCAAAGUUCUUCAACAACGCGAACUGACAUUGGACAAGAAGUAUGACAAGUUCAGACACUGGGAGAAGCUACCAUUAGGUAAUCACAAGAUGCCUGGAGUGCAAAAUAUUACAAAUCAUAUGUAUAUGGCAUAUAACUAGUAUUGUUCACGUGAAUAGCUUUUGUACUUAGUUUUUUUUAUAUCUUCUAGUUAAAAUAUUUAAUCACCAAACCAAUUUUAUAUUUGUAUUCCCUAAGAUUUCUUUUGAAAAAACAAGACCACACAUGCUAUAUAUAUUUUAAUUUGUUAUUACUCAGUUAUUCUAAUGAUUUACUGUAGCACCCCAAAAAUUCAAAUCUUGAAAUUUUUCCAAACUCGCUCUAAAUUCAAAAUGAAUUUUAAAUUUCGUUUUAAAAUGUUUGUUUGCGAGUUGAUCUCAACAAAUAAAAUAUAGUGGUCUAUAUUCUCUCCAAAAUUCUCCUCAAAUAUCUUACAAAUAUUAUCCUCAGUGAUCCCCUCUGAUUCUUUUCAGAAAUACUGCCCAAAUAUUCCACCGAUAAUUCUCCAAAUAUUCUCCUCCUGAGAAAUACCUGUUGGUGACUUGCUCUCAAAUACUAUAAAUCAAGAGCAAGGCAACAUAAAAUGUUAAAUAAUAACGCCCUUCGUCCUUAAAACAUUAUUCCCUUCGGAAUAAUGAAUUUUGGACGAAGGUUAAUAAGAGUAUGAUUACGAAGUUGAACCUUCGUAAUCAUAUUUCAAUAGGCAUUUAUAAGAUAAUACAAAAAGGUAUAAUAUGUGUAAAUAAAUCAUAUACUAAUUAUAUUACAUUUAUUUACUAUAUUGGAUCAUCAAAUACCAUAAUACCUAUGCCUUGGCAGAGGUUGAAUUCCGAGAGAUGCGAUUGCAAUCGUCAGAAUGCGUGAAAAGUAAUGGAAUACUGUUCACUAUUUAUAGGCACAGGACGCAGCCUGUGAGGAAUUACAAGUAUGCCCCUUAUAAAAACUUACAACAUUGACUUAGACCUUUAUGGACUAAAAGGUCAUUCUACCUUUAAGUCGGUUUAUAAUGCCGAAGCUUCGCGAAGAAGAACCUUCGGCUAUCUUAUACAAACAGCUUCAGCCGAGGACCACUUCUUCUUAUAAGACCUUCGGCGACGAAGCAUAAACCCAACAGUAGCCCCUUUCGCGGUGCUAGAUCGUUUUUCGUAACGAGCUUGAUCCGUGAAAAAAGUCUCUUAAGCUUCGGAGCGCCGAAGGUCUAAAAAACACCUUCCCUGAGCUCGUUGUCGAGAAACGAUUCAAUCUCCCAGCGUGUAACGGCCCCACCUUGCAGAGUUACUGUUCGGUUUCUGCGGUCCACCAUGCAGCGAGUGCGAGCGGGUGUCCGCCUGGUGUAAAAAUUCUGGCGCUUCGCCUUCUUACCUGCAGCACUAUAUAAACAGACGAGUAGGUGUGAAGUUACCACAGCAUUCAUUGCUAUUUGUACUGUUUUGCUGCCAAAAUUUUUAACUAUCGCCGAAGCUUGUCCGUCGGAACCGAACGAAGCUCCAGCCUGAAACCUGCUUCGGAGGAAGAAAGUAUUAAAGUUUCGCAAGUUCAUAGUUAAAUGGCCAGAGUGCGUUCUACUGCCAGGGUUGAGCGUGAGGGAGGCGAAACUGAAGCUUCGGAGACUGUUCCCAUCUCCGAAGCCAUGCAACGAUCCGGGCUGGUAGUUUCUGAAGAUAUUCCUGGUGAGGGUGCAGAACAAACACAACAAGCAGCUGCCGGAGUAGAAGAAGAGGUUAUUGAGGAAACUGAUCCCGAAGACGAUUAUCGUAUUGUCAUGCCAAGUAAGCCCAGCCACUUGGACUUUGGAAAAUCCACCGUUUCGAAGGCUGAUCUCUCCAAAAUGGUAAAGUCAGGCUUUUUCAAUGAGGAUCAGAAGAAGCUACUACGCUUCGGGGGAGAAGAGACUACCCCGAAACCGGAAAAAGAUGAAAUUGUCAUUUUUAAGAGCUUUUUAAAGGCUGGAUUAAGAUUCCCCCUUCACGGGAUUAUUGCAGAGGUGCUGAAGAGGUUCGGUAUCUAUUUUCACCAGCUGACCCCCAACGCUAUCGUUAGGCUCAGUGUUUAUAUCUGGGCACUCCGAAGCCAAGCAGUGGAGCCAUUUGCGGACAGCUUCUGCCGGGUUCACGAACUGCAUUAUCAGACGAAGGCUAGAAAGGAUGGCUUGCAUGAUAAUUUUGGUUGCUACAACUUUGCUUAUCGGAAGACUACGAAGUUUCCUGUAAUCAGCUAUCGGAGUAAAUGGGCAGCAGGGUGGAAGUCUGAGUGGUUUUAUGUUAAGGUUAAUGAUGACAAGGAGAAACUCGUGCAAAGUCCACUCGAACUAAUCUUCGGAGAAACCCGGCCUCUCUGCAACAUGUCAGUAGACGGUACCACACAAAAAGCAAUGGAUGAAUUCAGAAUUGUUGCAGAGCAUAUUAGUACAAGAGACCUGGUACAGGAGUUCUUGGCUUUCCAAGUCUUUCCUAGUUUAAAAGAAUGGGAAAUGCCGAAGCUGAAGGGGAAAAAGAAAGAAGGUGAACUUGUGCGUUUGCCUUACUAUUUUAAAUUUAAGAAAUACUUUAAAACACCUUGCCAAGAGUGGUUGGAAACAAUUGAAGCAAUGUGCAAUGAAAUACUUGGCAACUAUUCCAAAAAAGAAGAUCAAUUGAUGACCGCAGCCUUCGGAGCCCGUCCGAAACGAAGGCUAAAUCGAGUGUUGGAUGCCUUGGGCUUUGAUUACCCUGAUUAUGAAAACCUGAACAAAGGUGCUGGGGGUCAAAAAAGAAAAAGGAUAACUGAGGCCGUGGAUGAAGAAAAAGAACCAUUAAAAAAGAAGAUUCCGAAGAAGAGGAAAACGUCUCCGAAGCAACAAAUAUCCGAAGCAGAAGAAACCCCCGCAUCACCUGCUGUUGCUGACGUUGAGGAAAUUCUGAAGGUAAUGACUGAAUCCUUACCUGCGAAGCUAAGUCCACUGGGUCCUCAACUGACAAAGUUUUUUCAGAAGGACAAGGAGCCCGAGAAAUCGAAGAAAACAAUCAGGGCAAAGAAACAAAGAAUUAUCACUGUGACAGAGGUGAUUGACAAGACGCCGCCAAGAGCUUCGGCCCAAAAAACUCAAACGGCUGCAGAGGGGGCAGAUAUUGAAAUUGCACCUUCGGAGGCCGCAGCUGCCGAAGCUGCCUCAGCUGAAGAUUUGAAUUUGGAGAGCACAAUUGAACAUAUUGACCAAAUACUGUUAGACAUGGCUGCAGAAGAAGCUACCACUGCUGCCGAAGAGGUCGUGACCGCAGCGUCAAAGAAAGGAAAAGAAGUUGCUGAUGAAGCUUCAGAAGACGAAGCCUUCGCGUUCCAAAACUUAGUUGGAGAACAUCUAUCCAAAGCUGAAAUAGAAGAGCUUAAAGAGUAUGCCAAAUCCUGUGGGUACAAACCUGGGGCACUCCUCUUCGGAGGCGUUGAUGAUGAAAAAUUAGAGUGUAUUCGAGACCAAACAGGGGCCAAAGUUAUCAGUACCCUGUCCAAGAAUAUUGGAUUCCCGAAGCUAGAAGCAGACAUCAGCCGCUACCGACGACAACAUGUCGUUGGUAGUUUAUUUUAUUCCAACUUCAAGGUGAAUAACUUGUCCCUUAACUUUUAUUGCUUCUAAUAAAAACAUGUCUGACGAAGGUUGUGUUCGUGUAGAGUAUGCUGUUGAGUAAAGCCUUGCAAAUGCAGCAAGAUCUUGAAGAUAAAAAGCAUGAAGUUAUAAUUGGAAAUUUGGAAAACAAAAUAAAGGAGCAAUCAGAUGCUUUCGAGAAAAAGAACUUUGAGCUCCAGGCAACCGAAGGUUUACUGGCGGAAGCUGAAGCAAAAAUAUCAAAACUGAACACGAAGCUUCUCCGUCAGUCUGAGCAGUUCGAACAAGAAAAACAAAAUCUUAAUGCAAAACUUGAAGCCGAAGCUCAGCAAAAUUCAGAUUUGAGAAAACUACUGACAAGUCUUCAAGAAAAAUGCUUGGAAUUUAGCAACAAGUGCAUUCAACGAUUAAGAAAGAUUUUUUACUCAGUUGGAGCCAGCAGUGAAAAAUUCACCCCCUCAGCUGAAGAUUUACCGAAGACCUUCGAAUAUAUUGAGGGGGAGAUUGACGAGCUCGACGAAGUCAUAGCUGGGCAUGGUGACUUCUGUGCCUGGGUGGCUUCUCGAGGGACUGCUGCAGCUUUCCUGAAGGCUGGCUAUGAUCAUGGGAAGAUUGUCAACAGGCCAAAUUUCACUUUAUCACCAUCAAUCCUGGACGACAUUCCCGAUCUUGCCCGAAGUAUCUCGAACAGAUUUGUAAAAAUGAUAUGGACAAAAGGAGGGCGAGAGAAGGCUGGAAACGAAGCUCGUAGUCACCUUGAACCAGUAAGAAACCAUACCUUGCGCUUACCUUUUCCUGUAAACUUGAUUUUGACUUCCAACAACCUUAUUCAUGUAGGAUGACGAAGCCGAAGCUGAUGAUUAAAAAUAACGCCGAAGCCGAAGCUCCUUGGAGAUUUAGAUAGUAGACUGUAGACAGUACUUGAAAAACUUUUGAGAUAACUUUUGUAAAUGUAACCAAAACUUGUCUUUAAUGAAUUCUGUUCAUACCUUGGUAUAUAUCCUUAUCCUUCCAUUGGUGUAUGAGAAAUGCUUUGCUGUGGACGAAAUUUUCUUUUGAGCCGAAGGCGAAAAAACACCUUCCCUUCUUUUCGUACGCAACGAAGCAUAGAAAACAACAUUUUCCUUUCUUCUUUGUGCACGAAGCUCUUUUUUCCCUUUCUUUUUUCUUUUUGCCGAAGCAACCAUUUAUGCGAUGAAGAUGAUUAUCCUACAUAUGCCUAGAUGAAUGUUUAUGAAUGCAAAUGCUAUGAUGUAAUGUGAUGUGCAAAUGAUUGGCCAAACACGUAUCCGAAGCCAUAUUCAUAGCCAUUAUUUUCUUAAAAACAAUCACACCUCAGCUCUGCAUUCCCUUAGGAACGACUUUGGAGCUUCUUCGCCUUUACUUUUGGCGGAAUCAGCGUUGACUUUUCGCUGUAAGCUCUGCAUUCCCUUAGGAACGACUUUGGAGCUUCUUCGCCUUUACUUUUGGCGGAAUCAGCGUUGACUUUUCGCUGUAAGCUCUGCAUUCCCUUAGGAACGACUUUGGAGCUUCUUCGCCUUUACUUUUGGCGGAAUCAGCGUUGACUUUUCGCUGUAAGCUCUGCAUUCCCUUAGGAACGACUUUGGAGCUUCUUCGCCUUUACUUUUUGGCACUCGAUGGUGCGCUCUCAGCUUUUACAUUUACAUUCUUUGGGGGAUUUUGCUCUUAUAGAACUAAAAAAGAAAAUUACAUAUGCUGGCCCCAUUAAAAACCUUUCUCCCCCUUUGGAAAGGAAAAGGGUGCCAUGAAAGAAAAAAUAAAAAAUAUGAAAAAUUACAUCGAAUUAUACAUAAUAUCGCCGAAGCUCAUCCGCAUUCCAAGACCUAGGAAUGUCGUUGCCGUCCAUAUCCUUCAAUCUGUAUGACCCGGGUCUUGACGAAGAUGCUACUAAGAAAGGUCCGUCCCAUUUCAACUGCAAUUUGCCUACUGUUUCUGGGUUGGCCACUCUCCGAAGCACCAAGUGCCCUGGCUCAAUAUUUUUUAGCCGAACCUUUCUGUCCCGCCAUUUGACUGUUUCGGCUUGAUAUUUAUUGAUAUUCUCCACGGCUUGCAGUCUGAUCUCUUCUAAAGCAUCUUUUUCUAUAGAAUAAGCAGCUUCGGAAUCUGAUUCUGCCGAAGCUACUAUCCUUAUUGAUCCGGUCUUAGCUUCCUCUGGAGUUAUUGCUUCGUCACCGAAUAACAACUUAAAUGGAGUGAAGCCUGUAGACCUUGAUGUUGUCGUGUUGUGGCUCCAUACCACUUUGGUUAACUGAUCUGGCCAUUUUCCUCUGGGUUGAUUGAAGAUUAACUUCAUUAUUCCUGUCAUUAUAAUGCCGUUGGCUCUUUCAACGAGUCCAUUUGACUCCGGGUGCCUAACUGAUGCAAAAUGGAUCUUCGUACCAAUUUGGUCACAGAAAUCCCUGAAAGCUUCGGAGUCAAACUAUGUUCCAUUGUCCACAGUGAUAGCCUUUGGCACCCCGAAACGACAAACAAUAUUCUGCCAGAAAAACUUUUGGACGGUGGCCGAAGUUAUUGUGGCUAAGGGCUUCGCCUCAAUCCAUUUAGAAAAAUAUUCCACAGCUACUACAACAUAUCUCAGGUUCCCUUGGGCUGGUGGUAACGGACCUAACAAGUCAAGGCCCCACCUUUGCAAUGGCCAAGUGGGUUGUAUGAGCUGUGUUAAGGACGAAGGUUGUUUUUGAUCUCUUGCACAUUUCUGACAACCUUCGCACUUUUGAACCAAUUCUGCUGCAUCCGAAGCUGCCUUCGGCCAAUAAAACCCUUGACGGAAAAUUUUUCCAAGCAACGGCCUAGAUCCGAUGUGAGAUCCACACAGGCCUGCAUGUAUUUCUUUCAUUAAUUCUAUACCUUCGGUUCUGGAUAAACAUUUGAGCAGCGGAGCACAAACUCCAUGUUUGUACAGCUCCCCUUCUAUUAUGACAUAUGGACGAGCUCUUGCCUCUAUCCUCUUGUUAUAAGCUUCGUCAUCUGAAAGGAAUUUACCCUGAAGAUAAGAGAUGAUCUCGGUUCUCCAAUCUUCGCUAAAAACAGGAGAUAUGUUAAGGACUGCUCUUUCAAGAAGUUCCACCGAAGGUGCUUUUAUUGUUUCGAAGAACACAUCCGAAGGUAAAGGCAGCCCCUGUGCUGCUGACUUAGCCAGCAAAUCGGCGUGCUCAUUUUGUCCUCGAGGGAUAUUUUUGACAGAAAACCCUUCGAAGGAAGCUUCAACUCUUCGAACCAUAUCCAGAUAUUUUUCAAGCUUCGGAUCCUUAGCCUUGCAACUCUUGUCAAUAUGACCCGAAACAACCUGGGAAUCAGUUUUAAGUAUGGCCCUUCUGAUUCCCAUUGCUUUUAACUUCCGAAGACCUAGAAUCAAUGCUUCGUACUCAGCAAUGUUAUUUGUGCAAUUAAAAUCAAGCUUUGCCGCAUAACAAGUUUUGACUUUGGAAGGUGAAACCAACACAGCAGUCGCUCCUGCUCCGAAGGUUCCCCAAGAUCCAUCACAAAACACUGUCCAGGCUUCGUUGUCUUUAUUCGUUUCCUCCUCCUGAGCCCCUGGCGUCCAAUCAGCAAUAAAGUCUGCCAGCGCCUGUGACUGAAUCGAAGAUCUAUGAACAUAUUCAAUACAAAAUUCAUUGAGCUCUGCAGCCCAUUUUCCAAUCCUUCCAGUAGCUUCUCGGUUCCUCAUAAUAUCCUUCAGAGGUUGUGAUGAAGGAACAAUUAUGUUGUAAGCUUGGAAAUAGUGCCGAAGCUUCCUGGAGGCCAUCAAGACAGCAUACAGUACCUUCUCCAACUCUGUAUAAUUUUUCUUUGAUAAACUAAGAACCUCGGAAACAAAAUAUAUUGGGGCCUGCCUUUUGACUUGACCAUCAAGCUUCUCCUGGACAAGCGCUGCACUUACCGCUGAGUGCGAAGCUGCCACAUAUAAUAAUAAAGGAGCCCCUGGCAUUGGUGGAGUCAAUGUGGUUAGAUCUAUUAAAUACUGUUUCAGCUCUUCGAAGGCCUUCUGCUGGAGUGGUCCCCAUUGAAAGACUUCGGCCGACUUCAGCACUUCGAAGAAUGGUAAGUUUCUCUCUGCUGAUCUGGAUAUGAAUCUAUUGAGAGAUGCCAAUCUUCCUGUCAAUCUUUGAGCCCCCUUCUUUGUAGUUGGUGGUUCCAUCCGAAGUAUAGCUUCAAUUUUACUUGGAUUAGCUUCAAUUCCCUUUGUUGAAACCAAGCAUCCAAGAAAUUUUCCCUUCUUUACUCCGAAGACGCAUUUUUCUGGAUUUAACUUUAAGCCAGCUUGCCUGAAACUGGCGAAGGUCUCCUGGAGAUCAGCAAUAUGAUUCUCCUGCUUCGUGCUUUUUACAAUGAUGUCAUCAACAUAAGUUAGCACGUUUCGGCCUAUUUGAGGUUGGAGAACCUUCGCAGUCAUUCGGCUGAAACUUCCUCCAGCGUUCUUGAGCCCCUCAGGCAUCCGAAGAUAGCAAUAUGUGCCACUUGGAGUUAUGAAGCUAGUCUUCGGCUCAUCUUCCUUCUUCAUCCAAAUUUGGUGAUAACCUGAAUAACAGUCUAACAGACUCAUGAGCUCUGAAGAAGCUGCUGCAUCAACUAAAGAGUCUAUCCUUGGUAGUGGGAAUUCAUCCUUCGGACAAGCCUUGUUAAGAUCUGUAAAAUCGAUGCACAUUCGCCACUUGCCAUUGGCCUUUUUUACCAUAACAGUGUUAGCUAGCCAUUCUGGGUACUUCACUUCUCUAAUGACUCCUGCACUGAGGAGUCUUUUGACUUCGUUGCGAGCACCUUCGGCCUUAUCAUCUGACAUUUUCCGAAGCCUUUGCUUUCUGGGUCUGAAGGAUGGAUCGACAUUGAGCGAGUGCUCAAUAACAUCUCUAUUGACUCCGCAGAGAUCAUUGGCCGACCAUGCAAAAACAUCUUUGUUAUUGAACAAAAACCUUAUCAAAGUUUUCUCCUGCUCUUCGGAUAAUUGAGAGCCUAACAGCACCUUCUGCUCUGCUAUGUCCUCACAUAAGAGCAUAGGCUUCGGCUGAUCUGCUGAAGCUGCUUUCUCCCUUCUGAAUUUGUACUGUUCACAAGCUUCAGCUCCAUCUAUGUUAUGGAUUGCUUUUGAGUCAGUCCAAUUGCCUUCGGCCCUUCUUGCAGCUUCCUGACUUCCAUGGAUAGCAAUGGGUCCCUGAUCCGAAGGUAUCUUCAUGCAAAGAUAGGCAGGAUGAAGGAUUGCUUCGAAGGCAUUGAGGGUACCGCGACCAAUAAUUGCAUUGUAAGGGUAUUCCAUAUCGACAAUGUCAAACACAACUUGCUCAGUUCUAGUGUUGUUGAUGAACCCGAAGGUCACUGACAUGGUAAUCUUUCCCAGUGCUACAAUCUGUCUUCCUCCGAAGCCACAGAGAGGAUGUGUAGCAUCAUGAAUCUUAUCCUCUGGCUCUUGCAUCUGUCUGAAGGCCUUAGCAAAUAUGAUGUCAGCUGCACUGCCUGUAUCAACCAAAACAUUGUGGACCAGAAAUCCUUUAAUAACACAAGAGAUAACCAUGGCAUCGUUGUGUGGGUAAUCUUUGAGCUGAAGGUCCUCUUGGGAGAAGGUAAUAGGAAUGUGAGACCAUCUUGACUUGAUGAAGGGUCCUUGCACCCCAACAUGCUGUACUCUUCUCUGUGCCUCCUUCUUCUGUUUCUUGUUAGCUGGCUCUGAGGACGAGCCACCUGUGAUUGGGAGCACCAGCUUCGGGUCCGAAGCAGCUCCAGCUUGGUUGUUAAACGAAGCCAUCGGCUCAAAAAGUGGAAGUGAGUUCACCCCACGGUGGGCGCCAAUGUUGGUGACUUGCUCUCAAAUACUAUAAAUCAAGAGCAAGGCAACAUAAAAUGUUAAAUAAUAACGCCCUUCGUCCUUAAAACAUUAUUCCCUUCGGAAUAAUGAAUUUUGGACGAAGGUUAAUAAGAGGAUGAUUACGAAGUUGAACCUUCGUAAUCAUAUUUCAAUAGGCAUUUAUAAGAUAAUACAAAAAGGUAUAAUAUGUGUAAAUAAAUCAUAUACUAAUUAUAUUACAUUUAUUUACUAUAUUGGAUCAUCAAAUACCAUAAUACCUAUGCCUUGGCAGAGGUUGAAUUCCGAGAGAUGCGAUUGCAAUCGUCAGAAUGCGUGAAAAGUAAUGGAAUACUGUUCACUAUUUAUAGGCACAGGACACAGCCUGUGAGGAAUUACAAGUAUGCCCCUUAUAAAAACUUACAACAUUGACUUAGACCUUUAUGGACUAAAAGGUCAUUCUACCUUUAAGUCGGUUUAUAAUGCCGAAGCUUCGCGAAGAAGAACCUUCGGCUAUCUUAUACAAACAGCUUCAGCCGAGGACCACUUCUUCUUAUAAGACCUUCGGCGACGAAGCAUAAACCCAACAAUACCUUCAGAAUCAUUUUUAAAGUCUCCACAAAUAUUUUCUUCAUAAUUAUCUGCAUGCUCAUACGUAUACGUACGCCUCCGGUGUCAUACAGUGAGCUCUACAAGCUAAUUUCACUUAUACACGACUAAUACAUGCUUAUCUCCCACUAAUCCUCGCCUCCUCCCCCUAAUCCCCCCACCUAGCCUAUAAAUAGAGGGGCAAGGGCCUCCUCUCAAGCCACCCCAAGCCAUUUUAUGACAACUCUCUCCCCCCAACACGCCCACUCCAAGUCCCACACAAGAACACGCUAGCACAAGGAUCGUUCGGUUGUUCUUCAAUCGUUCGUCCAAUCGUUCCAAUUUAAAUAUUUAACUAAAAGAUUAGUUCAAAAGAUUUAAUUAAAAUAUCGUUCUAAUUCAAAAUUAAUAGCUUUUGUACUUAGUUUUUUUAUAUCUUCUAAUUAAAAGAUUUAAUCACCGAACCAAUUUUAUAUUUGUAUAGUAUUUUAUAGUUGUAGUGAGGUAUAGAGUGAGAUUAUAGGGGAACCACUGUGGAAGAUAAAAAAAAUAGAGGAUAAAAUAUUGGUAAUAUGACAAAAAUAUGAUAUAGUAGGAAAAAUUUAAGGAAACCGCUGAAGAUAGUCUAAGCAUCGGUAACAGGAUUAGUCGCUUCUUACAAUAUUCAGAGUGAAAGAUUGCUAAAAUUUUGUCGGGUCAAAAGCAAUUCAAAUUUGAACCACGUUCGGAUCACAGGCAUUUUUGCUCAAAAGCCUGCGUAGAACCAGCUGCACGACGAUGGCGGAAACGAAGGGAAGGCAGUGGGACUUGGCAGCGCGGACGAUGGCGGCCUGGGCGUGGGGCUCGGUGUUGCAGUGCACGACGGCGACGACGCUAAGUGAUGCCAUGGCCGCGGCCAUAGCGGCCUCGGAGACAGUGUCCAUCGGGGACGCGACGCAGGGGAUGGAUAGCGGGGUGCGGCGGGAGAGGCAGUGGAGAGGUCGACGGUGUCGGCGGGGAAGCCGAUGUAGCCCGGGAGGAAGAUGACGUCAUCGUAUGUGUAGGAUACACCCUGCGAGAAGAGGCGCGGCACCGCGAAGCCGUCGUCGGUAAGAUAGGUGCUGCUCGACACCAUUGGUGGAUUGGGGGUUUAGGUUUUUUUUGCUGCUGCGGUGGCUGACGUCUGGGAGAGAGAGAGACAGGGAGACGAAGGGAGGCGUGAGAGAGCUCUGCUUGUGUUCGUGUUGGUCUUGUAGGUGUACAUUUGGGCCGCCCGGCCCAAGCCCGAAAAGACCCGUAUUGUUUGAAUUUCGGGCCGGCCCGACCCAUUUGAAUUUCGGGUCAUGCUGGGCCGGCCCACGGCCUGACCCGUAAUUGCUUUAACGUGUCGGGCUCAUUUUGAGCGGCCCGAAAUUAUAAAAGCCCGAAAUUCACAUUAGGACCCAAAAUUCAAUUUUUGGUCCGAAAUUCACAUCAGGGCCCGAAAUUCACAUCAGAGUUAAUAAAACAAAUAAAAGAGAAGACAAAUAAAUGUAACCAAAAGCAAACUUAAUAUUUGUAUUAAGUUACCAGAGCUAUGCAAUGACUACCUCGUUUACAAAUCAUUUUGUUAGAAAGAAAUAGAGUAUAAUCAGCUCUAUAUAAAGUUUGUAAGUUCAGUUCAUUAUAUAAUGUUCAUAACAAAAAUAAAAUUACAUCACAUACUCUAAUUCAAAGCUAUAAAAAAUAUCUAACUAACAUUAUCUCUAGCUUUGUGUUCUUUAUCAAGUACAUGAAAAUAUGGAAUGAAGUGUGGUUUUAAUAAAUAUAUGGGCCUUUUUGUGCCUCUAUAUGGGCCAUUUCGUGCCUGCCUUAAACGGGUUGUGCUCGUGCCCGCCCAUGGGCCGCGACCUCGGCCCAAACCCGACCCGAUAUAUCGGGCCGUGCCGGCCCGACACUAAAAUAUUUCGGGUCGUGCCGUGCCUAGGCCGUGCUUUUUUCUAUGCUUCGGGCCGGCACAUCAGGCCCGGCCCAAAUGUACACCUAUAGUUAGUCUUGCUGGAUUUGCAUUUGCUCUUUGUUUGGCAGGUAGCAAGGCGCAUAAUAGUUCGAUGACAAGUGGACCCUAUUGUCCCGGCGGCUAGCCGGAUUGUGAGCUGGGCUGGCAACCCAGGACGACAGAGGCAACGAGACGGUACCUCCCGACUCGAGCGUAGUUCAAACUUCAAAUACGCGGUCUUUGUUUCGGCUUUUUCCUAACUUCUCACCAUCCAAGCUGCUGCGGAUUAAAACACUUAGCUUUGUUGUAUGUAUUUUUAUAGUCGUUUAAUUUAAAAUCGUCUAAAAUCAACGUAAACAUUGAAUCGGUCAAGUCAUCGCGGUAGUAGAAAACUAAGAAUCCAUCACAUUCUAGAUUCUAAAUCUUAUUCUUUCAUCUUUCUCCACGCAUAAUCCUCUUGAUAAUCAGAUUCUCCUCACAGCUAUAUUCUUCUCAUAGCCAGAUUCUGAAAAAUAAAAUCGUCAAAACAAAGCUGAACAAACAUGCCCUAGCAAAAUAAACGGUCUUUCUGUCACAUCCAUAUAUCGCUUUUUAGAGCCUGAUUGUAGGGAUUCUUGUCGCCUACCAUUUUACUCGCAUGUAUAGCAGUUAACUCUUCACUAUUAACGUAGGAUCCCACAUGUCUCUCUCACAAAAGUGUCAGAGAGGCCCACUAGUUAGCAAAAGGAUGAUGAACAGAUUCGCCGUAGAAGGACCCACCCUUGGAUACUCCCGAGGCAACAAGCCCCAAAUCGGGCGAGGCGGAGCCAGAACGGGGUCGGGUGAAUCGAGAGAAAGCCACUCUAGUGCAUUUCGCGCGUGACCCAGGAUUGACCCACCAUAAGUGAUCGACCACAUUAACCGCAUUUGGCACUAAGCCGCAGCAGGGGUAGUGGCGGAGCCAAGGGGGUCCCGAUAGGGGCCAUGGUCCCUCCCAAGGCUCUCCUCGUCUCCAUAGAACCUCGUCGUUCAUCUACCAUAUAUCGUUUACGUUACCGUUGAAAAAAUUAAGGGGAAAACCCAAUUAUAAGGUGACACAAGGUUAUAAUCACAAUUAACCCUGAAUUAACAAUGUUAAAGGUAAGGAGCAAAUGACGGCUUCGUUUUCAAAGCAGAUGGGUAAAAUCACAAAGUUGUAAAACUAGAGAUAAAAUCACCAUUGUAGAUCAGAGAAAAGUAUGGUCAUAAUUACCCCUAAUAAUAAUUUGAGUGAUAUAAGUUGGUACUCCUAUCACGACCGUCCAAUGCACCGCCGCCGAGCACCACCCACCCCACCUCCCCUCCUGCGGCCCAGGCCCGCCGUCCUCUGGCCCCACACACCUAGCCGAGACCGAUGGACUGACCGACACCCCGACCCUACUGUCACCCACGAGGCGUGUACGCCACACAGGCCCCCACCCACGCACACCCACACGAAGCGGCGGCGCGUCCGUGUCUAUGGAGAAUUUCGCCCCACCAUACGAAAACGAAAACCCUCAGCAGCCCCGUGGAAGCAGCCCGGAUAUAUAUAAAAAAAUAAAGAAAGAAAAGGAACCCCACAGCCAAUAGGACAAUAGGGGCUCCCUUCCCUAGUUCUCCUUGCUUGCGUCUUCCGGGUCCCUUCAUCCAAAUUUUAUCUCAGAAACUGAUUAUUAAGAGUAGGCUAAAAAGUUUUAAGAGUGAAUUAUGAUGAGUACUUCAAGAGUUCCUUUAAAUGUGACAUGUGGUGUAAUCUGUACAGUCGUCGGAGAGGUUGUGGAUGAUCUGAUACGUUGAAGAAUGAAUUGGGGAGGGAUGGAACACACCAAAAUAUGAGGGAGAUGAGGUUGUGGAUGCGGGACGCUAAUUUUUUUGGGGAAGAAUGAUUGAGCUGUUGGAGUAAGAAAACCACUAUUCUUGACUAAUCUGUUUUAGGGUUAGUUUACACGUUAUUUUGGAGUUGCUCUCAAGGCAAUAACGUUCAGUUCAUCCAUGAACGAAUAUUCUUGCUUGCAUAGACUUUUGAUCCUAUGAGGAAUGGCCAUGGUGGUAUAGUCUUAUUCCUGCUUCGUUGCUUCCACUAAGCGCAAAUAUUUGGAGUAUGCCUCUUACACCCGAUUGCCCGCUGCCUGCUGCCUGCUGCCUUUUAGGUUAGUGUAGGGACGGUGAACUGCUUCUCACACAGUUGGCGAUGCAAUUGAUUGAAUUAAAAUUAGCAUGGAUGGUUGAGCUUCUGUUUGGUGUUGUGCCUAAUCCUAUCCAUUAUUGUGCAAUCACUGAACUUUUGAUUUGCCCAAGUGAUUUUACAUGUUAUGAACCAUGCUUCUAAUUUUUAAUCCUGGAAUAGGCAGUAUCUUGAGGGAUUUUCUGUAUAUCUGUAUAAUUUUUUAUUAAGCAAGCUUGCUGCAGCAGUGUUACCUAGGACCGGUGGAUUAAAAUUUUGUACGGCUUCCUGUAUGUGGAAGGUUGGAGUAACUUUUAUGGAAUCAUGCCUACAUAGCUGCAGUUCAUACAUUGGAUGAUCAGAAUGUUAUUAAUCUUCUAGUUACUACUUAUAACCCCUCUAUAUAUCUGCCCGUUCAAAAUUGAACAAUUAAUCUUGUAUUUCUGUUUUCUAGCCUUGGUUUUCUUUUAUCGUCUACACAAUUCCUAGGAUAUUAAAAUGAUAAAACAUUGAAACGCUCAUGGGUGAAAUUUUGACAUUUAAACGUUUAAACAAAGUUUAAACGUAGUUUAAACAACAUAGGAAAAAUACCAAUAUAUCAUAAUUUCAGACAAUUCUCCUACGCGUUCGAUAAAAAAAAUAAUUUCAAACAAUAACAUGAAGUUAAAUACCAAAAUCGAGAAGUUAGUGGUUUACCAAAACUUCACCUAUGAGCCAGGUUGGACCCCAAAAGUAACUAAUAGACUAGGCCCAAAAGUAGCUAAUGGUCUAAAACACAUGAAACACUGUGUUUUACGGUCUAGAACGCCAAAACGCGGUUUCAACCUCUAAUUAGAAUUUUGACGUUUAAAUGUAGUUUUAUGAAAUAACACUGCACAAUUCUAUGCAGUCAAAUGCAUCUUCCGGCAUGGGAGUUGCUCCUAACAUUAGGGAGACGUUUGUCGAGCUCCAAAUGAAGAAGGCAUUCCGAUAUGUUAUCUUCAAAAUCGAAGAAAAGCAAAAGCAGGUAGUUGUGGAGAAGAUGGGGCGACUACUGAAAGCUAUGAUGAUUUUCUGGCCUCUCUGCCGGAGAAUGACUGCCGAUAUGCGCUAUAUGAUUUUGAUUUUAUUACUAGGGAGAAUGUGCAGAAAAGUAAGAUUUUCUUCAUUGCCUGGUAAGUUUCAGAAUCAUAUAUGCACACAUCUUUAUUUUGUUUCAUACAUGUUUAGCAGUUUCGUUAAGCUGUAAAGCCAAUGCCAAUGAAACUAGACUAGAAUACUAGAUCCAUAGAAAUAGCUGAAGAUGUGAACUGUUCAUGAGUUAGUCAUUUGAGGAUCUGAAAAAAGCUUAAAAUGCACCAAUCACAGUAAACUUAACAUACUAGUUGUUUAAGUACUUAAUCUUUUAAAGUGUUAUUAACUCAGUAUUGAACUGUAAAGUUGGAUUGGAUAUUGUGAUGUGAUCUUGCUAUGAUAGCACUUGCCACCUCUACAUUAUAGUGAUUGCUGGUAACCCAUACUAGUUAGCAUUUUAGUAGUUCAGACCAAAAGGAUUAACAAUGCAUGUGGCGCAAUAGUUAAUAUUCUUGGCAAUAAUUGUUAAUCUAUUAUGUAGAUUCUGAUGUUGUCUUUUUGGACUGCACUAUAUGUAUCCCUGUGGUGCCUCAUAUUCUUUCAUGCUCAAUGCAUCCGCUCUGGCCUUCAUGCUGGUUUCACUUCACCAAACCUUUUACCUAAUCCACCGUUACCCCAGGUCCCCGUCUGUUGGGGACUUGUUCUCAAAUGCUAUGAAUUAAGAACAAGGCAACACAAAAUGUUAAAGGUUAAUGCCCUUCGUCCUUUGAAGCAUUACCUCCCUUAUGAUAUAAUGAUCUUCAAACGAAGGUCGUGAAGGUCAUACCUUCACCAUUGCAGUGUAUAAUAAUGAAAGAAUAAUCAUAUGAAACAUAAGAGAUAACAUGAAUAAUUAUACAACAUCUUUAAUAUGUCUUUAUUAAAUCAUCAUAAACGAAUAUAAACAAUAUUGGAUUACAUUUGUACCUUCGGCUGGACAGAAGACGAAAGUCCAAGCGUGACGCACGAAUGAGUACAAGUCAGCGUGAAUAGUACAGGGGUACUGUUCAUCUAUUUAUAGGCACAGGGUGCAGCCUGUGUAAAAUUACAUUCAUGCCCUUUAUGUUUACUAUUGACCUAAUGACAAUCCAACAAGGACUAGAUAGCCUUUUCCCCUUUAAGUCGGUUCCCUUUUCUGUCGUUGAGCCGAAGCUUCCUUGUGCAUAGCUUUAGAACUGGUUCAACCUUCGUCCUGACCCUGCUUUUCAUAUUGUGUACAACUUUAUCCCGAGUCCGAAGGUUCCUGUACAUAUAUUACACUUGGGAAACAUUGGUAGUCAUGUUUUUGAGGACCUUCAGAAGACGAAGGCCCCCAACAGUAGCCCCUCGCAGUAUUAAUUUGUUAUAACAACGAAUUCAGACUGCGACAUGAACGAAGGCCUUAAGCCGAAGGUCCGAAAAAACACCUUCCCUUUGCUAGAAUAGCAAUACUCAAUGACAGACAGGGCCCACCAAGUUGCAACACACUAGGCGUAUAAAUAUAAACCAUAGCGGCAGCAUUUGAUACGCCAUUUCCACUAUUUUCUCAAACUUUUUAGCUCUUGCUCACUAGCUCUCGCCUGAUUUUCAAGCUUUUCGAGCUUUGUUUUAAGGACGUGUUUUCACCAUGUCUGGGGAGAUGAUGAGUGAGGAAAAGAAAAUGACUGCGGAAACGAAGGUAACUGAGGAGACGAAGUUGUUUGAAGAAAAGAGAAAUGUGGAUCCUUUUAUCGCCGGGUUUGUUGAGUCUAUGUCAAAAAUAAACACAGAGAAGAUUACUAAAGAGAUUCUAGAAGGUUUGUCCGAAGAUACUGAUGAUAGUGAUAGUUAUGACGUGGAGAGUGGAGACAAAGAUUCUGAAGAUCGGCCCUGGCGACCAAGCCAUACUGUCUUCGGAAAAUCAACUAUUAAACAGAGUCAUCUUGACAACAUGAGAGGAAGGUACUUUCGAGACAUGUGUAUCGUGAGAGAUGGCGGAGACAACACCGCCCCUGCCCCUGAGGAAAAUGAAGUUGUUAUCUUCCGAAGCUUUUUUAAGGCUGGUCUCCGGUUUCCUUUGAGCAAGUUUGUAGUUGAAGUGCUGAAUAUCUACCAGAUCUUCCUUCAUCAGAUCACCCCCGAAGCUAUAAUGAGGAUGGGGAUUUUUGUCUGGGCUGUAAGGAGUCAGGGGCUAGAGCCAAGCGCGAAGUGCUUCUGCAGUAUGCACGAGCUUUUAUAUGAGACGAAUGCUACUGGCAAAGAACAGUACCACAACAACUUUGGUUGUUAUGGAUUUAUUGCUCGCCCCAACGCAAGCCACCCAGUGCCAACAUUUUGGAAGAGAUGGCCCGGAGCCUGGAUGGAGGAGUGGUUUUAUGUGAAGAAUGAUUUAAAGGCAAGAGAAGAUAUUAAAGAAAUCAUCCAGCACCCUAUCUGGUGCCACUUCGGUCUUCGAAGGUCGAAGGUGGAAAUUGAUGGCAAUGUCGAAGCAUGUCAGAGGGCUUUCAGCACUGUGGGUGCCUUCAUUGGCACAAGGGAUUUAAUUCAAGAGCAUAUAUCCUUCAGGGUAUGGCCACUUGUGGAGAGCUGGGAUAUGCCGAAGGAGACCACCACCGACUCUGGUGAGGGUGGUCUGGUCUGACUGAAGUAUACCUUCAGAUUUAGGGAGAAGUUUGAUGAGCCGAACGACGACUGGCUGAAGUGCAUCGAAGCUACCAGUGAUGAGCUGCUUGGAGCAUACUCUAAGGCCGAAGAUAAUGCUCUAUCCGCAGCCUUUGGAGGUCGAGGCAAGAAAAGAUUAAAUAGCGUAUUUGAUGCUAUUGGCUUCGUAUACCCUGAUUACCGCUACCCGCUGCGAGGGCAAGUGAAAAAGAGGAAGAUUGCUGCUUCGGUCACCCCAGCAGAGCCUGUGCCGAAGAGCAAAAAGGUGAAGGUUCUGACCCACCGACCAUGUUAUAUUGAACCGGCCGUAGUUCCUGAAUUUGGCGCAGGGUCCUCCUCAGCAGCCGAAGCAACACAAACUGCUCUGAUUGCACAAAGCGCUGAAGAGGCGACCGUAGUGCCGAAGGUACCCAUAGCCGAGCCAGUCGAGGCUAAGGUUGAUAAGGCUGAAGAGCCAAAAGUUGAAGAAAUAAUAAAAGUGCCAAAAAUUCUGAGCCCUCCGACAGAGACAAAACUGACGAAGGUGCAAAAGGCUUCUACCGCAACUCCCAAGAGGAGGAGGAUGACUAACGUGCUGGAUGCUGUGCUGGAGACUACAAAGGCCUUGAGCCCUACUCCUACAAAGAAAAUUGCUAAAGCUGCCAAAGCACAAGCUAAAGCCGAAACUGGACAAGUAGAAGUCGAAGCUAUGAAAAUUCAGGAUGAAGCCGAAGCUGGGCCUCCAGCCCCCGUCGCGGCGAAGCCUGCCGCGCCUGAGGAAAAAAACAGCAGGGCAAGAUAUUGCAGAAAGGGCAAGAUCUCCUGCCUCCGAAGCGCAGGCCGAAGCUGCUGAUUACAUUUAUCGACAUGCUUCGGGGAAGAAAUUGUCCGAAGAUGAAAUUGCGGAAGCAAGGCAUUAUGCUCAAAAGCUGAAAUAUUCGAAAGGAGCCUUAGUAUUUAACAGAAGUAAUGAAGAUGAUUUCCUGUACUGUCUCCCGGACAAUAAAGAAAUAUUCGUUUGUCGGGAGAUAGGUAAGAGCAUGGGAUUCCCGAAGCUAGAAGAUGGUCUUUCGAUUUUGUCGAAUGAUGAUCUUGCUGACAGCCUAGCAUACAACAGUAUAAAGGUAUAGAAGUUAGCUUUGAAUUUGAGAAUGACGUAUUUUAUUUGUCAUGCUCAAUUCUUUCUUGACUUUUGUUACAGGGCUUGAUUCUUAGUAAUGCCCUGAGGGCACAGAAGAAUAUUGAAGACGAAGGUUAUACAAUGGCUCUGAAUAACCUUCGUUCAGAUGUGAUUGAAUUGAGAAACAAAGGUCUUGAAAAAGACAAAAUCUUAAUUUCAUUGGCAAACAAAGUGAAGGAAGACAAAGCUAGUUUCAAAGCUCAGGCCGAAGCCCAAAAGACUAAAAUUGAAGACCUUCAGAGACAACUGGCCGAAGCUAAGGAAAACUGCGCACUCGCACAAGCUAACCAAGAAAUUAGCGAAUAUUGGAAAAAUCAUCUAGAGAAAAAUGUUGAAGAACUUCGCACAUCCAAGGAAAGGUUCUUUGAAAAAUCCUUGGAUUGCGUGAAGAAAAUAAAAGCUAGCUUCGCCAAAGUGGGUGCCUACUCUGCUGAAGAAAACUUCAUACGAGGUGACCUCGAAGGCGUUGUUGAAUGGAUAAGCGGAGAAGCCGAGACCUUCGAAGAAAUUUUGAGUGAUCGCGGGGAUGUUUGUGCGUUUUCUGGUGCAUGGGGAAUUUCAGCCAUCUUGGAGAAGGCGGGAUGUGAUCAUAUUAAAGCCGUAUCCCAGGCCAAAGCUGCCUUCUGCGUAGAUGAUACGAAGGAUCCUUCAGCUGAGGCAACCUUGAUGGGCAGGAAAUUUUACAAUGAUGUCUGGGUGAAUGGUGGCCGAGAGAUGGCCCAUGAAAUUAUAAAGAAAAGUGAAAAAGACACCCAUGACGCCCGAGCAGAAGCAAGACGAGCUGAAGAAGCUACAGAGCGCGAAAAGCGUAUAGGUAUUAUUUUUUGGUUUUUAGCUUUGGCAUUUAUUUUUGUGGCUGCGGACUGAUUAUUUUUUCGUACUUCAGCUGAACUAUCUCCGCCGCCGGAACCGUUCGAUCCCUUAGCUGAUCCAGAAAUGAAGGAAGUGCUGUACAUCAUAAACAUGGCUGAAUCUAUUGUCGACGAAGUCGUCAACAAAUUGCUGAACGAAGUUGCAGAGAAAGUCCUUAAAGAGGAAUAGAUUUGAUUGUAAUAAACAUUCUGAAAAACUUGAUGUAUAUAACAAAUGAAGGAAGAUUAGUUUUCUACUGUAACAAAACUUUGUUAUAUUUGGAGUGUGUAAUGUUGAAUUGAAUAUGUAAAUUACUGCAAUUUAUUUCUUUGUGAUGUAUGAAUAUUACACACAUACCGUUUUUGAGCUUCGGCGAAAAAACACCUUCCCUUCUUUUCAUGCUUCAUAAAGAAAAAGAUCCAUUAUUCGUAAAGAAAGAUAUCCAUGCUUUGUAAAGAGAGAUCCCUUCUUGUGACAAGGCUGAUAAAACUGUAUUUCCCGAAACUUACUUCGUGCCUUAUCACCUUUUUAUUUUGACGAAGCAUUUGCCGAAGAUCAGCUUCGUAUUCAAUUCUCGUGUCAUUGAUGCAAUAUGAUGUGAUGUUAUGCGAAAUGAUGUGAUGAUAUGAUGCAAAAUGAUGAGGAUGUCGAAGACACACACCCACAGGCCCACACUGGAACACACAAGCUCUGCAUCCCCUUAGGAACGAUUUUUGAGCUUCUUCACCUUCUAUUUCGGUGAUAUAAGUUCUGCAUCCCGUUAGGAAUGACUUUUGAACUUCUUCGCCUUAUAUUUCGGCGGUAUAAGUUCUGCAUCCCCUUAGGAACGACUUUUGAACUUCUUCGCCUUAUAUUUCGGCAGUAUUUGGCUCUGCAUUCCCUUUGAAACGAGUUUUGAGCAGAAAACUUACGCUGCGGUCCCUUAGGAGUGACUUUUUGUAGCUUCGGCAAAUUAGACUCUGCAUUCCCUUAGGAACGACUUUUGAGCUUAAAACUUACGCUGCGCUCCCUUAGGAACGACUUUUUUGUAGCUUCGGUAAAUCUAGCUCUGCAUUCCCUUAGGAACGACUUUUGAGCUUCGUAAAUCUGUGAAGAAGAUGCAUUUCAUUCUGAUAGAAGCAAAAUCAUUACAAUAAAUUAAGACUAAAUUUACAUUGCUUGUUCCUUAUUAAAAAGCAAAAUGGCAUAGAACAUAAAAUUCAGAAGCAGGAUAUCGCUCAGUAUAUGUGCUUCGAUUCUGGUACAGUACUAUUGACUGUAUGAGCUUCGGAUUCCUCCCUAAAUUCACGUUGUUGUUGGGAGUGCUGGCGCCCUUCUGGCUGCUGGCUUCGGGAAUAAGUAGGUUGCAGUAGUGGUGGCGGUGGGAGUUGAGGCCAAGAAGCCUGUGAAUGGCUUGCCGAAGCAACAGAAGCUACAGGUUGGUUGCCCACAUAUUCUGGUAUGUAGGGAGAGUGGCACGAAGCAGUAUGUAGGACUUGCUUCGGCUGAUUCUGCCGAGCUUCUGCUUCGGCAAUCUCUUUUUGCUUCAGAAUAGUGAUCUGGCAGGUUCUUGUAGUGUGGCCUUUGUCCUCACCACAGAAUAAGCAAUAAAUUUUUCUGGGCUGAUCCCCAUAUCUUCCUCCGAAGCCCCUGCUGCCUCUGUCCCUUGGAGCUGGUGGCCUGAAGGAGCUUUGCUGCUGUCCCGAAAACUGUGAGGUGUGAUGUGGCCUCUGAAGCUGGCUUCCUUUGUCAUCAUUCUGACUGGAGUUGUGGAUUGAUCUGACAUGCCUAGGGUGGACUCUUCCUCCGAAGCCCCUAGUCAUCUUAGAGAAUCUGUAAGCUUCCUCCCUUCUUUGGCGGAAGUCGUUGUCAGCUCGGAUGUACUCAUCCAUUUUUUGAAGCAGCUUCUCUAGACUCUGGGGGGCUUCCUGGCAAAGUAUUGGGUCAUAGGUCCUAGCCGAAGACCCUUGGUCAUGGCCUCAAUGACAAUUUCAUUGGGCACUGUGGGCGCUUGUGCUCUCAGUCGCAAGAACCUUCGGACAUACGCCUGAAGGUAUUCCUCAUGGUCUUGUGUACACUGGAAGAAGGCCUGAGCUAUGACUGGCUUCGUCUGAAAGCCCUGAAAACUGGUAACCAGCAUGUCCUUGAGCUUUUUCCAUGACGUGAUUGUCCCUGGUCGAAGAGAAGAGUACCAUGUCUGGGCCACGUUUCUGACUGCCAUGACGAAGGACUUUGCCAUGACAGCUGCAUUGCCUCCAUAUGAGGAUAUUGUUGCCUCAUAGCUCAUCAAGAAUUGCUUUGGGUCCGAGUGCCCAUCAUACAUGGGUAGCUGAAGUGGCUUUGUAAGAUUGUGGCCAUGGGAUAGCUUGCAAUUCUGCUGCCAGGGGAGAAGCAUUAUCAAAAGUAAAGCUACCAAGGUUGAAAUCAUCGUACCAUUCAUCUUCAUUGAACGAGCCCUCCUGUCGAAGCUCCCGGUAUUGGGGCCUUUGGUCGUGAUCAUCUUGAGUAAGAUGACGCACUUCCUCAGUAGCUUCGUCUUUUCUGAAGGUCGGCCAGCCGAGCCAUCUUCUCCUUUUUCCUUUGCACCUGCUGGUUAAUGAUUUCGAGGUCCCUGAUCUGCUGGUCCAACUCCUCCUCCUGAAGUGUUGGACUGGUGGCUUUUCUCUUUUGGCUUCUGGCUUCUCGGAGAGAGAGAGAGUAUCCUGGUUUGUGUCCAGUGGUUGCAGUGUAGCCCCUGGCGCUGUUGUCUUCUUCGGCGGCAUGACAAAGGUUGAUGCUUUGCCGAAGAUUGUGGAAGUGAGUACACCGGAGGUGGGCGCCAAUGUUGGGGACUUGUUCUCAAAUGCUAUGAAUUAAGAACAAGGCAACACAAAAUGUUAAAGGUUAAUUCCCUUCGUCCUUCGAAGCAUUACCUCCCUUAGGAUAUAAUGAUCUUCAGACGAAGGUCGUGAAGGUCAUACCUUCACCAUUGCAGUGUAUAAUAAUGAAAGAAGAAGCAUAUGAAACGUAAGAGAUAACAUGAAUAAUUAUACAACAUCUUUAAUAUGUCUUUAUUAAAUCAUCAUAAAUGAAUAUAAACAAUAUUGGAUUACAUUUGUACCUUCGGUUGGACAGAAGGCGAAAGUCCAAGCGUGACGCACGAAUGAGUACAAGUCAGCGUGAACAGUACGGGAGUACUGUUCAUCUAUUUAUAGGCACAGGGCGCAGCCUGUGUAAAAUUACAUUCAUGCCCUUUAUGUUUACUAUUGGCCUAAUGACAAUCCAACAAGGACUAGAUAGCCUUUUCCCCUUUAAGUGAGUUCCCUUUUCUGUCGUUGAGCCGAAGCUUCCUUGCGCAUAGCUUCGGAACUGGUUCAACCUUCGUCCUGACCCUGCUUUUCAUAUUGUGUACAGCUUUAUCCCGAGUCCGAAGGUUCCUAUACAUAUAUUACACUUGGGAAACAUUGUUAGUCAUGUUUUUGAGGACCUUCGGAAGACGAAGGCCCCCAACACCGUCGACAUCCCACAUCCGUGCUAAGAUGUUGUACUCGACCUCGAAGGACCGUAUCAAGUAUGAGCUCGACAGGUUCCACUACGAGAUCCAGGCGACCGACCCAUCCGAGGUGGACAUUGAGGUUCUGUGGGAGCGGGCUCACUGAAGUUGGUUCGCCUUUGAAGAAGAAGGGACCUAUCUAUGGAGGGUCGUGAACCUUUUGGUCAGAUGCAAAUCCUAUUACCAAUGAUGAAAGCUCCCACCUUGGUAUUUAUUAUUAAGUUCCUGUAAGCAUGUCGUUUACGCGCGACACGUGACUCUAGCUAGUGAAGCGUUAUCAAAGCUGUAUCUGUAUGAGCUUUGGUUGUCGAGCCUAUAAACGAAGCAAGGUUUGCGAACUUGUUAUAUUGUGGUAUUGAUGGUACUGGAUUACUGGUUGUGGGUUGCUGGGAAUGCCUCUAUUGGUCUGGUAUGUGGGCGUGGUUGUGGUUCGACCGGAAAUGGGCCCUGUUGGUUUGGACGUCCGAAUCUGUGGAUAGACUGGUGUUAAUCAAACGAAUGCUAUUGUGAUGCUGGAGACUGGUUUGGAGUAAGCUUUGUCCGUUGUUGUCGUGUUGGGAACUUUAGGUUCUCAUAUUUUCCAACUAUAUGGAUCUGUAUCUAUCGUUAUAUAAGCUAUGACUAUGGUUAGUCUUUAUAGACUAGCGCUUUAGUGCAUAGUUUAGUUAUCUCAAUGUUACGUUAGCUUUUUAACAAACUUUUAGGUAGCAUAAAAAUAAGUUAUUUUAUUAAAACAAAAGUAUAUCUGAUUACAUAAACAAAUAACAUUACAUAAUUUGUAAAGCAUAAAUUAAAAUGAUAUAAUUUAGUAAACUAAAAGGUUAUAUUAUUUAUAAAUAAAACCUAAUUGUGUAGAUUGUAUAUAUGCUUUAUUAAAUAAUUUUGAAGCUCCUCAUGGACAAGAUCAGUAUGGAUUAUGGCUUCAUGUUAAAUGAUGGUUGCAUAGUUCAGUUCAUGGAUGCUUCAGAGUGAUGAUUGAUAAUGCAGUAGAGGACUUGAAUAUCCCAUUGUCAUCCACAUCGGAUGAUCUUCUAUACUCAUACUCAAUGAUUAUGUUGUGUUGAACAAUACAUGAACAUAUGGUCAUACUGAAUAUUCACUGGGAAAAAGAACAACUUAGGCUAGCCGGAAUAUAGAGGCUAGCCUUAGCUCUUCUAAAAUACAACAAAUACAUGUCGUUUUAGAGUCUAUGAGAGAGAACUAGUCUGCACCGGUCACUGGGAGUAGAUGCCAUCGACAAGGUUGUACUCUUAGUUAACCUCAUGUCCAUUCAUCGUGAAGUCUAGUUUGGUGCUUCUCCCUUAAGCACGUCAGAACAACGACAAUUGGUUGUGCACUUUGACAUCAUUGAUCGGCCUCGCUACCCAAAAGGGAAUGUCAAAUUAAGUCAUACAUAAGAGUAUUGAACAUGCUCUUUCCUCUAGGAUAUAAAUCAUUUAACACACCUUCCAAACUUCUAUAGCUUGAUCACCAAGAAGAAAACCUUAGAGUAUGGUUGAUGACAUUAGGCUCAUCAUUAAAAAUAGUCUCGAACGUCUAUUUUCUUUUAUUUAUGAGAUAAUGCAUUUUUAUAGAAAUUAGUAGCCAAGGCCCCUCUUGUCUGAACAAAACAAAUAGUAAGAAUAGACACGUUUGUAGUACUUUUGACAACAAAUACAACAACACAUCUAACGUUGAUUAACUAUAAGGGGUGUUUGGUUUGAGAAAUCACUUCAUCCAAGAUAAGGUGAUGCAUCAUGAGUCUAUUCAUCAAAUUUAAUAGAAUGAUCUCAUUCUUAUAUUAGUACUAACUAUGAGAAAUAAGGUGAUGAUGAAUCAACUCAUUCCAUUCCACGAACCAAACAAAAAAAGUGAUGAGUGAAAAGAUGAUGGAAUAACUCAUUCCUCGAACCAAUCACCCUAUAAGUAUCUAACAAUAUUGUUUGUCAGAGUAUAAAUCCCAAAGCGACCAAUUGUUUGGAAACAUACGCUAGUAUUUUGGAUCAGGUGGUGGACAGGUGGACUACAUGACACUAUACUAACAAAAAAGAGCUGCACAUAAAUUAGGGAACUAGUCUGGCAAACCUCUGCUGUCCUAGUACUAGUACUGGUAGUAGAAUCGUAUAGGAGUAUUUGUAUGAGCUGUGUUUAAGCACAAAAAACUGCUUUGGCUAGCGGAUACCGUCACUUUGGACGCAGCAAAUAAUGAGGCGGUUUUAUAUGGCAAAGAUGAAAUGGUGUAGAAGUCUAGAAGAUGAGUCAUUAAGGAAUCAGGGUUACUAGCUCGUUAUUACGCGUGUGAAUUGUGCAUUUGCAAUCCCUUUCGAAAUCGAAAGAGGGCAAAUGUGUGAGUUCUUUGCGGAACCAUAAUCUCAACCAGAUGGUGUAACAUGCUACCACGAAUGACGAGGUCAGAAGUAUACAACGGGGCAGGGCAUUCGUCACUCGACUGUUGCCUCCAGGUACAGACUCCAGCCAUGCCAGGCCAUCUCUUGCCAACGGCAACGGUCACUUGCCAACGGCAACGGUUGCCAGGCCCUCCCUCUAGGACACUAGUGCCAACGGCAACGGUCACUUGCCGCUACGCUGUCAGACAGUAGCCAGCACACUACACAAGCUUCUUCUCUUGCAGGCUCCAGCUGCAGCCCAGCCGGCCUCCUUCGCUAGGAUUCUUUUGCAGCUUCCAUUGUCUCCCCGGCUAUUUAACCCACCCACCCCCGCUUCAUCUCCCAUGUCCCAAAGCAAAGCAAAGCAAAGCAAAGCUUCAAAGCAUCUCUGCUGGGAUUUUAGCAAGCGGCAACGACGAGCGACCCAAAAAAGCAAUCAAUAGUCACCAUAUCUGCUCCUCUCACUCCACACCCCCUGCUCUGCGAAUUGAGGCAGGACAGGAGGCAGAGACGGGCAAUGGGGUUCGUGCUGGUGGUCUCUCUGCCCUUCAUCUUCCUCUCCAUCCUCCUCGGCUUCGGCUGCUACUUCCUCGGCAAGCACAGGGGCCGGGAGGAGAUGCAGACCGGCGUCGGCGCGCAGAUCUACAGCACGCCGCUACCGCCGCCCAGUGUCGUCGGAGCCUCCUCGCCGCCGCCUCAGCCGUUCCAUAGCAAGAAAGAAGUGUACGAGUGUGAUACCCGGUUUGCAAAGAAGGGAAGUUGGAGGUUAUUCUUUUUGUUUUUUUUCUCAUUCGGUUGAUGCAUUUUGGUAAUUUGGAAUUUGGGGAAAAUCAUUCACCAGUAGGACAGUAGAAUUUGUUUGGUUGAGCGCUUGCGACGGGGUCGGGAGCUGUCACGUGGGCGAGUUGGGCCGCGAUUCGUGUUUCGGCCCACUAACCUUCCCUAACCCUAGCCGCCCCUUUUCCCCUAACCCCCCCACCCCUUGUGCAGCCGCCCCCUCAUUCUCCUCACCUUUGGCCGCCGCCGCCCCCCUCUCAUCUUCUCCUUUCCAAACUCUUGCAGCCGACGGGGUCGGGAGCUGUCGCGUGGGCGAGUUGGGCCGAGAUUCGUGUUUCAGCCCACUAACCUUCCCUAACCCUAGCCGCCCCUUUUCCCCUAACCCCCCACCCCUUGUGCAGCCGCCCCCCCUCUUUCUCCCCACCUUUGGACGCCCCCCCCCCAUCUCCUCCUCCCAAGGUGCUUUUCGUUGCCGCUCGGACCUACGUCGCAUGGAGCAAAUCUUCGAUUGUUUUCGGUGGAGGGAAGAAGGGAGGAAGGAAAGGGGGAGAACUCAAGGUGAUUUUUUGUGUUUAUCUCUUGUUCAUUUGUGCUGCAAUCCAAUUGAUUAGAUGUGGCGUAUGCGAUUGGGUAGAGGGGCUGUCCAGAAUUUUAGGUGGCGGACAAACAUCAGUAAUUCUAGCAGUUUUUGGGUUUUUUCGUGGGGAGUCAAUGGGAAUCAGUUUGGGAAUCAUGUAGAAUUUUGGCAUACCUUUCCAAUGAGUAUUUAUGCGCUCAAUUCGGAGUUAUAAAUUAAAAGGUAUCGCCAUUUGAAUCCGGGUAUGUGGCUGUCAAAAAAACAGAUUUUUCAGGUGGACGAACAGCAGCAGUGUUAGCAGUUUCUGGGGAUGUUUCGUGAGUAAUUAGUGUUAAUCAUUAUGAGAAUCAUGUAGGGCUUUAUCUUACCUUUCCAACAAGUACUUAUGCGCUCGAUUCGGAAUUAUAUUUUAAAAGUUAUCGCUGUUUGAAUCCGGGUAUGUCGCUGCCCAAAAGAGGAAAAAACAGAUUGCUGGGUUUAUCUUGUGGACCGUUUAGGGGUAAUUAGAUGUUAGAAUUUAAUCAUAAAUUGUAUACAAAACUUGUGGGGAAUUUUAUGUAGUUGUUGCUGGAGUUUUUUUUUUGUCACCACUGCUGCCUUAAUUUGAAAGUUAUGGAAUCGUUAAGCAGCGUCGCUGCAGUUUGGUGGGUGUGGGGAGAAUUGUUACCCGCGGCGAGGUUUGAGAUUGCGCGUAGGUGCGGCGUUGUUUUUGGGCUUAUUAUGUGAUAUUGGUGCACUAAGUUGGGUGUCAAAAACAGGUGGUGGACUUCCGGAUCGUACUUAGGGAUUUGCCCAAACUUCCGGUAAAGUCAAGUAAAACAGUGAUGAUUAUUCUAUCUGUCGAAUGAAGAGUCUUACACUUGAUUAUGUUCUGCUGUUGUGUUCGUAUUCAUACUUUUAAUUGAGUACCAUCGUUGGAAGAUAUUCAUGUUUUACUGAUACAUAUGUUGAGUAUGUGGUUUGAUCAUGUUACCCAUGUGGUUUAUUAUGUGGAAUAAGUGGAAGUAUAUGUCUAGCACAUUCUGUUUGGGAAGAACUCAUGUUGUUGACUUGCAUAAUGCAUUCAUCAUCCAUUGCAUUGAAGUUUCGUCGCGAUCUUAUGGUCCGACCAUACCGGUACAUUGAGCAUCCUAUGUUGUCCGAGAAGGGGUAUGAUGCAGCUUCAUAUCCUUAGAGCUAUGGAGGCAGAAGUCAUUAUUGCAUCUGUAGCCAUGUGCAUUCAUGGGAGAGGUGUGGAAUCUAUUAUGUGGAUGUGGAUAAUCUGGAUUUUUACAUGGUGAUUCUUCUUGGCGUUAAGUACUUAAUGUCACUAUUGGGCCAUGCACGGGGGUGCCUCGAGUCGCUGCACUGGUGCAGAGGUGGUCGCUGUCGCCGGCGAUCCGUCGAUGUAGAGGUGGUCGCCGCCGCUGGUGAGGCUGCCCGGAGCCAGCUUCUAGCGCGACUCCUGCUGGUGCAGCGUAGUCCAUUCCUACAUAAAUGGAGCUAGGGCCCCGCUUGUAAGGGAACAUAUGUUUGCUUGAAAGCAGAAUGUAAUAACAUAUGUACGUAGGAUUUUAGCUUGGGAAGCCAAGUUGUGUGUCCAGACCCCCUGGAUGGUGGCUUCAAGUACUAAGACGCCUGCCGCAGGGUGGUGGAGUGUGCAGGCUCAUGGUACGGGACCAGGCUGAGCGGCUACACGGUUUCCAGACCCCCCCAGGGGACAAGUGCCCGUUCUUCAAAGGCGGACCUCCAGGUUGUUGGACGCACAGGACUAUAGUUCCAAAUACUAGGGCACCCGUCAUGGAGUGGUGGAGUGUGCAGGGUUUGGGUACGGAACCAGGCUAACUGGCCACAUAGGCUCCGGACCACCCUAGGGAACGGGUAACCGUUUUUAGCACCGGCCCCAGGCUUUUUCCUGUUUUUGCAAGGUACUACUGAGUACUAUUUUUUAAGCAGUAUUUAAAACUUAUCUAUGUAUCGCUCAUUCCUGUUGUGUGUGAUAUUGUUGACUCCUCCCUGGUACUUGGCCCCCUGCUUGGGAUGUAGGCUUAACUUGUUAAGGUUGGAUACCAGCGCAUCUGAAAAGAUUGUCAACAACCCUUGGGAGCCAAACUCGCCGGGAUCUGGAUCUGUACACAACUUUGAGCUAGGAAGCAUUAGUAGUACACCUCAUAGGGUUCCCCAUCUGACAUUAGUCGUCCUUUGAUACAUGCUCGGGACUCGCAGGUUUUAGUCCGGGUGGCCAAGUUGCGUGUCCGGACCUCCUUGGGUCGCGGUUUUAGAUACUAGGACACUUGUCGUAGGGCGGUGGAGCGUGCAGGCCCACGGUACGGGACCAGGCUGAGCGGCUGCACGGGCUCCGGACCACCCCAGGGGACUAAUGUCCAUUCUCUAGUUCCAGUCCCAAGGUUGUCGGACCCGCAGGACUUAUAGCUCCAGAUACUAAGUUCCCAUCACGAAGUGGCAGAGCAUGCAGGCCCACGGUACGGGACCAGGCUGAGCGGCUACACGGGCUCUGGGCCACCCCAUGGAACGGGGUCCGGUUCUCUAGGGCCGACCCCCAGGCUGUCGGACCUCCCUACUUUCGUAUCAGGAGCCCUAAACUGCAAGCCUGGCUGCUCAAUUCGGAUGUCAUCAUGUCAGACAGGUGGAAACUGUAUGGGUGGGUUAGCUAAAAAGUACUAUCUGAAAGACAGUAAGGUAGGACCAUGGAGCAGCAAAAUGGAACUAUCACAAGAGCACAACUGAGGGGGUAGUUUCUCUUUAUAACUUCGUCGUGCAUGUGUGCAGACCAAUAGGCCGGGUUUACAGGGACAGACCCCACCAGGUUGUCUUAUACGUAUGCAUUACCUAGUUACAAAAAAUAGAUUCGACCCCUCAACCUUGCUUUAUGGAUAGAACUUAUAGAGAUGUUUCGGCAUCGGGGUAAGGUACUCUUCCGAUCAUAGCUAGAUGGUUGCCCCUGGGUCAGUGUAUUCCUGUUACCUUGAAGGGUCCUUCCCAGCUAGGGGAGAGUUACGGAGCCCUUCUUGGUUUGGUACUUGCCGUAGGGCUAGGUCCCGACCCUGGGCCCCCACCUGCACUUAACACGGGAGCCCUUAUCUUUAGUCGUGGUCACUUCCGUGUGUACCUGUUAGCUGCCUGGACCCGUGGGGGAAUCCAGAAGGGUUUCCAGAGGAAGGCAUGCUUCAGCUCCGUAGACUAGGGAGCUCGGGAUCCCCCUGGGGUCCAUGUAGUUGUCUUCACCAGAGUAAGAGCCUCCGGCGAAGACAUCUUUUAGGUCCCCUUUGGGCGAUUGAUACCCGAGGUCCCGCUCAACCGCGGCCACCUCGCCAUCGUCGACCUUUUCUUUGCCAGGUCGGCGACGAGGUGGGGAGCCGUCCUUGGGAGACUGCUCGCGCCGCUCACUGACACGCUUCGCGAGGUCAAUGAUCUCGCGACACUCCGUGGCGCUGUGGCGACCAUUGGGGUGCACAGGGCAUGAGCCGCUAUUACCCUUCUGUGGCCGUGGGCGUUUGUUGCGGUCGCCCUGGCCCCCGGUCGUGGCUGCGACCACUAGAGCGGUGGACCGCGGUCUCUGGUAGUCGUGGUCCUUCUUCUUUUUCUUCUUUCCGUCCCGGGGGACGGCGCCCGAGCCACCCGACUGGGCGGCUCCGGUUUGUGGAGCCAAGUGCCAUGCACGGCCCUCGGCGGCCUUGGCGCAUUUAUCGGCCAGAGCAAAGAGUGUGGGGACAGUUUCCACGUCGUGUGUGGCCAACUUCUCCAACAUUUUUUUCAUCACGUACUCCUUGUCGGAAGGUCGUGAUGAUGGAAGCAUCAGAAAUACAAGGUAUAGUACCUCGUACCUUGGUGAAGCGGGAGAUGAACUUUCGGAGGGUCUCCUAGGGCUCCUGCCUUACAGCAUGGAGGUGGGCCUCCACGCCGUGCUGCUGGUAAGCACUGGCAAAGUUUGCAACGAACCGCGCGUAGAGCUCCUCCCAGGAGCAGACUGGCCCUGGGGUAAGGUUCAUGAGCCAGGUCCGGGCAGGUCCAGACAAGGCCACAUGAAAGUAUGUUGCCAUCACAGCGGUCUUUCCACCUGAUGCCGUGAUGGCGGUGACAUACACCUGCAGGAACUCCCACGGGUUCGAUGUUUCGUCAUACUUUUCCGGCAGGUGCGGCCGGAACUUGGGUGGCCAUGACGCCACGCGGAGGUGAUCCGCAAGGGUGGCGCAACCCACACCGACCAAGGGGACACCCUUUUGGGACCAGGUGCCCAGUGCUGUUUGUGGUGCAACCACCGCGAAGUCCUGAUCGAGGUUGCGACCAUCUAUGUUUUGGCGGCGCUCGCGCGCCUUUUCCAAAGAUACCCGGGCAUCCUCUCCCGCACGCCUGCGGUUGAGUCUUGCCCGGAGGUCGUUGGUCUGUGCACCCCUUACUGAGGGCGAGCGCACAGAUGCUGACGCCUCGUGUUGGCGCAGGGAUGACCGAGUCCUCGACCUGGUCGAGGUAGAAUGUGCCAUACCGAGCAGUCGGUCGACGUCGUCCCACCAUUGCUUCAUGGCCCCUGAUGAGGCCGUGGAGCUUGGGGGUGUCGCAACAACUCCCUGGCUGCCGAUAACGCCCCUGGAGAAGCCCUUGAUGGAGUCCGGGACGUUUGCACAGCCAGAUGCUGCCGUGCGGCGUGCACUGUAGCAGUGCCUAGCACAAGGCGGUUGGGAACUUGCGGCGUGGAGGAAGCAUCCUCUUCCUCCACUGCGAAAUCCACCAAAGUCUCGGCACAGUGCUCGACGAUUUGCACCAUCAUGCUUGAGCAAGGAGACAAGCAAAAACCUAAAGCCUAGCCCCUACCUGGCGCGCCAAAUGUUGGAGAGCAAAUCUCCGGCCGGGUGGCGGAGUGCACCCGCCCUAGAUCCUAAGAUGAGGAGGGGCCUAAGUGUUUUGCUUGUUAGUUGGAAAAGUGGGAAGAACACAAGAACACACAAGGAUUUAGAGUGGUUUGGGCCGCCAUAGCGUAACACCCUACUCCACUGUGUGAUGUAUUGCUUGAGAGCUUAUAUGAACUUGUGAGUGUCUAAGUGAGCCUGAGCUUGAGCUUGUGUGUAACGUUGCAUGCCUCUCCUUUUAUAGCUGAAGGAGGGCAUGCACAAAGGUACUGGGCCCCGACAGGUGGGCAUAGAGACAUAAAGAAUAUAGCGCUUGGAGCCACAAAUCUUUGCUGCUGGGGCAAUCUUCUUGUGCCCUGACGCCCGAGAUCUCCGUAUCCUCGGCGUGCAGGGGAAGCUUCUUAUAGAAGGAUGAUGAGUACUGUGCGCCGCUCGGCACGGGCGCACUGUUUACCAACAGACUGGUGAGGCGCGCCGUCUGCUGGGUGACCCUGACGCCGUCUGCUGGCGGAUUGGACAAGACGUAUUAAAUGCUGAGAGGGUGCGUCAUCCGUCAGCGUCGUGGCAGGCAGCGCGUCCUCUCCGCAAUAAAUGCUAAGGCUGCACAACUGUAUGCGCCUUACAUUAGGCUCGGCCCGUUGGCUUACGUCAUAAGCCAUGCGGCUGCGACGGGUUUCCGCCUGAGCGGGGAGCGUAGGGCAAGGCCUGGACACGUGUCGGCACUGGACCCCUGCUCGUGCCGGGGUCCUCUCCGUCUCGGGACCUUGCUAAGGCCCGGACCUCACUCAAGGGGACCCGGCAUGUCUCCUCGGGAGCUCCGGACCCGUACUGACAGGGGUCCGGUGUUCCUCUGCGGAAGACCGGUCCCAAGAGUGCCUCCCGGGAUGUAUUAUCCUUCCUCGCCACGUGGUGCCCAUAGGCCUGCCCAUGUGGUGGGGUCGAGUGCCGCUCUCUGUGCGACCCAGAGGUGUCGUACGGGCGCAGCAUCUUCAUACUGUAGAAGAGGGUACCCCUGAUUCAGGGUACCGACAGUUGCCCACAGUGCCUCGGCAACAUUCUUUUCAGUGUGCAUCACAUCAAUGUUGUGUGGAAGGAGCAGGUCGUCAUAAUAGGGGAGCCGAGUCAAGCCAGACUUAUGUGUCCACAUAUGCUACUCACCAUAUCCCACAAAACCACCUUCUGUAUUGGCCACGAGCCCAUCUAUCUGUUGACGAAUUUCGGCACCAGUCAUCGUUGCAGGUGGGCGGUCUGUCACUACGACACUGAAAGGGAAAUAAGCUUACACCUUUUCCUAUAUGAAUUUUGGUGAUUGAAUUGCCCAACACAAAUAAUUGGACUAACUAGUUUGCUCUAGAUUAUAAGUUUUACAGGUGCCAAAGGUUCACAACAAACCAAUAAAAAGACCAAGAAAAGGGUUCAAAUAAAGAGAGCAAAAGAAACCCAAAGGCUGCCCUGGUCUGGCGCACCGGACUGUUCGGUGUGCCACCGGACAGUGUCCGGUGCACCAGGGAACCCAACUACGAACUUGCCACCUUCGGGAUUCUGGGAGCCGCUUCGCUAUAAUUCACCGGACUGUCCGGUGUAGCACCGGAUUGUCCGGUGUGCCAGCGGAGUAACGGCUACACAGCGCCAACGGUCGUCUGCAACGGAACAGUAAAAGUGAACAGUGCGUGCCUGCGUGCACAGAAGUCAGAGCAGCGCCAGAAGGCGCACCAGACAGUGAAUAGUGACUGUCCGGUGCACCACCGGACUGUCCGGUGCACCACCGGACUGUCCGGUGCACCACCAGACUGUUCGGUGCACCACCGGACUGUCCGGUGACCCACCUGUCAGAAGCUCCAACGGUCAGAACUAGAGAUGGCAAUGGGGACCCGAUCCCCGAUUCCCCGCGGGGAAUUCCUCAAUUAGGGGAUGGGGAUGGAGAAGUUUCUUCCCCCACGGGGAUGUAAAUGGAGAAAAGUUCUCCCCCGACGGGUAAACGGGGACGGGGAUGGGGAAGCAUUCCCCAUCCCCGUUUCCCGUGGGGACCCGUUAAAUUUACAUGUGACAAUGUUUUCAUGUAAUAGUUAAUGAUAAAAGUAAAGAAUUACCUUGUUAAGAGAUCACCCGUUGUACAAAUACAUUGAUUUUAAUGUGCACAUAAUGAAUUUUACAUCUAACAAUGUGUAUAAGUGACAAUAUUUUACAUUAAUAACAAAUGAAGUACAAUUUAAUUAUAAUUUAAGCGGGGAUGGGGAUCCUCGACGAGGAUUUAUCCCCGCGGGGAACGGGGAUGGGGAAGAAAUGUGCCCCACAAGCGUUCAUGGGGAUCCCCGCGGGGAAAUUUUUUUGUCGCGGGGACGGGUUUGGGGAGCUAAAACCCGACGGGGAAUUUCCCGUUGCCAUCCCUAGUCAGAACCCAACGGCCGGGUGACGUGGCUGGCGCACCGGACAGUGUCCGGUGGCGCACUGGACUGUCCGGUGCACCAUGCGACAGAAGCCCUCACCAACGGUCACUUUGGUGGUUGGGGCUAUAAAUACCCCCAACCACCCACCAUUCAUUGCAUCCAAGUUUUUAGCCACAAACCUCAUACAAGAGCUAUAGACUUCAUUCAAAGACACAACCAAAGAGAUCAAAUCCUCUCCCAAGUCCGGAAUCACUCCAAAGAAAUUAGUGACUAGAGAGAGAGACAUUUGUGUUCAUUUGAGCUCUUGUGCUUGGAUUGCUUUUCUUCUUCCUUCUUUCUUGUGUUCAACUCACUUGUAAUCAAAACAAGAGACACCAAGUUGUGGUGGUCCUUGUAGUGGACUUAGUGUCCCAUUUGAUUGAAGAGAAAGGCUCACUCGGUCUAAGUGACCGUUUGAGAGAGGGAAAGGGUUGAAAGAGACCCGGUCUUUGUGACCACCUCAACGGGGAGUAGGUUUGCAAGAACCGAACCUCGGUAAAACAAAUCACCGUGUCAUCCGCUCUUAUUCACUUGUGAUUUGUUUUUCACCCUCUCUCUCGGACUCGUUUAUAUUUCUAACGCUAACUCCGGCUUGUAGUGUGUGCUUAAGUUUGUAAAUUUUAGAUUUGCCUAUUCACCCCCCUCUAGGCGACUUUCAAUUGGUAUCUGAGCCGAUACUUCAUUAAGAGCCUAACCGCUCGAAGUGAUGUCGGGAGCUCACGCUAAGAAGGAAAUGGUGACCGACAAGAAGCCCGCCACAAGCCACGGGAAGGCUCUAUCGGGGGAGUCCGGCAAUAAGAAGAGGGAGGAAUCACCUCCCCGAGUAAAGUCGCACCGGAGUGGCGACAAGAAGAAGAAAAUGAAGAAAGUGGUCUACUACGAGACUGAUUCUUCGUCGCCCUCCACCUCCGGCUCCGACACGCCUUCUGUCACUUCUAAGCGCCAUGAGCGUAAGAAGUUUAGUAAGAUCCCCUUACACUAUCCUCGUAUUUCCAAACGCACCCCUUUACUUUCCGUCCCAUUAGGCAAACCACCGGUUUUUGACGGUGAAGAUUAUUGCAUGUGGAGUGAUAAAAUGAGUCACCAUCUAACCUCACUCCACGCUAGUAUUUGGGACAUUGUUGAGUUUGGUGCGCAGGAACCAUCCAUGGGGGAUGAAGGCUAUGACUCGGACGAGGUAACCCAAAUCUGGCACUUCAACUCCCAAGCCACUACUAUACUCCUCGCCUCUCUAAGUCGAGAGGAAUAUAAUAAGGUGCAAGGGUUGAAGAGUGCCAAAGAGAUUUGGGACGUGCUCAAGACCGCACACGAAGGAGAUAAGGUGACCAAGAUCACCAAGAGAGAAACGAUCGAGGGGGGGCUCGGUCGCUUCAUGCUUCAUUAAGGGGAGGAGCCACAAGCGAUGUACAACCGGCUCAAAACCUUGGUGAACCAAGUGCGCAACCUCAGGAGCACAAAGUGGGAUGACCAUGAAAUGGCCAAGGUUAUUCUAAGAUCACUUGUAUUUCUUAAUCCUACACAAGUUCAAUUAAUUCGUGGUGAUCCUAUAUACAAGCUAAUGUCUCCCGAGGAAGUUAUUGGAAAAUUUGUGAGCUUUGAAUUGAUGAUCAAAGGCUCCAAGAAAAUCAUCGAGCAAGGCGCCUCCUCCACACCCGAAAUGCGACUCGUUGCAUUCAAGGCGACGGAGGAGAAGAAAGAAGAGUCUACAUCAAGUAGACUCCCCAUCGACGCCUCCAAGCUCGACAACGAGGAAAUGGCGCUCAUCAUCAAGAGCUUUCGCCAAAUCCUCAAGCAAAGGAAGGGGAGAGAUUACAAGCCCUGUUCCAAGAAAGUGUGCUACAAGUGUGGUAAGCUUGGCCAUUUUAUUGCAAAAUGUCCAUUAUUAAGUGAUAGUGAUAGGGGCGACGACAAGAAGGGAAAGAGAAGAGAAAAGAAGAGGUACUACAAGAAGAAGGGUGGUGAUGCCCAUGUUUGCCGGGAGUGGGACUCCGACGAGAGCUCCACCGACUCCUCCUCCGGCGAGGACGCCGCAAACAUCACCGUCACCAAGGGCCUUCUCUUCCCCAACGUCGGCCACAAGUGCCUCAUGGCAAAGGACGGCAAGAAGAAGGUAAAAUCUAGAUCCUCCACUAAGUAUGCAACAUCUAGUGAUGAGGCUAGCUCUAGUGAUGAUGAGGAUGAUUUAUUGACACUUUUUGCCAACCUAAACAUGCAACAAAAGGAGAAAUUAAAUGAAUUAAUUAGUGCUAUUCAUGAUAAGGAUGAACUCUUAGAUAGCCAAGAGGACUUCCUAAUUAAAGAAAAACAAAAAGAAUGUUAAGGUUAAAAAUGCUUAUGCUCUAGAGGUAGAAAAAUAUGAAAAAUUAACUAGUGAGCUAAGCACUUGCCAUGAUGUUAUUUCCAACCUUAGAGAUGAGAAUGCUAAAUUAAUUACUAAGGUUGAGAAUUUAAAUGUUUGUGAUGAUUCUCUUGUUAGUCUUAGAAAUGAUAAUGCUAGUUUGAUUACUAAGAUUGACAAGUUAAAUGCAUCACUCUCUAGCCUUAAAAUUGAGAAUGAAAAACUAAUUGCUAAGGCUAAAGAUUUAAAUGUUUGCAAUGUUUCUAUUUCCAAUCUUAAAGAUGAGAAUGCUAUUUUACAUGCUAAGAUUGUUGAAUUAAAAACUUGCAAACCCUCUACAUCUGUCGUUGAACAUGUUACAAUUUGCACUAGAUGUAGAGACAUUAAUGUUGAUGCUAUUCAUGAUCACUUAGCUUUAAUUAAGAAACAAAAUGAUCACAUAGCUCAACUUAGUGCUAAAAUUGAUGAGCAUGACUUAGAAAAUAAAAAAUUUAAAUUUGCUAGAAGCAUGCUCUCUAAUGGGAGACUCCCUGGCAUUAAGGAUGGCAUUGGCUUCCAACAGGGAGACAAUGUCAAGCUUAAUGCCCCUCCUAAAAAUUUGUCUAACUUUGUUAAGGGCAAAGCUCCCAUGGUUCAGGAUAACGAGGGUUACAUUUUAUACCCUGCCAGUUAUCCCGAACAUAAGAUUAGGAGAAUUCAUUCUAGGAAAUCUCACUCUGGCUCUCAUCAUGCUUUUAUGUAUAAGAGUGAGGCAUCUAGUUCUAGGCAAUCAACCCGUGCUAAAUUGCCUAAGAAGAAAACUCCUAUUGCAUCAAAUGAACCUAACAUUUCAUUUAAGACUUUUGAUGCAUCAUAUGUUUUAACUAACAAAUCAGGAAAAAUAGUUGCCAAAUAUGUUUGGGGAAAACACAAGGGCUCCAAGACUUGUGUUUGGGUACCCAAGGUGCUUGUUUCUAAUGUGAAAGGACCCAAUACCGUUUGGGUACCUAAGAACAAGACGUAAAUUUGUUUUGUAGGUUUAUGCAUCCGGGGGCUCAAGUUGGAUCAUCGAUAGCGGGUGCACAAACCACAUGACAGGGGAGAAGAAGAUGUUCUCCUCCUACGAGAAAAAUCAUGAUCCCCAAAGAGCUAUCACAUUUGGGGCUGGAAAUCAUGGUUUGGUCAAAGGAUUGGGUAAAAUUGCUAUAUCUCCUGACCAUUCUAUUUCCAAUGUUUUUCUUGUAGAUUAUUUAGACUACAAUUUGCUUUCCGUUUCUCAAUUGUGUAAAAUGGGCUACAACUGUCUUUUUACAGAUUUAGGUGUUACUGUCUUUAGAAGAAGUGAUGAUUCAGUAGCAUUUAAGGGAGUGUUAGAGGGUCAGCUAUGCUUAGUUGACUUUAAUAGAACUCAACACUUGCUUCAUUGCUAAGACUAACUUGGGUUGACUCUGGCACCGCCGACUAGCCCAUGUUGGGAUGAAGAAUCUUCAUAAGCUUCUAAAGGGAGAGCACAUUUUGGGACUAAUCAAUGUUCAUUUUGAGAAAGACAAGGUUUGUAGCGCAUGUCAAGCAGGGAAGCAAGUUGGUGUCCAUCAUCCACACAAGAACAUCAUGAUGACUGACAGGCCACUCGAGCUACUCCACAUGGACCUAUUCGACCCGAUAGCUUACAUAAGCAUCGGCGGGAGUAAGUAUUGUCUUGUAAUUGUGGAUAAUUAUUCUCGCUUCACUUGGGUGUUCUUUUUGCAGGAAAAAACACAAACCCAAGAAACCUUAAAGGGAUUCUUGAGACGGGCUCAAAAUGAGUUCGGCUUAAGGAUCAAGAAAAUAAGAAGCGACAAUGGAACGAAGUUCAAGAACUCUCAAAUUGAAGGAUUCCUUGAGGAUGAGGGCAUCAAGCAUGAGUUCUCUUCUCCCUACACGCCACAACAAAAUGGUGCAGCGGAGAGGAAGAAUAGAACUCUACUUGACAUGGCGAGGACCAUGCUUGAUGAGUACAAGACUUUGGACCGGUUUUGGGCGGAAGCAAUCAACACUGCUUGCUACGCCAUCAACCGUCUCUGCCUUCACCGAAUCCUCAAGAAGACAUCGUAUGAACUCCUAACCGGUAAAAAGCCCAAUGUUUCAUAUUUUAGAGUCUUUGGUAGCAAAUGCUUUAUUCUUGUUAAAAGAGGUAGAAAAUCUAAUUUUGCUCCUAAGGCUGUAGAAGGUUUUUUACUUGGUUAUGAUUCAAACACAAGGGCAUAUAGAGUCUUUAACAAGUCCACUGAACUAGUUGAAGUUUCUUGUGACAUUGUGUUUGAUGAGACUAACGGCUCUCAAGUAGAGCAAGUUGAUCUUGAUGAGUUAGAUGAUGAAGAGGCUCCGUGCGUCGCGCUUAGGAACAUGUCCAUUGGGGAUGUGUGCCCUAAGGAAUCCGAAGAGCCUCCACAAGCACAAGAUCAACCAUCUUCCUCAAUGCAAGCAUCUCCACCAACUCAAGAUGAGGAUGACGCUCAAGAUGAUGAUGAUGAAGAUCAAGAGGAGCCACCUCAAAAGGAGGACAAUGAUCAAGGGGGAGAUGCUAAUGAUCAAGACAAGGAAGAUGAUGAGGCUCCAAGACCGCCACACCCAAGAGUCCACCAAGCAAUACAACGAGAUCACCCCGUGAACUCCAUCCUCGGCGAUAUUCAUAAGGGGGUAACUACUCAAUCUUGUGUUGCUCAUUUUUGUGAACAUUACUCCUUUGUGUCUUCUAUUGAGCCAUACAGGGUAGAAGAUGCAUUAAGGGAUUCGGAUUGGGUGUUGGCAAUGCAAGAGGAGCUCAACAACUUUACAAGGAAUGAGGUAUGGCAUUUAGUUCCAUGUCCUAACCAAAAUGUUGUAGGAACCAAGUGGGUCUUCCGCAACAAGCAAGAUGAGCAUGGUGUGGUGACAAGGAACAAAGCCCGACUUGUAGCCAAGGGAUAUUCACGAGUCGAAGGUUUGGAUUUCGGUGAAACCUAUGUACCCAUAGCUAGGCUUGAGUCAAUUCAUAUAUUACUUGCCUAUGCUACUUACUGAAAGGGAAAUGUGCCCUUGGGCCAUUUCUAAGUAUUUUGGUGAUUGAGUGCCAACACAAAGUGCAUAAAUGUGAAUUUAUACCCAUAGAUGAACAAAGUGCAAAUCAUGAGUAAAGGUAUGUUUCUAAGCCUUAGUACAUUAGUUUUGUGUACUAAUAUACUUGUCUAAGUGCUAGAAACAGAAAGAAAAAGAAAAGAAGAAAGGUGCAAAGACUUGGCUGUGUACAGCCAAAACUCAGCUUGGUCUGGCACACCGGACUGUCCGGUGGUGCACCGGACAGUGUCCGGUGCGCCAGGCUGACACGGCGCGAAGUGGCCGCUCUCGGGAAUUCGCCGACGGCGUACGGCUAUAAUUCACCGGACUGUCCGGUGUGCACCGGACUGUCCGGUGAGCCAACGGGCGGCCGAGCCAACGGUCGGCCGCGGAAUCUGCGCGCGACACGUGGCCUGGCCAACGGUCGGAAGGGGGCACCGGACUGUCCGGUGUGCACCGGACAUGUCCGGUGCGCCAACGGCUCCCAGAUCUGCAACGGUCGGCUGCGCUGUUUAAGGAAGGAAAUCGGGCACCGGACAGUGUCCGGUGUGCACCGGACUGUUCGGUGCGCCCGACGACAGAAGGCAAGGAUGGCCUUCCAGAUUUGUUCUCAACGGCUCCUAGCUUCCUUGGGGCUAUAAAAGGGACCCCUAGGCGCAUGGAGGAGAAUAACCAAGCAUUCCUUGAGCACUCUUGAUCACUCACACAUCAAUCUUGCGCACUUGUUCGACAUUCUAGCGAUUUGAGCUCCGUUCUAGUGUGCUAGUCUCUUGAGCUCAAGUCUGGGUCUUGUGUGUGCGUAUUCGCUGUGAUCUUUGUGUCGUGUGUGAGUUGCUAAUCCCUCCCUUGCUCUGUGAUUCUCUGUGAACAUCUUUUGUAAGGGCGAGAGGCUCCAAGCUGUGGAGAUUCCUCGCAAACGGGAUUGAGAAAAGAAAAGCAAGAACACCGUGGUAUUCAAGUUGAUCAUUGGAUCACUUGAGAGGAGUUGAGUGCAACUCUCGUCCGUUGGGACGCCACAACGUGGAGUAGGCAAGUUUUGUACUUGGCCGAACCACGGGAUAACCUCCGUGUCAUCUCUGUGAUUGAAUUCUUGUGGUUAUUGUGUUUUGACUCCUCUCUAGCCACUUGGGAUAAACUGUGCUAACACUCAAUCAAAGUUUUGUGGCUAUAAGUUUAGGUUUUACAGGAUCACCUAUUCACCCCCCCUCUAGGUGCUCUCAAUUGGUAUCAGAGCCGUUCUCUUCAAGAAAGGGACUAACCGCCCAAAGAGAUGGAUCCUAAGGGGAAGGGAAUCGUGAUCAACGAUAAGGAGAAGGAGUCCUUCGUCAACGAGCCCAAAGAUGACAAGCCUAACGACUCUGGCUCGGGUCAUAGACGGAAGGAAGGGAAGAAGAAGAAGACAAGGCGCAUCAAGGAGAUCGUCUACUACGACGACAGUGAUGAGUCUACUUCUUCCCAAAAGGACGACGACCACAACGACUACGAACAAAGGAAACCGGUUAAUUCUAACUUUUCCUUUGACUACUCUCGUAUUCCGCAAAGUUCAAAUUCACAUUUGCUUUCCAUUCCACUCGGCAAGCCCCCACACUUUGAUGGAGAGGACUACGGAUUUUGGAGCCACAAAAUGCGUAGUCACCUAUUCUCUCUCCAUCCUAGUAUAUGGGAGAUUGUAGAUAGUGGAAUGCACUUUAAUAGUUCGGAUAGUCCUAUAUUCAUUAAUGAGCAAAUCCAUAAGAAUGCACAAGCUACUACUGUUCUUCUAGCUUCAUUGUGCAGGAAUGAAUAUAACAAAGUGAGUGGCUUGGAUAACGCCAAGCAAAUCUGGGAUACCCUCAAGAUCUCUCAUGAGGGAAAUGACGCUACCUUGCUCACCAAAAUGGAGUUGGUGGAGGGCGAGCUUGGACGGUUCGCGAUGAUAAGGGGCGAGGAGCCAACUCAAACAUACAACCGGCUCAAGACCCUUAUCAACAAAAUAAGGAGCUACGGAAGCACGCGAUGGACGGACCACGACGUCGUCCGACUAAUGCUAAGGUCCUUUACCGUUCUUGAUCCUCAUUUGGUGAAUAAUAUUCGUGAGAAUCCCAGGUACACCAAAAUGUCGCCCGAAGAAGUCUUAGGAAAAUUCGUCAGCGGGCGAAUGAUGAUCAAGGAGGCAAGGUACGUGGACGACGCCUUGAAUGGACCGAUCAACGAACCACAACCUUUUGCUCUCAAAGCUACAAGAAGCAAGGAGGCGCUACCUAGCAAGGUGGCACAAAUUGAGGCGGUCGGACUUAAUGAUGAAGAGAUGGCUCUCAUCAUCAAACGCUUCAAGACGGUGCUAAAGGGUCACAAGGGGCAGCCAAGCAAGACCAAGACGAAGGGGAAGCGCUCAUGCUUCAAGUGCGGUAAGAUUGGUCAUUUUAUCGCUAACUGCCCUGAUAAUGAUAGUGACCAGGAAAAAGAAAACAAGAGGGAAAAGAAGAAGCAUUACAAGAAGGCAAAGGGCGAGGCGCAUCUAGGCAAGGAGUGGGACUCGGAUUGCUCCUCUUCCGACUCCGACAAUGAAGGACUCGCCGCCACCGCCUUCAACAAAUCAACCCUCUUCCCCAACGAGCGUCACACAUGCCUUAUGGUAAGGGAGAAGAAGGUAUGUACUUGCAACUCUACCUAUGCUUCGUCAAGUGAGGACGAAUCUAGUGAUGAGAAUGAAGUAGAUUAUUCAUGUUUGUUCAAGGGCUUAGAUAGAUCUAAGAUAGACAAAAUUAAUGAAUUAAUUGAUGCCUUGAAUGAAAAGAAUAUACUUUUAGAAAAGCAAGAGGAUUUGUUGUAUGAAGAACAUGAUAAGUUUGUAGAGGCUCAAAAAUCCCUUGCAUUAGAAGCUAAAAGAAAUGGAAUGCUUUCUUUUGAACUAUCUACUUGUCAUGAAACCAUUUCUACUUUGAAAGGUGUCAACAAUGAUUUAAAUGCUAAAUUAGAAGUAGCAAAUAAAUCCAAUUCUUGUGUAGAACAUGUUGUAAUUUGUACUAGGUGUAAAGAUUUUGACAUUGAUGCUUGUAGUGAACACCUUGUUUCAAUUUCCAAGCUUAAUGAUGAAUUGGCUAGUCUUAAUGCUCAACUUAAGACUAGCAAGCAUGAUUUCGAUAAACUAAAAUUUGCAAGGGAUGCCUACACAAUUGGUAGACACCCCUCAAUUAAGGAUGGACUUGGCUUCAAGAGAGAAGCUAAGAACCUAACAAGCCAUAAGGCUCCCAUUCCCGCCAAGGAGAAAGGGAAGGCCCCUAUGGCUAGUAGUGUGCAAAAGAACCAUGCUUUUAUGUAUCAUGAUAGGAGACAAACUAGAAAUGCUUAUAGGAGUUAUAAUGCUUAUGAUGAUUUUGACUCUCAUGCCAUGUUUGCUUCUAGUUCUUCCUAUAUGCAUGGUAAAAAUAUGUCUAGGAGAAAUGCUAUUCAUCAUGUGCCUAGAAGGAAUGUUAUUCAUGCUCCUAGGAAAGUAGUGAAUGAACCUUCUACAAUUUAUUGUGCUUUAAAUGCUUCCUUUGCUAUUUGUAGAAAGGAUAAGAAAAUAGUUGCUAGGAAGUUAGGGGCAAAAUGCAAGGGAGACAAAACUUGCAUUUGGGUCCCUAAGGAUAUUUGCACUAACCUUGUAGGACCCAACAUGAGUUGGGUACCUAAGACCCAAGCCUAAAUUUGCCUUGCAGGUUUAUGCAUCCGGGGGUUCAAGCUGGAUUAUCGACAGCGGAUGCACAAACCAUAUGACGGGGGAGAAGAAGAUGUUCACCUCCUACGUCAAAAAUAAGGAUUCCCAAGAUUCAAUUGUAUUCGGUGAUGGGAAUCAAGGCAAGGUAAAAGGGUUAGGUAAAAUUGCAAUUUCAAAUGAGCACUCAAUUUCUAAUGUGUUUCUAGUAGAGUCUCUUGGUUAUAAUUUGCUAUCUGUUAGUCAAUUGUGCAACAUGGGGUAUAACUGUCUAUUUACAAAUAUAGAUGUGUCUGUCUUUAGAAGAAGUGAUGGUUCACUAGCUUUUAAGGGUGUAUUAGACGGCAAACUUUAUUUAGUUGAUUUUGCAAAAGAAGAGGCCGGUCUGGAUGCAUGCUUAAUAGCUAAGACUAGCAUGGGCUGGCUGUGGCAUCGCCGCUUAGCACAUGUAGGGAUGAAGAACCUUCACAAGCUUCUAAAGGGAGAACACGUGAUAGGUUUGACUAACGUUCAAUUCGAAAAAGAUAGACCUUGUGCAGCUUGUCAAGCAGGUAAACAGGUGGGAGGAGCGCAUCACAGCAAAAAUGUGAUGACCACUUCAAGACCCCUGGAGCUGCUGCAUAUGGAUCUCUUCGGACCCGUCGCCUAUCUGAGCAUAGGAGGAAGUAAGUAUGGUCUAGUUAUUGUUGAUGACUUUUCCCGCUUCACUUGGGUGUUCUUUUUGCAGGAUAAGUCUGAAACCCAAGGGACCCUCAAGCGCUUCCUCAAGAGAGCUCAAAAUGAGUUUGAGCUCAAGGUGAAGAAGAUAAGAAGCGACAACGGGUCCGAGUUCAAGAACCUUCAAGUGGAGGAGUUCCUUGAAGAGGAAGGGAUCAAGCACGAGUUCUCCGCUCCCUACACACCACAGCAAAAUGGCGUGGUAGAGAGGAAGAACAGGACGCUCAUUGACAUGGCAAGGACGAUGAUAGGAGAGUUCAAGACCCCCGAGUGCUUUUGGACGGAAGCCGUGAACACGGCUUGCCACGCCAUCAACAGGGUCUACCUUCAUCGCCUCCUCAAGAAGACGUCAUAUGAGCUACUAACCGGUAACAAACCCAAUGUAUCUUACUUUCGUGUAUUUGGGAGCAAGUGCUACAUUCUAGUGAAAAAAGGUAGAAAUUCCAAAUUUGCUCCCAAAGCUGUAGAAGGGUUUUUGUUAGGUUAUGACUCAAAUACAAAGGCAUAUAGAGUCUUCAACAAAUCAUCGGGUUUGGUUGAAGUCUCUAGCGACAUUGUAUUUGAUGAGACUAAUGGCUCUCCAAGAGAGCAAGUUUUUGAUUGUGAUGAUGUAGAUGAAGAAGAUGUUCCGACGGCCGCUAUACGAACCAUGGCGAUUGGAGACGUUCGGCCACAGGAACAAGAUGAACGAGAUCAACCUUCUUCCUCAACUAUGGUGCAUCCCCCAACUCAAGACGAUGAACAGGUUCAUCAACAGGAGGCGUGUGAUCAAGGGGGAACACAAGAUGAUCAUGUGAUGGAGGAAGAAGCGGAACCGGCACCUCCAACCCAAGUUCGAGCGAUGAUUCAAAGGGAUCAUCCCGUCGACCAAAUUCUGGGUGACAUUAGCAAGGGAGUAACUACUCGGUCUCGAUUAGUUAAUUUUUGUGAACAUUACUCUUUUGUCUCUUCUAUUGAGCCUUUCAGGGUAGAAGAGGCCUUGCUAGAUCCGGACUGGGUGUUGGCCAUGCAAGAGGAGCUCAAUAACUUUAAGAGGAAUGAAGUUUGGACGCUGGUGCCUCGUCCUAAGCAAAAUGUUGUGGGAACCAAGUGGGUGUUCCGCAACAAACAAGACGAGCACGGAGUGGUGACAAGGAACAAGGCUCGACUUGUGGCAAAAGGUUAUGCCCAAGUCGCUGGUUUGGACUUUGAGGAGACUUUUGCUCCUGUGGCUAGGCUAGAGUCCAUUCGUAUCUUGCUAGCAUAUGCCGCUCACCAUUCUUUCAGGUUGUACCAAAUGGAUGUGAAGAGCGCUUUCCUCAACGGGCCAAUAAAGGAGGAGGUGUACGUGGAGCAACCCCCUGGCUUCGAGGAUGAACGGUACCCCGACCACGUGUGUAAGCUCUCUAAGGCGCUCUAUGGACUUAAGCAAGCCCCAAGAGCAUGGUAUGAAUGCCUUAGAGAUUUCUUAAUUGCUAAUGCUUUCAAGGUUGGGAAAGCCGAUCCAACUCUUUUCACUAAGACAUGUGAUGGUGAUUUGUUUGUGUGCCAAAUUUAUGUCGAUGACAUAAUAUUUGGUUCUACUAAUAAAAAGUCUUGUGAAGAAUUUAGCAGGGUGAUGACGCAGAAAUUCGAGAUGUCGAUGAUGGGCGAGUUGAACUACUUCCUUGGGUUCCAAGUGAAGCAACUCAAGGACGGCACCUUCAUCUCUCAAACGAAGUACACGCAAGAUCUGCUGAAGCGGUUUGGGAUGAAGGACGCCAAGCCCGCAAAGACUCCGAUGGGAACCGACGGACACACCGACCUCAACAAAGGAGGUAAGUCCGUUGAUCAAAAAGCAUACCGGUCAAUGAUAGGGUCUUUACUUUAUUUAUGUGCUAGUAGACCGGAUAUUAUGCUUAGCGUAUGCAUGUGUGCUAGAUUUCAAUUCGAUCCUAAGGAGUGUCACUUAGUGGCAGUGAAGCGAAUCCUUAGAUAUUUGGUUGCUACGCCUUGCUUCGGGCUCUGGUAUCCAAAGGGGUCUACCUUUGACUUGAUUGGAUAUUCAGACUCCGACUAUGCUGGAUGUAAGGUCGAUAGGAAGAGUACAUCGGGGACGUGCCAAUUCUUAGGAAGGUCCCUGGUGUCGUGGAACUCUAAGAAACAAACUUCCGUUGCCCUAUCCACCGCUGAGGCCGAGUAUGUUGCCGCAGGACAGUGUUGCGCGCAACUACUUUGGAUGAAGCAAACCCUCAGGGACUUUGGCUACAAUCUGAGCAAAGUCCCACUCCUAUGUGAUAAUGAGAGUGCUAUCCGCAUGGCAGAAAAUCCUGUUGAGCACAGCCGCACAAAGCACAUAGACAUCCGGCAUCACUUUUUGAGAGACCACCAGCAAAAGGGAGAUAUCGAAGUGUUUCAUGUUAGCACCGAGAACCAGCUAGCCGAUAUCUUUACCAAGCCUCUAGAUGAGAAGACCUUUUGCAGGCUGCGUAGUGAGCUAAAUAUCUUAGAUUCGCGGAACUUGGAUUGAAUUGUAACAUACAAGUGUUUAUGCCUUUGAUCAUGUUCAUUCUGCAUAUUUUGCUUAUUGUGGUGCUCAAGUUGUACAAAACACUCCCUGGACCUCACAAGUCCGUUGCAAAGUGAUGCACAUGUUUAGGGGGAGAUGUAUUACAACUUGACCCUUUGAGACUAACCAUAUGCUUGAGUUUGCUUGAUUUAGUCUCGAAGGAGAAUUAAAAGGGAAAAGGUGGACUUGGACCAUGAAAGACUUCCACUGCACUCCGAUGAGAGGGUAACUUAUUCCAAGUCCAUCUCAUGAACUCUUAUUGCCAUUUGCUCUUAAUUGAAGAUUUUGGUGAGGCAAUGGGGUUAAAGGGCCAAGAUUAAUCCCGUUUUGGUGCUUGAUGCCAAAGGGGGAGAAAAUAAAGGCCAAAGCAAUAAAUGGAUCAGCUACCACUUGAAAGAUUUGAAAAUAGUAGAGUAGAGCUUUUGGUUUGUCAAAACACUCUUUUAUUGUCACUUUUGUCAAAAGUUGGCUUCUUGUGGGGAGAAGUAGUGAUUAUGGGAAAAAGGGGUAGUUUUUGAAAUCUUUGAUCAAUCGCUUUUGGAAUGACUCUCUUUAUGCUUCAACAUGUGUGUUUGAAUUAGAGAUAGAGAUUUGAGUUUGAUUUGCAAAAACAAACCAAGUGGUGGCAAAGGAUGAUCCAUAUAUGCCAAAAUUGAAUAAAACUCAAAUUUAUUUUAUUUGAAGUGAUUUUGCACCUGUUUUAGUUGCUUUAUGUUGUGUUGGCAUAAAUCACCAAAAAGGGGGAGAUUAAAAGGGAAAUGUGCCCUUGGGCCAUUUCUAAGUAUUUUGGUGAUUGAGUGCCAACACAAAGUGCAUAAAUGUGAAUUUAUACCCAUAGAUGAACAAAGUGCAAAUCAUGAGUAAAGGUAUGUUUCUAAGCCUUAGUACAUUAGUUUUGUGUACUAAUAUACUUGUCUAAGUGCUAGAAACAGAAAGAAAAAGAAAAGAAGAAAGGUGCAAAGACUUGGCUGUGUACAGCCAAAACUCAGCUUGGUCUGGCACACCGGACUGUCCGGUGGUGCACCGGACAGUGUCCGGUGCGCCAGGCUGACACGGCGCGAAGUGGCCGCUCUCGGGAAUUCGCCGACGGCGUACGGCUAUAAUUCACCGGACUGUCCGGUGUGCACCGGACUGUCCGGUGAGCCAACGGGCGGCCGAGCCAACGGUCGGCCGCGGAAUCUGCGCGCGACACGUGGCCUGGCCAACGGUCGGAAGGGGGCACCGGACUGUCCGGUGUGCACCGGACAUGUCCGGUGCGCCAACGGCUCCCAGAUCUGCAACGGUCGGCUGCGCUGUUUAAGGAAGGAAAUCGGGCACCGGACAGUGUCCGGUGUGCACCGGACUGUCCGGUGCGCCCGACGACAGAAGGCAAGGAUGGCCUUCCAGAUUUGUUCUCAACGGCUCCUAGCUUCCUUGGGGCUAUAAAAGGGACCCCUAGGCGCAUGGAGGAGAAUAACCAAGCAUUCCUUGAGCACUCUUGAUCACUCACACAUCAAUCUUGCGCACUUGUUCGACAUUCUAGCGAUUUGAGCUCCGUUCUAGUGUGCUAGUCUCUUGAGCUCAAGUCUGGGUCUUGUGUGUGCGUAUUCGCUGUGAUCUUUGUGUCAUGUGUGAGUUGCUAAUCCCUCCCUUGCUCUGUGAUUCUCUGUGAACAUCUUUUGUAAGGGCGAGAGGCUCCAAGCUGUGGAGAUUCCUCGCAAACGGGAUUGAGAAAAGAAAAGCAAGAACACCGUGGUAUUCAAGUUGAUCAUUGGAUCACUUGAGAGGAGUUGAGUGCAACUCUCGUCCGUUGGGACGCCACAACGUGGAGUAGGCAAGUUUUGUACUUGGCCGAACCACGGGAUAACCUCCGUGUCAUCUCUGUGAUUGAAUUCUUGUGGUUAUUGUGUUUUGACUCCUCUCUAGCCACUUGGGAUAAACUGUGCUAACACUCAAUCAAAGUUUUGUGGCUAUAAGUUUAAGUUUUACAGGAUCACCUAUUCACCCCCCCCCCCCUCUAGGUGCUCUCACUUACCAUGGCUUUAAACUCUAUCAAAUGGACGUGAAAAGUGCCUUCCUCAAUGGACCAAUCAAGGAGGAGGUCUAUGUUGAGCAACCUCCCGGCUUUGAAGAUAGUGAGUACCCUAACCAUGUAUAUAAACUCUCUAAGGCGCUUUAUGGGCUCAAGCAAGCCCCAAGAGCAUGGUAUGAGUGCCUAAGAGAUUUUCUUAUCGCUAAUGGCUUCAAAGUCGGAAAAGCCGAUCCUACUCUAUUCACUAAAACUAUUGCAAAAGAUUUGUUUGUAUGCCAAAUUUAUGUUGAAGAUAUCAUAUUUGGGUCUACUAACAAAUCUACUUGUGAAGAGUUUAGUAGGAUUAUGAUUCAAAAAUUCGAGAUGUCAAUGAUGGGGGAGUUGAAGUAUUUCUUACGAUUUCAAGUCAAGCCACUCCAAGAAGGCACCUUCAUUAGCCAAACAAAGUACAUUCAAGACAUUCUUGCAAAGUUUGGGAUGAAGGAUGCCAAGCCUUUAAGACACCCAUGGGAACUAAUGGGCAUCUCGACCUCGACAAGGGAGGUAAAUCCGUAGAUCAAAAGGUAUACCGGUCGAUGAUAGGUUCUUUACUCUAUUUAUGUGCAUCUCGACCGGAUAGUAUGCUUUCCGUAUGCAUGUGUGCAAGAUUCCAAGCCGAUCCUAAGGAAGUUAAUCUUAGGGCCGUAAAACGAAUCUUGAGAUAUUUAGUUUAUACUCCUAAGUUUGGCCUUUGGUACCCUAGGGGAUCCACUUUUGAUUUAAUUGGUUAUUCAGGUGCUGAUUGUGCAGGGUGUAAGAUUGAUAGAAAGAGCACAUCAGGGACUUGCCAGUUCUUGGGAAGAUCUCUGGUGUCUUGGGCUUCUAAGAAACAAAAUUCGGUAGCUCUUUCUACCGCCGAAGCCGAGUACAUUACCGCAGGCCUUUGUUGCGCGCAAUAGCUUUGGAUGAGGCAAACCCUUAGGGACUAUGGUUACAAAUUGACCAAAGUUCCUCUUCUAUGUGAUAAUGAGAGUGCAAUCCGCAUGGCGGAUAAUCCCGUUGAGCAUAGCCGCACUAAACACAUAGCCUUUCGAUAUCACCAACAACGAGCGGAUAUCGAGAUUGCAUAUAUUAACACCAAAGGACAAUUAGCCGAUAUCUUUACCAAGCCACUAGAUGAGAAAACAUUUACCAAACUUAGGCAUGAGCUAAAUAUUCUUGAUUCUAGGAAUUUUGAUUGAUAUUUUGCACACAUAGCUUAUUUAUAUACCUUUGAUCAUAUCUCUUUCAUGUGCUAUGACUAAUGUGGUUUCAAGUGCAUUUCAUGCUAAGUCAUAGAUUGAAAGGGAAUCAGAGUCUUCGGCGAAGACAAGGCUUCCACUCCACUCCAUCGAAUUAUUCAUCCUUCGCCGUCGCUCCGCAACGUUCUCCAACUUGGUAUAAUCUUCACUCGUAUAUUAUUUGCCAAAGCGAGAGAAAGUAAAGGGCUUAUAUUUCACUCACAAGUAUCCGUUUUUGGCGAUUCAUGCCAAAGGGGGAGAAAGUAUUAGCCCAAAGCAAAAGGACCGCACCACCACCAAUUUCAAAAAUUUAGUCUUUCAAUUUGUAUUUAAAGUAGUGUUUUCAAAAUUGGUAUCUUAUUUUUGAUAUAAUUUCAAAUUGGUAUACCCUCUUCAAAAUUAAUAUCUAAAACCCUCUUGAACACUAAGAGGAGGAUUUCAUUAAGGGGGAGUUUUGUUUAGUCAAAGGAAAAGCAUUUGAAACAGGGGGAGAAAAUUUCAAAUCUUAAAAAUGCUUCCCAAAAUCUUAUUCAUAUACCUCUUGACUAUUUGCAAAAGAUUUUGAAAAAGAAUUUCGAAAACAUUGCAAAACAAAACAAGUGGUGCAAGCGUGGUCCAAAAUGUUCAAUAAGAAGAAAACCAUCCAUGCAUAUCUAGUAGAAAUAAUUAUUGGUUUCACUCCAAGCAGCCUUUGCACUUACAUUAUGCAAACUAGUUCAAUUAUGCACUUUUAUAUUUGUUUUGGUUUGUGUUGGCAUCAAUCACCAAAAAGGUGGAGAUUGAAAGGGAAAUAGGCUUACACCUUUUCCUAUAUGAAUUUUGGUGGUUGAAUUGCCCAACACAAAUAAUUGGACUAACUAGUUCGCUCUAGAUUAUAAGUUUUACAGGUGCCAAAGGUUCACAACAAACCAAUAAAAAGACCAAGAAAAGGGUUCAAAUAAAGAGAGCAAAAGAAACCCGAAGGCUGCCUUGGUCUGACGCACCGGACUGUCCGGUGUGCCACCGGACAGUGUCCGGUGCACGAGGGAACCCAACUCCGAACUUGCCAACUUCGGGAUUCUGGGAGCCGUUUCGCUAUAAUUCACUGGACUGUCCAGUGUGCCAGCGGAGUAACGGCUACACAGCGCCAACAAUCGUCUGCAAUGGAACAGUAAAAGUGAACAGUGCGCGCCUGCGCGCGCAGAAGUCAGAGCAGCGCCAGAAGGCGCACCGGACAGUGAAUAGUGACUGUCCGGUGUACCACCGGACUAUCCGGUGACCCACCUGUCAGAAGCUCCAACGGUCAGAACCCAACGGCCGGGUGAUGUGGCUAGCGCACCGGACAGUGUCCUGUGGCGCACCGGACUAUCCAGUGCGCCAUGCGAUAGAAGCCCUCACCAAUGGUCACUUUGGUGGUUGGGGCUAUAAAUACCCCCAACCACCCACCAUUCAUUGCAUCCAAGUUUUCAGCCAUCAAACCUCAUUUGUGUUCAUUUGAGCUCUUGCGCUUGGAUUGCUUUUCUUCUUCCUUCUUUCUUGUGUUCAACUCACUUGUAAUCAAAACAAGAGACACCAAGUUGUGGUGGUCCUUGUAGUGAACUUAGUGUCCCAUUUGAUUGAAGAGAAAGGCUCACUCGGUCUAAGUGAUCGUUUGAGAGAGGGAAAGGGUUGAAAGAGACCCGGUCUUUGUGACCACCUCAACGGGGAGUAGGUUUGCAAGAACCGAACCUCGGUGAAACAAAUCACCGUGUCAUCCGCUCUUAUUCACUUGUGAUUUGUUUUUCGCCCUAUCUCUCGGACUCGUUUAUAUUUCUAACGCUAACCCCGGCUUUGUAGUGUGUGCUUAAGUUUGUAAAUUUCAGAUUUGCCUAUUCACCCCCCUCUAGGCGACUUUUAGACACCUUUCGUAAAGUUCUUGAUGUCUAGGCGGAAUGGAUGGUCAGGAGGGAGAAAUUGUCGAUGUUUAUCGAAGGACGAAUAUUUGCCACCUUUUUUCAACCAAAUGAACCUGAGAGCUUCCUUGCAAACUGGGCAUGGGAACUUACCGUGAACACACCAGGCGCAGAAUAGCCCAUACGCCGGUAAGUCAUGCAUGGAGUACUGGUACCAAACAUGCAUUCUGAAGUUUGUCUUCGUAGCUCGAUCAUACGUCCAUACCCCUUCCUCCCAGGCACGUACCAAUUCAUCGAUCAAAGGCUCCAUGUACAUGCCCAUUUUAUUCCCCGGGUGUCCGGGAAUUAUCAACGACACGAAUAUAUUCUGCCUUUGAAAGCACACACCUCUGCAUUGAUUGGGAUAACAAACACGGGCCAACAUGUGUACGGGGCAGCGCUCAUUCCAUGGGGAUUGAACCCAUCUGUGGCCAACGCAACACGUACAUUACGAGCCUCUUCGGCUUUCUCACGGUGAAUGGCAUCAAAGUGUUUCCAUGCUUCACCAUAGGAUGCGUGCACCAUCUUGUCAGGAUUGUAUCAUUUUCCAUUUUUGUGCCAUGUCAUCUGUUUCGCGGAUUCCUCUGUCAUGUACAGACGCUGGAUCCUUGGUAUGAACGGAAGGUGCCGUAGGAUUGUCAAGGGGAUGUCGAGCUGCCUCUUCUGUCCAUCACCAGAGUCUACCUCCAUGAACCUAGACGAUUUACACUUGGGACAGUACUUUGCCUUCGCGUAUUCUUUCCUAAAUAGCAUGCAGCCCUUCGGACAAGCAUGAAUCUGCUCAUACGUCAUCUUGAGUGCACGAAGGAGUUUCUGUGCCUCGUACAUACUCUUUGGCAGAACGUGAUCAUCCGGAAGCAGGCUCCCAAUAACCGUCAACAAGCCAUUGAAUGCAUCUCUACUCAUGCUGUACUGCGACUUGAACGCCAUUACACGCCCAAUGGCAUCCAGUUGAGAAACCUUUGUCUGGCCGUGAAGGGGCUUCUGUGCCGCGUCGAACAUGUCGUAGAACGCCUUUGCAGUCGGCUCUGGCUCGUCAUCCAUACAUCCUCCCGUGUAUUGUGCCUCCUGAUAGUCGUUCAACAUAUCCGCUACCCCCGCAUCGUGUCAUUAUCCUCGACACGUUGUCUCAGCACCUCCUCUCUCGUGCGAUGCGCUUCACCAUGAAAUAUCCACCGAGUAUAGCCCGGUGUAAAUCCAUUCUUCCAAAUAUGUUCUACCAUGGCCUUCUUUGGUUUUCUUUUCCGGUUGGCACAUUUGCUGCACGGGCAUGGGACUAGACUCGCUCCUUUAGCAGCUUCGCCAUAUGCCCGUUCCACGAAAUCAUCGGUCUUUAUAAUCCAUUCAGUGGUGACAUCGUUCCUUCCUCUAUGGCCCGUGUACAUUCACUCACGGUCCUCCAUCCUCUAACAGAAGCCUAGCAACAGAAAAUUUCAGCAGCACCUCCCCUGCACGGGGAGGUUUCGAAAUCCUGCAAAUAAAACUAUCAGCACGAUGGCUGACAUCCACACAUAAUUCAACGGCACGAUGGCCGGCAAUCAACAAUACUACAUAUUAACCUAAUCAUACACGUACAUAAAUUAAACACAACAAGACUACAUAUUAACCUAAUCAUACACGUAUAUAAUUAACUCAAUAUUAAACCUAAUCAUUUCAUAUAAAUCAUACAUGUAGAACAUAAAGCUUUUUAAUUACAAUAUCACAAAACGAAAGCAAGCAAUCACCUUGGAGGUUUGGUCGCGGGCGAGACGAUGGGGCGCUGGGGUUUGAGGUUGGCCGCGUGCACUUUCCCGGCGUGCACUUAGGCGGCGGGCGGGCGGGGACACGGCAGCGGGCGCGGCGGGGGCGCGGCGGCGGGCGAGGGCACGACAGCGUGGCGAGGGCAUGGCGGGGGCGUGGAGCAAAGGGCAGUGGAUUGAGAGAGUGAGAGAGUGAGGAAGAAGAAGAACUGACCAGGGCACUCGGCAAAGAUUUUUUUUUAAUUUUAAAAUACGUUUUGCCGAGUGCCAGAUCGGGGGCACUCGUCAAACUCGUCUUUGCCGAGUGUCCCCUAAGCGACACUCGGCAAAGGUUAUUUUACUAUUCUUUGCCGAGUGUCGCCCAGGAGACACUCGGCAAAGGCUACUUUGCCGAGUGUCAUUUCUGGACACUCGGCAAAUUAUAUUUUUAAUUUUUUUAUUUUCCCAACCAAAAUUUUUGUGGUGUGUUCCUACACUAUAUAGACCUACAUGUACCAUUUUGAGACAAUUAGAAAAGUGUUUUCUAUAGCUAGUAGAUUUAGUUCGUUUAUUUGAAUUUCUUCGAAAAAAUCACAUUUGAACUGCAAGUCACUCGAAACUUAGAAAACCGUGCAUGCAAAAAUCAUAUCCAUGCUAGUUAGCACAAGUUACGACCGAUUUCAGGAGCGGACCAAAAACUUCGAGCACCAUGCUCAUUCAACAUGGCCGUGAACUUGCCAUCCAGCUGUUUAAAAAUUUUAUAAAACACAAACAAACUCAGAAAAUCAUGAAACUUGUCCACGUGUCAUGAUAUCAUAUGUAGAGGCUGUGAUAAAACUUUUAGAAUGUUUGGAGAAACUUGUGAGACAUUCUGUGUAGAAAUCUAAGAGAACUACACAUGAAAUCAUAGAGUUUCAAUGUGGAUCUCUUAGGUUUGUACACAUAGUGCGUUACAGCUUUCUCAAAACUUUUUCAAAUUUUUAUCACAGCCUCUACAUAUGAUAUCAUGACACGUGGACAGGUUUCAUGAUUUUCUGACUUUGUUUGUGUUUUGUACAAUUUUUAAACACGUGGAUGGCAAGUUUAUGACCAUGUUUAGUGAGCAUGUUGCUCAAAGUUUCUGGCCCGCUCCUGAAAUCGGUCGUAACUUGUGCUAAGUAGCAUGGAUAUCAUUUUGCAUGCACGGUUUUUCAAGUUUCGAGUGACCUCCAUUUCAAAUUUGAAUUUUCCAAAGAAAUUCAAAUAAACGAACUAAAUCUACUAGCUAUUAAAAACAAUGUUAUAAUUGUCCCAAAAUGGUACAUGUAGGUCUACAUAUUGUAGGAACAUACCACAAAAAGUUUGGUGGCCAAAAUAAAAAAGUAAAAAUAUGCUUUGCCGAGUGUCCACAGAAGACACUCGGUAAAGACCCUCUUUGCCGAGUGCCAGAUAUUUGACACUUGGCAAAGGAUCUGCUUUGCCGAGUGCCGGCUUUCGGCCCUCGGCAAAGGCUGACGGCCGUCAUCUGUAGACGGCCGCUAAUGGCCCUUUGCCGAGCGCCAUCUUUGCUGAUUGUUUGCCACUCGACAAAGCAGUCUUCGCCGAUUGUUUCUCUAUGCCGAGUGUCCUGCACUCGGUAAACAAGCUCUUUACCGAGCACAAGACUUUACCGAGUGCGGCGCUCGACAAAGUCAUCUUUGAAGAGUGCCCGAUAAAAAGCACCCGGCAAAGCCGCCGGCACUCGGCAAAGGCCCGGAUUCCGGUAGUGCUGGUAGCUUCGAUACACUUCAUCCAGUUGUCGUCUGGUUCAUCAAACCUCUCCCUAAAUCUGAAGGUAUACUUCAGUCGGACCAGACCACCCUCACUAGAAUCGGCUAUGGUCUCCUUCGGCAUAUCCAAGCUCUCCACAAGUGGCCAUACCCUGAAGGAUAUAUGCUCUUGAAUCAAAUCCCUUGUGCCAAUGAAGGCACACACAGUGCUAAAAUCCCUCUGACAUGCUUCAACAGUGCCAUCAAUUUCCACCUUCGGCCUUCGAAGGCCGAAGCGAGACCCGAUAGGGCGCUGAAUAAUUUAUUUGAUGUCUUCCCUUGCCUUUAAAUCAUUAUUAACAUAAAACCACUCCUCCAUCCAGGCCCCGUGCCAUCUUUUCCGAAAUGUUGGCACCGGGUGGCUUGCAUUGGGGCGAGCAAUAAAUCCAUAACAACCGAAGUUGUUGUGGUACUGUUCUUUGUGAAAGGGAAUUAGGCUUACACCUAGUCCCUAAUUAAUUUUGGUGGUUGAAUUGCCCAACACAAAUAAUUGGACUAACUAGUUUGCCCAAGUGUAUAGAUUAUACAGGUGUAAAAGGUUCACACUCAGCCAAUAAAAAAGAUCAAGUUUUGGAUUCAACAAAGGAGCAAAGAGGCAACCGAAGGCACCUCUGGUCUGGAGGCACCGGACUGUCCGGUGUACACCGGACAGUGUCCGGUGCGCCACCGGACAGUGUCCGGUGCACCAGAGGACUCCAACUCGAACUCGCCACCUUCGGGAAUUUCCAGAGGUGACUCCGCUAUAAUUCACCGGACUGUCCGGUGUACACCGGACAGUGUCCGGUGCGCCAAGGAAGAGCGGCCUCAGGAACUCGCCAGCUUCGGGAAUCUCCAACGGCUAGUCCGCUAUAAUUCACCGGACAUGUCCGGUGUGCACCGGACUGUCCGGUGCAACUCCGGAGCAACGGCUAUUCGGCGCCAACGGCUACCUGCGACGCAAUUAAUGCGCGCUUUGCGCGCGCAGAAGUCAGGCGCGCCCAUACUGGCGCACCGGACAAGGAACAGUAGAUGUCCGGUGUGCACCGGACAUCUAGGCGGGCCCACAAGUCAGAAGCUCCAACGGUCAGAAUCCAACGGCAGUGAUGACGUGGCAGGGGCACCGGACUGUCCGGUGCGCCAUCGAACAGACAGCCUCCCAACGGCCACUUUUGGUGGUUGGGGCUAUAAAUACCCCAACCACCCCACCAUUCAUUGCAUCCAAGUUUUCCACUUCUCAACCACUUACAAGAGCUAGGCAUUCAAUUCUAGACACACCAAAGAGAUCAAAUCCUCUCCAAUUCCACACAAGGCUUUAGUGAUUAGCGAGAAAGAUUUGCCGUGUUCUUUUGAGCUCUUGCGUUGGAUUGCUUCUUUUCUUUCUCACUUGUUCUUGUGAUCAAAACUCCAUUAUAAUCAAGGCAAGAGGCACCAAUUGUGUGGUGGCCCUUGCGGGGAAGUUUUUGUUCCCGGCUUUGAUUUGAGAAGAGAAGCUCACUCGGUCCGAGGGACCGUUUGAGAGAGGGAAGGGUUGAAAGAGACCCGACCUUUGUGGCCUCCUCAACGGGGAGUAGGUUUGCAAGAACCGAACCUCGGUAAAACAAAUCCGUGUGUCACACUCUUCAUUUGCUUGCGAUUUGUUUUGCGCCCUCUCUCACGGACUCGUUUAUAUUUCUAACGCUAACCCGGCUUGUAGUUGUGUUUAUAUUUGUAAAUUUCAGUUUCGCCCUAUUCACCCCCCCUCUAGGCGACUAUCAAUUGGUAUCGGAGCCCGGUGCUUCAUUAGAGCCUAACCGCUCGAAGUGAUGUCGGGAGAUCACGCCAAGAAGGAGAUGGAGACCGGCGAAAAUCCCACUACAAGCCAUGGGAGCACUUCAUCGGAAGAGUCCCGCACCAAGAGGAGGGAGAAGAAGAAGAGCUCCUCCAACAAAGGGAAGGAGAAGAAAUCUUCUUCUCACCACAAAGAGAAGAAAGAAAAAUCUUCUUCCCACAAGCCGCAUCGGAGUGGGGACAAGCAAAAGAGGAUGAGGAAAGUGGUCUACUACGAGACCGACACUUCAUCAACAUCGACCUCCGGCUCCGAUGCGCCCUCCGUAACUUCUAAACGCCAAGAGCGUAAGAAGUUUAGUAAGAUCCCCCUACACUACUCUCGCAUUUCUAAACAUGCACCUCUACUUUCCGUCCCAUUAGGCAAACCACCAACUUUUGAUGGUGAAGAUUAUGCUAGGUGGAGUGAUUUAAUGCGAUUUCAUCUAACCUCACUCCACAAAAGUAUAUGGGAUGUUGUUGAGUUUGGUGCACAGGUACCGUCCGUAGGGGAUAAAGACUAUGAUGAGGAUGAGGUGGCCCAAAUCGAGCACUUCAACUCUCAAGCGACAACAAUACUCCUUGCCUCUUUAAGUAGAGAGGAGUAUAACAAAGUUCAAGGGUUGAAGAGCGCCAAGGAGGUUUGGGAUGUGCUCAAAACCGCGCACGAGGGAGAUGAGCUCACAAAGAUCACCAAGCGGGAAACGAUCGAGGGGGAGCUCGGUCGGUUCCGGCUUCGCAAAGGGGAAGAGCCACAACACAUGUACAACCGGCUCAAGACCUUGGUGAACCAAGUGCGCAACCUCGGGAGCAAAAAGUGGGAUGACCAUGAGGUGGUUAAGGUUAUUCUAAGAUCUCUUAUUUUCCUUAACCCUACUCAAGUUCAAUUAAUUCGUGGUAAUCCUAGAUAUACUAAAAUGACCCCCGAGGAAGUUAUCGGGAAUUUUGUAAGUUUUGAGUGCAUGAUCGAAGGCUCGAGGAAGAUCAACGAGCUUGAUGAUCCCUCCACAUCCGAAGCUCAACCCGUCGCAUUCAAGGCGACGGAAGAAAAGAAGGAGGAGUCUACAUCAAGUCGACAACCGAUCGACGCCUCCAAGCUUGACAAUGAGGAGAUGGCGCUCGUCAUCAAGAGCUUCCGCCAAAUCCUCAAACAAAGGAGGGGGAAAGACUACAAGUCCCGCUCCAAGAAGGUUUGCUACAAGUGUGGUAAGCCCGGUCACUUUAUUGCUAAAUGUCCAUUAUCAAGUGAUAGUGACAGGGAUAACGACAAGAAGGGAAAGAGGAGAGAAAAGAAGAGGUACUACAAGAAGAAGGGCGGCGAUGCCCAUGUUUGUCGGGAGUGGGACUCCGACGAAAGCUCAAGCGAUUCCUCCGACGACGAGGACGCCGCCAACAUCGCCGUCACCAAAGGGCUUCUCUUCCCCAACGUCGGCCACAAGUGUCUCAUGGCAAAGGACGGCAAAAAGAAGGUUAAAUCUAAAUCCUCCACUAAAUAUGAAUCCUCUAGUGAUGAUAAUGCUAUUGAUGAGGAAGAUAAUUUGCGUACUCUUUUUGCCAACCUCAACAUGCAACAAAAAGAAAAACUUAAUGAAUUGAUUAGUGCCAUUCAUGAAAAGGAUGAUCUCUUGGACACCCAAGAGGACUUCCUUAUUAAAGAAAAUAAGAAACAUGUUAAGGUCAAAAAUGCUUACGCUCUAGAAAUAGAAAAAUGUGAAAAACUUUCUAGUGAGCUAAGUUCUUGCCAUGAAACUAUUGACAACCUUAGGAAUGAAAAUGCAAAUUUAUUAGCUAAGGUUGAUUCUAUUGCUUGUAAUGUUUCAAUUCCCAAUCUUAGAAAUGAUAAUGAUGAUUUACUUGCUAAGAUUGAAGAAUUAAACUUAUCUCUUGCUAGCCUUAGAAAUGAAAAUGAAAAAUUGCUUGCUAAGGCUAAAGAUUUUGAUGUUUGCAAUGCUACUAUUUCCGACCUUAGAAGUAAAAAUGAAAUAUUGCCUGCUAAGGUUGUAGAACUAAAAUCUUGCAAACCCUCUACAUCUACCGUUGAGCACACUUCUAUUUACACUAGAUGUAGAGAUGUUAACAUUGAUGCUAUACAUGAUCACAUGGCUUUAAUUAAACAACAAAAUGAUCAUAUAGCUAAAUUAGAUGCUAAAAUUGCCGAGCAUAACUUAGAAAAUGAAAAAUUUAAAUUUGCUAGAAGUAUGCUCUAUAAUGGGAGACGCCCUGGCAUCAAGGAUGGCAUUGGCUUCCAAAGGGGAGACAAUGUCAAACUUAAUGCCCCUCCUAAAAGAUUGUCUAAUUUUGUAAAGGGCAAGGCUCCCAUGCCUCAGGAUAACGAGGGUUACAUUUUAUACCCUGCCGGUUAUCCCGAGGACAAAAUUAGGAGAAUUCAUUCUAGAAAGUCUCACUCUGGCCCUAACCAUGCUUUUAUGUAUAAGGGUGAGACAUCUAGCUCUAGGCAACCAACCCGUGCUAAGUUGCCUAAGAAGAAAACUCCUAGUGCAUCAAAUGAACAUAGUCUUUCAUUUAAAACUUUUGAUGCAUCUUAUGUGUUGACUAACAAAUCUGGCAAAGUAGUUGCCAAAUAUGUUGGGGGCAAGCACAAGGGGUCAAAGACUUGUGUUUGGGUACCCAAAGUUCUUGUGUCUAAUGCCAAAGGACCCAAAACCAUUUGGGUACCUAAAGUCAAGAACUAAACUUGUUUUGUAGGUUUAUGCAUCCGGGGGCUCAAGUUGGAUACUCGACAGCGGGUGCACAAACCACAUGACAGGGGAGAAGAAGAUGUUCUCCUCCUACGAGAAAAACAAAGAUCCCCAACGAGCUAUCACAUUCGGGGAUGGAAAUCAAGGUUUGGUCAAAGGUCUUGGUAAAAUUGCUAUAUCUCCUGACCAUUCUAUUUCCAAUGUUUUUCUUGUAGAUUCUUUAGAUUACAAUUUGCUUUCUGUUUCUCAAUUAUGUCAAAUGGGCUACAACUGUCUAUUCACUGAUGUAGGUGUCACUGUCUUUAGAAGAAGUGAUGAUUCAAUAGCAUUUAAGGGUGUGUUAGAGGGUCAGCAAUACUUAGUAGAUUUCGAUAGAGCUGAACUCGACACAUGCUUAAUUGCUAAGACUAACAUGGGCUGGCUCUGGCAUCGCCGACUAGCACAUGUUGGAAUGAAGAAUCUUCACAAGCUUCUAAAGGGAGAACACAUUUUAGGACUAACAAAUGUUCAUUUUGAGAAAGACAGGGUUUGUAGCGCAUGUCAAGCAGGAAAGCAAGUUGGAACCCAUCAUCCACACAAGAACAUCAUGACGACCGACAGGCCACUUGAGCUACUCCACAUGGAUCUAUUCGGCCCGAUCGCUUACAUGAGCAUCGGUGGGAGUAAGUACUGUCUAGUUAUUGUGGAUGAUUAUUCUCGCUUCACUUGGGUAUUCUUUUUACAGGAAAAAUCUCAAACCCAAGAGACCUUAAAGGGAUUCUUGAGACGGGCUCAAAAUGAGUUCGGCUUAAGGAUCAAGAAAAUAAGAAGCGACAACGGGACGGAGUUCAAGAACUCUCAAAUUGAAGGCUUCCUUGAGGAGGAGGGCAUUAAGCAUGAGUUCUCUUCUCCCUACACACCACAACAAAAUGGUGUAGUGGAGAGGAAGAAUAGAACUCUAUUGGACAUGGCAAGAACCAUGCUUGAUGAGUACAAGACUUCGGAUCGGUUUUGGGCCGAGGCGGUUAACACCGCCUGCUACGCCAUCAACCGGUUAUAUCUUCACCGAAUCCUCAAGAAGACAUCAUACGAACUCCUAACCGGUAAAAAGCCCAACAUUUCAUAUUUGAGUCUUUGGUAGCAAAUGCUUUAUUCUUGUUAAAAGAGGUAGAAAAUCUAAAUUUGCUCCUAAGACUGUAGAAGGCUUUUUACUUGGUUAUGACUCAAACACAAGGGCAUAUAGGGUCUUUAACAAGUCCACUGGACUAGUUGAAGUCUCAUGUGACGUUGUGUUUGAUGAAACUAACGGCUCUCAAGUAGAGCAAGUUGAUCUUGAUGAGAUAGGUAUUGAAGAGGCUCCGUGCAUCGCGCUAAGGAACAUGUCCAUUGGGGAUGUGUGUCCUAAGGAAUCCGAAGAGCCUCCAAAUGCACAAGAUCAAUCGUCCUCCUCCACGCAAGGAUCUCCACCAACUCAAAUUGAGGAUGAAGCUCAAGUUGAUGAAAAAGAAGAUCAAUCAAAUGAGCCACCUCAAGAUGACGGCAUAGAUCAAGGGGGAGAUGCAAAUGAUCAAGACAAGGAGGAUGAAGAGCAAAGGCCGCCACACCCAAGAGUCCACCAAGCAAUUCAACGAGAUCACCCCGUCGACACCAUCCUCGGCGACAUUCAUAAGGGGGUAACUACUAGAUCUCGUGUUGCACAUUUUUGUGAACAUUACUCUUUUGUUUCCUCUAUUGAGCCACACAGGGUAGAGGAAGCACUCCAAGAUUCGGAUUGGGUAGUGGCGAUGCAAGAGGAGCUCAACAACUUCACUAGGAAUGAGGUAUGGCAUUUAGUUCCACGUCCUAAUCAAAAUGUUGUAGGAACCAAAUGGGUCUUCCGCAACAAGCAAGAUGAGCAUGGUGUGGUGACAAGGAACAAAGCUCGACUUGUGGCCAAAGGAUACUCCCAAGUCGAAGGUUUGGAUUUCGGUGAAACCUAUGCACCCGUAGCUAGGCUUGAGUCAAUUCGUAUAUUAUUAGCCUAUGCUACUUACCAUGGCUUUAAGCUUUAUCAAAUGGAUGUGAAAAGUGCCUUGCUCAAUGGACCAAUCAAGGAAGAGGUCUAUGUUGAGCAACCUCCCGGCUUUGAAGAUAAUAAGUACCCUAACCAUGUCUAUAAGCUCUCUAAGGCGCUUUAUGGGCUCAAGCAAGCCCCAAGAGCAUGGUAUGAAUGCCUUAGAGAUUUCCUUAUUGCAAAUGGCUUCAAAGUCGGAAAGGCCGAUCCUACACUCUUUACUAAAACUCUUGAAAAUGACUUGUUUGUAUGCCAAAUUUAUGUUGAUGAUAUUAUAUUUGGGUCUACUAACGAGUCUACAUGUGAAGAGUUUAGUAGGAUCAUGACACAAAAGUUCGAGAUGUCUAUGAUGGGGGAGUUGAAGUAUUUUCUAGGAUUUCAAGUGAAGCAACUCCAAGAGGGCACCUUCCUAAGCCAAACCAAGUACACUCAAGAUAUUCUAAGCAAGUUUGGAAUGAAGGAUGCCAAACCCAUCAAGACACCCAUGGGAACUAAUGGGCAUCUCGACCUAAACACGGGAGGUAAGUUCGUGGAUCAAAAGGUAUACCGGUCGAUGAUAGGUUCUUUACUCUAUUUAUGUGCAUCUCGACCGGAUAUUAUGCUUUCCGUAUGCAUGUGUGCAAGAUUCCAAGCCGACCCUAAGGAAGCUCACCUUACGGCCGUGAAACGAAUCUUGAGAUAUUUGGCUUAUACUCCUAAGUUUGGGCUUUGGUAUCCUAGGGGAUCCACAUUUGAUUUGAUUGGAUAUUCGGAUGCCGAUUGGGCGGGGUGUAAAAUUAAUAGGAAGAGCACAUCGGGGACCUGCCAGUUCUUGGGAAGAUCCUUGGUGUCUUGGGCUUCAAAGAAGCAAAAUUCGGUCGCUCUUUCCACCGCAGAAGCCGAGUAUAUUGCCGCAGGUCAUUGUUGCGCGCAAUUGCUUUGGAUGAGGCAAACCCUGCGGGACUACGGUUACAAAUUAACCAAAGUCCCUUUGCUAUGUGAUAAUGAGAGUGCAAUCAAGAUGGCGGAUAAUCCCGUCGAACAUAGCCGCACUAAACACAUAGCCAUUCGGUAUCACUUUUUGAGGGAUCACCAACAAAAGGGAGAUAUCGAGAUUUCAUACAUCAAUACUAAAGAUCAAUUAGCCGAUAUCUUUACCAAGCCUCUUGAUGAACAAUCUUUUACCAAACUUAGGCAUGAGCUAAAUAUUCUUGAUUCUCGGAACUUCUUUUGUUGAUUUGCACACAUAGCUCAUUUAUAUACCCUUGAUCAUAUCUCUUUUAUAUGCUAUGACUAAUGUGUUUUCAAGUGAAUUUCAAACCAAGUCAUAGGAAUAUUGAAAGGGAAUUGGAGUCUUCGGCGAAGACAAAGGCUUCCACUCCGUAACUCAUCCUUCGCCGUCACUCCAAGAGACUCUCCAUCUUUGGGGGAGAGAGCAAAAGGACUUCGUCUUUGGUAUAAUCUUAACUCAUUUAUUUAUGACCAAAGGGGAAGAUAGCACUUCGAGGGCUCUAAUGAUUCCGUUUUUGGCGAUUCAUGCCAAAGGGGGAGAGAGUAAGAGCCCAAAGCAAAAGGACCCAAAGCAAAAGGACCGCACCACACCACCAAUUUCAAAAAACUUAGUGUUUCCAAGAAUUUUUUCAAUUGGUAUCCUAGUGUGUUCACAAGGGGGAGAAAAUAGUAUUUUAAAAAAUGAUAUAUCAAAACCCUCUUGAACACUAAGAGGAGGAUCUCAUUUAGGGGGAGUUUUGUUUAGUCAAAGGAAAAGCAUUUGAAACAGGUGGAGAAAAUUUCAAAUCUUGAAAAUGCCUUGCAAAAUCUUAUUCAAUUACCUUUGACUAUUUGCAAAAGAACUUUGAAAAGGAUUUACAAAAUAGUUUGCAAAAACAAAACAUGUGGUGCAAGCGAGGUCCAAAAUGUUAUAUAAGAAAGAAACAAUCCAUGCAUAUCUUGUAAGUAUUUAUAUUGGCUCAAUUCCAAGCAACCUUUGUACUUACAUUAUGCAAACUAGUUCAAUUAUACACUUCUGUAUUUGCUUUGGUUUGUGUUGGCAUCAAUCACCAAAAAGGGGGAGAUUGAAAGGGAAUUAGGCUUACACCUAGUCCCUAAUUAAUUUUGGUGGUUGAAUUGCCCAACACAAAUAAUUGGACUAACUAGUUUGCCCAAGUGUAUAGAUUAUACAGGUGUAAAAGGUUCACACUCAGCCAAUAAAAAAGAUCAAGUUUUGGAUUCAACAAAGGAGCAAAGAGGCAACCGAAGGCACCUCUGGUCUGGAGGCACCGGACUGUCCGGUGUACACCGGACAGUGUCCGGUGCGCCACCGGACAGUAUCCGGUGCACCAGAGGACUCCAACUCGAACUCGCCACCUUCGGGAAUUUCCAGAGGCGACUCCGCUAUAAUUCACCGGACUGUCCGGUGUACACCGGACAGUGUCCGGUGCGCCAAGGAAGAGCGGCCUCAGGAACUCGCCAGCUUCGGGAAUCUCCAACGGCUAGUCCGCUAUAAUUCACCGGACAUGUCCGGUGUGCACCAGACUGUCCGGUGUGCACCGGACUGUCCGGUGCAACUCCGGAGCAACGGCUAUUCGGCGCCAACGGCUACCUGCGACGCAAUUAAUGCGCGCUCUGCGCGCGCAGAAGUCAGGCGCGCCCAUACUGGCGCACCGGACAAGGAACAGUAGAUGUCCGGUGUGCACCGGACAUCCAGGCGGGCCCACAAGUCAGAAGCUCCAAUGGUCAGAAUCCAACGGCAGUGAUGACGUGGCAGGGGCACCGGACUGUCCGGUGCGCCAUCGAACUGACAGCCUCCCAACGGCCACUUUUGGUGGUUGGGGCUAUAAAUACCCCAACCACCCCACCAUUCAUUGCAUCCAAGUUUUCCACUUCUCAACCACUUACAAGAGCUAGGCAUUCAAUUCUAGACACACCAAAGAGAUCAAAUCCUCUCCAAUUCCACACAAGGCUUUAGUGAUUAGCGAGAAAGAUUUGUCGUGUUCUUUUGAGCUCUUGCGCUUGGAUUGCUUCUUUUCUUUCUCACUUGUUCUUGUGAUCAAAACUCCAUUGUAAUCAAGGCAAGAGGCACCAAUUGUGUGGUGGCCCUUGCGGGGAAGUUUUUGUUCCCGGCUUUGAUUUGAGAAGAGAAGCUCACUCGGUCCGAGGGACCGUUUGAGAGAGGGAAGGGUUGAAAGAGACCCGGCCUUUGUGGCCUCCUCAACGGGGAGUAGGUUUGCAAGAACCGAACCUCGGUAAAACAAAUCCGCGUGUCACACUCUUCAUUUGCUUGCGAUUUGUUUUGCGCCCUCUCUCACGGACUCGUUUAUAUUUCUAACGCUAACCCGGCUUGUAGUUGUGUUUAUAUUUGUAAAUUUCAGUUUCGCCCUAUUCACCCCCCUCUAGGCGACUAUCACUUUGCCAGUAGCCUUCGUCUCAUACAAAAGCUCAUGCAUACUGUAGAAGCACUUUGCGCUUGGCUCUAGCCCCUGACUCCUUACAGCACGGACAAAAAUCCCCAUUCUAGUUAUAGCUUCGGGGGUAAUGAAAGGGAAAUAGGGUCAAACCUUUUUUCUAAAUGAUUUUGGUGGUUGAAAUGCCCAACACAAAUAAUUAGACUAACUAGUUUGCUCUAGAUUAUACAUUCCACAGGUACCAAAGGUUCAACACAAACCAAUAAAAAGAUCAAAGUUAGGGUUCAAAUCAAAGGAGCAAAAGAAACCGAAGAGAAACCUGGUCUGGUGCACCGGACUGUCCGGUGUGCCACCGGACAGUGUCCGGUGCACCAGGGGUCGUACAGACUGAACCCUUCACCUUCGGGUUUCUAGAGAGCUGCUCCGCUAUAAUUCACCGGACUGUCCGGUGUGGCAUCGGACUGUCUGGUGUGCCAGCGGAGCAACGGCUGGCGAGCGCAACGGUCGACUCCAACGGUCGCCUACAAUGUGAACAGUGCGCGAACAGUUCGCGCAGAGUCAGAGCAGCGCCAGAAGGCACACCGGACAGUGAAUAGUACCUAUCCGGUGCGGCACCGGACCCAAGAUGGCAGAGCUCCAACGGUCGAAACCGUCAGAACCCUAAUGGUUGGGUGAUGUGGCUGGCGCACCGGACAGUGUCCGGUGGCGCACCGGACUGUUCGGUGCGCCCAUCGACAGCAGGCCUCCCCAACGGCUAUUGUGGUGGUUGGGGCUAUAUAUAACCCCCAACCACCACUAUUCAAGGUAUCCAAGUUUCCAGCAUAUUACAUUCAAUACAAGAGCUCUAGAAUUUACUCCAAGACACAAACAAGAGAUCAAAUCCUCUCCAAAGUCCAAAACCACUCCAAACACUUAGUGACUUGUGAGAGAGAGAUUUUCGUGUUCAUUUGAGUUCUUGUCGCUUGGAUCGCUUUCUUCUUCCUCUUUCUUGUUCUCAAGACACUUGUAAUCAUAGCAAGAGACACCAAGUUGUGGUGGUCCUUGUAGGGGUCUAGGUGACCCGUUUGAUUAAGGAGAAAGCUCACUCGGUCUAGAUGACCGUUUGAGAGAGGGAAAGGGUUGAAAGAGACCCGGUCUUUGUGACCACCUCAAUGGGGACUAGGUUUGCAAGAACCGAACCUCGGUAAAACAAAUCAUCGUGUCAUCCACUCUAUUUCUUUGAUUGAUUUGUUUUUUCCCCUCUCUUUCGGACUCGGUUUUAUUUCCAACGCUAACCCCGACUUGUAGUUGUGCUUUAAGUUAUAAAUUUCAGUUUCCGCCUAUUCACCCCCUCUAGGCAACUCUCAAUUGGUAUCAGAGCCCGAUACUUCAUUGGAGUUUAACCACUCGAAGUGACGUUGGGAGAUCACGCCAAGGAGAUCGUGACCAGUGGUGACAAGUCUACAAGCCAUGGGAAGGCUCCAUCGGGAGUGUCUGGCAACAAAAUGAAGGGAUCCCCUUCACAUGCCAAGUCACAUCGGAGCGGCGACAAGAAAAAGAAGAUGAAGAAGGUUGUGACGGAACCUGCCAAGUCAUUAGGCCUACCUACAGUUGUCCUUGUCCAUCGGACCUCAGACAACCCUGCAGGUGCACCUGAUCACUUGACAAGUUCGGUAUCUGAAUUCUUUACCUUGCCCAAGAGCGUUUCACCCGUCACGCAGAUAUUACAACACAUCGGAGGAACGAGUAUGCGGAAGCAGUUACAAUAAUUUACUUUAUUUUAAAGUAUAGAAAGAGUAGUAUUAUUAUAGACCAGAGCAAAUAUAAGAGUGCUGGAGAAUAUUAUUACAUAUCUUGGGAGGCAAAAACCCCUCCCGAUAAACAGUAAAAAGUUUUAAAGGAGGACACUUCCUCUCGAGGCUUCAGUCUUGAUUUUCUUCCUUAGGCACCACCUUGGAACAAAAGCAACAAAAAUUUGCUGCUUCCUCACCUAAAACAACAUGGGACAAAGCCCUGAGUAUGAAGUGUACUUUUGCAAGUCUUACCCGUCAAAAUAAAAAAAGACUCUCAAGGAUAUGCUGGCCUUUGGGAAUCAAGGUAUGGCUUAUCAAUAAUCAAAGACUCUGUUUGCAGAAAUGCUUGCUAAUAGUGGAUCCUUAAAAAUCCAGUUUUACUUGUCAGGUUAAGUAAAGUUACCUGCAUCUAGAGUUCUUUCUACCCUAGUUCAAGCACUUGACCUGCACUAGCCGUCUUUUAUCAACCCUUUAAGUUCACUGGAAUGCUACGUGUAAGUCAGUGACCAAGUCUUCAUGUCCGAGAAGUAACGACGAUCCGAAUCAAUUAAUACUCAGCUGAGGAUCUCCAAUCACAUGACAUAUGUAGCACUUAACCCUUGCAUAUGUCAACUCGCCACUGGGGUUCUUAAGACCAGAUCAGGUUCACGCCAACCGAGAGCACAGAUACACCAUCAUCCAGCCUCUUGCCACGGAGGGUACACGCUACUCUCGCCAUCUCUCCACUCCCAUUGUGUGUUAUCUUAUUCUGGUAUUAGUCUGCCUGAGGCAAAGCUUACCCAUGAUGAGGCAUGUGACCAGUUAAAUGGUCCUCGGUCAGUAGGCCUACAUCGAGAAGGUCCUUAAUCGACUCAGACGGAGACACUACACAGAGACUCCUUUCUCGUGCAAGUCACCCACCCAGUCUCAGCUUUAUUAUUUUCAACCCAAAGUUUGGUACCUGGCAGAGGUACAUCUUUUCCGAUGUUGAACCCAUCACGGCCAUGAUGGAUCCACCAUCAAGUUUUAUUUUGAAAACAUCCCACCCACUUGAAGCAUCAUCUUUUGUCAAAACAAAACAUUUUGUUUUUCUAGAGCAAAGCUAAGCAUAAGAAAAACCUUUUUUAUAAAACAGGGGAUCAAGGAAAGGUAUUCAAAUUCUCAAGGAAGGAAAUGCAUCAAUUUGUUUAGCACGCAACUCCUAUCACCUAAUGCAUCAAGCAAGUGAGAAAGAUUUUAAAAUAGCAAGGAGGUGGCAAAUGCACCGGGGCUUGCCUUGUGUGAUAGGUGAGUCAGGCUCUGCUCCACAGAUGUCAAAAUAAAAGCAGUUCUCGGCCUGGGGUUCUUCAGGUGGUGGUGGUGUAGUCCUUGCUUCUUCAACUUCUAUCUCUUCUUCGUUUUCUAUAUAUAGCCAUAUAUAAUCAUGAAUGCUCAUGUAAUACUUAUGCAAAUGCAAAGAUAAUAAAAGUACAUUAUCUUAGGUCUUGAAUACAAUUUUUCUUCACGGAUCUCUAGGAAACUAGGGUUUCUGGAGUUAGUAGUGAAGUCCAUAGGGCAGGCACCACUAGAAGACUAGGGUUUUGGGUUCUAGGUACCAAACAUGGUCCAAAUCAUACCAAACUUUACCCAAGGCUUCUAAAUAACAUCUAAUGCUUAUCUAAAGAGUUUGGUGAUUUUUGGGAUUAUUAAUUAAUUUCUAAAAUUCCAGAAGUAUGGGUUUUGGCUAUUUUAAAUACACCAUAAUUCCCUAUUUGGAAUAAAAACUAUACUACUGAUUUUAUUAAAUACUAUAGAAAUUAGGAAUCUAACAAAAUUGAUCUCAUAUUUUUAACAUUUUCCUGGAAUUUUCUGUGGCGGAACCGCCCGAAUUAUUCCAACUUAAGUGCCUAAGUCUCACAUUAAAGGCUAGACCACACUUAAAUAGGAAUAAAACGUCAGUCCCUCUGAUCUAGUCCGACGAGGCCACUAACAGGAUCAAGUACCACGUACUCACUCGAAGGUGAGGCACAUAGCAAAUACAAUAAAACAUAAACCAUACAUUAAGGAUUACUUAAUUUACUACAACAUCAUUGGAGUUUUUCAAAAGUAGUGAUCAUUGUUUGGAAUGAAGCGGAAUAUAACUAACGGUAAAUAAACGAAGGGAUGGGGAAGCCUGGCCCAUCACUCCUCAUGCUCCUCCUCUACCGAGGUAGGGUCCCACUCGACUGUCCACCCCAGUGGCAAGAUGGACGGCCAAGUCACGCCAGCAACCAUGUCCUCCAGAGAACCUGUAAAAAUUAUGCCACAAGCAAGGCUGAGUAUACUAAUACUCAGCUAGACUUACGCGGUGUGAGGAGUCUACUCCUCUACCUCUAGAUAUGCAGCUGUUUGGCUGAGGGGUUUGGUUUGCCUAAAACACUAGCUGAGUCUAAAAUCAAGUUUAGCUUUUCAAUUUUUAGUGUGACUCUCUUAAGACUAAACGUAUCCCUAUCUAAUCAUACAUGUUAGCAAUCAUUUUAGCAAUCAACAUCUUUUGCCAAAUCAACAUCUUUCCACUUGUUACUCAAUGUAGUAGCAUGGAUCAAGCAGUCUCAUUAGCUGCGAGAAGCAGACGAUUCGAAUCGAAUUUUUAUCCGUCCCCACACACAUCAACUGUCCCCAUCGAUUCCCUAGCAACAGAAAGGGGCUCACCGCCUGGCGUACAAUGCCUCACUGACCCCGACUGCCGUCGCGCAGUGACCGCACUUGUACCCACCAUAACCAGAAUGGGAGACCAUGUCUCAGGUCGCGUGAGGAGGGAAAUCUGCGGGCACGUUCACUCAGGUACUAGGCUUACCGAUUUACCAUAUUUCUCGGCAUGUGUUUAGUACGUUCAAACCCUUGACACACGAUACCACACCUUAAUCCUUAUUCCAAUUUUCGUCUCAUAGACAACACAUCCCCAUGGAGCGUUGUCCACAGAUCAUCAUCAUUCCGAUAUAAAAAUGGAUACAACCAAUUCCUGACCUCACGCGAGUGCUAGAAAAAUCACUCGACUUCUACCGAGAUCCCUAAUUAGUAAAGCAGCUACUCGACCUAGCAUACUAGUAUCCAUCUCAAAGGAAUCCUGAGUGCAUGCAACUAGGGUUUCAAACAACUCCUACACUUAAGUGCACAGUACAAGCCUACAAUCAUUAAGUGCAGUAAAAUAGCAUAUAUAUUAAGGGUUAUGCAUAAAACUGGGGCUUGCCUUCCAAAGCUGGGGUAGGCAGAUCCUCGAUGGCAGGCUCUGGUGCUGGCUCCUGGGCUAUCUCCUGAGCAGCUCCUUGCUCUGGAACGAGGAUGUACUUCCCAUCAGCGAGAUUACAGUCUAUCGAAUGCAAUGAAUAAGAUGGAUGCAUAUUAAUGAUAUGGCAUUUUGGAAACACUAAGCAUAGGGGAACAAUAUUAAAAUAGGGGGUAUACUAGGGUUUCCGUUGUUAGUCUUAAGGGUUUCAUACCUUCAUCUUUAGGGUUUUGAGUGAACUUAAAACCUCUAAUUAAAUCUUGUAGGUUCUAUGGGACUCUUAGAAGGAUUUAGUUAUACCUUAUUAAGUUCGCCCAAAAUUUCCCCGUUUUCCUCCUAUUGUGCUUCUUAUUAAGUAUUUUUGAACUAUCAUGGCAAGUUAACAUUUUCCAAAAAUAUUAUAAAAAUUACAGUGGGUAAACAUUGACCUCUGGGUUUCAUCAUACAAGUUUGAGGUUGAAAAAAAUUCAUAUUUUCCUUGGGCAAAAAUGACAAAAGUAAGGGUAAAAGGGCACUUUACACUAUAGCUCUAAUUUCUAUGGGGUUUCUGGGUCAACAUUUAUUUUUGCCAAGAUUCCUAGGUGAUAAUAGGUCUUUGUGUUAAAAAUCACAGAGAAAGACCUAAUGGAUAUUUAGUUGUGAUUUUCUAAAGUUUAAUGCCAAAAAGGUACUUAUAACUAACUUGUUAUUUGAAAAAUAUCAAACAACAGAACUUACAUUUUUUCUAAAUUUAUAAUAAUAUAUUAUUAGUUAUCCCAAGGUUUGGGGUGGGUUCUUCUCAGGAUUAUUUUUCUAGAAUUUUUCUAAGUCCUCCUUGUUUUCAUGAAAUAAAAGGUAGUUCAUUUCUUUUGUACUAACAGAGGGUCUAACAAAAUUUUCCAGUGAACUAUGUUAACUAAGUGAGCUAGCAAAAAUGUGGUUGCCCCUGGUUCUUAUUUUAAACUCCCUUUUCUAUUUUCUUUAACUUUGAGUCAAAAUGAGUUUCAAUGGUAAACCCUUCCCUAAUCUGGUGUACUGAGGGGUUUAUUAUUUUUAAACAGGCUAGAUAGUGGUUAAGCACCUCUCCAAUUUUUCUUAAUCCCAGUCUAAGAGUGUGGCUAUUUUUCCCUUCUUUAUUUAGCUUCUGGUCAGUUUACUAUUUAAAUCAAAACUUUAAAAUUUCUUGCAAUACUUAGGGUGUUUUGUAUUUUUCCUAAGUAGUUUAUAUUAUUUAGAACCUAGCAAAAUUGGUUUGACCAAAUUUGGUUGACGAAAACUGAAGUUAUGAAUUUUACAAGCUAUGUUUACAUUUAAAUAAUAAAGUUUAAAAGGUUUUAAGAAAAACCAGUUUACAGCGAGACCCCUGGGCUUUUCCUAAACCAAGUCUUCAACUUAUGCCCCUGCGGAACUAUUCAUAUGAGUCUCUGACUGUACAAAACCCCCCCGGCUUCUUCUUCUUUCUCCUCGAGAUCCCUCCCCCCUUUGAAACAGUAACCGCGGAAGUAAACAGGGCGGUGCGGCUUACCCGCGGCGAGGGAGGUCCAGCGAAGGGUGGGGUUAGCUUCGGGAGGUCCUGGCGGUCACGUAGAGGUAUGGCUCGUCGACGGUGAUGGCCGGAAUCGGUCAGACCACGUGUGCAGGCGGGCGGGCUCGUCGACGGCGUGUGCUCCGGCCUGCUCACGGCGGUAGAGUUUAAUCCAAGGGCACAGGGAGCUUCACGGGGUGCUAAGGAAACUACCCAUGCAAGGAAUCGAAGGAAGACUCACCGUGGAGCUCGGUCUACGUGCACCGGCGGUCGGGUGAAGUCCGGCGACAUCGAUCCGGUGUCUCCGGCGAGGUAUAGUUCGAUUCCUGGCUCUGGAAGCUUCACCGAGGCACAUAGAGGCUAUCCCGAGGGUCGGACGGGGCGGGGAAUGACUACGAUGGCCGGUCUACGGUGGUCGGGUCUCGGGCAGCCGCUGGCAUGCCGUGCGCAGAGCGAUCGCCGGUGAUCUUGCGCUCCGACGAGGUUGAGAGUGAGCGGGGGCGUACGGUCGAGGCCUCGGUCGGCUUUAUAGGCGCGGGCGCGAGCGUGGGCACGGGUCUGGCUUGGCGCGGCGCGGUGCGCGCGGGUCGAGCCGAGGCGUGCUCUGGCGUUGCCAGGGCGCGUCGAACACGUGGCUGUGUUAUUCUACCCAAGUUCUUGUGCCUGCUGAGCACCCAAACGUGCGAAUCUUGCCAUAUGGCUAGUGUAAGAUUUCUUCCCUGCACCUAGAGCUACCUAGUUCAUGUGAGUUCCAAGGGGAGAUCAGGUCUGGCUUAGAAGAUAUGGUGGCGCCAAGUCUUGUCUGUCUGCACUGUUCAUCUCGCGACAAAACAUAUGCCAAACCAUGUCAAACCACCCUGGUUUGGUUUCAAACUUCUCAGGGGUGUGCCUUGGGUAGUUUGGCUACUUUUUGUUAUUUAGACCAUGUGGUUUUGGCGCCAUCAAAUAGGUGAACACUUCUGAUCUCUAGCUUAGGGUUGAUUUUUGACUUAGAGAAAAUGUGAGUUACUCUAUAGUGUCCUCCACUUGGGGCUGAUUUGGGGUCUUUGUGGGAUCUUUUUGUAAUAUUUCCCUUACUGUAUUUUAUAGAUAUAUUAAUGUACUUAAACUUUGGUAAAGGGUUUAAGUCAUGAAAUGUUCAUUUGCUUAUCCUUUCCAUUAAUCCAGUGUUUGGGGGUCUAAUGGCUCAAGAGGGGGUCUAGGGUUUGAGCCAUUUUUUCCAAGGUGAAAAUGUAUGAAAAUCUUGGGUAUUUCUUUUGUCAUGAUCAUUCCUUCAUCAAUGCAUGGUUUCUUUUGGUGCCUCUUCUCCCCCACUUAAACACAUGUGAUAAUAGGCCAUAAGUGCAUGUAUUGAGCCAGGGCCUCAGGUAACACCUGGGGUGUUACAGCCCUCCCCCCUUAAAGGAAUCUCGUCCCAAGAUUGGGUCGGGAUCCUUUAGUGGGGUACUAAGAAGGUGUAAGUUGAUGUGUUGCAGUUUCCUUUAACCAAGUUUCUCUAGUUAACUGCUCUUCAAAUGCCAUCCUCUUUGCAACUUCAGAAGGAAGUCCUUAUAAAUUUAUUUCCACAACUUACUCUACCCUUAAUAACUAGGUUUUUAUUAUAUUUAAAUUCAAAGGGCAGGUGGGGUGGGUGUUUUGGGUUACGUACUGACUCCUUUAGGCAGAAAGUCGGGGAAGCGAGAACGUAGAAAAUCCUCAAUCUCCCACGUAGCCUUUUCUUCUGUGUGGUUGCUCCACUGAAUCUUAUACAUUCAAAUUGACCUUGCUCGAGUUGAUCUUUCCUUUUGGUCCAAUACCUUGACGGGGUGCUCUUGAUAAGACAAGUCUAGUUCGAUCUCCAAUUCUGGUUCAGGUAGCACUUCCGUGGGUAAGCGGACACACUUUCAUAGCUGAGAUACGUGGAAUACAUCAUGAAUCGCUGACAUAUGGGGUGGCAACCUCAACUGGUAUGCUACAGGCCCACAAGUCUCUUUGAUUUCAUAGGGCCCAAUAUAGCGAGGAGCUAACUUUCCCUUGAUUCCAAACCUCUGAACACCUUUGGUGGGUGACACCGUAAGAUAUACAUGAUCCCCUACUUCUAAUUGUAGAGGCUUCCUCCUCUUAUCCUGAUAGCUCUUCUGUCUAGCCUGAGCAGCUUCCAAGUUCUUCUUAAUGACUCUGACUUUCUCCUCGGCUUCGAGCACUAAGUCAGGUCCAAAAAUUUCCCUCUCUCCAGCUUGUGACCAAUUUAGCGGUGUUCUGCACCUUCUCCCAUACAAGGCCUCGAACGGUGCCAUCUUUAGGCUGGACUGGUAGCUGUUGUUAUAAGAGAAUUCCGCCAAAGAAAGGCACUUAUCCCAAUUCUUGCCAUAGUGCAGCACACAUGCCCUCAACAUGUCUUCCAAAAUCUAAUUUACCCUUUCUGUCUGACCAUAUGUCUGAGGAUGGUACGCUGAGCUUCUUAUUACAUGGGUUCCAAGUAGGGAUGGUAAUUCUACCCGCGGGCACGGGUAUCCAUGGGUUUCGUACCCGAUGGGCAUGUAUACGGGUAAGAAAUCUCGCCGACGGGUAAGGAUACGGGCAACACUUCUCACCCGCGAGUAAUUGACGGAUAUAAAAAUUUGCCCGAGGGUAUUAUCCGUUACCCGCUUAAUUUACUAGCCCAUCAAAAUAUUCCCAUGCCACCAGCCCACAGACCACAGCCCAGUCGCCCACUCGCCCUCGAUUCCUCAAUCCCUAAAUCCCCCAGUAUGGUAUUUUCUGGUGCACAGUUUGAACUAUGUUCCUUGCCAUUAUAUUAUGUCUGUCAAGGUGUUGAUGUUCUUGGUGAAAUGAACAUGACCACAUACUCGUAUGGUAUUUUCUGGUGGGUAACGGGUUGCCCGAUAUCCGCGGAUAUCCUGCGGGUACGGGCAUGGGUCAAAAAUUUUACCCGCAAGCUCUCACGGGCACGGGUAAGCACUAGAGGCGCGGAUAUGUUGGCGGGCGGGUAAAUGGCUUACCUGCACUUUACCCGACCCGCUGCCAUCCCUAGUUCCAAGUGACUCUUGUAGUUGCUCCUAGAAACGUGCCACAAACGGUGCUCCUCUGUCUGACACGAUAGUCCUUGGUAUUCCAUGCAGACGCACUAUCUGGUCAAUAUAGAUUUCUGCAUACUUCUCUGCCCUGUGAGUGGUAUGUACUGGCAAGAAAUGAGUUGUCUUAGUUAGCCUGUCCACAAUGACCCAAAUAGAAUCGUGGUGUCGGGAUGUGUUGGGUAAACCCACAAUAAAAUCCAUGCAAAUAUCCUCCCAUUUCCAAGAUGGUAUGGGAAGGGGCUGUAAGGUACCCGCUACCUUCAAAUGACUAGCCUUGAUUCUUUGGCAAGUGUCGCAUUCAGAUACAUACUUAGCAAUUUUCCUCUUCAUUCUGGUCCACCAGUACAAGGAUCUGAGAUCAUGAUACAUCUUGUUACUGUCGGGGUGCAUGGAAAAUUUGGAAAGAUGAGCUUCAUCCAAUAUUUUCUUUCUGAGCUCUGGAUUUUUAGGAACUACCAAUCGGUCUUCAAACCAUAGAACUCCCUUGCUGUCCUGACGAAAGCAUUUGUACUUAUCCACCUUUUGUUCGAGCAUAUCCUUGAUGACUUGAACACCCUUGUCACCAAUCUGGGCCAUAAUUAUCUGCUCAUGUAAAGUGGGCUCCACUGAGAUAUAAUUCAAGGUACCUGAGGAAACAACUUCUAUGUUCAACUUGCAUAACUCGUCACACAGAGUGGCGAUCUUGGAGUCUAUAGUUACACAGUUGCACUGGGCCUUCCGACUUAAGGCAUCUGCCACAACAUUGGCCUUUCCAGGAUGGUAAUGCACUUCCAAAUCAUAGUCCUUGAUUAAUUCCAACCAUCUUCUCUGCCUCAUAUUAAGAUCCGCCUGAGUGAAAAUAUACUUGAGGCUCUUGUGAUCAGUAUAAAUAUUACAAUGUGCUCCCAUCAAAUAAUGUCUCUAUAUCUUCAGAGCAUGAACUACGGCUGCUAACUCCAGAUCAUGUGUGGGGUAGUUCUGCUCAUGAGGCCGAAGUGCUCGGGAUGCAUAGGCAAUAACUCUGUUGUCUUGCAUCAAGACACAUCCCAAUCCAGUGCCUGAAGCAUCACAAUAAACCUCAAAAGAUUUGGUGUUGUUAGGCUGUGCUAGCACGAGUGCUGUUGUCAGAUGCUGCCUCAAUGCAUGAAAGGCAUCCUCACAUUUCUGACUCCAUUCAUACUUUACUCCUUUCUUCAACAAUUCAGUCAUUGGCUUGGCAAUCCUGGAGAAAUCUGGAAUGAAUCGACGAUAAUAUCCUGCCAAUCCCAAAAAAACUCCGAAUCUGCCGUACAGUGGUAGGAGGCUUCCAAUUCAUCACUUCUUGUACUUUCUCAGGAUCCACAGAUAUCCCAUCUUGAGAAAUGGUGUGGCCCAAAAUUUUAAUUUCCUUUAGCCAGAAAUCACAUUUUGACAAUUUUGCAUACAACUGAUGAUCGCGCAGUCUCUGAAGUACUGUAUGCAAGUGCUUAGUAUGCUCCCGUUCAUUUCUUUAAUAUACCAGAAUGUCAUCGAUGAAAACCACCACAAACUUAUCUAGUUCUAGCAUAAAUACUGAAUUCAUAAAAUACAUGAAAUAUGCUGGGGCAUUUGUCAGCCCGAAAGACAUCACCAAGUACUCAUAGAGUCCAUAUCUGGUAGAGAAAGCCGUCUUCUGAAUAUCACUGGCCUUGAUUUUGAUCUGAUGAUAGCCAGAGUGAAGGUCUAUCUUGGAAAACACCUUGGCUCCCACCAACUGAUCAAACAAUACAUCAAUGUGGGGCAAUGGAUACUUAUUUUUUAUGGUCACCGCAUUGAGAGGGCGGUAAUCAACACACAAUUUCAGACUCUUGUCUUUUUUCUUCACGAACAAGGCUGGACAUCCCCAUGGAGAAGUACAUGGGCGAAUGAAUCCCUUGUCCAACAACUCUUGUAACUGCUUUUUCAAUUCUGCCAACUCUGCUGGAGGCAUCCUAUAGGGUCUCUUGGAUAUAGGGGUAGUUCCGGGUUGUAGCUCAAUUGCAAACUCUAUGUCUCUGUCGGGUGGCAUCCCUAGCAAUUCAUCUGGGAAAACAUCGGGAUACUCACAGACCAUUGGGAUCCUUUCGACGGGUGACUCUAUCAUGGUGAAGGCACAGGAACAGGUACAGCCCUGGUUAGGCAAAUAUUACGUAAUUUCACCACAAGUAGGUGAGUGUAUCUCAAUGGCCCUUGCUGCGAUAUCAAUCACUGCCUGAUGCCUUGAUAACCAGUCAGUUCCUAAUAUGAUAUCCACACUAUCUAAUCCCAAGAUGAGGAGGGUGGUUCUAAUUACAAGACUACCAAGUUUUAUAGGCACCUGCCUGUUGAUUUGAUAGGUGGCAACCCUGCCUCUUGGUGUUGAAAUUGUAAUGCCCCCAUUUGUGUGAUGGAAAGGUAACUGGCAUUUGGCACUAAAUUUUGCACUGAUAAACUGUGUGAUGAACCAGAAUCAAAAAUAAUGAUUGCAGGAUAAUUCAAAAUGGAAAAGAUACCAGUCAUGACAGGUGCUCCCUCUAGAAUAUCAGCCAUGGUGGUGAAGUUCAGUCUGCCUUGUCUCACUUGCACCUUCUGCCUCUUGCCUUGGUUCUGAUUGGAAUUUUGCCCCUGCCUCUGCUGGUUCUUGGGGCAAUUCUUAGCAUAGUGUCCAGUGCUGCCACAAGUGAAACAUCUGUUGUCAUUGGCCUGACGGUACUGCUGAUGUGGCUGGUUGUUGUUCCUCGGAACUGGGGCUGAGAGCGGUUGGGUGUCUGCUGCUGCUAUUGUGGUCGGAUCACCCACCGUCCGUGCUGCUAAGGUCCCCUACUCUGAGUGUCAGACACAAUCCUGAAACGCUGAGGCUGAGCUGAAGGUCCUGCCAUAGGGGUCUUCCUCUUCUUUUCUGCCUGGCGGGCUGUGACGCAGUCUUCCUGAGAAAUGGCCAUGUUGACUAACUCAUUGUAGUUGUUGGCCUUGACUGUGUUGAGAUGGUCGCGGAGCUUAGUACUAAGGCCCCUCCUGAACCUGUCCCUCUUCUUCUCAUCUGUGUUAGCAUGAUAGCCUGCAUACUGACAUAGGUCAUUGAAGGCCUGAGCGUACUGCAACACAGUACGAUUCCCCUGAGUAAUUGCCAGAAACUCAUUGAGCUUGCAGUCCAUGAUUCCUGCCGGUAUGUGAUGUCCUCUGAAUGCUUCCUUGAACUCUCCCCAUUCCACCACGUGGUCAACUGGCUGCAUAGCGAGGAAGUGAUCCCACCAUGUCCGCACGGGUCCGCAAAGCAGCUGGGUGGCAAAACGGACCUUAGCCACAUCUGAACAAACUACAGUAAGCAGUGGGAAUUUGGAUUCCACUACCCUAAGCCACACAUCAGCAUCAAGUGGAUCCUCUUCCCGAGUGAACAAUGGCGGCUGAGUGCUGAGGAACUCCUGAUAGGUGGCCGCUACUGGGGGACGCUGAUGUAGAUCAUGUUGGGGACUUGUUCUCAAAUGCUAUGAGUUAAGAACAAGGCAACAUAGAAAAUGUUAAUCGGUUAAGUCCUUCGUCCUUCGAAGCAUUAUUCCCCUUAGGAUAUAAUGGUUUUUCGGACGAAGGUUAUGAAGGGUGUACCUUCAUAAAUACACUAUAAAGUGACGAAGGAUGAAUUAUAAGGAAUAUAAAGGAUAACAUAGAUAAUUAUAUAUUAUUAUUAUGUAUAAACAGAAAUAACAUUGAAUUACAAAUGUACCUUCAACUUGAAGGAGAUGAAAGUACAAGCGUGACGCAAAAGCGAAUGCCAAAUCAGCGUGAACAGUACGGGGGUACUGUUCACCUAUUUAUAGGCGCGGGACACAGCCCAUACAAAAUUACAUUCAUGCCCUUUACAUUUGAUAAUAAUUCUAUAGUAAUCCAUCGAGGUCUGGAUAGCCUUUUCAUCUUUAAGUCGGUUUCAUUUUCUGCUACCACGCCGAAGCUUUCUUGCUCACAUCUUCGGCGCUAUAUCGACCUUCGUAUUAUUCUGGUCUUCUCCUGCCGCGAUACCGACUUGAGUCCGAAGGUACCUGCUCACACAUUAUACUCCAGAAAUACUGUUAAAUCCUGUUUUUGAGGACCUUCGUAAGCCGAAGGCCCCCAACAGUAGCCCCUCGCAAUAUUAAUUUGUUUUAAAAUAAUAAAUUUAGAUUGCGACGUGGACGAAGGCUUUACGCCGAAGGUCCGAAAAAACACCUUCCCUUUGCUAGAAUAGCAACAUUCACUGACAAACGGGGUCUUUCAAUUUUCAACGCACUGGGCAUAUAAAUAAGAUCAUACCGCAAACUCAUUUGGCACGCUUUCUUGCCAUCUGCUCCUGCUCACUCAAUUUUUAGCUUUUGCGCACCAAGAUUUGCUAAGCUUUUAAGUUUUGAAGCUUCGGCAUUGAAAACAGUUUUUUAGUAUUGCCGAAGAUGUCUGAAGAUAAGAAGGCUACUACCGAGAUGAAGCUAAGUCUCGAUGAAGAGAAGAAUCUGGGGUUUCUUAUAGCAAUGUCGAAGACCAAUACAGAAAAAAAUCACCAAGGAGAUUCUGGAAGGUUUGUCUGAAGAUACUGGUGACAGCGACAGUUAUGAUGUGGACAGCGGUGGUGAAGACUCCGAAGAUCGUCCCUGGCGACCAAGUCAUUCAGUUUAUGGUAAAUCAACUAUCAAAGAGAAUCAUCUUGUCAACAUGAGAGGAAGGUAUUUCCGGGAUUUGUCCGUUGUGAGGGCCGACGAAGGGGAAAAGACUUGUCCACACCCUGAAGAGAAUGAAGUCGUAGUGUACCGAAGCUUUUUGAAAGCUGGACUAAGAUUUCCCUUGAGCAGCUUCGUUGUGGAGGUGCUGAAAAUAUUCGAAGUCUAUCUUCACCAACUUACCCCCGAGGCAAUCAUAAGGCUGAAUAUCUUCGUGUGGGCCGUGAGAAGCCAAGGUCUGAAGCCUGAUGCAAAAAGUUUCUGCAAUAUACACGAGUUGUCAUACGAAACAAAACCUUGGGGUAAGAAACAGUAUCACAAUAAUUUUGGCUGCUAUAAUUUCGUUUCUCGGUCCGGGUCAAGCUGUCCCGUGCCAACCUUUCGGAAGAGAUGGCCCGGCGACUGGAUGACAGAAUGGUUUUAUGUGAAGAAUGACCUGACAGUACAAGAAGAUAUCAAAGGUAUAAUUAUGCGUCCUAUUUGGCAAAGCUUCGGCCUUCGGAGGCCGAAGGUUGAAAUGAAUGAAGCUGCCGAAGAAUGCCAGAGAGCCUUCGGCGUUAUCUGUUCUUUUAUUGGAACAAGAGAUUUAGUACAAGAGCAUAUUGCCUUCAGGGUAUGGCCACUCGCGGAGAAAUGGGAAAUGCCGCAAGAAACCAUAAAAGAGGUCGACGAAGGUGGGCUUAUCAGGCUGAAGUACACUUUUAAGUUCGGAGAUAAAUUCGUUGAGCCAGAUGAUGACUGGUUAAAAAGCAUUGAAAAUUUGAGUGAUGAACUGCUUGGGGUUUAUUCAAAGGCCGAAGAUACUGCACUGUCAGCAGCCUUCGAAGGCCGAAAAAAGAAGAGGCUGAAUCGGGUGUUUGAUGCAAUCGGGUUCGUCUACCCUGACUAUCGUUAUCCCAUUCGAGGGCAGAAACGAAAAAACACAACCUUUGCGAAAGAAGAAGCUGCAACUGCUCCUAGCGAGCCAGAACCAAAAAGAAAGAGGAUAAAGGUCCUCACACAUCGGCCGCGCUAUAUUGAACCAGCUUCGGUGCCUGAGUUCACCGGAGAAACUUCUUCGGCCACCGAGGCUGAAAAGCCAACCAAACCAACCUUGCUGCCAGAAGUUGCAGAAAUGGCCGAAGCGCCAACAAGGAUAGAAUUGGAAGAACCGAAAAUUUUGCUACCAGAAACCAAAGAGAUGGCCGAAGCGCCAUCCACAGAAAAAAUGGAAGAAGUGAAAAAACCAACUGAAGAAAAGACAUCAGAAGUUUUGAGUCCUGCAGCAAAUGUUGAAAUAGUAAAAAAUCAAAAAGUGCCAGCAGUGACUCCGAAAAGAAAGAGAAUGGCUAAUGUGCUAGAUGUACUGGAAACAAUUAAAUCUUCAAGCACACCUCCGAAAAAGACUGCUGCCAUUCCUGAAGCAACAACUGAAAUUUCUGAUACUAAAGCUCCAGAGCAAGAAACUGAAGCCGAAGCUGGGUCCUCAGAGCCCGCGAAGAUAAAAUCCUUGGAAACUGAGGAAGAAAAAAUAACAGAGCCAACUUUUGUUGAAGAAAUCGGUGUCAUUGCCCCCGAAGCAUCCUCCAAAGUCCGUGAUUAUAUUGUUCGUCAUGCUUCGGGGAAAAAACUAUCAGAAAAAGAAGAGCAAGAGGCCCAGCGCUACGCCCAAAAACUGAAGUAUCCAAAGGGGGCGUUAAUAUUCAAUGGCAGUGGAGAAGAAGACUUUUUGUAUUGUCUCCCUGACAGCAAGGAGAUUUCUGUCUGUCGGGAGAUGAGCAAGAGCUUCGGAUUCCCAACAUUGGAAGACGGGCUCUCGGUGCUGUCGAAGAACGAUCUGGCCGACAGCCUGGCAUAUAAUAACUUAAAGGUGCAACGAAUGAGAUCUUUGUAUUUUUUGUUGGGACCAAAAUUUUUCAUUUACUUAAAUCCAUUGACGCACACAUAUUUCUCUUUGCAGGGCCUGAUACUUAGCAAUGCCCUCAGGGCACAGAAAGAUGCUGAAGACGAAGGAUGUGCUAUAGCCCUGAGCAACCUUCGUUCCGAAGUAAUUGAACUUCGGAACGAAGGUCUCGAAAAAGAUAAAAUACUACAUUCAUUGAUAAAUAAAAUAAAGGAAGACGAAGCUGCUUUAAAAGGUCAAGCUGAGGCUCAAAAGCGCGAAAUUGAAGAUCUUCGGAAACAACUGGCCCGAGCCAAAGAAGAACGCAUACUUGAAGAAACGAAGCGAGAACUCAGCGACCAAUGGGCAGAUCACUUAGAAGGAACUGUUGAAGAGCUUCGUUCGUCCAAGAAGAGAUGCUAUAACAAAUCUAUAGAGUGUGUUAAGAAAUUAAAAGCUAGCUUCGCCAGGGUCGGCGCAUUCUCAAGCGAAGAAAACUUUACAAGAGGCAAUCCCGAAGGUCCCAUUGAAUGGAUCGAUCACGAAGCUGAGGCCUUCGAGGAAAUUUUAAAUAGCCGUGGAGAUAUAUGUGCUUUCUCGGGUGCUAGAGGAAUUGCCACCAUUUUAGAGAAAAAGGGCUGCGAACAUGUAAAGAUCUUAGCACAAUCCGAAGCUGGCUUGUCCUUUGAAGAUGCAAGAGAUCCUUCGGCCGAAGCUAGUAUGGUAGGUGGAAAAUUUUUCACCGACGUCUGGGACAAUGGUGGCCGAGAAAUGGCCCGAGAAAUUAUUCGAAGAAGCGAAAAGGGGAUUCACGAUGCUAGAGAAGUAGCUGAGGCUGCUGAGAAGAGCGCAGAGCCCGAAGGGCAAUUAGGUAUUAACUAAUAGUUUUUAUUGUGUUGUAAUUUUUGGUUUUAAGCUUCGUUUGCAAUUUGUAAUAGCAAUGUAGUCGUAUCCUGUCCUACUUCAGAUCCUGCUAAAGCGUCUCCGGGCCCUCAGCCGAAAGGAGACGACGAAAUUAAAAAGAUGGCUGAAGCUAUUAUGGACGAAGUCGUCGAUCGGCUCCUGAAUGAGGCUGCAGAAGUUGUUCUGAGAGAAGAUUAAACACUAUUGUAAAUUAAACUUCUGAAAUGUAAUAUGUGUGACAUCUUGUAGCCCUGAAUGUAAUAUACCUGCUUUUAUUAUUUAAUUCUUUACGAUGCAUGAAAUUUUACAUACGUACCGUUUUUGAGUCUUUGACGAAAAAACACCUUUCCUUCUUUUCAUGCUUCGUGAAGAAUGAUUUCCAUUUGCCACAACAAUAUUCGUGGUGCUCUGAUGAAUAAUAUCCAAGCUUCGUGAAAAUGUUCUCCGAAGCUACACUUCCGAAGAUCAAUAGUGUAUCUGCUUGCAACUUAGCAUGAUUUUCCCCUUUCAAAACAUACUUCCGAAGAUCGAUGUCAUGUCCCCUUCUUGUGCCAUAUGCAGCAUGAUGUAUGAUGCUUAUGCUAUGCGAAAUGAUGCGAUGAUGUUAUGCUGUGUAAGAUGGCGUUUAUUCCGAAGAUACACACACAUUCCUGCGAUAAAACACAUAAUCUUUUGAAUCAGCAUUGUCUUUUUACUAUAAGCCUCCCUUAGGAGCUUCUUCGCCUUUUAAUUCGGCGGAAUCAGCGUUUAUUUUUCGCUGUAAGCCUCCCUUAGGAGCUUCUUCGCCUUUUACUUUCAGCGGUAUUCGCGUUGACUUUUCGCGCUUCGCCUUUUACUUAGGCGGUAUCAGCGUUGACUUUUCGCUGUAUGCUCUGUAUUCCCUUUGGAACGACUUUGGAGCAGAAAACUUACACUGCGCUCCCUUUGGAACGACUUUUUGUGACUUCGGCAAACUUACUCUGCGUUCCUUAGAACGACUUUUUGUUGCUUCGAAGAAUUUUCGAUAAUUCGAAGGUCCUCUUUGUUAUCACAAGUCUUUAAACUUCAACAACUUAAGCCUGUGAAGAAAAUAUAUUUUCCUUGUGGGAAUCAACGAAACUAUUUACAUGAAACCUAAACAAUGUCCUUUAUUACACAGAAAAUAAAACUGAAUGAAAAAGAUUGCUAUUAAGGUAGGAUAUUUGUCAAUAGAUGUGCUUUGACUCUGGCACAGUGCUGUUGACUGUGCGAGCUUCGGACUGUUCUCUGAAGUCCCUUUGGUGUGGAGCAUAUUGGCUCCCUUCUGGCUGCUGGCCUUGUUGCAGCGGUGGUGGAGGCGGAGGCUGUUGCCAGGAAGCCUGAGGUUGACUCGCCGAAGCAACAGAAACUGCAAGGUGAUUGCCUACAUACUCUGGGAUGUAAGGCGAAUGAUACGAAGCAGUGUGUAUGACCUGCUUCGGCUGAGCCUGUUGUGAUGCCGCUUCGGCUAUUUCUUUUUGCUUCUGGAUGGUAACAUGGCACAUCCUGGUGGUAUGACCUUUGUUCUCACCACAGAAUAAGCAAAAGAUUCUUCUCGGUUGAUCGCCAAAUCUUCCUCCGAAGCCCCUGGCGCCUCUGCCUCUCGGAGCUGGUGGUCGGAAGGAGCCUUGCUGUUGCCCCGAAGCCUGUGAGGAACAUUGUGGCCUUUGCUGUUGGCUCCCUCUAUCAUCAUUUUGUGUAGAGUUAUGAAUUGAUCUAACGUGCCUCGGAUAGAACCUCCCUCCGAAGCCCCUGGUCAUCUCAGAAAACCUGAAAGCCUCCUCCCUUCUUUGGCGAAAAUCAUUAUCGGCCCGAAUGUACUCGUCCAUCUUAUGGAGCAGCUUCUCCAAAGUUGGAGGAGGCUUCCUAGCGAAGUACUGAGCUGACGGUCCUGGCCGAAGCCCCUUAAUCAUGGCCUCAAUGACAAUUUCGUUUGGCACUGUUGGUGCCUGUGCCCUCAAACGCAAGAACCUCCGGACGUACGCCUGAAGGUACUCUUCGUGAUCCUGGGUGCACUGGAAUAGAGCUUGAGCCGUGACCGGCUUUGUGGCGGAACAGCCCGAAUUAUUCCAACUUAAGUGCCCAAGUCCCGCCUUAAAGGCUAGACCACACUUAAAUGGGAAUAACCCGUCAAUCCCUCGGAUCUAGUCCGACACGGCCACUGACAGGAUCAAGUACCACAAUCUCACUCGAAGGUGAGUCACAGAGCAAAUACAAUAAAGCAUAAAACCAUACAUGUCACAAUGUUAAAUUAUUACAUCACCCUCAUCAUCAUCGGAGUUUUUGCAAAAGUAACCAUCAUUGUUCGAAGUGCAGCAGAAUGAAACUAACGGUAAUUAAACAGAGAGAUGGGGAAGCCUGUCCCAUCACUCCUCAUGCUCCUCCUCAGCCGAGGUAGGGUCCCACUCAACAGUCCAACCCGGUGGCAAGGUGGACGGCCAAGUUAUCCCAGCAACCAUCUCCUCCAGAGAACCUGUAAAAAUUAUGCCACAAGCAAGGCUGAGUAUACUAAUACUCAGCUAGACUUACCCGGUGUGAGGAGUCUACUCCUCUACCUCUAGACAUGCAGCUGUUUGGCUGUGGGGUUUGGUUGCCAAAAGCACUAGCUGAGUUUCUAAAUCAAGAUUUUAACUUAGUCAAAGUUAAGUGUGACUCUCUUAAGGCUAAAAGUGAACUAUCUACUCAUACAGGGUAGCAAGCAUUAUUAACAAUCAACAUCUUAUCUCAACUCAACAUACUUCCACUUAUUACUCAAUGUAGCAGCAUGGAUCAAGCAGUCUCAUUAACUGCGAGAAGCAGACGAUUCGAAUCGAGUUUUUAUCCUUGCAAGGUAAACCUAAACACACGACAUGCAGGGGCACUCCGUCCCCACACAUAUCAACCGUCCCCAUCGAUUCCCCGUCAGCAGAUCAGGGCUCACCGCCUUGGCGUACAAUGCCUCACUGACCCCGACUGGCCGUCGUGCAGUGACCGCACUUGUACCCACCAUAACCGGAAUGGGAGACCUCGUCUCAGGUCGCGUGAGGGGUAAAGUCCACUGCCAGGUUCAAUCAGGUACUAGGCUUACCGAUUUACCAUAUUUCUCGGCAUGUGCUUAGUACGUUCAAACGCUUGACUCACGGUACCACACCUUAAUCCUUAUUCAAAUUUUCAUCCCGUGAACAACCAAUCCCCAUGGAUUGUUGCCCACAAACCAGCAUCAGUACGAUAUGAAAGUGGGUACAAUCAAUGUCCUGACCUCGCGCGAGUGCUAGAAAAAUCACUCGACUUCUACCGAGAUCCUAAUUAAAUAAGCAGCUACUCGACCUAGCAUACUAGUAUUCAUCUCAGUGGGAUUCCUGAGAUCAUGCAACUAGGGUUUCAUACAACUCCUACACUUAAGUGCACAAUCAACCCUACAAUCAUUAAGUGAAGUAAAAUAGCAUAUAUAAACGGUUAUGCAUAAAACCGGGGCUUGCCUUCCAAAGCAGUGGCAGGCAGGUCCUCUGGUGCUGGCUCGGGUGCUGGAUCUGGGGCUACCUCCUGAGCAGCUCCUUGCUCCGGCACGAGGAUGUACUCUCCGUCAGCAAGAUUACAGUCUAUCGAAUGCAAUGAACAUGUAUGUCAUGAUUAUGCAUGAUUUAAUAACAUUAUGUAAAAGAAACUAAGUCGAGAAAUAACUUAGGGUUUCUUAGUCACGCGGGGCUUCUAGUGGUACAUAGAUCGACUUAUUACCCUUUGGACUCAGGUUUUCCUUUAGGAUAACAUAGUGGUUUGGUAUUGCCUUGAUAUAUUUUAGUGGACAGAUUUCAAAGUUUUUGGGACAACAUUUAUUCACAUCCUUCAUUUCUCUUUCCUUAAUUUCCAUUUAGGCUUUUAGUGUUGGUUUGAACUGCAACAGGGUUUUAAUAAUUUCCAAAAAUUCUGUAAAAAUUACAGUGGGUUAUCACUGGCUAUUCUAGCUUGUUUUAAGAAUUUGAGACUUAAAGAAUUAAAGUUGGGCUUUAAACAAAAAUAACAAAAGUUAGGCCAAAGGGGCCACUUCACACUACACCUCCUAGUUAGGGGUAGGUUCUGACCUAAAGGUUAUUUUUGUUGGCAUCCUCUGGUAAUAAUAGGUCUUUGUGCUAAAAAUCACAGGAAACUAAGGGGUGGUUAUUUAGUUAUGAUUUUCUCAAGUUUAAUGUCAAAAAGGUACUUUCUACUACAUUAUUAUUUGAAAAAUGUCAAACAGCAGAUUUCUUAUUUUUCCUAAGUUCUUUCUAAUGAAACAAUAGUUAUCCCAAAGGUGGGGGUGUUUUUACCUUGGGGUCAUUUUUGUAGGGUUUUUCUAAGUUAUCCUUGUUUUAUUAAAAUAAAAGAUAUCUUACUUAAUUUGUACUAAACCAGGGUAUGAUAUAUUUUUCCAGUGAACUCUAUUGAAUAAGUAACCUAACAAAAAUAGAAGUACUCUCUGGUUCAUUAAUUAAGUUACAUUUUCUAUUUUCCUUAUCCUUAAGCAUAUUUUAGAAUAAAGGGUAAAAUUAACUUGAAUGGAGUGGACAGAGGGGUUUAACAUUUUUACUUGGUCUAGUAGAUAGAUAUAAGCUUCUCAAAAUUUUUCUAGCCCUGGUCAAGCAAUAUUCCUAUUUUUCCUCCUAAUAUUGGGUUUUGAGUGGUUUUCUUAUUUAAUUCUAAACUUCAGAAAGAAAUACAGAAGCUAUGGGUCCUAUUAUUUUUCUCUGAUAGCUCAUAGAUUUCUGAAUCUAGCAAAAUUGGUUUGAACAUUUUUGGAUGAUUAUUCUGCAAGUUAUGCAUUUACUUAGCUAUCUGUUAUAACAAAAGAAAAGAAAUUCAAAAACAGAAAAAGAAAACGUGUUUACGCCGAGGCCCCUGGGGUUUUUCCUUUUCUUUUCUCACAGAACAGCCCUUGGCCCACUAUUGGCUUGAGUCACUGACAUUGCGCAAAGCCCCCUGGACUUAACUAAAAUCUAACCCGCGCUCCCUGACCGGCCUAAACAGUGCCCGCGGUACAUUUUACGGCGGUGGGGCUUACCGGCGGCAGUAGAGCUCCGGCGGGGUGGUCAGUGACGUCCGGGAGGUCGCAACGGUCACGCCGAUGUGCGGGUCGGAGUCGGAGGUGGUCGGAGCUACCCUGGCCACGAGCACAGGCGGCGGGGGUCGGCGGCGGCUCCUGCUCCGGCCAAACCACGGCGGCAUAGGUCAAUUAGAGGGCACGAGGAGCUUCACGAGGUGACACAGAGGCCGUACGCGCAAGGAAUUGGAAAACGGUGCAGGGGCUUACCCGGUCUACGUGCGCCGGCGGGUUCUUGAACUCCGGCGAGCACGACUGGGCUAUUCCGGUGACGCGGGUCCCCGGGUCAAGCUUGCGCAAGGCUCACAGCUUCACCAGGAAGCUCUCUGAAGGCUUGGAUCGAACGGAGGAGGACGGGAGAGGGGCUGGCCACGGUGGUUGCUCUCGGGCGGCACUGGCGGGUCGCGGGGAGGUCGCCGGAGUUAAUGGCUGGCUCGGGUGAGUCCGGCGCAGUACGGAGGAGGUAACGGGGAAGGCAGCCAAGCACUAGGGCGGGCUUUAUAGCCGCGGCGCGGGCGUGGUCACGGGCGGCCGCGGGUGCGCGGGGGUUCGCGCACGGGCGUGCUCUGAGCGCGCCCCCGGAUGCCAGCUCGCGUCGAACACGUGGAGGCUUGCUUCUGCCAUGGUUCAACGGCCGAUUAGAGCGCCAUAGCGUGCGUAUCUUGGCAAGGUCGAUGUGUACGGUCGCUUCUCUGCUCCAAAUCCUAUCUUUUCGCUGUGAGUUCCAAGUCGAGAUAUGGUCGGGGUAGAGAGAUAGAGAGGGGAGAAGUUUGCUGUGUCAGCCAAGCCCGAACCGAGACAAAAGGAGUGUCAAGUCAUGUCUAGCGCCCUAGGAUAGGUGUCAUCUCUUUCCAGGGUGUUCUAGGGUUAGUUUGGCGCCAUUUUGUCAAUUGGGUCGCAGGGUUUUGAAAAGGGGAUUAAGGUGAACAUGUGGAGUCUUUGUGCAAGGGUUAGUUUUUGUACUUAGGCAAAAACUGAAUUUUCCCUUGUGCUCAAUCUUAGGUGAAUUGUUUAGGGUUUUUCUGAAAACUUUUUGGGGGUACUUCCUUACUAUUAAUUGUAGGUUGUUAAGUGUACUACAACUUUUAUAUUUGGCCCAAACCAUGAUCACAAGGUUUACAUAAUCUUUUGAAUCAUGGCUUCAAUUAGGGUUCCCAUUGCCUAUGGGGGUUUUGCUCUAGGGUUUUGGGAGAUCCCCACUUAGAUGUGCAUGAUAAGCUAGGGCAUGACAUCCAAAGUGGAUUACACUUGCUUAGGACCUAGAAUUCCAAGUGUGGUAUACUUUGCCCAAAUCAAUCUUCAUGUGAUAAUGGGUAAAAGGGGUAACCCUGGGGUGGACACCCUGAGUAACACCUGGGGUGUUACAGCCCUCCCCCCUUAAAGGAAUCUCGUCCCGAGAUUUAGGUAGAGUCCCUUGGAGGGUGCUUGAAGGUGUGCUGGUGUUGUUUUUCCUUCACACUUAGGUUUCUCUUAUUAACUGCUCUUCGAAUGUCAUCCUCUUUGCAACUUCAGAAGGAAGCCCUUCUUAAGUUAAAUCCACAACUUGGACUAUCCUUGUCAUCUAAGUUUUUCUUAUAAUUGAAUUCAAAGGGCAGGUGGGGGUGGGGUUUUGGGGUUACAUACCGACUCCUUUGGGUAGAAAGUCGGGGAAGCGAGAGCGUAGAAAAUCCUCAGUCUCCCAUGUAGCUUCUUCUGCUGAAUGGUGACUCCACUGAACCUUAUACAUUCUGACCGACCUUGCCCGAGUUGAUCUCUCCUUUUGAUCUAAUACCUUGACGGGGUACUCUUGGUAGGAUAAGUCUGGUUCUAUCUCAAUGUCUGGUUCCGAGAGUACUUCAGUGGGUAGACGAACGCAUUUCCGCAGCUGAGAUACAUGGAACACAUUAUGAACUGCUGACAUGUGAGGUGGCAAUUCCACUUGAUAGGCUACGGGUCCACAAGCCUCCUUGAUCUUGUAGGGUCCAAUAUAGCGAGGAGCUAACUUGCCCUUGAUCCCGAAUCUCUGAACACCCUUGGUGGGUGACACCUUAAGAUAGACAUGAUCUCCCACCUCAAACUGUAGAGGCUUCCGCCUCUUGUCAUGAUAGCUCCUUUGCCUGGCCUGAGCAGCUUCUAAGUUCUUGGUAAUGACCCUGACCUUUGCCUCUGCCUCGAGUACCAAGUCUGGCCCAAAAAUUUCCCUUUCUCCUGCUUGAGACCAAUUUAGUGGGGUCCUACACCUUCUCCCAUAUAAUGCCUCAAAAGGUGCCAUCUUCAGACUGGAUUGAUAGCUGUUAUUGUAAGAAAACUCUGCCAAAGACAGACACUUGUCCCAAUCCUUCCCAUAAUGUAGUGCACAUGCUCGCAACAUGUCUUCCAAAAUCUGAUUCACCCUUUCUGUUUGGCCAUCUGUUUGAGGGUGAUAUGCUGAGCUUCGGAUGACAUGGGUCCCAAGUGACUCUUGCAAUUGCUCUCAAAAUCGUGCCACAAAUGGUGCUCCUCUGUCAGAUACAAUGGUCUUGGGAAUGCCAUGCAACCUUACUAUCUGAUCAAUAUAAAUUUCAGCGUACUUUUCUGCCCUGUGGGUGGUAUGCACUGGCAAGAAAUGAGCAGUCUUGGUCAACCUGUCCACGAUAACCCAAAUAGAAUCAUGGUGCCUGGAGGUAUUGGGUAAUCCCACUAUGAAGUCCAUGCAAAUGUCCUCCCAUUUCCAAUAUGGUAUGGGAAGGGGUUGCAAAGGGCCUGCUGCCUUCAAGUGACUAGCUUUAAUUCUCUGGCAGGUGUCACAUUCGGAUAUGUACCUGGCAAUUUCCCUUUUCAUUCUAGUCCACCAAUAUAAAGAUCUGAGGUCAUGGUACAUCUUGUUGCUACCAGGGUGCAUGGAGAAUUUGGAAAGGUGAGCUUCAUCUAGUACCUUCUUUCUAAGCUCAGGGUCCUUGGGGACAACCAAUCGAUCUCCAAACCAUAGAAUUCCCUGGCUGUCCUGUCGGAAACACUUAUAUUUUUCUGCCUUUUGCUUGAUCAUUUCCUUGAUAACCUGAACACCCUUAUCCUCAACCUGUGCCCUGACUAUCUGUUCUUGCAAUGUGGGUUCCACCGAGAUAUAGCUUAGGUUACCCGAAGAAACAACUUCCAGGUUCAGCUUGCACAACUCAUCACACAGUGUGGUCACUCCCACAUCCAUGCUCAUACAAUUACACUGGGCCUUUCUACUCAAGGCAUCUGCCACAACAUUGGCCUUCCCCGGGUGAUAAUGCACCUCCAAAUCAUAGUCCUUGAUUAACUCCAACCAUCUCCUUUGCCUCAUGUUCAGAUCUGCCUGAGUGAAAAUGUAUUUGAGACUCUUGUGAUCAGUGUAGAUGUUACAGUGAGCUCCCAUCAAGUAGUGUCUCCAUAUCUUUAGAGCAUGGACUACUGCUGCCAAUUCUAGAUCAUGCGUAGGGUAGUUCUGCUCAUGGGGCCUGAGUGCCCGGGAAGCAUAAGCAAUCACUCUAUUCUCUUGCAUCAAGACACAUCCCAAACCAGUACCCGAAGCAUCACAAUAAACUUCAAAUGGCUUGGUGUUGUCAGGUUGAGCUAGCAUUGGGGCUGUUGUCAAAUGCUGCCUCAAGGUAUGGAAUGCAUCUUCACACUUUUGGCUCCACUCAAAUUUGAUUCCCUUCUUCAACAGUUCAGUCAUUGGUUUGGCAAUUCUGGAGAAAUCCGGAAUAAAUCGCCGAUAAUACCCUGCCAAUCCUAGAAAACUCCGAAUCUGCUUUACUGUAGUCGGGGGCUUCCAGUCCAUUACCUCUUGCACCUUCUCAGGAUCAACUGAUAUCCCAUCCUGAGAAAUGGUGUGACCCAAGAAUUUAAUCUCUUUCAGCCAGAACUCACAUUUAGAUAACUUAGCAUAAAGAUGAUGGUCUCGCAGUCGCUGAAGUACAAUGUGAAGGUGCUCAGUAUGCUCGUCCUCAUUCUUGGAAUAGACCAGAAUAUCGUCAAUGAAAACGACCACGAACUUAUCCAAUUCUGGCAUAAACACUGAGUUCAUCAGGUACAUAAAAUAAGCCGGGGCAUUGGUCAGCCCAAAAGACAUCACCAGAAACUCAUACAGUCCAUAUCUGGUAGAAAAAGGCGUCUUGGGAAUAUCGCUAGCGCGGAUCUUGAUCUGAUGGUAUCCCGAGCGAAGGUCUAUCUUGGAGAAUACCUUGGCUCCAACCAACUGAUCAAACAGAACAUCAAUGCGGGGCAGCGGAUAUUUGUUCUUUAUAGUCACCGCAUUGAGAGGACGGUAGUCAACACACAUCCUCAAACUCUCAUCCUUUUUCUUCACAAAUAAAGCUGGACAUCCCCACGGUGAAGUGCUGGGACGAAUAAACCCCUUGUCCAACAACUCUUGCAAUUGUUUCUUCAGUUCUGCCAAUUCCGCGGGAGGCAUCCUAUAAGGUCUCUUGGAGAUAGGAGCAGUCCCGGGUUGCAAUUCGAUGGCGAACUCAAUAUCUCGGUCAGGUGGCAUUCCUGGCAAUUCAUCCGGAAAAACAUCCGGAUAGUCACAGACUACUGGGAUCUUUUCCACUGGGGAUUCUAACAUAACAAAAGCACAAGAUCGGGUACAACCCUGGUCAGGCAAAUACAGUGUGGUCUCACCGCAAGUUGGUGAGUGCACCUCAAUGGCUCUGGCUGCAAUAUCCAUAACUGCUUGGUGCCUGGUCAACCAGUCAGCUCCCAAUAUAAUAUCCACACUAUCCAACCCCAUUAUCAUUAGGGUAGUUUUGAUUAUGAGACUACCCAGCUUAAUUGGUACGUGCCUACAGAUCUGAUAGGAGGCAACCCUGCCUCCUGGUGUUGAAAUUGUAAUACCCCCAUUGGUGUGGUGAAAAGGCAAUUGGCACUUGGCACAAAAUUUGGUACUGAUAAAACUGUGUGAUGCACCAGAAUCAAAAAGAACAAUAGCAGGAUAAUUCAAAACUGUUAAGAUACCAGUCAAGACGGGUGCUCCCUCUGGGAUAUCAACCAUGGUGGUGAAGUUUAGUCUGCCCUGCCUCACUUGCACCUUCUGUCUCUUGCCUUGGUUCUGAUUUGUAUUCUGCCCCUGCCUCUGCUGGUUCCUGGGGCAAUUCUUGGCAUAAUGCCCAGUGUUACCGCAAGUGAAGCACCUGUUGUCAUUGGCUUGGCGGUACUGCUGCUGCUGAUUAUUCCGCUGUGCUGGAAAUUGAUUGCGGUUGGGUGCCUGCUGCUGCUGUUGCUGAGGUCGGAUUACCCAUAGCCCUUGCUGCUGCUGGGCCCCCUGCCCUGGGUGUCGGACACAAUUCUGAAGCGCUGUGGCUGAGCUGAGGGUCCUGCCACGGGGGUCUUCCUCUUCUUCUCUGCCUGCCUAGCUGUAAUGCAGUCCUCCUGGGAGAUGGCCAUGUUGACCAACUCAUUGUAGCUGUUGGCCCUGACGGUGUUGAGACGAUCCCGGAGCUUAGUGCUGAGCCCCCUUCUGAAUCUGUCCCUCUUCUUCUCAUCUGUAUCCGCAUGAUAUCCCGCGUACUGGCACAAGUCAUUAAAGGCCUGGGCAUACUGCAACACUGUCCUGUUGCCCUGAGUGAGUGCCAAGAACUCAUUGAGUUUCCUGUCCAUGAUCCCGGCUGGUAUAUGGUGUCCUCUAAAAGCUGCCUUGAACUGCCUCCACUCCACCUCUCGGUCCUCUGGCUGCAUAGCAAGAAAAUGAUCCCACCAAGUCCUUGCAGGUCCGCGAAGCUGCUGGGUGGCGAACCUGACUUUGGUGACCUCUGAGCAAAUUCCAUGGAGCAGUGGGAAUUUGGAUUCCACCACUCGCAGCCACACAUCUGCGUCAAGUGGGUCCUCCGCCCUUGUGAACAAUGGAGGCUGGGUGCUGAGGAAUUCCUGAUAGGUGGCCGCCGCGGGGUGACGUUGGUGGUCCCCACCACCAUAAUGCUGAGGUGGUGGCUGACGUUGAGCCAGCUGCCUCAGGAUCUCAUUCUGCUGAGCCAUGAGCUCCUGCAGAGUGGGAGGUGGUGGUGGCGGUGGAGGAACACGCUCGUUCUGGCCACGACGCUGCCUCCCGGCCAUCUGAAAAACCACAUACUCACUUAACACCACAAUUCCAAAUUUCAAGAUUUUUUUAUCACGAGGACAAGUUAAAACAGCAUGAUAGACUCCGACUUCAACAAAAGGGAUUUUUACGAGGCAUAAAUUUUUCCUUCCAAAUUUAAACUGAUAAAAGCAUCCAUCAAACAAGCUCCCAAGAGAGUUUAACCCGGUUACAUCAAAUUGUUCCAAAAUGACUCAACUCUAACUAGCCUAGUACCCCAAGGGUGCAAAAGCUAAGCUAGCUGCGAGGAGUCCGACUGUCCAACUUCUAAGCCUACCCUGGACACCUAGUGAGCGAACGAAGCAACACUUGACUCGGGGGAAGGUGGUCUUCCCGAGCCAGCAGUGUCCACACUGGAGGCAGGAUCAUCUCCUCCCUCAAUGUCGACGUCCUCGUUGGCCUCCUGGUCCUGGAUCUCCUGGUGGUGCAUGUCCAGGUGCUCGUUAGCCUCAGCAAGCUGUUGCUGAGUGUUAAUGAGCUGAUCCUCGAGAACCUCAAUGGUGUUCUCCCUUGUACCUACCAGCUCCUCCAACUCCUGAAUAUCGGUGGAUAGCUGCUCCACCUGCAAGUCCUUCUCCACUAAUUCUUGGGAUAAGUCAACCACGAGCUCCUCUCUGUUAUCCAGCGUGGUCUUUGUUGCCUCUAGUAGUGCCAUCAGAUGGGACAUUGCCUCACCGCGCAUCACUUGCAGUCGGUACAGAGCAUUCAUGCACCGUACUGUCAAGUGCGCAGUCUGUCCUGGGUAGAUGGCCCAGAUGUCCUUGGCAUGCUCCACCCGAUCCUUCCACAUUGGGUCGUCCUCCUUCUCAGCGGGGAACAAGCCAAUGGGGUGGGUAGCCAGCUCCAAGGGAUGGAAUCCGCAGAAGGUAGUCAAUCCAUGCAGAGCGAUCGCCUCGAUCGUGUCCUCUGCCCGGUACCCGAAAGACUCGGAGUCCAAGGAGCGCCAGCCUGGCUGCAGGGGAUGAGGCUCCAAAGUCAUCCUCACCCUACAGCGGGGCACCCGGUGCUUCUCGAACUGCUGCACCGCGUACUGAGGGGGUGUCGUGUAUCCAGCCCCCUGAAGUACCUCCCACAAAAUGCGGGGAAAACCCUCUCGUGCAAGCCCGUCAGUGUGGGUCAGUGCAUUUUCAUCAUCGGAGGAUCCAUGGGAAGUCAUCUGUGUACGGUUAAGCAUAAGUAAAAGAAAAAGAAUGGUAAAAAGAACAAGGAAAAUAAAACUCAGCCCUUCUCUAGUUAAGUAAAAAGGCACUAGGGACCUAGUUGGUUGUUAUCUUGUUUUUAAGUCCUUUACUCAGUUAUCCAUUUGCUUAAUUAUGAAUGCAUGCAUGCUCGUCCUGAACGACCUCACAACAAGAUAAAAGGAAUAGGGAGGAACUCCCAUCCUGUAAAAGUGGCCUGUAGGGCCUAGUUACUUAGCCACCUAGCUACCAUUCUAUUAACCUAAGGCUUCACGUCCUAGGUCUAUCCUGUUCGUCCUACUAUCUAUUCAACCUUGUUUCUAUCAAGUUUUAUUUAGAAACUUGAUGGUAUUUAUAUUUUAUUGAUUCCUCUGUGGUGGUACAAGCUCCGAUACCAGCUGUGGCGGAACUGCCCGAAUUAUUCCAACUUAAGUGCCCAAGUCCCGCCUUAAAGGCUAGACCACACUUAAAUGGGAAUAACCCGUCAAUCCCUCGGAUCUAGUCCGACACGGCCACUGACAGGAUCAAGUACCACAAUCUCACUCGAAGGUGAGUCACAGAGCAAAUACAAUAAAGCAUAAAACCAUACAUGUCACAAUGUUAAAUUAUUACAUCACCCUCAUCAUCAUCGGAGUUUUUGCAAAAGUAACCAUCAUUGUUCGAAGUGCAGCGGAAUGAAACUAACGGUAAUUAAACAGAGAGAUGGGGAAGCCUGUCCCAUCACUCCUCAUGCUCCUCCUCAGCCGAGGUAGGGUCCCACUCAACAGUCCAACCCGGUGGCAAGGUGGACGACCAAGUUAUCCCAGCAACCAUCUCCUCCAGAGAACCUGUAAAAAUUAUGACACAAGCAAGGCUGAGUAUACUAAUACUCAGCUAGACUUACCCGGUGUGAGGAGUCUACUCCUCUACCUCUAGACAUGCAGUUGUUUGGCUGUGGGGUUUGGUUGCCAAAAGCACUAGCUGAGUUUCUAAAUCAAGAUUUUAACUUAGUCAAAGUUAAGUGUGACUCUCUUAAGGCUAAAAGUGAACUAUCUACUCAUACAGGGUAGCAAGCAUUAUUAACAAUCAACAUAUUAUCUCAACUCAACAUACUUCCACUUAUUACUCAAUGUAGCAGCAUGGAUCAAGCAGUCUCAUUAACUGCGAGAAGCAGACGAUUCGAAUCGAGUUUUUAUCCUUGCAAGGUAAACCUAAACACACGACAUGCAGGGGCACUCCGUCCCCACACAUAUCAACCGUCCCCAUCGAUUCCCGUCAGCAGAUCAGGGCUCACCGCCUUGGCGUACAAUGCCUCACUGACUCCGACUGGCCGUCGUGCAGUGACCGCACUUGUACCCACCAUAACCGGAAUGGAGACCUCGUCUCAGGUCGCGUGAGGGGUAAAGUCCACUGCCAGGUUCAAUCAGGUACUAGGCUUACCGAUUUACCAUAUUUCUCGGCAUGUGCUUAGUACGUUCAAACGCUUGACUCACGGUACCACACCUUAAUCCUUAUUCAAAUUUUCAUCCCGUGAACAACCAAUCCCUAUGGAUUGUUGCCCACAAACCAGCAUCAGUACGAUAUGAAAGUGGUACAAUCAAUGUCCUGACCUCGCGCGAGUGCUAGAAAAAUCACUCGACUUCUACCGAGAUCCUAAUUAAAUAAGCAGCUACUCGACCUAGCAUACUAGUAUUCAUCUCAAUGGGAUUCCUGAGAUCAUGCAACUAGGGUUUCAUACAACUCCUACACUUAGGUGCACAAUCAACCCUACAAUCAUUAAGUGAAGUAAAAUAGCAUAUAUAAACGGUUAUGCAUAAAACCGGGGCUUGCCUUCCAAAGCAGUGCAGGCAGGUCCUCUGUGCUGGCUCGGGUGCUGGAUCUGGGGCUACCUCCUGAGCAGCUCCUUGCUCCGGCACGAGGAUUACUCUCCGUCAGCAAGAUUACAGUCUAUCGAAUGCAAUGAACAUGUAUGUCAUGAUAUGCAUGAUUUAAUAACAUUAUGUAAAAGAAACUAAGUCGAGAAAUAACUUAGGGUUUCUUAGUCACGCGGGGCUCUAGUGGUACAUAGAUCGACUUAUUACCCUUUGGACUCAGGUUUUCCUUUAGGAUAACAUAGUGGUUUGGUAUUGCCUUGAUAUAUUUUAGUGGACAGAUUUCAAAGUUUUUGGGACAACAUUUAUUCACAUCCUUCAUUUCUCUUUCCUUAAUUUCCAUUUAGGCUUUUAGUGUUGGUUUGAACUGCAACAGGGUUUUAAUAAUUUCCAAAAAUUCUGUAAAAAUUACAGUGGGUUAUCACUGGAUAUUCUAGCUUGUUUUAAGAAUUUGAGGCUUAAAGAAUAAAGUUGGGCUUUAAACAAAAAUACAAAAGUUAGGCCAAAGGGGCCACUUCACACUACACCUCCUAGUUAGGGGUAGGUUCUGACCUAAAGGUUAUUUUUGUUGGCAUCCUCUGGUAAUAAUAGGUCUUUGUGCUAAAAAUCACAGGAAACUAAGGGUGGUUAUUUAGUUAUGAUUUUCUCAAGUUUAAUGUCAAAAAGUACUUUCUACUACAUUAUUAUUUGAAAAAUGUCAACAGCAGAUUUCUUAUUUUCCUAAGUUCUUUCUAAUGAAACAAUAGUUAUCCCAAAAGUGGGGUGUUUUUACCUUGGGGUCAUUUUUGUAGGGUUUUUCUAAGUUAUCCUUGUUUUAUUAAAAUAAAAGAUAUCUUACUUAAUUUGUACUAAACCAGGGUAUGAUAUAUUUUUCCAGUGAACUCUAUUGAAUAAGUAACCUAACAAAAAUAGAAGUACUCUCUAGUUCAUUAAUUAAGUUACAUUUUCUAUUUUCCUUAUCCUUAAGCAUAUUUUAGAAUAAAGGGUAAAAUUAACUUGAAUGGAGUGGACAGAGGGGUUUAACAUUUUUACUUGGUCUAGUAGAUAGAUAUAAGCUUCUCAAAAUUUUUCUAGCCCUGGUCAAGCAAUAUUCCUAUUUUUCCUCCUAAUAUUGGGUUUUGAGUGGUUUCUUAUUUAAUUCUAAACUUCAGAAAGAAAUACAGAAGCUAUGGGUCCUAUUAUUUUUCUCUGAUAGCUCAUAGAUUUCUGAAUCUAGCAAAAUUGGUUUGAACAUUUUUGGAUGAUUAUUCUGCAAGUUAUGCAUUUACUUACUAUCUGUUAUAACAAAGAAAAGAAAUUCAAAAACAGAAAAGAAAACGUGUUUACGCCGAGCCCCUGGGGUUUUUCCUUUUCUUUUCUCACAGAACAGCCCUUGGCCCACUAUUGGCUUGAGUCACUGACAUUGCGCAAAGCCCCCUGGACUUAACUAAAUCUAACCCGCGCUCCCUGACCGGCCUAAACAGUGCCCACGGUACAUUUUACGGCGGUGGGGCUUACCGGCCAGUAGAGCUCCGGCGGGGUGGUCAGUGAUGUCCGGGAGGUCGCAACGGUCACGCCGAUGUGCGGGUCGGAGUCGGAGGUGGUCGGAGCUACCCUGGCCACGAGCACAAGCGGCGGGGUCGUCGGCGCUCCUGCUCCGGCCAAACCACGGCGGCAUAGGUCAUUAGAGGGCACGAGGAGCUUCACGAGGUGACACAGAGGCCGUACGCGCAAGGAAUUGGAAAACGGUGCAGGGGCUUACCCGGUCACGUGCGCGGCGGGUUCUUGAACUCCGGCGAGCACGACUGGGCUAUUCCGGUGACGCGGGUCCCCGGGUCAAGCUUGCGCAAGGCUCACGGCUUCACCAGGAAGCUCUCUGAAGGCUUGGAUCGAACGGAGGAGGACGGGAGAGGGCUGGCCACGGUGGUUGCUCUCGGCGGCACUGGCGGGUCGCGGGGAGGUCGCCGGAGUUAAUGGCUGGCUCGGGUGAGUCCGGCGCAGUACGGAGGAGGUAACGGGGAAGGCAGCCAAGCACUAGGGCGGGCUUUAUAGCCGCGCGCGGCGUGGUCACGGGCGGCCGCGGGUGCGCGGGGGUUCGCGCACGGGCGUGCUCUGAGCGCGCCCCGGAUGCCAGCUCGCGUCGAACACGUGGAGGCUUGCUUCUGCCAUGGUUCAACGGCCGAUUAGAGCGCCAUAGCGUGCGUAUCUUGGCAAGGUCGCUGUGUACGGUCGCUUCUCUGCUCCAAAUCCUAUCUUUUCGCUGUGAGUUCCAAGUCGAGAUAUGGUCGGGGUAGAGAGAUAGAGAGGGGAGAAGUUUGCUGUGUCAGCCAAGCCCGAACCGAGACAAAAGGAGUGUCAAGUCAUGUCUAGCGCCCUAGGAUAGGUGUCAUCUCUUUCCAGGGUGUUCUAGGGUUAAUUGGCACCAUUUUGUCAAUUGGGUUCGCAGGGUUUUGAAAAGGGGAUUAAGGUGAACAUGUGGAGUCUUUGUGCAGGGUUAGUUUUUGUACUUAGGCAAAAACUGAAUUUUCCCUUGUGCUCAAUCUUAGGUGAAUUGUUUAGGGUUUUUCUGAAAAACUUUUUGGGGGUACUUCCUUACAUUAAUUGUAGGUUGUUAAGUGUACUACAACUUUUAUAUUUGGCCCAAACCAUGAUCACAAGGUUUACAUAAUCUUUUGAAUCAUGGCUUCAAUUAGGGUUCCCAUUGCCUAUGGGGGUUUUGCUCUAGGGUUUGGGAGAUCCCCACUUAGAUGUGCAUGAUAAGCUAGGGCAUGACAUCCAAGUGGAUUACACUUGCUUAGGACCUAGAAUUCCAAGUGUGGUAUACUUUGCCCAAAUCAAUCUUCAUGUGAUAAUGGGUAAAAGGGGUAACCCUGGGGUGGACACCCUGAGUAACACCUGGGGUGUUACANNNNNNNNNNNNNNNNNNNNNNNNNNNNNNNNNNNNNNNNNNNNNNNNNNNNNNNNNNNNNNNNNNNNNNNNNNNNNNNNNNNNNNNNNNNNNNNNNNNNAUGUUACGGUCGCUUCUCUGCUCCAAAUCCUAUCUUUCGCUGUGAGUUCCAAGUCGAGAUAUGGUCGGGGUAGAGAGAUAGAGAGGGGAGAAGUUUGCUGUGUCAGCCAAGCCCGAACCGAGACAAAAGGAGUGUCAAUCAUGUCUAGCGCCCUAGGAUAGGUGUCAUCUCUUUCCAGGGUGUUCUAGGGUUAGUUUGGCGCCAUUUUGUCAAUUGGGUCGCAGGGUUUUGAAAAGGGGAUUAAGGUGAACAGUGGAGUCUUUGUGCAAGGGUUAGUUUUUGUACUUAGGCAAAAACUGAAUUUUCCUUGUGCUCAAUCUUAGGUGAAUUGUUUAGGGUUUUUCUGAAAACUUUUUGGGGGUACUUCCUUACUAUUAAUUGUAGGUUGUUAAGUGUACUACAACUUUUAUAUUUGGCCCAAACCAUGAUCAACAAGGUUUACAUAAUCUUUUGAAUCAUGGCUUCAAUUAGGGUUCCAUUGCCUAUGGGGUUUUGCUCUAGGGUUUUGGGAGAUCCCCACUUAGAUGUGCAUGAUAAGCUAGGGCAUGACAUCCAAAGUGGAUUACACUUGCUUAGGACCUAGAAUUCCAAGUGUGGUAUACUUUGCCCAAAUCAAUCUUCAUGUGAUAAUGGGUAAAAGGGUAACCCUGGGUGGACACCCUGAGUAACACCUGGGGUGUUACAGCCCUCCCCCCUUAAAGGAAUUCGUCCCGAGAUUUAGGUAGAGUCCCUUGGAGGGUGCUUGAAGGUGUGCUGGUGUUGUUUUUCCUUCACACUUAGGUUUCUCUUAUUAACUGCUCUUCGAAUGUCAUCCUCUUUGCAACUUCAGAAGGAAGCCUUCUUAAGUUAAAUCCACAACUUGGACUAUCCUUGUCAUCUAAGUUUUCUUAUAAUUGAAUUCAAAGGGCAGGUGGGGGUGGGGUUUUGGGGUUACAUACCGACUCCUUUGGGUAGAAAGUCGGGGAAGCGAGAGCGUAGAAAAUCCUCAGUCUCCCAUGUAGCUUCUUCUGCUGAAUGGUGACUCCACUGAACCUUAUACAUUCUGACCGACCUUGCCCGAGUUGAUCUCUCCUUUUGAUCUAAUACCUUGACGGGGUACUCUUGGUAGGAUAAGUCUGGUUCUAUCUCAAUGUCUGGUUCCGAGAGUACUUCAGUGGGUAGACGAACGCAUUUCCGCAGCUGAGAUACAUGGAACACAUUAUGAACUGCUGACAUGUGAGGUGGCAAUUCCACUUGAUAGGCUACGGGUCCACAAGCCUCCUUGAUCUUGUAGGGUCCAAUAUAGCGAGGAGCUAACUUGCCCUUGAUCCCGAAUCUCUGAACACCCUUGGUGGGUGACACCUUAAGAUAGACAUGAUCUCCCACCUCAAACUGUAGAGGCUUCCGCCUCUUGUCAUGAUAGCUCCUUUGCCUGGCCUGAGCAGCUUCUAAGUUCUUGGUAAUGACCCUGACCUUUGCCUCUGCCUCGAGUACCAAGUCUGGCCCAAAAAUUUCCCUUUCUCCUGCUUGAGACCAAUUUAGUGGGGUCCUACACCUUCUCCCAUAUAAUGCCUCAAAAGGUGCCAUCUUCAGACUGGAUUGAUAGCUGUUAUUGUAAGAAAACUCUGCCAAAGACAGACACUUGUCCCAAUCCUUCCCAUAAUGUAGUGCACAUGCUCGCAACAUGUCUUCCAAAAUCUGAUUCACCCUUUCUGUUUGGCCAUCUGUUUGAGGGUGAUAUGCUGAGCUUCGGAUGACAUGGGUCCCAAGUGACUCUUGCAAUUGCUCUCAAAUCGUGCCACAAAUGGUGCUCCUCUGUCAGAUACAAUGGUCUUGGGAAUGCCAUGCAACCUUACUAUCUGAUCAAUAUAAAUUUCAGCGUACUUUUCUGCCCUGUGGGUGGUAUGCACUGGCAAGAAAUGAGCAGUCUUGGUCAACCUGUCCACGAUAACCCAAAUAGAAUCAUGGUGCCUGGAGGUAUUGGGUAAUCCCACUAUGAAGUCCAUGCAAAUGUCCUCCCAUUUCCAAUAUGGUAUGGGAAGGGGUUGCAAAGGGCCUGCUGCCUUCAAGUGACUAGCUUUAAUUCUCUGGCAGGUGUCACAUUCGGAUAUGUACCUGGCAAUUUCCCUUUUCAUUCUAGUCCACCAAUAUAAAGAUCUGAGGUCAUGGUACAUCUUGUUGCUACCAGGGUGCAUGGAGAAUUUGGAAAGGUGAGCUUCAUCUAGUACCUUCUUUCUAAGCUCAGGGUCCUUGGGGACAACCAAUCGAUCUCCAAACCAUAGAAUUCCCUGGCUGUCCUGUCGGAAACACUUAUAUUUUCUGCCUUUUGCUUGAUCAUUUCCUUGAUAACCUGAACACCCUUAUCCUCAACCUGUGCCCUGACUAUCUGUUCUUGCAAUGUGGGUUCCACCGAGAUAUAGCUUAGGUUACCCGAAGAAACAACUUCCAGGUUCAGCUUGCACAACUCAUCACACAGUGUGGUCACUCCCACAUCCAUGCUCAUACAAUUACACUGGGCCUUUCUACUCAAGGCAUCUGCCACAACAUUGGCCUUCCCCGGGUGAUAAUGCACCUCCAAAUCAUAGUCCUUGAUUAACUCCAACCAUCUCCUUUGCCUCAUGUUCAGAUCUGCCUGAGUGAAAAUGUAUUUGAGACUCUUGUGAUCAGUGUAGAUGUUACAGUGAGCUCCCAUCAAGUAGUGUCUCCAUAUCUUUAGAGCAUGGACUACUGCUGCCAAUUCUAGAUCAUGCGUAGGGUAGUUCUGCUCAUGGGGCCUGAGUGCCCGGGAAGCAUAAGCAAUCACUCUAUUCUCUUGCAUCAAGACACAUCCCAAACCAGUACCCGAAGCAUCACAAUAAACUUCAAAUGGCUUGGUGUUGUCAGGUUGAGCUAGCAUUGGGGCUGUUGUCAAAUGCUGCCUCAAGGUAUGGAAUGCAUCUUCACACUUUUGGCUCCACUCAAAUUUGAUUCCCUUCUUCAACAGUUCAGUCAUUGGUUUGGCAAUUCUGGAGAAAUCCGGAAUAAAUCGCCGAUAAUACCCUGCCAAUCCUAGAAAACUCCGAAUCUGCUUUACUGUAGUCGGGGGCUUCCAGUCCAUUACCUCUUGCACCUUCUCAGGAUCAACUGAUAUCCCAUCCUGAGAAAUGGUGUGACCCAAGAAUUUAAUCUCUUUCAGCCAGAACUCACAUUUAGAUAACUUAGCAUAAAGAUGAUGGUCUCGCAGUCGCUGAAGUACAAUGUGAAGGUGCUCAGUAUGCUCGUCCUCAUUCUUGGAAUAGACCAGAAUAUCGUCAAUGAAAACGACCACGAACUUAUCCAAUUCUGGCAUAAACACUGAGUUCAUCAGGUACAUAAAAUAAGCCGGGGCAUUGGUCAGCCCAAAAGACAUCACCAGAAACUCAUACAGUCCAUAUCUGGUAGAAAAAGGCGUCUUGGGAAUAUCGCUAGCGCGGAUCUUGAUCUGAUGGUAUCCCGAGCGAAGGUCUAUCUUGGAGAAUACCUUGGCUCCAACCAACUGAUCAAACAGAACAUCAAUGCGGGGCAGCGGAUAUUUGUUCUUUAUAGUCACCGCAUUGAGAGGACGGUAGUCAACACACAUCCUCAAACUCUCAUCCUUUUUCUUCACAAAUAAAGCUGGACAUCCCCACGGUGAAGUGCUGGGACGAAUAAACCCCUUGUCCAACAACUCUUGCAAUUGUUUCUUCAGUUCUGCCAAUUCCGCGGGAGGCAUCCUAUAAGGUCUCUUGGAGAUAGGAGCAGUCCCGGGUUGCAAUUCGAUGGCGAACUCAAUAUCUCGGUCAGGUGGCAUUCCUGGCAAUUCAUCCGGAAAAACAUCCGGAUAGUCACAGACUACUGGGAUCUUUUCCACUGGGGAUUCUAACAUAACAAAAGCACAAGAUCGGGUACAACCCUGGUCAGGCAAAUACAGUGUGGUCUCACCGCAAGUUGGUGAGUGCACCUCAAUGGCUCUGGCUGCAAUAUCCAUAACUGCUUGGUGCCUGGUCAACCAGUCAGCUCCCAAUAUAAUAUCCACACUAUCCAACCCCAUUAUCAUUAGGGUAGUUUUGAUUAUGAGACUACCCAGCUUAAUUGGUACGUGCCUACAGAUCUGAUAGGAGGCAACCCUGCUCCUGGUGUUGAAAUUGUAAUACCCCCAUUGGUGUGGUGAAAAGGCAAUUGGCACUUGGCACAAAAUUUGGUACUGAUAAAACUGUGUGAUGCACCAGAAUCAAAAAGAACAAUAGCAGGAUAAUUCAAAACUGUUAAGAUACCAGUCAAGACGGGUGCUCCCUCUGGGAUAUCAACCAUGGUGGUGAAGUUUAGUCUGCCCUGCCUCACUUGCACCUUCUGUCUCUUGCCUUGGUUCUGAUUUGUAUUCUGCCCCUGCCUCUGCUGGUUCCUGGGGCAAUUCUUGGCAUAAUGCCCAGUGUUACCGCAAGUGAAGCACCUGUUGUCAUUGGCUUGGCGGUACUGCUGCUGCUGAUUAUUCCGCUGUGCUGGAAAUUGAUUGCGGUUGGGUGCCUGCUGCUGCUGUUGCUGAGGUCGGAUUACCCAUAGCCCUUGCUGCUGCUGGGGCCCCCUGCCCUGGGUGUCGGACACAAUUCUGAAGCGCUGUGGCUGAGCUGAGGGUCCUGCCACGGGGGUCUUCCUCUUCUUCUCUGCCUGCCUAGCUGUAAUGCAGUCCUCCUGGGAGAUGGCCAUGUUGACCAACUCAUUGUAGCUGUUGGCCCUGACGGUGUUGAGACGAUCCCGGAGCUUAGUGCUGAGCCCCCUUCUGAAUCUGUCCCUCUUCUUCUCAUCUGUAUCCGCAUGAUAUCCCGCGUACUGGCACAAGUCAUUAAAGGCCUGGGCAUACUGCAACACUGUCCUGUUGCCCUGAGUGAGUGCCAAGAACUCAUUGAGUUUCCUGUCCAUGAUCCCGGCUGGUAUAUGGUGUCCUCUAAAAGCUGCCUUGAACUGCCUCCACUCCACCUCUCGGUCCUCUGGCUGCAUAGCAAGAAAAUGAUCCCACCAAGUCCUUGCAGGUCCGCGAAGCUGCUGGGUGGCGAACCUGACUUUGGUGACCUCUGAGCAAAUUCCAUGGAGCAGUGGGAAUUUGGAUUCCACCACUCGCAGCCACACAUCUGCGUCAAGUGGGUCCUCCGCCCUUGUGAACAAUGGAGGCUGGGUGCUGAGGAAUUCCUGAUAGGUGGCCGCCGCGGGGUGACGUUGGUGGUCCCCACCACCAUAAUGCUGAGGUGGUGGCUGACGUUGAGCCAGCUGCCUCAGGAUCUCAUUCUGCUGAGCCAUGAGCUCCUGCAGAGUGGGAGGUGGUGGUGGCGGUGGAGGAACACGCUCGUUCUGGCCACGACGCUGCCUCCCGGCCAUCUGAAAAACCACAUACUCACUUAACACCACAAUUCCAAAUUUCAAGAUUUUUUAUCACGAGGACAAGUUAAAACAGCAUGAUAGACUCCGACUUCAACAAAAGGGAUUUUUACGAGGCAUAAAUUUUUCCUUCCAAAUUUAAACUGAUAAAAGCAUCCAUCAAACAAGCUCCCAAGAGAGUUUAACCCGGUUACAUCAAAUUGUUCCAAAAUGACUCAACUCUAACUAGCCUAGUACCCCAAGGGUGCAAAAGCUAAGCUAGCUGCGAGGAGUCCGACUGUCCAACUUCUAAGCCUACCCUGGACACCUAGUGAGCGAACGAAGCAACACUUGACUCGGGGGAAGGUGGUCUUCCCGAGCCAGCAGUGUCCACACUGGAGGCAGGAUCAUCUCCUCCCUCAAUGUCGACGUCCUCGUUGGCCUCCUGGUCCUGGAUCUCCUGGUGGUGCAUGUCCAGGUGCUCGUUAGCCUCAGCAAGCUGUUGCUGAGUGUUAAUGAGCUGAUCCUCGAGAACCUCAAUGGUGUUCUCCCUUGUACCUACCAGCUCCUCCAACUCCUGAAUAUCGGUGGAUAGCUGCUCCACCUGCAAGUCCUUCUCCACUAAUUCUUGGGAUAAGUCAACCACGAGCUCCUCUCUGUUAUCCAGCGUGGUCUUUGUUGCCUCUAGUAGUGCCAUCAGAUGGGACAUUGCCUCACCGCGCAUCACUUGCAGUCGGUACAGAGCAUUCAUGCACCGUACUGUCAAGUGCGCAGUCUGUCCUGGGUAGAUGGCCCAGAUGUCCUUGGCAUGCUCCACCCGAUCCUUCCACAUUGGGUCGUCCUCCUUCUCAGCGGGGAACAAGCCAAUGGGGUGGGUAGCCAGCUCCAAGGGAUGGAAUCCGCAGAAGGUAGUCAAUCCAUGCAGAGCGAUCGCCUCGAUCGUGUCCUCUGCCCGGUACCCGAAAGACUCGGAGUCCAAGGAGCGCCAGCCUGGCUGCAGGGGAUGAGGCUCCAAAGUCAUCCUCACCCUACAGCGGGGCACCCGGUGCUUCUCGAACUGCUGCACCGCGUACUGAGGGGGUGUCGUGUAUCCAGCCCCCUGAAGUACCUCCCACAAAAUGCGGGGAAAACCCUCUCGUGCAAGCCCGUCAGUGUGGGUCAGUGCAUUUUCAUCAUCGGAGGAUCCAUGGGAAGUCAUCUGUGUACGGUUAAGCAUAAGUAAAAGAAAAAGAAUGGUAAAAAGAACAAGGAAAAUAAAACUCAGCCCUUCUCUAGUUAAGUAAAAAGGCACUAGGGACCUAGUUGGUUGUUAUCUUGUUUUUAAGUCCUUUACUCAGUUAUCCAUUUGCUUAAUUAUGAAUGCAUGCAUGCUCGUCCUGAACGACCUCACAACAAGAUAAAAGGAAUAGGGAGGAACUCCCAUCCUGUAAAAGUGGCCUGUAGGGCCUAGUUACUUAGCCACCUAGCUACCAUUCUAUUAACCUAAGGCUUCACGUCCUAGGUCUAUCCUGUUCGUCCUACUAUCUAUUCAACCUUGUUUCUAUCAAGUUUUAUUUAGAAACUUGAUGGUAUUUAUAUUUUAUUGAUUCCUCUGUGGUGGUACAAGCUCCGAUACCAGCUGUGGCGGAACUGCCCGAAUUAUUCCAACUUAAGUGCCCAAGUCCCGCCUUAAAGGCUAGACCACACUUAAAUGGGAAUAACCCGUCAAUCCCUCGGAUCUAGUCCGACACGGCCACUGACAGGAUCAAGUACCACAAUCUCACUCGAAGGUGAGUCACAGAGCAAAUACAAUAAAGCAUAAAACCAUACAUGUCACAAUGUUAAAUUAUUACAUCACCCUCAUCAUCAUCGGAGUUUUUGCAAAAGUAACCAUCAUUGUUCGAAGUGCAGCGGAAUGAAACUAACGGUAAUUAAACAGAGAGAUGGGAAGCCUGUCCCAUCACUCCUCAUGCUCCUCCUCAGCCGAGGUAGGGUCCCACUCAACAGUCCAACCCGGUGGCAAGGUGGACGACCAAGUUAUCCCAGCAACCAUCUCCUCCAGAGAACCUGUAAAAAUUAUGACACAAGCAAGGCUGAGUAUACUAAUACUCAGCUAGACUUACCCGGUGUGAGGAGUCUACUCCUCUACCUCUAGACAUGCAGUUGUUUGGCUGUGGGGUUUGGUUGCCAAAAGCACUAGCUGAGUUUCUAAAUCAAGAUUUUAACUUAGUCAAAGUUAAGUGUGACUCUCUUAAGGCUAAAAGUGAACUAUCUACUCAUACAGGGUAGCAAGCAUUAUUAACAAUCAACAUAUUAUCUCAACUCAACAUACUUCCACUUAUUACUCAAUGUAGCAGCAUGGAUCAAGCAGUCUCAUUAACUGCGAGAAGCAGACGAUUCGAAUCGAGUUUUUAUCCUUGCAAGGUAAACCUAAACACACGACAUGCAGGGGCACUCCGUCCCCACACAUAUCAACCGUCCCCAUCGAUUCCCCGUCAGCAGAUCAGGGCUCACCGCCUUGGCGUACAAUGCCUCACUGACUCCGACUGGCCGUCGUGCAGUGACCGCACUUGUACCCACCAUAACCGGAAUGGGAGACCUCGUCUCAGGUCGCGUGAGGGGUAAAGUCCACUGCCAGGUUCAAUCAGGUACUAGGCUUACCGAUUUACCAUAUUUCUCGGCAUGUGCUUAGUACGUUCAAACGCUUGACUCACGGUACCACACCUUAAUCCUUAUUCAAAUUUUCAUCCCGUGAACAACCAAUCCCUAUGGAUUGUUGCCCACAAACCAGCAUCAGUACGAUAUGAAAGUGGGUACAAUCAAUGUCCUGACCUCGCGCGAGUGCUAGAAAAAUCACUCGACUUCUACCGAGAUCCUAAUUAAAUAAGCAGCUACUCGACCUAGCAUACUAGUAUUCAUCUCAAUGGGAUUCCUGAGAUCAUGCAACUAGGGUUUCAUACAACUCCUACACUUAGGUGCACAAUCAACCCUACAAUCAUUAAGUGAAGUAAAAUAGCAUAUAUAAACGGUUAUGCAUAAAACCGGGGCUUGCCUUCCAAAGCAGUGGCAGGCAGGUCCUCUGGUGCUGGCUCGGGUGCUGGAUCUGGGGCUACCUCCUGAGCAGCUCCUUGCUCCGGCACGAGGAUGUACUCUCCGUCAGCAAGAUUACAGUCUAUCGAAUGCAAUGAACAUGUAUGUCAUGAUUAUGCAUGAUUUAAUAACAUUAUGUAAAAGAAACUAAGUCGAGAAAUAACUUAGGGUUUCUUAGUCACGCGGGGCUUCUAGUGGUACAUAGAUCGACUUAUUACCCUUUGGACUCAGGUUUUCCUUUAGGAUAACAUAGUGGUUUGGUAUUGCCUUGAUAUAUUUUAGUGGACAGAUUUCAAAGUUUUUGGGACAACAUUUAUUCACAUCCUUCAUUUCUCUUUCCUUAAUUUCCAUUUAGGCUUUUAGUGUUGGUUUGAACUGCAACAGGGUUUUAAUAAUUUCCAAAAAUUCUGUAAAAAUUACAGUGGGUUAUCACUGGAUAUUCUAGCUUGUUUUAAGAAUUUGAGGCUUAAAGAAUAAAAGUUGGGCUUUAAACAAAAAUAACAAAAGUUAGGCCAAAGGGGCCACUUCACACUACACCUCCUAGUUAGGGGUAGGUUCUGACCUAAAGGUUAUUUUUGUUGGCAUCCUCUGGUAAUAAUAGGUCUUUGUGCUAAAAAUCACAGGAAACUAAGGGGUGGUUAUUUAGUUAUGAUUUUCUCAAGUUUAAUGUCAAAAAGGUACUUUCUACUACAUUAUUAUUUGAAAAAUGUCAAACAGCAGAUUUCUUAUUUUUCCUAAGUUCUUUCUAAUGAAACAAUAGUUAUCCCAAAAGUGGGGGUGUUUUUACCUUGGGGUCAUUUUUGUAGGGUUUUUCUAAGUUAUCCUUGUUUUAUUAAAAUAAAAGAUAUCUUACUUAAUUUGUACUAAACCAGGGUAUGAUAUAUUUUUCCAGUGAACUCUAUUGAAUAAGUAACCUAACAAAAAUAGAAGUACUCUCUAGUUCAUUAAUUAAGUUACAUUUUCUAUUUUCCUUAUCCUUAAGCAUAUUUUAGAAUAAAGGGUAAAAUUAACUUGAAUGGAGUGGACAGAGGGGUUUAACAUUUUUACUUGGUCUAGUAGAUAGAUAUAAGCUUCUCAAAAUUUUUCUAGCCCUGGUCAAGCAAUAUUCCUAUUUUUCCUCCUAAUAUUGGGUUUUGAGUGGUUUUCUUAUUUAAUUCUAAACUUCAGAAAGAAAUACAGAAGCUAUGGGUCCUAUUAUUUUUCUCUGAUAGCUCAUAGAUUUCUGAAUCUAGCAAAAUUGGUUUGAACAUUUUUGGAUGAUUAUUCUGCAAGUUAUGCAUUUACUUAGCUAUCUGUUAUAACAAAAGAAAAGAAAUUCAAAAACAGAAAAAGAAAACGUGUUUACGCCGAGGCCCCUGGGGUUUUUCCUUUUCUUUUCUCACAGAACAGCCCUUGGCCCACUAUUGGCUUGAGUCACUGACAUUGCGCAAAGCCCCCUGGACUUAACUAAAAUCUAACCCGCGCUCCCUGACCGGCCUAAACAGUGCCCACGGUACAUUUUACGGCGGUGGGGCUUACCGGCGGCAGUAGAGCUCCGGCGGGGUGGUCAGUGAUGUCCGGGAGGUCGCAACGGUCACGCCGAUGUGCGGGUCGGAGUCGGAGGUGGUCGGAGCUACCCUGGCCACGAGCACAAGCGGCGGGGGUCGUCGGCGGCUCCUGCUCCGGCCAAACCACGGCGGCAUAGGUCAAUUAGAGGGCACGAGGAGCUUCACGAGGUGACACAGAGGCCGUACGCGCAAGGAAUUGGAAAACGGUGCAGGGGCUUACCCGGUCCACGUGCGCCGGCGGGUUCUUGAACUCCGGCGAGCACGACUGGGCUAUUCCGGUGACGCGGGUCCCCGGGUCAAGCUUGCGCAAGGCUCACGGCUUCACCAGGAAGCUCUCUGAAGGCUUGGAUCGAACGGAGGAGGACGGGAGAGGGGCUGGCCACGGUGGUUGCUCUCGGGCGGCACUGGCGGGUCGCGGGGAGGUCGCCGGAGUUAAUGGCUGGCUCGGGUGAGUCCGGCGCAGUACGGAGGAGGUAACGGGGAAGGCAGCCAAGCACUAGGGCGGGCUUUAUAGCCGCGGCGCGGGCGUGGUCACGGGCGGCCGCGGGUGCGCGGGGGUUCGCGCACGGGCGUGCUCUGAGCGCGCCCCCGGAUGCCAGCUCGCGUCGAACACGUGGAGGCUUGCUUCUGCCAUGGUUCAACGGCCGAUUAGAGCGCCAUAGCGUGCGUAUCUUGGCAAGGUCGCUGUGUACGGUCGCUUCUCUGCUCCAAAUCCUAUCUUUUCGCUGUGAGUUCCAAGUCGAGAUAUGGUCGGGGUAGAGAGAUAGAGAGGGGAGAAGUUUGCUGUGUCAGCCAAGCCCGAACCGAGACAAAAGGAGUGUCAAGUCAUGUCUAGCGCCCUAGGAUAGGUGUCAUCUCUUUCCAGGGUGUUCUAGGGUUAAUUUGGCACCAUUUUGUCAAUUGGGUCGCAGGGUUUUGAAAAGGGGAUUAAGGUGAACAUGUGGAGUCUUUGUGCAAGGGUUAGUUUUUGUACUUAGGCAAAAACUGAAUUUUCCCUUGUGCUCAAUCUUAGGUGAAUUGUUUAGGGUUUUUCUGAAAACUUUUUGGGGGUACUUCCUUACUAUUAAUUGUAGGUUGUUAAGUGUACUACAACUUUUAUAUUUGGCCCAAACCAUGAUCACAAGGUUUACAUAAUCUUUUGAAUCAUGGCUUCAAUUAGGGUUCCCAUUGCCUAUGGGGGUUUUGCUCUAGGGUUUUGGGAGAUCCCCACUUAGAUGUGCAUGAUAAGCUAGGGCAUGACAUCCAAAGUGGAUUACACUUGCUUAGGACCUAGAAUUCCAAGUGUGGUAUACUUUGCCCAAAUCAAUCUUCAUGUGAUAAUGGGUAAAAGGGGUAACCCUGGGGUGGACACCCUGAGUAACACCUGGGGUGUUACAGGCUUCGUCUGGAACCCUUGAAAGCUGGUUAACAACAAGUCCUUUAGCUUUUGCCACGAAGUGAUGGUUCCUGGUUGGAGGGAGGAGUACCAGGUUUGAGCAACACUCCUGACAGCCAUAACAAAAGAUUUGGCCAUGACCGCAACAUUGCCACCAUACGAAGAUACUGUUGCUUCGUAGCUCAUCAAAAACUGCUUCGGGUCUGAGUGGCCAUCAAAUAUGGGCAGCUGAGGCGGCUUGUAGGACGGAGGCCAAGGUGUAGCCUGCAGCUCAGCGGACAGAGGAGAAGCAUCAUCGAAAACAAAAUUCCCAUGAUGGAAAUUGUCAUACCAGUCAUCUUCGUUGAGGAAACCCUCCUGAUGAAGGUCUUGGUGCUGAGGCCUUCGGUGUUGCUCAUCCUGAGUAAGAUGACGAACUUCCUCAGAGGCUUCGUCUAUCUGCCUUUGUAGUUCAGCUAGCCUGGCCAUCUUUUCCUUCUUCCUCUGCACCUGUUGGUGAAGCAUCUCCAUGUCUCUGAUUUCUUGGUCUAUCUCAUCCUCUAGUGGUGUCGGGCUAACAGCCUUCCUUUUCUGGCUUCGGGCCUCCCGAAGAGAGAGAGUCUCCUGAUUGUGGUCCAGCGGUUGAAGAGCUGCAGUGCCAGUUGCUGAAGCUUUCUUCGGCGCCAUAGCGAAGGUUUAUGAUCGCCGAAGGUGUUCAGAAAACUCAGAGUGUGGAAGUGAGUUCACCGGAGGUGGGCGCCAAUGUUGGGGACUUGUUCUCAAAUGCUAUGAGUUAAGAACAAGGCAACAUAGAAAAUGUUAAUCGGUUAAGUCCUUCGUCCUUCGAAGCAUUAUUCCCCUUAGGAUAUAAUGGUUUUUCGGACGAAGGUUAUGAAGGGUGUACCUUCAUAAAUACACUAUAAAGUGACGAAGGAUGAAUUAUAAGGAAUAUAAAGGAUAACAUAGAUAAUUAUAUAUUAUUAUUAUGUAUAAACAGAAAUAACAUUGAAUUACAAAUGUACCUUCAACUUGAAGGAGAUGAAAGUACAAGCGUGACGCAAAAGCGAAUGCCAAAUCAGCGUGAACAGUACGGGGGUACUGUUCACCUAUUUAUAGGCGCGGGACACAGCCCAUACAAAAUUACAUUCAUGCCGUUUACAUUUGAUAAUAAUUCUAUAGUAAUCCAUCGAGGUCUGAAUAGCCUUUUCAUCUUUAAGUCGGUUUCAUUUUCUGCUACCACGCCGAAGCUUUCUUGCUCACAUCUUCGGCGCUAUAUCGACCUUCGUAUUAUUCUGGUCUUCUCCUGCCGCGAUACCGACUUGAGUCCGAAGGUACCUGCUCACACAUUAUACUCCAGAAAUACUGUUAAAUCCUGUUUUUGAGGACCUUCGUAAGCCGAAGGCCCCCAACAGAUCACCACCACCAUAGUGCUGAGGUGGUGGCUGACGCUGAGCCAACUAUCGCAAAAUCUCAUUCUGCUGAGCCAUCAGUUCUUGCAUGGUAGGAGGCGGCGGCUGUGGUGGAGGAAUGCGCUCAUUCUGUCCACGGCGCGCUCUUCCUGCCAUCUGAAAAUUUAACAUGCUCUUAAUAUCAUACUUUUAACAUUCAAGUUCGCACAUGGUAAAAGAUUUGAAAGGACAAGGGUUUGUAAAAUGCCAAACAUUUCCUUGCAUUUUUCAUAAAAGAUACCACAUGACAAUAAAAUUUCUUCAUAAUUUAAUUAGAGAUCAUCCAUCCUUCAUCAAUCCAAAAGAGUUUGCUAAUGGUUACAGCAGGGUUCAAAAUACUCGACUCUCCCUAGCUUAGUACCCCAAAGGUGCAAAAGCUAAGCUAGUUUCGAGGAGUUCUACCGCCACACACUUCUAACCCUAUCUCUGAAACCUAAUGAGCAAACGAGGCAACGCUAGACUCAGGGGAAGGUGGUCUCCCUGAGCCAGCAGUGUCCAAGCUGGAUGCAGGCUCCGGCUCCUCUCCUACCUCGAUGUCAACAUCCUCGUUGGCCCCGUCCGCCUCCAUGUCCUGAAUCUCCUGAUGGUACAUAUCCAAGUGCUGGUUAGCUUCCUCAAGUUGCUGCUGAGUGUUCAGAAGCUGAUCCUCGAGAACCUUGAUGGUGUUCUCCCUAGCUCCUACUUGCUCCUCAAGCUCUUGGAUUUGGGUGGUCAUCUGCUCUACCUGCAGGUCCUUUUCCACCAGCUCAGUGGACAGAUCUACCACAAGGUCCUCCCUGUUGUCCAGGGUGAUCUUUGUAGACUCCACCAAUCCCAUCAGUUGUGACAUUGCCUCUCCUCGCACUGCUUGCAGACGAUACAGGGCAUUCAUGCAUCGCACUGUCAGGUGAGCAGUCAGCCCUAGGUAAAGAGCCCACACAUCCUUGGCAUGCUCCACUCAAUCCUUCCACAUUGGGUCGUCCUCCUUUUCAGCGGGGAACAAGCCAAUGGGAUGAGUGGACAACUCCAAGGGGUGAAAGCCACAAAAGGUCGUCAGCCCAUGGCGAGCAAUGGACUCGAUAGUAUCUUCAGCCCUGAAUCCGAAAGACUCGGAGUCCAACGAACGCCAGCCCGGCUGUAAGGGAUGAGGCUCCAAGGUCAUCCUCACCCUACAACGGGGUACCCGAUGCUCCUCGAACAACUGCACCGCAUACUGGGGAGGCGUCGUAUAACCGGCUCCUUGCAGCACCUCCCAUAAAAUGCGGGGAAAACCCUCUCGCGCAAGUCCGUCCGUGUGGGAAUGUGCGUUCCCUCCUGCCGAGGACUCGUGAGAAGUCAUCUGUGUAAGGGUAAGCGUAAGCGAAAAAAAGAAAAAGAAUUAAGAAAAUAAAAGUGGAUUGGGGCCUGGCUUUCUCAGGGUUAUGUGGAGAUCUGGGAGAUACACUUAAUCUUUUAUUACCGUGUCACAUAGCUUUUAAACUUUUUGACCACUUACUAAGUAGUUUGAUUAAGAUGAUGCAUGCAUGCUCGUCCUAAGCGACCUUGCAUCAACUUAUAGGGGUAGAGAAAUCUCCAUCCCUUAUUACAGUAGCCUGUAGGGCACAUUCAAAUAGCCACCUAGCUACCCAUCUAGUCUCCUAAUGCUUCACGUUCUAUGCCCAUCCUUAUCGUCUUACCGAUCUAUCCAACAUUUGUUUCUAGCAAGUUUUACUUUUUGAAAAGCAUGGUAAUUACAGUUUAUUGAUUCCUCUAUGGUGGUACAAGCUCCGAUACAAGUUGUGGCAGAACCGCCCGAGUUAUUCCAACUUAAGUGCCUAAGUCCCACCUUAAAGGCUAGACCACACUUAAAUAGGAAUAAAAUGUCAGUCCCUCGGAUGUAGUCCGACGAGGCCACUAACAGGAUCAAGUACCACGUACUCACUCGAAGGUGAGGCACAGAGCAAAUACAAUAAAACAUAAACCAUACAUUAAGGAGUACUUAAUUUAUUACAACAUCAUCAGAGUUUUUCAAAAGUAGUGAUCAUUGUUUGGAAUGCAGCGGAAUAUAACUAACGGUAAAUAAACGGAGGGAUGGGGAAGCCUGGCCAUCACUCCUCAUGCUCCUCCUCUACCGAGGUAGGGUCCCACUCGACUGUCCACCACUGUGGCAAGAUGGACGACCAAGUCACGCCAGCAACCAUGUCCUCCAGAGAACCUGUAAAAAUUAUGCCACAAGCAAGGCUGAGUAUACUAAUACUUAGCUAGACUUACCCGGUGUGAGGAGUCUACUCCUCUACCUCUAGACAUGCAGUUGUUUGGCUGAGGGGUUUGGUUUGCCAAAAGCACUAGCUGAGUCUAAAAUCAAGUUUAGCUUUUCAAAUGUUAGUGUGACUCUCUUAAGACUAAACAUAUCCCUAUCUAAUCAUACAUGUUAGCAAUCAUUUUAGCAAUCAACAUCUUUUGCCAAAUCAACAUCUUUCCACUUGUUACUCAAUGUAGCAGCAUGGAUCAAGCAGUCUCAUUAGCUGUGAGAAGCAGACGAUUUGAAUUGAGUUUUUAUCCUUGCAAGGUAAACCUAAAAACACGACGCGGCGAGGCACUCCGUCCCCACGCACAUCAACCAUCCCCAUCGAUUUUAUGGCAACAGAAAGGGGCUCACCGCCUUGGUGUAUAAUGCCUCACUGACCCCGACUGCCGUCGUGCAGUGACCGCACUUGUACCCACCAUAACCGGAAUGGGAGACCACGUCUCAGGUUGCAUGAGGAGGGCAAUCUACGGGUAGGUUCACUCAGGUACUAGGCUUACCGAUUUACCAUAUUUCUCGGCAUGUGUUUAGUACGUUCAGACGCUUGACACACGGUCCACACCUUAAUACUUAUUCCAAUAUCCGUCUCAUAGACAACGCAUCCCCUUGGAGUGUUGUCCACAGACCAUCAUCAUUCCGAUAUAAAAAUGGAUGCAACCAAUUCCUGACCUCGCACGAGUGCUAGAAAAAUCACUCGACUUCUACCGAGAUCCCUAAUUAGUAAAGCAGCUACUCGACCUAGCAUACUAGUAUCCAUCUCAAAGGAAUCCUGAGUUCAUGCAACUAGGGUUUCAAACAACUCCUACACUUAACUGCACAGUACAAGCCUACAAUCAUUAAGUGCAGUAAAAUAGCAUAUAUAUAUAUUAAGGGUUAUGCAUAAAACCGGGGCUUGCCUUCCAAAGCUGGGGCAGGCAGAUCCUCGAUGGCAGGCACUGGUGCUGGCUCCUGGGCUACCUCCUGAGCAGCUCCUUGCUCUGGAACGAGGAUGUACUCCCCGUCAGCGAGAUUACAGUCUAUCGAAUGCAAUGAAUAAGAUGUAUGCAUAUUAAUAAUAUGGCAUUUUGGAAACACUAAGCAUAGGGGAACAUUAUUAAAAUAAGGGGUAUACUAGGGUUUCCGUUGUUAGUCUUAAGGGUUUCAUACCUUCAUCUUUAGGGUUUUGAGUGAACUUAAAACCUCUAAUUACAUCCUGUAGGUUCUAUGGGACUCUUAGAACGAUUUAGUUAUACCUUAUUAAGUUCUCCCAAAAUUUCCCCUUUUCCUCCUAUUGUGCUUCUUAUUAAGUAUUUUUGAACUAUCAUGGCAAGUUAACAUUUUCCAAAAAUGUUAUAAAAAUUACAGUGGGUAAACAUUGACCUCUGGGUUUCAUCAUACAAGUUUUAGGUUGAAAAUAAUUCAUAUUUUCCUUGGGAAAAAAUGACAAAAGUAAGGGUAAAAAGGCACUUUACACUAUAGCUCUAAUUUCUGUGGGGUUUCUGGGUCAACAUUUAUUUUUGCCAAGAUUCCUAGGUGAUAAUAUGUCUCUGUGUUAAAAAUCACAGAAAAAGACCUACUGGAUAUUUAGUUGUGAUUUUCUUAAGUUUAAUGCCAAAAAGGUACUUAUAACUAACUUGUUAUUUGAAAAAUAUCAAACAACAGAACUUACAUUUUUCCUAGAUUCAUAAUAACAUAUUAUAAGUUAUCCCAAGGUUUGGGGUGGGUUCUUCUCAGGAUUAUUUUUCUAGAAGUUUUCUAAGUCCACCUUGUUUUCAUGAAAUAAAAGGUAGUUCAUUUCUUUUGUACUAACAGAUGGUCUAACAAAAUUUUCCAGUGAACUAUGUUAAAUAAGUGAGCUAGCAAAAAUGUGGUUGCCCCUGGUUCUUAUUUUGAACUCCCUUUUCUAUUUUCCUUAACUUUGAGUCAAAAUGAGUUUAAAUGGUAAACCAUUCCCUAAUCUGGUGUACUGAGGGGUUUAUUAUUUUAAACAGGCUAGGUAGUGGUUAAGCACCUCUCCAAUUUUUCUUAACCCCAGUCUAAGAGUGUAGCUAUUUUUCCCUUCUUUAUUUAGCUUUUGGUUAGUUUACUAUUUAAAUCAAAACUUUAAAAUUUCUUGCAAUACUUAGGGUGUUUUGUAUUUUUCCUAAGUAGUUCAUAUUAUUUAGAACCUAGCAAAAUUGGUUUGACCAAAUUUGGUUAAAUAAAACUGAAGUUAUGAAUUUUACAAGCUCUAUUUACAUUUAAAUAAUAAAGUUUCAAAGGUUUUAAGAAAAACCAGUUUACACCGAGACCCCUGGGCUUUUUCUAAACCAAGUAUUCAACUUAUGCCCCUACAGAACUAUUCAUAUGAGUCUCUGACUAUACAAAACCCCCCAGCUUCUUCUUCUUUCUCCCCGAGAUCCCUCCCCCCUUUGAAACAGUAAUCGCGGAAGUAAACAGGGCGGCGCGGCUUACCGGCGGCGAGGGAGGUCCGGCGAAGGGCGGGGUUAGCUUCGAGAGGUCCUGGCGGUCAUGUCGAGGUACGACUCGUCGAUGGUGAUGGCCGGAAUCGGUCGGAAUACGUGCGCAGGCGGGCGGGCUCAUCGGCGGCGUGUGCUCUAGGCUGCUCACGGGGGUAGAGUUUAAUCCAAGGGCGCAGAGAGCUUCACGGGGUGCUAAGGAAACUACCCGUGCAAGGAAUCGAAGGAAGACUCACCGUGGAGCUCGGUCUACGUGCGCCGGGGGUCGGGUGAAGUCCGGCGACGUCGAUCCGGUGUCUCCUGCGAGGUAUAGUUCGAUUCCUGGCUCUGGAAGCUUCACCGAGGCACACAGAGGCUAUCCCAAGGGUUGGACGGGGCGAAGAAUGACUAGGAUGGCCGGUCUAUGGUGGUCGGGUCUCGGGCGGCCGCUGGCACGCCGUGCGCAGAGCGAUCGACGGUGAUCUUGCGCUCCGGCGAGGUUGAGAGCGAGCGGGGGCGUACGGUCGAGGCCUCGGUCGGCUUUAUAGGCGAGGGUGCGGCGCGGCGCGGGCGGGGCCAAGCGCCGAGGCUGCUCUAGCGUUGCCAGGGCACGUCAAACACGUGGCUGUGUUAUUCUACCCAAGUUCUUGCGCCUGCUGAGCACCCAUAUGUGUGAAUCUUGCCAUAUUGCUUGUGUAAGAUUUCUUCCCUGCACCUAGAGCUGCCUAGUUCAUGUGAGUUCCAAGGGGAGAUCGGGUCUGGCUUAGAAGAUAUGGUGGCGCCAAGUCUUGUCUGUCUGCAUUGUUCAUCUCGCGACAAAACAGAUGCCAAACCAUGUCAAACCACCCUGGUUUGGUUUCAAACUUCUCAGGGGUGUGCCUUGGGUAGUUUGGCUACUUUUUGUUAUUUAGACCAUGUGGUUUUGGCGCCAUCAAAUAGAUGAACACUUCUGAUCUCUAACUUAGGGUUGAUUUUUGACUUAGAGAAAAUGUGAGUUACUCUAUAUUGUCCUCCACUUGGGGGCUGAUUUGGGAUCUUUGUGGGGUCUUUUUGUAAAAUUUCUCUUACUGUAUUUUGUAAAUAUAUUAAUGUACUUAAACUUUGGUAAAGGGUUUAAGUCAUGAAAUGUUCAUAUGCUUAUCUUUUCCAUUAAUCCAGUGUUUGGGGGUCUAAUGGCUCAAGAGGGGGUCUAGGGUUUGAGCCAUUUUUUCCAAGGUGAAGAUUUAUGAAAAUCUUGGGUAUUUCUUUUGUCAUGAUCAUUCCUUCAUCAAUCCAUGGUUUCUAAGGUUUUGGUGCCCCUUCUCCCCCACUUAAACACAUGUGAUAAUAGGCCAUAAGUGCAUGUAUUGAGCCAGGGCCUCAGGUAACACCUGGGGUGUUACAUUUUCUAUGGAUUUUCUAAGCUUGGCAGAAAAGAAAAAGGCGAAAACUGUGAACAGUUCUGGGCUGAAACUGGCCCAAUACAGCCCAUGCCUAGGCGAAAUGCGCCGCGCGCCGCCCGCGUUGGCAGUUUUACACAAACGACCUCAGCUUUUUGAAUAAGCAGUAAAUAACCUAGAGCACUAUUUGUUUGUAUCACUGACGUUUGCACCAAGACCUCAAAGUUCUAUUCCUUCGCAACACCAGGUCCGCGAUGGUGGUCGGCGACGAGAACGUCUCCGGUGAGCCUACACUGGCCGGAAUAUGCCAAGAUCGGACCCCUAACUUAGCUGGCACCGAAUUCUACCCUCGGCGACACUAACCCCUCAAUCAAUUGCACUAAUCCGGGCCGGAGCACGCCUGUCCACGACGACGGCAAAACCCGAGAAGAAGCUACGGUGUUCCGGGCAAUUCGGUACGGUCUAGUUCAAUCAAUCAAGCCUACAAGCAACAGGAGAUCCUAGAGAUGCUAGGACACUUAAUAGAGGUUUAUGAAUCAACCUAAAGCAGGCUGGCCACGGUGAGAUCCUUUCUACGGCGGCGGAGAACCGAUUUGGGGGAAGUCGCAAAUUGACGAGCUCUGGUGAGCAAUUGGAGGCACGACUUGGUGGAUUGGGUGCGUGAAUACCUUACGGACCCGACGGCACCCUCAAUUUAUAGGCUCCGGGGGCGGUGGCGCGUGAAUUGGAGAUGUGAAAGGGAAAUGUGCCCUUGGGCAAUUUCUAUAAGUAUUUUGGUGAUUAGAUGUCCAACACAUUAUUUGAGUACUUAUGUGCUAAAUAUGUGAAAGGUGCAAAUCAAAGUAAAAGGUACAUUUCCAAACUUAGUACAUUGUUUUUGUGAACUAACAUUGUUGGUCUAAGUGCUAGAAACAGUGCCGAAAAGAGAGGAAUAGGAUUGCAAAAGACUUGGCUGUGAGCAGCCAAACUUCAGCUCAGUCUGGCACACCGGACUGUCCGGUGGUGCACUGGACAGUGUCCGGUGCGCUAGGCUGGUCCGCGGUGAACUCGCCGCUCUCGGGAUUCAACAGCGGCAUACGGCUAUAAUUCACCGGACAGUCCGGUGGUGCACCGGACAGUCCGGUGAGCCAACGGUCGCCAGCGCAACGGUCGACCGUGCAAUCCGCGGGUGACACGUGGCCCGCAGCAACGGUCGGUUGGGCACACCGGACUGUCCGGUGUGCACCGGACUGUGUCCGGUGCGCCAACCGACCCCGAGGACCAACGGUCAGAUGCACCUGAUUUGGAAGCCAAUCGCGCACCGGACAGCUACAGUGACUAUCCGGUGGUGCACCACCCGACAGAAGGCAAGUUUGGCCUUCCAAGUUGGCCUCCAACGGCUCCGAGCUGCCCUAGGGCUAUAAAAGGGACCCCUAGGCGCAUGGAGGAGUCACCUGAGCAUUCACUAAGCAUUCUAAGACUCCCACACUCCGCCUCCGCGCAUUUGAUCGAUUGUGUUAGUGAUUUGAGCUCCGUUUGAGUUGUGAACUCUCUAUGCUACGUUUCGAGCUCAAGUCUUGGCUUGUGUGCGUGUGUGUGCUACGGAUUUGUGUGUUGUGUGUGUUGCUCUUCUAGCCUUACUCUUGUGCCUUCUUUGUGAUCUUUAUUGUAAGGGAGAGAGGCUCCAACUUGUGGAGAUUCCUCGCAAAUGGGAGAAAGACUAUAAGGAAGAAAGCCAUGGUAUUCAAGUUGAUCAUUGGAUCACUUGAAAGGGGUUGAGUGCAACCCUCGUCCAUUGGGACGCCACAACAUGGAAGUAGGCAAGUAUUACUUGGCCGAACCACAGAAUAAAAAUCGCGUGUCUCUUGUGAUUGUUUUCUCUGUGAUUGUUUUGUCCACAAGAACUCGCGUCAAAACUACUUAGUCGCACUAACACUUCUAUAACUAAGUUUUGUGGCUAUUUAGUGUUUAAUUUUACAGGAUCACCUAUUCACCCCCCCUCUAGGUGCUCUCAAUUGGUAUCAGAGCCGUACUCUUCAUCUAAGGGACUAAUCGCCCGAAGAGAUGGAUCCUAAGGGAAAGGGGAUGGUGGUCAACGACAAGGAGAAGGAGUCCAUCUUCAACGAGCCAAGAGAUGACAAGCCCACUGACUCAGGCUCGAGUCACAAGAAGAAGGACGGGAAGAAGUAGAGGCGCAUCAAGAAGAUCAUCUACUACGACAGAAAUGCAUCUUCUUCUUCACCAAGAGACGACGAUGAUGACGAUUCUUCGUCAAAGAAAAAGACGGUUAAUCAAAACUAUUCUUUUGAUUAUUCCCGCAUGCCGUACAAUUCAAUUGCGCAUCUACUUUCAAUUCCCCUUGGAAAACCUCCACACUUUGAUGGAGAGGACUAUUCGUUUUGGAGUCAUAAAAUGCAUAGUCAUUUAUUCUCUCUCCAUCCUAGCAUAUGGGAAAUUAUAGAAAAUGGGAUGCACUUUGACAGCACUGAUAAUCCUGUGAUUAUUAAUGAGCAAAUCCACAAAAAUGCCCAAGCUACUACUGUGUUGUUAGCAUCUCUUUGCAGGGACGAGUAUAACAAAGUGAGUGGCUUGAACAAUGGCAAACAAAUCGGGAUACCCUCAAGAUAUCACAUGAGGGAAAUGAUGCCACUAUGAUCACAAAGAUGGAAUUAGUGGAAGGCGAGUUGGGGAGGUUCGCGAUGAUCAGGGGAGAUGAGCCAACUCAGACCUACAACAGGCUCAAGACCCUGGUCAACAAGAUCCGAAGCUACGAAAGCACAAGAUGGAUGGAUCAUGAUGUCGUCCGACUCAUGCUAAGGUCAUUUACUGUAAUUGACCUCAUCUUGUAAAUCUUAUUCGUGAAAAUCCCAGGUACACCAAGAUGACGCCCGAGGAGAUCCUUGGAAAAUUUGUGAGCGGGCGCAUGAUGGUGAAGGAGGCACGAUACGUGGAUGACGCUUUGAACGGUGUUGGGGACUUGUUCUCAAAUGCUAUGAAUUAAGAACAAAGCAACACAAAAUCUUAAAGGUUAAAGCCCUUCGUCCUUCGAAGCAUUAUUUCCCUUAGGAUAUAAUGAUCUUCAAACGAAGGUCAUGAAGGACAUACCUUCGUCAUCGCGGUAUAUGUUAAUAAAAGAAGAAGCAUAUGAAAUAUAAGAGACAACAUAAACAAUCAUAUAACAUUAUUAAUUCAUUCUCAUUAUAUUAUCAUGGAAAGACAGAAACAAUAUUGAAUUACAAAUGUACCUUCGGCUUGAUAGAAGGUAAAAGUACAAGCGUGACGCACAAGCGAAUACAAGUCAGCGUGAACAGUACGGAGUACUGUUCAUCUAUUUAUAGGCACAGGGCACAGCCUCUGUGAAAUUACAUUCAUGCCCUUCAUAUUUACUAUUUACUUAUAGACAACCCAAUGGGGACUAGAUAGCCUUUUCCCUUUUAAGUCGGUUCCUUUUUCUGCCAUUGAGCCGAAGCUCCCUUGCGUGUAGCUUCGGAGCAACAGCAACCUUCAUCACGAUCAUGCUUUUCACAUCGUGUAUACUUUUAACCCGAGUCCGAAGGUACCUGUUCAUGUGUCACACUUGGAAGACAUUGUUAAAUCACGUUUUUGAGGACCUUCAGAAGACGAAGGCCCCCAACAGUAGCCCCUCGCAGUAUUAAUUUGUUAAGAUAACAAAUUCAGACUGCGACAUGGACGAAGGCCUUAAGCCGAAGGUCCAAAAAAACACCUUCCCUUUGCUAGAAUAGCAACAGUCAAUGAUAGACGGGGCCUUCCAAUUUGGAGCGCACUGGGCGUAUAAAUAGGAACACACACCGACUGCACUUGAUACACUGCUUGUGCCAUUUGCCUUAUUUUCUCAAUUUUAUAGCUCUUGCUCACUAGCGCUUGAUAGUUUUUCAAGCUCUCUGAGCUUCGGUUUAAAAAUGUGUUUUCACCAUUUCUGAAGAAAAGAUGUCUCAAGAUAAGAAGAUUGCUGCUGAGACGAAGCUGACUGAAGAGGAGAAACUUUUUGAGGAGAAGAAGGCUGUGAAUCCUUAUAUUGCUGGAUUUGUUGAGUCGAUGGAAAAAAUAAAUACGAAGAAGAUUACUAAGGAGAUACUGGAAGGCUUGUCUGAAGAUACUGGUGAUAGUGAUAGCUAUGAUGUGGAAAGUGGGGGCGAAGAUUCUGAGGAUCGGCCCUGGAGGCCAAGUCAUUCAAUUUUCGGAAAAUCGACCAUCAAACAAAGUCAUCUUGAGAACAUGAGAGGAAGGUACUUUCAGGAUAUGUCUAUUGUGAGGGCUGGCGGAGACAACAACGUCCCUGCCCCUGAAGAGAACGAAGUUGUGAUUUACCGAAGCUUCUUCAAGGCUGGACUUUGGUUCCCGUUGAGUAAGUUUGUAGUUGAAGUCCUGAAGAUCUACCAAAUCUUCCUUCAUCAGAUCACCCCCGAAGCCAUAAUAAGGAUGGGUAUUUUUGCAUGGGCAGUAAGAAGUCAAGGGCUAGAGCCAAGCACGAAGUGCUUCUGCUGUAUGCAUGAACUUCUAUAUGAGACAAAGUCCAUGGGUAAAGAACAGUACCAUAACAACUUCGGUUGUUAUGGAUUUAUGGCCUGUCCCAACGCAAGCCACCCAGUGCCGACAUUUCGGAAAACAUGGUCCGGGGCCUGGAUGGAAGAGUGGUUUUAUGUGAAGAAUGAUUUGAAAGCAAGGGAAGACAUUAAGGAAGUCAUCAUGCGCCCCAUUUGGUCCCGCUUCGGCCUCCGAAGGCCGAAGGUCGAAAUUGAUGAUACCGCCGAAGCAUGUGAGAAAGCCUUCAGUACUGUCUGCUCCUUCAUUGGUACAAGGGAUUUAAUUCAAGAACAUAUAGCAUUCAGAGUAUGGCCGCUUGUAGAAAUCUGGGAAAUGCCGAAGGAGACCAUCACUAAGUCUAGCGAAGGUGGUUUAGUUCGGCUGAAGUAUACAUUCAGGUUUGGGGAUAAGUUUGAUAACCAAAUGAUGAAUGGCUAAAGUGUAUCGAAGCUACAAGUGAUGAACUGCUUGGAACAUAUUCCAAGGUAGAAGAUAAUGCACUGUCCGCAGCCUUCGGAGGUCAGGGAAAGAAGAGACUGAACAGAGUUUUUGACGCCAUUGGCUUCGUUUACCCCGACUACCGCUAUCCGCUGCGUGGACAGGGGGAAAAAGGAAAGCUGCUACUUCGGCCACCCUAGAUGAGCAUGUGUCAAAGGGAAAAAAGUUGAAGGUUCUAACUCACCGGCCGCGUUACAUCGAACCGGCUGUGAUACCUGAGUUUGGCAAAGGGGCCUCUUCGGCUGCCAAAACAAAAGAAACUGCUCCUCCUGCGUAGAGGACUGGAGAGCCAUCUAUAAUGUCGAAGUUACCUUCAGCUGAGCUAGUUUAAACGAAGGCUGAUAAUGAUAAGGCUGAAGGGUCAAAAAUUGAAGAAAUAGCAAAAAUGCCAGAGAUUUUGAGCUCUUCAACAGAGGCAACAGUGCCGAAGACACAAAAGAAUUCUGCCACAACUCCUAAGAGGAGAAGGAUGGCAAAUGUGCUAGAUGUUGUGUUAGAAACAGCGAAAACCUUGAGUUCUACUCCAAGAAAGAUUGUCGAAGCUUCGAAAGCACAACCCAAAGCUGAAACAAAGCAGGCAGAAGUUGAGGCUAUAACAAUUCAAGCUGAAACCGAAGCUGGGCCUUCAGAGCCCACCGAGACAGAGCCUGCCGUAACUGAAGAAAAAGCGGCAGAGCAAAUUGCAUCUGAAAAGGUUGAAGUUGCUGCUACCGAAGCUUCAAAAGAGAGCAUUGAUUACAUCAUUCGUCAUGCUUCGGGGAAGAAACUUUCUCAAGAAGAAAAGCUAGAAGCACUACACUAUGCCAAGAAAUUUAAAUACCUGAAGGGGGCAUUAGUGUUUAAUGGCAGUGGGGAAGAAGAUUUUUUGUACUGUCUCACGGAUAAUAAAGAAAUAUCCGUGUGCCGGAAGAUAGGUAGAAGCAUUGGAUUCCCGAAGCUAGAAGAUGGCCUUUCAAUCUUAUCGAAGGAUGAGCUUGCUGACAGCUUAGCGUAUAAUAGCAUAAAGGUAUAAAAGUUACAUUUGAAUAAAAAAUGGGGUAUUUUAUUUGUCAUACUUAUUCUUUCCGUCACUUGCAGGGCCUAACUCUUAGCAAUGCCCUUAGAGCAUAGAAAAACAUUGAAGAUGAAGGAUAUACAAUGGCUCUGAACAAUCUUUAUUCAGAGGUAAUCGGAUUAAGGAACGACGGUCUUGAAAAAGACAAAAUCUUGAUUUCAUUGGUAAACAAAGUGAAAGAAGAUGAAGCUAGUUUCAAGGCUCAAGCCGAAAUCCAAAAGAAUGAAAUCAAAGACCUUCGGAAACAGUCGGUCGAAGCCAAAGAAAAAUGUGGUCUCGCAGAAGCUAACCGAGAUAUCAGUGGAUAUUGGAAAAACCAUUUAGAGAAAACUGUUGAAGAACUUCGCGCAUCCAAAGAAAGAUGCUUUGAAAAAUCCUUGGGCUGCGUGGAGAAAAUAAAGGCUAGCUUCGCCAACGUGGGCGCCUAUUCUAACGAAGAUAACUUCAUACGAGGCGACCCUGAAGGUGUUAUUGAAUGGAUAAGUGGAGAGGCCGAAGCUUUCAAAGAAAUUUUAAGUGAUCGCGGGGAUGUCUGCGCGUUCUUUGGUGCAAGAGGAAUUUCAGCCAUCCUAGAGAAGGCGGGGUGCGACCAUGUCAAGACCCUGGCCCAGGCCGAAGCUGCCUUCUCCGUGGAUGAUACAAAGGAUCCCUCAACUGAAGCAAGUAUAAUGGGCGGAAAAUUUUACAAUGACAUCUGGGUAUGGUGGCCGAGAAAUGGCUCACGAAAUUAUGAAGAAAAGUGAAAAAGAUAUUCAUGACGCCCGAGUGGAAGCGAAACAAGCUGAGGAAGCUGCAGAGCGUGAAAGACGUAUAGGUAUUGUUUCGUGGCCUUUAGCUUUGGCAUUUGUUUUUAUGGCUUUGAACUAUUUAACUUCUUCUAUUGUAGCUGAAUUAUCUCCGCCACUGGAACCAUUUGAUCCCCUGGCCGAUCCAGAAACGAAGGAAGCACUGGAGAUUAUUAAUAUAGCCGAAUCUGUUGUUGACGAAGUAGUUAACAAAUUGCUAAAUGAAGUUGCGGAGAAGGUCCUGAAGGAAGACUAGUACUUAUUGUAAAAACAUUUUUAGACGAUCAAUGUAACUUUGCUGCAACAAGACUGUAAUAUUCGAUGUGAUAGUUUUGAAUCUAAUAUGUAAAUUAUUUGUAAUUCACUUCUUUGCGAUGCAUGAAACUUUUAUAUACAUACCGUUUUUGAGCCUUUGGUGAAAAAACACCUUCCCUUCUUUUCAUGCUUCGUAAAGAAAAAAAUCCAUGCUUCGUGAAAAUAUCCAUACUUCGUAAAACAUCCAUGCUUCGUAAACAAAGGAUCCCUUCUUUUGCAGUAGAGCUGAUGAAACUGUAUUUCUCAGCUUACUUUGUGCCUUAGCACAUUUACAUUUUUAUAAAGCAUUUUCCGAAGAUUGACUUCGUAAUCAAUUCAUGUUAUUGGUGCGAUAUGAUGUAUGAUGUGAUGCUAUGCGGGAUGAUGUGAUGAUAUGAUGCAAGGAAUGAUGCUAAUGCCAAAGACACACACACCCACACGCCCACGCUGAAACACACAAUCUCUGCGUCCCCUUAGGAACGAUUGGAAUCUCUUUGCUGUUUAUUUUUCGGCUUCAUCGCUUAUUUUUCGGUGUAAGUUCUGCAUCCCCUUAGGAACGUCUUUUGAACUUAUUCGCCUUCUAUUUUGGUGGUAUAAGUUCUGCAUCCCCUUAGGAACGUCUUUUGAACUUCUUCGCCUUAUAUUUCGGUGCUAUUUGGCUCUGCAUUCCCUUUGGAACGACUUUUGAGCAGAAAACUUACACUGCGCUCCCUUAGGAACGACUUUUUGUAGCUUCGGCAAAACUUACACUGCGCUCCUUUAGGAACGACUUUUUGUAGUUUCGACGAUUUUUAGCUCUGCAUUCCCUUAGGAACGACUUUUGAGCUUCGGCAGUUUUUAAGCUUCGUAAGUCCGUGAAAAAUAUAUAUUUCAUCUUGAUAGAAGCGAAACUAUUACAAGGAAUUAAAACUAGAUUUACAUUGAUUGUUCCUUAUUGAAAAACAAAAUGACAAAGAACAUAAAAGUAUUUCGGGGGUAGGAUAUCGCUCAAUAAAUGUGCUUUGAUUCUGGCAUAGUACUGUUGAUUGUGCGAGCUUCGGAUUUCUCCCUGAACUCUCGUUGAUGUUGGGUGUGCUGGCGCCCUUCUGGCUGCUGGCUUUGGGAAUAGGUUGGUUGCAGUGGUGGUGGGGGUGGAAGCUGUGGCCAGGAAGCCUAUGAAUGGCUAGCCGAAGCAACAGAAGCUGCAGGAUGAUUGCCCAUAUAUUCUGGUAUGUAGGGAGAGUGGCACGAAGCAGUGUGCAAGACCUGCUUCGACUGAUUCUGUCGAGCUUCGGCUUCUGUGAUCUCCUUCUGCUUCAGAAUGGUGAUUUGACACAUUCUUGUGGUAUGGCCCUUGUCCCCACCACAUAAUAAGCAAUAAAUCUUUCUGGGCUGAUCCCCAUAUCUUCCUCUGAAGCCCCUGGCGCCUCUGCCCCUGGAGCUGGCGGCCUGAAAGAGCUAUGCUGUUGCCCCGAAGAUUGUUAGGUGUAUUAUGGCCUCUAAAGAUGGCUUCCUUUAUCGUCAUUCUAAUUGGAAUUGUGGAUUGACCUGACAUGCUUCGGGUGGAUUCUUCCUCCGAAGCCCCUGGUCAUCUUCGAGAAUCUGUACGCCUCCUCCAUUCUUUGGUGGAAGUCGUUAUCAGCCCGGAUGUUGUAACACCUCAGGUGUUACCAAGGCACUGGCUUCAUAUAGGCACUGAUGAUUUGUUAUCAUGUGGUUAAGUGGAGGAGAAGAAGCACAUAAAACCUUGGAAGCAUGGGUUAGCUAAGAAAGGUUAAUGACAAAAGCAUCACCCACACAUUUUGAACAAUUGUCAUCUUGAGCCAAGGAGGUUAAACCCAAAAGACACCUAAGGGCACUAGACUUCCAAGCAAGGGAUCAGUGGGUAAGUUAAUCAAAUUACCAAACCUUGAUUCUAAUCCUUAACCAAAGUUUAAGUAACAUUAUAACCUACAAAAUGCAGAAGGGAAACAUUAAAAAAAGACCCCUUAAAGACCCCAAAUUCACCCCUUAAGUUGAGAGCACACUAGAGCUCUCUAAUCUUUUCUAAGUCAAAAUUUAACCCUAAUCUAAAGAUAAAAUGUGUUCACUUAGUAAAUGGCGCCAAAAUCACUUGGUCUGAAUACCAAAAAGGUGCCAAACCACCUAAGGCACCCACUGGAAAAGUUUGAAACCGAGCCAACUUCGUUUGACAUGUUUUGGCAUCUCUUUUGUCGUGGGGUGGACAGGGAGACAAGCCAGAUUUGGCGUCCGCAAAUCUCCCUACCUAGGGCAUAGCUGCCAUUGGAACUCACAUACAAGAGACAACCCUAGGUGCUAAGAGGAGGCCUGCGCCGGAUUUUUGCCAAGAUUCGCACGUUUGCGAUCUCGGUGAGCUAUUGAACAUGGGCAGAAGAACACCUCCACGUGUUCGACGCGCCCUAAACUCGCCAGAGCAUGCCCAGUGCCCGACCCCGCGCAGCGCCAAGCCACGCCCGUGUCCCCUGCCCACGCCCGCGCCUAUAAAGUCAGCCGAAGCUUCAGUCGUACGCCCCCGCGCGCUCUCGACCUCACCGGAGCGCGAGAUCGCCGGAGUUUGACCUGCACACGGCGUGCCAGCGGCCGCUCGGUCCCUCGCCACCGUAGACCAGCCAGCAGAGCCGUUCCCAGCCCUGUCCAACACUCAGAAUAGACUCUACGUGCCUCGGUGAAGCUCCUAGAGCGAGGAAUCAAGCUCUGCCUCGCCGGAGAAACCCGAUCAAGGUCACCGGACUUCACUCGACCGCCGGCGAAUGUGGACCGAGCUCCACGGUGAGUUAUUCUUCGAUUCCUUACAUGGGUCGACUCAUUAGCACCCCGUGAAGCUCCCCGUGCCCUUGGAUUGACCUGUAUCACCGUGGAUAGGCCGGAGCACUCGCCGCCGACGAGCUCGCCCACCUGCGCACGUGGACCGGCCGAUUCUGGCCAUCACCGUCGUCGAGCCGUACCUCGUUGUGACCGCAAGGACUUCCCGAAGCCAACUCCGUCCUUCGCCGGACCUCCCUCGCCGCUGGUAAGCCGCGUCGCCCUUUUUCCUUUCGCGGGUUCUAUUCAAAAGGGGGGAGGGACCUCGGGGAAGAAGGAAUAGAAGUCAGCGGGGUUUUUGAACUGUCAGAGACUCAGAUGAAUAGUUGCACAGGGGUAUAAGUUAAAGAACUGGUUUAGGAAAAACCCAGGGUCCUCGGUGUAAACUGGUUUUCCAGAAAACCUAUUUAAUAUUUCUAAUUUAAAUGCAAACAGAGCUUGUGAAAUUCAUAACUUCAGUUUUGUUCAACCAAAUUUGGUCAAACCAAUUUUGACAGAGUCUAAAUAAUGUGAACUACCUAGGAAAAAUACAAAACCCCCUUGGUAUUGCAGAAAAAUUUAAAGUUUGGAAUUAAAGAUUGAAUUGGCCAAAAGCUAAAUAAUAGAGGGAAAAAUAGUUACACUAUUAGACGGAGGUUAAGAAAAAUCAGGGAAGCACUUAAUUACUCCCUAAUCUGUUUAAAAAUAAUAAACCCCUCAGUGCACCAAAUUAAGGUAGGUUUUACUAUUUAAAAUAAGAACUAGGGAGCAACCACAUUUUUGUUAGCUCACUUAUUUAAUAUAGUUCACUGGAAAAUUUUAUUAGACCUUUAUUUAGUACAAAAGAAAUGAGAUACAUUUUAUUUUAUGAAAACAAGGAAAACUUAGAAAAAUUCUAGAAAAAUAAACUUGAGGAGAAAACACCCCAAAUCUUGGGAUAACUAAUAAUAUGUUGCUAUAAAUAUAGGAAAAAUAUGAGUUUUGUUGUUUGAUAUUUUUCAAAUAACAAGUUAGUUAUAAGUACCUUUUUGGCAUUGAACUUUAGAAAAUCACAACUAAAUAUGCAGUAGGUCUUUUUCUGUGAUUUUUAACACAGAGGCCUAAUAUCAUCUAUGAAUCUGGACAAAAAUAACAUUUGGUACAGAGACCUCACUUAAAGCAUAGUUAUAGUGUAAAAUGCCCUUUUACACUUGUCUUUGUUAAUUGUGCACAAGUAGUAUCUGAAUUAAUUUCCACCUCAAAUUUUAGGAGAACCCACAAAUGUUAAUAGUUACCCACUGUAAUUUUUAUAACAUUUUUGGAAAAUGUUAACUAACCCUGAUGGAUCAAAAAGGCUUAAUAGGAAGCAAUAGAAAGAAGAGGUAAACCUUGGGAAAAAUAGAUGCAAAUACAAAACCCUUCAGUAUAUCCAAAAAAGAAACCCUAGAGAAACACUAAAGUUAAUAUUGUUUUACUAUGCAUAACCCUUACAAAUGUUCAUGUCAUACUUAUGCAUAUAUCUCAUGCAUUGCAUUCGAUAGAUUGUAAUCUCACUGACGGGGAGUACAUCCUCGUGCCAGAGCAAGGAGUUGCUCAGGAGGUAGCCCAGGAUCCAGCACCAGAGCCUGCCCUCGAGGAUCUGCCUGCCCUAGCUUUGGAAGGCAAGCCCCGGUUUUAUGCAUAACCGUUAUAUAUAUGCUAUUUUACUGCACUUAAUGUUUGUAGGUUUGUACUGUGCACUUAAGUGUAGGAGUUGACUGAAACCAUAGUUGCAUUAACUCAGGGUUUCCUUUUGAGAUGGAUACUAGCAUGCUGGUCGAGUAGCUGCUUUACUAAUUAGGGAUCUCGGUAGAAGUCGAGUGAUUUUUCUAGCACUCGCGCGAGGUCAGGAAUUGGUUGUAUCCAUUUUUAUAUCAUAAUGAUGUUGGUCUGUGGACAACAAUCCAUGGGGAUUGGUUGUCUAUGAGACGGAAAAAUUGGAAUAAGGAUUAAGGUGUGGUACCGUGUGUCAAGCGUUUGAACGUACUAAACAUAUGCCGAGAAAUAUGGUAAAUCGGUAAGCCUAGUACCUGAGUGAACCUGCCUGCAGAUUGCCCUCCUCACGCGACCUGAGACGUGGUCUCCCAUUCUGGCUAUGGUGGGUACAAGUGCGGUCACUGCACGACUGCAGUCGGGGUCAGUGAGGCAUUGUACGCCAAGGCGGUGAGCCCCUUUCUGUUGCCAGGGAAUCGAUGGGGACGGUUGAUGUGUGUGGGGACGGAGUGCCUCGCCACGUUGUGUGUUUAGGUUUACCGCAAGGUUUAAAAACUCGAUUCGAAUCGUUUGUUUCUCGCAGCUAAUGAGACUGCUUGAUCCAUGCUGCUACGUUGAGUAACAAGUGGAAAUGAGUUGAUGUGCAAAAGUUGUUGAUUGCUAAAUGUUUUAUACCAUGUAUGAUUAGAUAGGUACACAUUUAGUCUUAAGAGAGUCACACUAAACUUGAAAAAGCUAAAACUUGAUUCUUAGACUCAGCUAGUGCUUUUAGCAAGCAAACCCCUCAGCCAGACAGCUGCAUGUCUAGAGGUAGAGGAGUAGACUCCUCACACCGGGUAAGUCUAGCUGAGUAUUAGUAUACUCAGCCUUGCUUGUGGUAUAAUUUUACAGGUUCUCUGGAGGACAUGGUUGCUGGAGUGACUUGGCCGUCCAUCUUGCCACCGGGUUGGACAGUCGAGUGGGACCCUUCCUCGGCUGAGGAGGAGCAUGAGGAGUGAUGGGACAGGCUUCCCCAUCCCUUCAUUUAUUUAUCGUUAGUUUUAUUCCGCUGCAUUCUGAACACUGAACACUACUUUUGCAAAACUCCGAUGAUGUUGUAAUAAAUUUAAUACUCCUUAAUGUCGGUUUUAGGUUUUAUUGUAUUUGCUCUGUGCCUCACCAUCGAGUGAGUACGUGGUACUUGAUCCUGUUAGUGGCCUCGUCAGACUAGAUCCGAGGGACUGACGUGUUAUUCCUAUUUAAGUGUGGUCUAGCCUCCGAGGUGGGACUUAUGCACUUAAGUUGGAAUAAUUCGGGCGGUUCCACCACAGCUGGUAUCGGAGCUCGUACCACCAUAGAGGAAUCAAUAAACUGUAAAUACCAUCCUUUUCAAAAGUAAAACUUGUUAGAAACAAAUGUUGGAUAGAUCGUCAGGAUGAUAAGGGUAGAACUAGGACGUGAAGCCUUAGAAUAAUAGAGGGGUAGCUAGGUGGCUAUUUGAGUUAGCCCUACAGGCUACUAUAAGGGAUGGGAGUUUUUCCGUAUUCCCUCUAAGUUGAAAUAAGGUCGUUUAGGUCGAGCAUGCAUGCAUCCUUUACUUAAACUACUUGAUAAUUAGGUAAAAACCUUAAUACGUGAUAAUGACAGAUUAAGUACAUUCAGUGACCUUAUCGUAAUCUUCGAGAGGCCAAGCUUUGAUUCCCUUUUUAUUUUAUAAUUAUUUUUCUUUUUCACUUACGCUUAAUCGUACACAAAUGACUUCUCACGGAUCCUCGGAAGGAGGGAACACACAUUCCCACACGGACGGACUUGCACGCGAGGGUUUUCCCCGUAUCUUGUGGGAGGUACUUCAGGGAGCAGGUUACACGACGCCUCCCCAGUACACGGUGCAGCUGUUCGAGAAGCAUCGGGUGCCCCGCUGUAGGGUGAGGAUGACCCUGGAGCCUCAUCCCCUACAGCUAGGCUGGCGUUCGUUAGACUCCGAGUCUUUUGGAUACCAGACUGAGGAUACUAUCGAGGCGAAUGCUCUCCACGGGCUGACCACCUUCUGUGGUUUUCACCCCUUGGAGCUGUCUACGCAUCCCAUUGGCUUGUUCCCCACUGAAAAGGAGGAUGACCCAAUGUGGAAAGACCGAGUGGAGCAUGCCAAGGAUAUAUGGGCUCUUUACCUAGGGCAGACUGCUCACUUGACGGUGCGAUGCAUGGAUGCUCUGUAUCAUCUCCAAGUGAUGCGAGGAGAGGCAAUGUCUCAUCUAAUGGCAUUGUUGGAGGCUACCAAAAUCACCUUGGAUAACAUAGAGGAACUUGUGGUAGACCUGUACACUGAGAUGGUGGAAAAGGACCUACAGGUGGAACAGAUGUCCAACGAGAUCCAAGAGCUUGAGGAGCUAGUGGGAACCAGGGAGAACACCAUUGAGGUUCUCGAGGAUCAGCUCAUCAACACUCAGCAACAACUUGCGGAAGCUAACCAACAUUUGGAUAUGCACCACUAGGAGAUCCAGGACAUGGAGGCCAACGAGGAUGUCGACAUCGAGGGAGGAGAGGAGCCGGAGCCUGCAUCCAGCUUGGACACUGCUGGCUCAGGGAGACCACCUUCCCCCGAGUCGAGCGUUGCCUCGUUUGCUCACUAGGUCGCAGGGAUAGAGUCAAAAGUGUGUGGCAGUAGAAAUCCUCGAAGCUAGCUUAGCUUUUGCACCCUUGGGGUACUAGGCUAGACAGAGUUGAGUCUUUUGGGUCACUGAUGUAAUCAUAACAAACUCUUUUGGGAAGUAUGGAUGAUGAAUGAUGUCCGCUUUAAUUUAUGAAGAAAAGUUUUAUGCCACGUGGUGUCUUUUAUUAAUUAUGCAAGAAAAUAUUGUUUUAGCCUUUCAAAUCUUUCGCCACGUAUGAACCCUAACAUCAGAAGUAUGAUAUUGAGAGCAUCCUUAAUUUUUCAGAUGGCAGGAAGAGCGCAUCGUGGACAGAAUGAACGCAUUCCUCCACCACCGCCACCGCCUCCUACCAUGCAAGAACUGGUGGCUCAGCAGAAUGAGAUUCUGCGACAGUUGGCUCAGCGUUAGCCACCACCUCAGCAUUAUGGUGGUGGUGAUCACCAUCACCGUCCCCCAGCAGCGACCACUUAUCAGGAGUUCCUCAGCACGUAGCCGCCGUUGUUCAUUCGGGCAGAGGAUCCGCUUGAUGCUGAUGUAUGGCUUAGGGUAGUGGAAUCCAAAUUUUCACUACUAAAUGGAGUUUGUUCAGAUGUGGCUAAGGUCAGGUUCACCACCCAGCAGCUUCGCGGACCCGCGCGGACAUGGUGGGACCACUUCCUUGCUAUGCAGCCAGUUGACCAUGUGGUGGAAUGGAGAGAGUUCAAGGCAGCUUUCAGGGGGCAUCAUAUACCAGAAGGCAUUAUGGAUCGCAAGCUCAAUGAGUUUUUGGCACUUACUCAGGGUAAUCGCACUGUGUUGCAGUACGCUCAGGCCUUCAAUGACCUGUGCCAGUAUGCCGGAUAUCAUGCAGACUCUGAUGAGAAGAAGAGGGAUAGGUUCAGGAGGGGGCUCAUCACUAAGCUCCGCGACCGUCUCAACACCGUCAGGGCCAACAGUUACAAUGAGUUAGUUAACAUGGCCAUUUCUCAAGAGGACUGCAUCAUAGCCUGUCAGGUAGAAAAGAAGAGGAAGACCCCUGUGGCAGGAUCAUCAGCUCAGCCACAACGCUUCAGGAUUGUAUCUGACACUCAGAACAGGGGACCUCAGCAGCAGCAGGGACGUUGGGUGAUUCGACCACAGUAGCAGCAGCAGGCACCCAACCACUCUCAGCUCCUAGUUCAGAGGAACAACAAUCAGCCACAGCAGCAGCACUACCGUCAGGCCAAUGACAACAGGUGUUUAACUUGUGGUAACACGGGACACUAUGCCAAGAAUUGCCCCAGGAAUCAGCAAAGGCAGGGAUAGGGUUCCAAUCAGAACCAAGGCAAGAGGCAGAAGGUGCAAGUGAGGCAAGGCAGGCUGAACUUCACCACCAUGGCUGACAUUCCAGAGGGAGCACCCAUCAUGACUGGUAUCUUUUCUGUUUUGAAUAAUCCUGCAAUCAUUCUUUUUGAUUCUGGUGCAUCACACAGUUUUAUCAGUACAAAAUUUAGUGCCAAAUGCCAGUUACCUUUCCAUCACACCAGUGGGGGUAUUACAAUUUCAACACCAGGAGGCAGGGUUGCCACCUAUCAAAUCAACAGGCAGGUGCCUAUAAAAUUUGGUAGUCUUGUGAUUAGAACCACCCUCCUCAUCUUGGGUUUGGAUAGUGUGGACAUCAUUUUGGGAACUGACUGGUUAUCCAGGCAUCAGGCAGUACUUGAUAUUGCAGCAAGGGCCAUUGAGAUUCACUCCCCUACUUGUGGCAAAACCACAUUAUAUUUGCCUAACUAGGGUUGUACCCGAUCCUGUGCUUUCACUAUGAUGGAGUCUCCUAUUGAGAAAAUCCCAGUGGUCUGUGACUACCCAGAUGUUUUUCUGGAUGAAUUACCAGGAAUGCCACCCGACAGGGACAUAGAGUUCGCAAUUGUGUUGCAACCCGGAACUGCCCCUAUAUCCAAGAGACCCUAUAGGAUGCCUCCAGCAGAGUUGGCGGAAUUGAAAAAGCAGUUGCAAGAAUUGUUGGACAAGGGGUUCAUUCGCCCAAGUACUUCACCAUGGGGAUGUCCCGCCUUAUUCGUGAAGAAGAAAGAUGAGAGUUUGAGAUUGUGUGUUGAUUACCGCCCUCUCAAUGCAAUGACCAUCAAGAACAAGUAUCCAUUGCCUUGCAUUGAUGUAUUGUUUGAUCAGUUGGUGGGAGCCAAAGUAUUCUCCAAGAUAGACCUUCGCUCUGGCUACCAUCAGAUCAAGAUACGGGCCAAUGAUAUUCCGAAGACGACCUUCUCUACCAGAUAUGGGCUUUACGAGUACUUGGUGAUGUCUUUCGAGCUGACCAAUGCCCUGGCUUAUUUCAUGUAUUUGAUGAAUUUAGUCUUUAUGCCAGAGCUGGACAAGUUUGUGGUGGUCUUCGUUGAUGACAUUCUGGUUUAUUCCAAGAAUGAAGCCGAGCACACUAAAGAUUUGCAUAUCGUACUUCAGAGACUGCACGACCAUCAGUUAUAUGCUAAAUUGUCCAAAUGUGAUUUCUAGCUGAGGGAGAUUAAAUUUUUGGGUCACACCAUUUCUCAGGAUGGGGUAUCAGUUGAUCCUGAAAAAGUACAAGAAGUGAUGAAUUGGAAACCUCCUACCACAGUAUGGCAGAUCCGUAGUUUUCUGGGAUUGGAAGGGUAUUAUCGACGAUUUAUUCCGGAUUUCUCCGGGAUUGCCAAACCAAUGACUGAACUGCUGAAGAAAGGAGUCAAGUAUGAAUGGAGCCAGAAAUGUGAGGAUGUCUUUCAUACACUUAGGCAACAUUUGACCACAACACCCGUGCUAGCUCAACCUGACAACACCAAACCCUUUGAGGUUUAUUGCGAUGCUUCCGGUAUUGGAUUGGGAUGUGUCUUGAUGCAAGACAACAGAGUCAUUGCUUAUGCCUCCCGAGCACUCAGACCCCAUGAGCAGAGCUACCCCACACAUGAUCUGGAGUUAGCAGCCGUAGUUCAUGCCCUCAAGAUUUGGAGACAUUACUUGAUGGGAGCUCAUUGUAAUAUCUACACUGAUCAUAAGAGUCUCAAAUAUAUCUUCACUCAGGUUGAUCUUAAUAUGAGGCAGAGAAGAUGGUUAGAAUUAAUCAAGCACUAUGAUUUGGAGGUGCAUUACCAUCCUGGCAAAGCCAAUGUUGUGGCAGAUGCCUUAAGUCGGAAGGCCCAGUGCAACUAUGUGAGUAUGGAUGCAAAAAUCACCACCCUAUGUGAUGAGUUGUGCAAGCUGAACAUAGAAGUUGUUUCCUCCAGUGCUUUAAGUUAUAUUUCAGUGGAGCCCACCCUGCAUGAGCAAAUAGUCAUGGCACAGAUUGGUGACAAGGGUGUUCAAGUCAUUAAAGAAAUGAUCAAACAAAAGGUGGACAAAUACAAAUGCUUCCAUCAGGACAUCAAAGGACGUCUAUGGGUUGGAGACCGAUUGGUUGUUCCCAAGAACCCCGAGCUUAGAAAGAGAAUAUUGGAUGAGGCUCACCUUUCUAAAUUCUCCAUGCAUCCCGGCAGUAACAAGAUGUAUCAUGAUCUCAGAUCCUUGUACUGGUGGACCAGAAUGAAGAGGGAAAUUGCUAAGUAUAUAUCUGAAUGCGACACUAGCCAGAGAGUUAAGGCCAGUCAUUUGAAGGUAGCAGGCACCUUACAGCCCCUUCCCAUACCAUCUUGGAAAUGGGAGGAUAUUUGCAUGGAUUUCAUUGUGGGAUUGCCCAAUACCUCCCGACACCACGAUUCUAUUUGGGUCAUUGUGGAUAGGUUGACCAAAACAGCGCAUUUCUUGCCAGUACAUACCACCCACAGGGCAGAAAAGUAUGUAGAAAUUUAUAUUGACCAGAUAGUUCGUUUGCAUGGAAUACCAAGGACUAUUGUGUCUGACAGAGGAGCACCAUUCGUGGCACGUUUCUGGGAGCAAUUGCAAGAAUCACUUGGGACCCAUGUAAUAAGAAGCUCAGCAUACCAUCCUCAAACAGAUGGUCAGACAGAAAGGGUGAAUUAGAUUUUGGAAGACAUGUUGAGGGCAUGUGUGUUACACUAUGGGAAGGAAUGGGACAAGUGUCGUUCCUUGGCAGAAUUUUCUUAUAAUAACAGCUACCAGUCCAGCGUAAAGAUGGCACCUUUUGAGGCCUUGUAUGGGAGAAGGUGUAGGACACCGCUAAAUUGGUCGCAAGCUGGAGAGGAGGGAAACUUUUGGACCUGACCUGGUUCCUGAAGCUGAGGAGAAAGUCAGAGUCAUUAAGAAGAACUUAGUAGUUGCUCAGGCCAGACAAAAGAGCUAUCAUGACAAGAGGAGGAAGCCUCUAUAGUUUGAAGUGGGAGAUCAUGUUUAUCUUAAGGUGUCACCCACCAAGGGGGUUCAGAGAUUUGGAAUCAAGGGCAAGUUAACUCCUCGCUACAUUGGGCCCUAUGAGAUCAUAGAAACUUGUGGGCCUGUAGCAUAUCAAUUGAAGUUGCCACCCCAUAUGUCAGCAGUUCAUGAUGUGUUCCACGUAUCUCAGCUACGAAAGUGUGUCCGCUUACCCACAGAAGUGCUACCUAAACCAGAAUUGGAGAUAGAACCAGACUUGUCCUAUCAAGAGCACCCCGUCAAGGUAUUGGAUCAAAAGGAGAUAUCAACGCGGCAAGGUCGAUCAGGAUGUAUAAGGUUCAGUGGAAUCACCAUUCAGUAGAAGAGGCUACAUGGGAGACUUAGGAUUUUCUACGUUCUCAAUUCCCCGACUUUCUGCCCAAAGGAGUCGGUACGUAAUCCAAAAACCCCAUGCCCCCACCUGCCCUUUGAAUCUAAAUAUAAUAAAAACUUAGAUGUUAAAGGUAUAGUAAGCUUUGAAAAUAACUUUAAAAGGACGUCCUUCUGAAGUUGCAAAGAGAAUGACAUUCGAAGAGCAGUUAACUAGAGAAACUUGGCUAAAGGAAAAAGGCAACACACCAGCACACCUUCGUGGUACCCCUAAAGGAUCCCUACCCAAAAUCUCGGGCGAGAUUCCUUUAAGGGGGGAGGGCUGUAACACCUUAGGUGUUACCAAGGCACUGGCUUCAUAUAGGCACUGAUAAUUUGUUAUCAUGUGGUUAAGUGGAGGAGAAGAAGCACCUAAAACCUUGGAAGCAUGGGUUAGCUAAGAAAGGUUAAUGACAAAAGCUUCACCCACACAUUUUGAACAAUUGUCAUCUUGAGCCAAGGAGGUUAAACCCAAAAGACACCUAAGGGCACUAGACUUCCAAGCAAGGGAUCAGUGGGUAAGUUAAUCAAAUUACCAAACCUUGAUUCUAAUCCUUAACCAAAGUUUAAGUAACAUUAUAACCUACAAAAUGCAGAAGGGAAACAUUACAAAAAGACCCCUUAAAGACCCCCAAUUCACCCCUUAAGUUGAGAGCACACUAGAGCUCUCUAAUCUUUUCUAAGUCAAAAUUUAACCCUAAUCUAAAGAUCAAAUGUGUUCACUUAGUAAAUGGCGCCAAAAUCACUUGGUCUGAAUACCAAAAAGGUGCCAAACCACCUAAGGCACCCACUGGAAAAGUUUGAAACCGAGCCAACUUUGUUUGACAUGUUUUGGCAUCUCUUUUGUCGCGGAGUGGACAUGGAGACAAGACAGAUUUGGCGUCCGCAAAUCUCCCUACCUAGGGCAUAGCUGCCAUUGGAACUCACAUACAAGAGACAGCCCUAGGUGCUAGGAGGAGGCUUUUGCCGGAUUUUUGCCAAGAUUCGCACGUUUGCGAUCUCGGCGAGUUGUUGAACAUGGGCAGAAGAACACCUCCACGUGUUCGACGCGCCCUGAACGUGCCAGAGCACGCCCAGUGCCCGACCCCGCGCGCCCCGCGCCAAGCCUCGCCCGUGUUCCCUGCCCGCGCCUAUAAAGCCAGCCGAAGCUUCAGUCGUACGCCCCCGCGCGCUCUCGACCUCACCGGAGCACGAGAUCGCCGGAGUUUGCCCUGCACACGGCGUGCCAGCGGCCGCCCGAUCCCCCGCCACCGUAGACCAGCCAGCAGAGCCGUUCCCAGCCCCGUCCAACCCUCGGAAUAGACUCUACAUGCCUCGGUGAAGCUCCUAGAGCGAGGAAUCGAGCUCUGCCUCGCCGGAGAAACCCGAUCAAGGUCACCGGACUUCACCCGACCGCCGGCGAAUGUGGACCGAGCUCCAUGGUGAGUUAUUCUUCGAUUCCUUACACGGGUCGAUUCAUUAGCACCCCAUGAAGCUCCUCGUGCCCUUGGAUUGAUCUGUAUCGCCGUGGAUAGGCCGAAGCACUCGCCGCCGACGAGCUCGCCCGCCUGCACACGUGGAUCGGCCGAUUCCGACCAUCAUCGUCGUCGAGUCGUACCUCGUUGUGACCGCAAGGACUUCCCGAAGCCAACCCCGUCCUUUGUCGGACCUCCCUCGCCACCGGUAAGCCGCGCCGCCCUUUUUCCUUUCGCGGGUACUGUUCAAAAGGGGGGAGGGACCUCGGGGAAGAAGGAAUAGAAGUCAGGGGGGUUUUUUAACUGUCACAAACUCAGAUGAAUAGUUGCACAGGGGUAUAAGUUAAAGAACUGCUUUAGGAAAAACCCAGGGUCCUCGGUGUAAACUGGUUUUCCAGAAAACCUUUUUAAUAUUUCUAAUUUAAAUGUAAACAGAGCUUGUGAAAUUCAUAACUUCAGUUUUGUUCAACCAAAUUUGGUCAAACCAAUUUUGCUAGAGUCUAAAUAAUGUGAACUACCUAGGAAAAAUACAAAACCCCCUUGGUAUUGCAGAAAAAUUUAAAGUUUGGAAUUAAAGAUUGAAUUGGCCAAAAGCUAAAUAAUAGGGGGAAAUAGUUACACUAUUAGACUGAGGUUAAGAAAAAUCAGGGAAGCACUUAAUCACUCCCUAAUCUGUUUAAAAAUAAUAAACCCCUCGGUGCACCAAAUUAAGGUAGGUUUUACUAUUUAAAAUCAUUUUAGCUCAAAAUUAAAGAAAAUAGAAAAGGUAGUUUAAAAUAAGAACCAGAGAGCAACCACAUUUUUGUUAGCUCACUUAUUUAAUAUAGUUCACUGGAAAAUUUUAUUAGACCUUUAUUUAGUACAAAAGAAAUGAGAUACCUUUUAUUUUAUGAAAACAAGGAAAACUUAGAAAAAUGCUAGAAAAAUAAACCUGAGGAGAAAACACCCCAAAUCUUGGGAUAACUAAUAAUAUGUUGCUAUAAAUAUAGGAAAAAUAUGAGUUUUGUUGUUUGAUAUUUUUCAAAUAACAAGUUAGUUAUAAGUACCUUUUUGGCAUUGAACUUUAGAAAAUCACAACUAAAUAUGCAGUAGGUCUUUUUCUAUGAUUUUUAACACAGAGGCCUAAUAUCACCUAUGAAUCUGGACAAAAAUAACAUUUGGUACAGAGACUUCACUUAAAGCAUAGCUGUAGUGUAAAAUGCCCUUUUACACUUGUCUUUGUUAAUUGUGCACAAGUAGUAUCUGAAUUAAUUUCCACCUCAAAUUUUUGGGAGAACCCACAAAUGUCAAUAGUUACCCACUGUAAUUUUUAUAACAUUUUUGGAAAAUGUUAACUAACCCUGAUGGAUCAAAAAGGCUUAAUAGGAAGCAAUAGAAAGAAGAGGGAAACCUUGGGAAAAAUAGAUGCAAAUACAAAACCCUUAAGUAUAUUCAAAAAAGAAACCCUAGAGAAACACUAAAGUUAAUACUGUUUUACUAUGCAUAACCCUUACAAAUGUUCAUGUCAUACUUAUGCAUAUAUCUCAUGCAUUGCAUUCGAUAGAUUGUAAUCUCGCUGACGGGGAGUACAUCCUCGUGCCGGAGCAAUGAGUUGCUCAGGAGGUAGCCCAGGAUCCAGCACCAGAGCCUGCACUCGAGGAUCUGCCUGCCCCAGCUUUGGAAGGCAAGCCCCGGUUUUAUGCAUAACCGUUAUAUAUAUGCUAUUUUACUACACUUAAUGUUUGUAGGUUUGUACUAUACACUUAAGUGUAGGAGUUGACUGAAACCAUAGUUGCAGUAACUCAGGAUUUCCUUUUGAGAUGGAUACUAGCAUGCUAGGUCGAGUAGCUGCUUUACUAAUUAGGGAUCUCGGUAGAAGUCGAGUGAUUUUUCUAGCACUCGCGCGAGGUCAGGAAUUGGUUGUAUCCAUUUUUAUAUCAUAAUGAUGUUGGUCUAUGGACAACAAUCCAUGGGGAUUGGUUGUCUAUGAGAUGGAAAAAUUGGAAUAAGGAUUAAGGUGUGGUACCGUGUGUCAAGCGUUUGAACGUACUAAACAUAUGCCGAGAAAUAUGGUAAAUCGGUAAGCCUAGUACCUGAGUGAACCUGCCCGUAGAUUGCCCUCCUCACGCGACCUGAGACGUGGUCUCCCAUUCCGGUUAUGGUGGGUACAAGUGCGGUCACUGCACGACGGAAGUCGGGGUCAGUGAGGCAUUGUACACCAAGGUGGUGAGCCCCUUUCUGUUGCCAAGGAAUCGAUGGGGACGGUUGAUGUGUGUGGGGACGGAGUGCCUCGCCACGUCGUGUGUUUAGGUUUACCUUGCAAGGUUUAAAGACUCGAUUCGAAUCGUCUGCUUCUCGCAGCUAAUGAGACUGCUUGAUCCAUGCUGCUACAUUGAGUAACAAGUGGAAAUGAGUUGAUGUGCAAAAGUUGUUGAUUGCUAAAUGUUUUAUACCAUGUAUGAUUAGAUAGGUACACAUUUAGUCUUAAGAGAGUCGCACUAGAACUUGAAAAAGCUAAAACUUGAUUCUUAAACUCAGUUAGUGCUUUUGGCAAGCAAACCCCUCAGCCAGACGGCUGCAUGUCUAGAGGUAGAGGAGUAGACUCCUCACACCGGGUAAGUCUAGCUGAGUAUUAGUAUACUCAGCCUUGCUUGUGGCAUAAUUUUACAGGUUCUCUGGAGGACAUGGUUGCUGGAGUGACUUGGCCGUCCAUCUUGCCACCGGGUUGGACAGUCGAGUGGGACCCUGCCUCGGCUGAGGAGGAGCAUGAGGAGUGAUGGGACAGGCUUCCCCUUCCUUUCAUUUAUUUAUCGUUAGUUUUAUUCCGCUGCAUUCUGAACACUACUUUUGCAAAACUCUGAUGAUGUUGUAAUAAAUUUAAUACUCCUUAAUGUCGGUUUUAUGUUUUAUUGUAUUUGCUCUGUGCCUCACCAUCGAGUGAGUACGUGGUAUUUGAUCCUGUUAGUGGCCUCGUCAGACUAGAUCCGAGGGACUGACGUGUUAUUCCUAUUUAAGUGUGGUCUAGCCUCCAAGGUGGGACUUAUGCACUUAAGUUGGAAUAAUUCGGGCGGUUCCGCCACAAAUGUAUUCAUCUAUCUUCUGAAGCAGCUUCUCCAUAGUUUGUGGGGGCUUCCUAGCGAAGUACUGAGUCAUGGGUCCUGGCAGAAGACCCUUAAUCAUGGCCUCAAUGACAAUUUCAUUGGGCACUAUGGGCGCUUGUGCCCUUAGUCGCAAGAACCUUCGGACAUACGCCUGGAGGUACUCCUCAUGGUCUUGCGUGCAUUGGAACAAGGCUUGAGUUGUGACUGGCUUUGUUUGAAAGCCUUGGAAACUGGUCACCAGCAUGUCCUUGAGCUUCUUCCACGACAUAAUUGUCCCUGGCCGAAGGGAAGAAUACCAUGUCUGGGCCACGUUUCGGACUGCCAUGACGAAGGACUUAGCCAUGACAGCUGCAUUGCCUCCGUAUGAGGAUAUUGUUGCCUCAUAGCUCAUCAGAAAUUGUUUUGGGUCUGAGUGCCCAUCAUACAUGGGUAGCUGGGGUGGCUUGUAGGAUUGCGGCCAUGGGAUAGCCUGCAAUUCUGCUGCCAAGGGAGAAGCAUCAUCAAAAGUAAAGGUAUCAUGAGUGAAAUCAUCAUACCAUCCAUCCUCGUUUAAUAAGCCUUCUGACGAAGCUCCCCGUGUUGGGGCCUUCGAACUUGUUCAUCUUGAGCAAGAUGACGUACUUCUUCAGUAGCUUCGUCGAUCUUUCGCUGAAGAUCGACCAGCCGAGCCAUCUUCUCCUUUUUCCUUUGCACUUGUUGAUGGAUGAUUUCCAUGUCCCUGAUCUCUUGGUCCAACAACUCCUCCUGGAAUGUUGGACUGGUGGCCUUUCUCUUCUGGCUUCGAGCCUCUCGAAGAGAGAGAGUAUCCUGAUUUGUGUCCAGUGGCUACAAUGCAGCAGCCCCUGGCACUGUUAUCUUCUUCGGUGGCAUGACGAAGGUCAGUGCUUGCCGAAGGUGGUCGAAUGAGUUCACCGGAGGUGGGCGCCAAUGUUGGGGACUUGUUCUCAAAUGCUAUGAAUUAAGAACAAGGCAACACAAAAUGUUAAAGGUUAAAGCCCUUCGUCCUUUGAAGCAUUAUUUCCCUUAGGAUAUAAUGAUCUUCAGACGAAGGUCAUGAAGGACAUACCUUCGUCAUUGCGGUAUAUGUUAAUAAAAGAAGAAGCAUAUGAAAUAUAAGAGACAACAUAAACAAUCAUAUAACAUUAUUAAUUCAUUCUCAUUAUAUUAUCAUGGAAAGACAGAAACAAUAUUGAAUUACAAAUGUACCUUCGGCUUGAUAGAAGGUAAAAGUACAAGCGUGACGCACAAGCGAAUACGAGUCAGCGUGAAAGUACGGGGGUACUGUUCAUCUAUUUAUAGGCACAGGCGCAGCCUGUGUGAAAUUACAUUCAUGCCCUUCAUAUUUACUAUUUACUUAUAAACAACCCAAUGGGGACUAGAUAGCCUUUUCCCUUUUAAGUCGGUUCCUUUUUCCGCCAUUGAGCCGAAGCUCCCUUGCGCGUAGCUUCGGAGCAACAGCAACCUUCGUCACGAUCAUGCUUUUCACAUCGUGUAUGCUUUUAACCCGAGUCCGAAGGUACCUGUUCAUAUGUCACACAUGGAAGACAUUGUUAAAUCACGUUUUUGAGGACCUUCGGAAGACGAAGGCCCCCAACAAACGGUCCACUACCCAUCUACGAGCCGCAGCCCGUUGCUCUCAAAUCAACAAGUAGCAAGGAGGCGCUACCAAGCAAUGUAGCUCAAGUGGAGGCUGCCGGACUCAAUGAAGAUGAGAUGGCGCUUAUCAUCAAGCGUUUCAAGACCGCGCUUAAAGGACGCAAGGAGUACCCCAACAAGAACAAAACAAGGGGAAAGCGCUCCUGCUUUAAAUGCGGUAAGACUGGUCACUUUAUUGCAAAUUGUCCCGAUAAUGAUUGUGACCAGGGACAAGAAAAGAGCGGGAAGAAGGUGAAAAAGAAGAACUACAGGAAGGCAAAGGGCGAGGCGCACCUUGGAAAGGAAUGGUACUUGGACUGCUCCUCUUCCGACUCUAACGACGAAGGACUUGCUGCCUCAGUCUUCAACAAAUCCUCACUCUUCCCCAACGAACGCCAUACAUGUCUUAUGGCCAAGGAGAAAAAGGUAUGUGUUCGGGACACACCCAAGUACACUUCAUCUAGUGAAGAAGAAUCCUCCGAUGAUGAAGUGGAUUACUCUAGCUUAUUUAAAGGUUUAGAUAGAGCCAAUGUAGAGAAAAUUAAUGAAUUAAUUGAUGCACUAAAUGAAAAAGAUAGAUUGCUAGAGAAUCUAGAAGAUAUUUUGUAUGAAGAGCACGACAAAUUUAUUAGUGUUCAAAAAUCUCUUGCUCUAGAAAUUAAGAGAAACGAAAUGAUAUCCUCUGAGUUGUCUGCUUGCCAUGAAUCUGUUUCUAAUUUAAGGAGUUUAAAUGAUGAUUUAAAUGCUAAGCUAGAGGAAGUUAAUAAAUCUAGUCCAUAUGUAGAGCAUGUUGUUAUUUAAUAGAUGUAAGGAUUUUGAUGUUGAUGCCUGUAAUGAACAUAUUGUUUCUAUUACAAGAUUAAGUAAUGAGGUGGCAAGUCUUAAUGCUCAACUUAAGACUUGCAAGGAUGAUUUUAAUAAAUUGAAAUUUGCUAGGGAUGCCUACACUAUUGGUAGACACCCUUCAAUUAAGGAUGGACUUGGUUUUCGAAAGGAAACCAAGAACUUAACAAGCCAAAAGGCUCCCGUUCUCAACAAGGAGAAAGGGAAGGUCCCUAUGACUAGUAGUUCUCAAAAGUGUCAUGCCUACAUUUAUGAUAGAAAAUUUUCUAGGAAUGCUUAUAGAGACUAUGAUCAUGUUAUGAUUGCUUCCAGCUCUACUUAAGAUUGUAGUAGAAAUAGGCCUAGGCGCAAUCAUGUUGUGUCUCAUGCGCCUAGGAGGAAUAAUGUUAUGUCUCAUGUGCCUAGGAAAAUGUGCAAUCAACCCACUACUAUUUUUCAUACUUGCAACACUUCUUUUAUUCUUUCAUGUAAGAAUGCAAAAGUAGUGGCUAGGAAGUUGGGAUCCAAAUGCAAGGAAGACAAAACUUGCAUAUGGGUUCCAAAAACUAUUGUGACUAACCUUGCAGGACCCAACAAGAGUUGGGUACCUAAAACCCAAGCUUAAAUUCCUUGCAGGUUUAUGCAUCCGGGGGCUCAAGCUAGAUUAUCGACAGCGGAUGCACAAACCACAUGACGGGAGAGAAGAAGAUGUUCACCUCCUAUGUCAAGAACAAGGAUUCCCAGGAUACGAUCAUCUUUAGAGAUGGGAACCAAGGCAAGGUCAAAGGCUUGGGCAAGAUAGCCAUCACCAACGAGCACUCCAUAUCGAAUGUAUUUCUAGUAGAGUCGCUUGGUUACAACCUUCUGUCUGUAAGUCAAUUGUGUCACAUGGCUUACAAUUGUCUUUUUACAAACGUUGAUGUAUCUAUCUUUAGAAGGAGUGAUGGUUCAUUAGCUUUUAAGGGUGUAUUAGACGACAAACUCUACUUAGUGGAUUUUUUGAAAGAGGAGGCCGAUCUAGAUGCAUGCUUAAUAGCUAAGACUAGUAUGGGCUGGUUGUGGCAUCACCGUCUAGCACAUGUUGGGAUGAAGAACCUUCAUAAACUUCUAAAGAGAGAACAUGUGUUAGGACUAACCAAUGUUUGUUUCGAGAAAGAUAGGCCUUAUGCAGCAUGUCAGGCAGGGAAACAGGUGGGAAGCACUCAUCAUAGCAAGAAUGUGAUGACAACAUCAAGACCACUGGAGCUUCUUCACAUGGACCUCUUCGGACCCGUUGCCUACCUUAGCAUCGGGGGAAGUAAGUAUGGUCUAGUAAUUGUUGAUGAUUUUUCCUGUUUCACUUGGGUGUUCUUUUUGCAGGAUAAAUCAGAAACCCAAGGGACCCUAAAGCACUUUCUAAGGAGGGCUCAAAAUGAAUUUGAGCUAAAGGUGAAAAAGCUAAGGAGCGACAACAGGUCCGAGUUCAAGAAUAUACAAGUUGAGGAGUAUCUUGAGGAGGAAGGCAUCAAGCAUGAGUUCUCCGCUCCCUACACACCAUAGCAAAACGGUGUGGUAGAGAGGAAGAACAGGACGCUUAUCGACAUGGCAAGAACGAUGCUUGGAGAGUUCAAGACACCCAAGCGGUUUUGGUCGGAAGCUGUGAACACAGCUUGCCACGCCAUAAACUGGCUCUUUCUCCAUCGCCUUCUCAAGAAGACCUCCUACGAACUCCUUACUGGUAACAAACCCAACGUCUCCUACUUUCGUGUAUUUGGUUGCAAAUGUUACAUUCUGGUGAAGAAAGGUAGACAUUCUAAAUUUGCUCCCAAGGUAGUAGAAGGGUUUUUACUAGGGUAUGACUCAAAUACAAAGGCGUAUAGAUUCUUCAACAAAUCAUCGGGUUUGGUUGAAGUCUCUAGCGACGUUGUAUUUGAUGAGACUAAUGGCUCUCCAAGAGAGCAAGUUGAUCUUGAUGACAUAUAUGAAGAUGAUGUUCCAACGGGCGCGAUGCGCACGAUGGUGAUUGGUGAUGUGCGACCACAGGAACACCAGGAGCAAGAUCAGCCAUCUUCCUCCACAAUGGUGCAUCCUCCAACUCAAGACGGUGAACAGGUACCUCAAGAAAAGGGACAUGAUCAAGGGGGAGCACAGGAAGAACAAGUGAUGGAGGAAGAAGCACCACGUGUCCCUCCAACUCAAGUCCGAGCAACGAUCCAACGACAUCACCCCGUUGACCAGAUUCUGGGUGACAUAAGCAAGGGAGUAACUACUCGCUCAAGAUUAGCUAACUUUUGUGAGCAUUACUCAUUUGUCUCUUCUAUUGAGCCUUUCAGGGUAGAAGAGGCCUUGCAGGAUCCGGAUUGGGUGUUGGCCAUGCAGGAAAAGCUCAACAACUUAAAGAGAAAUGAAGUCUGGAGCCUGGUGCCACGUCCAAAGCGAAAACAUUGUGGGAAACAAGUGGGUGUUCCGCAACAAGAAAGACGAGCACGGAGUGGUGACAAGAAACAAGGCUCGACUUCUGGCAAAAGGUUAUGCCCAAGUCGCAGGUUUGGAUUUUGGGGAGACUUUUGCUCCUGUGGCUAGGCUAGAGUCAAUUCGAAUAUUGUUAGCCUAUGAUGCUCACCACUCUUUCAGGCUAUUUCAAAUGGAUGUGAAGAGCGCUUUCCUCAAUGGGCCAAUAAAGUAGGAGGUAUACGUGGAACAACCCCCUGGCUUUGAGGAUGACAGGUACCCCGACCAUGUGUUCAAGCUCUCUAAGGCGCUCUAUGGACUUAAGCAAGCCCUAAGAGCAUGGUAUGAAUGCCUUAGAGAUUUCUUAAUUGCUAAUGCUUUCAAGGUUGGGAAAGCCGAUCCCACUCUUUUUACAAAGACUUGUGAUGGUGAUCUUUUUGUGUGCCAAAUUUAUGUCGAUGACAUAAUAUUUGGUUCUGCUAAUCAAAAGUCUUGUGAGGAGUUUAGUAGGGUGAUGAUGCAGAAUUUCGAAAUGUCGAUGAUGGGUGAGUUAACAUACUUCAUUGGGUUCCAAGUGAAGCAACUCAAGGACGGUACCUUCAUCUCCCAAAUGAAGUACACUCAAGAUCUUCUCAAGAGGUUUGGGAUGAAGGACGCCAAGCCUGCGAAGACACCGAUGGGAACCGAUGGGCAUGUCGACCUCAACAAAGGAGGUAAGCCCAUUGAUCAAAAGGCAUACCGGUCUAUGAUAGGUUCAUUGCUUUAUUUAUGUGCUAGUAGACCGAACAUUAUGCUAAGUGUAUGCAUGUGUGCUAGAUAUAAAUCCGACCCCAAGGAAAGUCACCUUGUGGUUGUUAAGCGAAUUCUUAAAUAUUUAGUUUCUAUGCCUUGCUUCGGGAUCUGGUAUCCAAAGGGGUCUACCUUUGACUUGAUUGGAUACUUAGACUCCGAUUAUGCCGGGUGCAAGGUUGAUAGGAAGAGCACAUCAGGGACGUGCCAAUUCCUAGGAAGGUCCCUGGUGUCCUGGAGUUCAAAGAAACAAACAUUCGUUGCCCUAUCCACCACUGAGGCUUAGUAUGUUGCCGCAGGAUAGUGUUGCGUGCAACUACUUUGGAUGAGGCAAACCCUUCGGGACUUUGGCUACAAUCUGAGCCAAGUCCCACUCCCAUGUGACAAUGAGAGUGCUAUCCGCAUGGCAGACAAUCCUGUUGAACACAGCCGCACUAAGCACAUAGACAUCUGGCAUCACUUGCUGAGAGACCACCAGCAAAAGGGAGAUAUCGAGGUGUACCAUAUUAGCACCGAGAACGAGCUAGCCGAUAUCUUUACCAAGCCGUUGGAUGAGAAAACUUUUUGCAGGAUGCGUAGUGAACUAAAUGUCUUAGAUUCGCGUAACUUGGAUUGAUCUAUAGCAUACUUGUGUUCUAUGCCUUUGAUCAUGUUACUUUAUGCAUUUACUACAUGUGUUAUCUAUUUGUGGUGCUCAAGUUGUACAAGAUCUCCCCGGACCUCACAAGUCCAUAUGCAAAUGAUGCACAUAUUUAGGGGGAGAUGUGCUACAACUUGACCCUUUGAGACUAACAUGUUUGUUUGAGUAUACUUGAUGUGGUCUCAAAGGUGCAUUGAAAGGGAAAAAUGAACUUGGACGAUGAAAAGACUUCCACUGCACUCCGGUAUUCGUGUACUUACUUCCAAGUUCAUACUUGCAAUUUCAUUGCCUUUUGCUCUUUAUUGACAUUUUUGGUGAGGCAAUUGGGUUGAAAGGGCCAAAAAUGAUCCUGUUUUGGUGCUUAAUGCCAAAGGGGGAGAAAUUAAGACCAAAGCAAAUGGAUCAGCCAACCACUUGAUAAUUUUGAAAAUAGUAGAGUUAGAAUUUGAUUUUGUCAAAAUAUUCAAAUUGCAAAAUUUGGUCUCUUGUGGGGGAGAAUUUUUUAUUAUGGGAAAAGGGGGAGUUUUUGGUACUUGAUCAAUUUUUCUCUUGGAACAUCUCUUGAUUUGCCCAAAUAAGUGUGUCUGACUUAGAGAUAGGAAAAAGGAUUUUAUUUACAAAAACAAACCAAGUGGUGGCAAAGAGUGAUCCAAUUAUGCCAAAUCAUAAGCAAAAACAAUUUGGUCUUCAAUUUGAUUCGAUAUUGCAGUUCUUUUGUUGCUUUUUGAUGUGUUGGCAUAAAUCACCAAAAAGGGGGAGAUUGAAAGGGAAAUGUGCCCUUGGGCAAUUUCUAUAAGUAUUUUGGUGAUUAGAUGUCCAACACAUUAUUUGAGUACUUAUGUGCUAAAUAUGUGAAAGGUGCAAAUCAAAGUAAAAGGUACGUUUCUAGACUUAGUACAUUGUUUUUGUGAACUAACAUUGUUGGUCUAAGUGCUAGAAACAGUGCCAAAAAGAGAGGAAUCGAAUUGCAUAAGACUUGGCUGUGAGCAGCCAAACUUCAGCUUAGUCUGGCACACCGGACAGUGUCCGGUGCGCCAGGCUGGUCCGCGGUGAACUCACCGCUCUCAGGAUUCGACGACGUCGUACGGCUAUAAUUCACCGGACUGUCUGGUGAGCCAAUGGUUGCCAGCGUAAUGGUCGACCGCGCAAUCCGCGGGUGACGCGUGGCCCGCAGCAAUGGUCGGUUGGGCACACCGGACAGUGUCCGGUGCGCCAACCGACCCCGAGGACCAACGAUCGGAUGCGCCUGAUUUGGAAGGCGAUCGCGCACCGGACAGCUACAGUGACUGUCCGGUGGUGCACCGGACUAUCCGGUGCACCACCCGAUAGAAGACAAGUUUGGCCUUCCAAGUUAGCCUCCAACGGCUCCUAGCUGCCUUGGGGCUAUAAAAGGGACCGCUAGGCACAUGGAGGAGUCACCUGAGCAUUCACUAAGCAUUCUAAGACUCCCGCACUCCGCCUCCGUGCAUUUGAUCGAUUGUGUUAGUGAUUUGAGCUCCGUUCGAGUUGUGAACUCUCUGUGCUACGUUUUGAGCUCAAGUUUUGGCUUGUGUGCGUGUGUGUGCUAUGGAUUUGUGUGUUGUGUAUGUUGCUCUCCUAGCCUUACUCUUGUGCCUUCUUUGUGAUCUUUAUUGUAAGGGCGAGAGGCUCCAACUUGUGGAGAUUCCUCGCAAACGGGAGAAAGACUAUAAGGAAGAAUGUCGUGGUAUUCAAGUUGAUCAUUAGAUCACUUGAAAGGGAUUGAGUGCAACCCUCGUCCAUUGGGACGCAACAACGUGGAAGUAGGCAAGUAUUACUUGGCCGAACCACGGAAUAAAAAUCGCGUGUCUCUUGUGAUUGUUUUCUCUGUGAUUGUUUUGUCCACAAGAACUCGCCUCAAAACUACUUAGUCGCACUAACACUUCUAUAACUAAGUUUUGUGGCUAUUUAGUGUUUAAUUUUACAAGAUCACCUAUUCACCCCCCUCUAGGUGCUCUCAAGAUGGCGCGGUGGCGGUCGGAGAGAAGGAGAUGUACUGUCGCGAGAGCUUGGUGGCUUUCAUCGUGGCGGACUCACCAACGACGAGCUAGUGAUAUAGAGCGGCUUACGACGACGUGGUGAAGCCUCAUGGCACGUGGCAUCUGAUCGACGGGUGGCCAACUCCUGUGACUUAUCUAAGCCGGCCGUAAAGCAAAAGGGGUACGGCGGCACGACGGUGAGAAAGUUCGAGCUAAUCCGAGCGCCAAGAUUUUUACCCAUCUUCGUUAUCCAUCUGCGCUAGGCACGAAUCACUGCAACUGGCGUGAAUCCGAGCGCACGGGUCAUCAGCGGCGAGGGGAUCUGAACCCAGGAUAUUUUUCAGUUACUGUACUAUGAGCACUUGUUGAGAGCGCCUAACAGACCAAGUUACAGCGCCAAGGUCUCAGAUUUUUGUGCAAGAACUUGCCAAUCCAUCCGUAGCAAAAGUGAGAACCAUAUGACUCAAGGUACCCUAAUUCCCUAGUUUUUGCACUUAGAUCCAAAAGUGUGCAAUAUUUGCAUAUAACCCCCUAGGGUUUCUAUUUGGGGUUUUCAGUGGUCCUUUUUAGGGUUUCUUGCACUUCUAGAGUUUGGAUGCUAUCAAAUCCUAUUAGAGUUGAUAUCUUAUGACCAUUUCUAAUAAGUUUUGAGAAUUUAACUCAUUUGGGCUUUAUUGACACCCUAAGCUCAAUUUAGGGUUAAGUACUCUACCCUAGGGUUUUACCCCUGACAUGCCACAUCAAUACAACUUGUUUGAAAUUUUUGCCUAGUGAAUGCAUUCUAAGUGUAACAAUCACAUGAUAUGCUAAUGCUCAUGAUGUUAUGCUCAAGUUUUAGUGACAGUAACACCAGGGGUGUUACAUCCUUCCCCCCAUAAAAGAAUCUCGUCCCAAGAUUAAAAGUCUAGGGUAAGUAAUGGAAAAGGAAACGUGUCAUAACUUUAUUUCCUUAUUUCUGGUAUAAGAUAGGGAUGGUAUGGGGUUUAUUCCUCUAUUACAACAAGUGUACAUAUUUCACAAUUUACAUGAAGCUAAAAAGCCUAGGAAAUUCUUUUCUAAAAAGUCUCGAGUUUCCCAAGUAGCUUCAUCUUUCGUAUGUUGGUUCCAUUGUAUCUUAUAGAAUUCGAGAGUUCUCCUUUGGGUAAUUCUGUCCUUUUGAUCCAAGACUCGAAUAGGAUGUUCUGAAUACGUCAAGUCUGGUUCUAAGGCAACAUCCGUCACUUCAACGGUUCGAUCUGGAAUCCGAAGACACUUCUUCAAUUGAGAUACGUGGAACACAUUGUGCACCGCAGACAAUGUUUCGGGUAAUUGCAGUCGGUAUGCCACUGGUCCACAUUGUUCAAGAAUAGGAAAAGGACCAAUGUACCGGGGUGCAAGCUUCCCUUUUACCCCAAAACGUGACACACCCUUCAUUGGUGAGACUUUCAGGUAGACAUAAUCUUCAACUUGAAAGUACAAGGGCUUGCGUCGUUUGUCUGCGUAAUUCCUUUGGCGAGCUUGGGCCUCUUUCAAAUUAUGCAUUAUUCGUUGAACCUUCUCUUCUGUUUCUUUUACCAUAUCAGGCCUGAAAAACCAUCUUUCUCCUGGUUCAGACCAGUUUAACGGAGUACGACACCGUCGUCCAUACAAAGCUUCAAAGGGUGCCAUUUUGAUGAUCUCUUGAUAGCUAUUAUUGUAUGAGAACUCCGCUAAUGGUAAGCAGUCAUCCCAUUUCUGUGGGAAAUCCAGAACACAUGCUCGCAACGUAUCUUCAAGUAUUUGAUUUACUCUCUUAGUCUGCCCACUAGUUUGAGGAUGGUAGGCCAAACUGUGAAGCAACUUGGUACCAAGGGAUUUAUGAAGUGCUUCCCAAAACUUGGCUACAAAUUGCGGCCCACGAUCCAACACUAUGGUCUUUGGAACCCCAUGCAGACUAAGAAUACGAGCAAUAUAUAAUUGGGCAUAGACAACAACUGGAUGAUCUGUCUUGACGGGCAGAAAAUGGGCUAUCUUGGUAAGUCGAUCAACUAUAACCCAAAUAGAAUCAAACCCUUUUGUUGUCCUGGGCAAUCCCACAAUAAAGUCCAUGCUUAUAUCCUCCCAUUUUCAAGUUGGGAUAGGUAACGAUUGCAAUGGACCAACAGUUUUCAUAUGUAUGGCCUUGACACGUCUGCAAGUGUCACAUCUCGCCACAUAGCGUGCAAUUUCAAUCUUCAUCAUAGUCCACCAAUAAUGCUGCUUUAGAUCAUGAUACAUCUUAGUGCUUCUGGGAUGAAUAGAAUAGCGACUAAGAUGUGCUUCAUCUAAAAUUUGCUGGCGGAUUUCGUCAUUCUUGGGCACAACUAUGCGGUUGUUAAACCAUACAACACCUUGAUCAUCUUUUCUGAAACAGUUGGCUUUACCAGCCUCCAUUUUCUCAUUAAUGUGUUUCAUACCCUCAUCAUUUCUUUGUGCAUCAAUUAUUCUUUGCAGAAGAACCGACUCAAGCUUCAAGUGAUUGAAAGUUCCAUGUUGAAUUAUUCCCAGUUCAACUUUUCCAUUUCUUGGCAUAAUGUAAUGUCAGAAGUCUUCAUCGUAAGACAAUGGGAGGAAGCCUUGCGACUUAGUGCAUCUGCCACUACAUUAGCCUUGCCCGGGUGAUAGUGAAUUUCCAAUUCAUAUUCCUUAAUCAGCUCGAGCCAUCUCCUCUACCUCAUAUUCAGCUCUGACUGGUAAAGAUGUACUUCAAGCUUUUAUGAUCUGUAUAGAUGUGACAGAUAUUCCCCAGCAGAUAAUGAUGCCAUAUUUUCAGGGCAUGAACCACAACAGCUAAUUCCAGGUCAUGAGUUGGAUAAUGCUCCUCAUGUCGGCGCAAUUGUCUUGAGGCGUAUGCUACAACUCGGCCUUCUUGCAUCAAGACACAACCUAAGCCACUACCUGAUGUGUCACAAUACACAUCAAACGGCUUUUCAAUGUCCAGUUGAGCUAAUACCGGAGCAGUGGUUAAUAACACUUUCAGCUGCUCGAAACCUUCAUUGCAUCUUGAAGACCAAUUAAAUUUUGUAUCAUUCUUUAAUAAACUUGUGAUUGGCUUCACAAGAUUGGAAAAAUCUAGAAUAAAUCGGCGGUAAUAAUCGGCCAGUCCAAGGAAACUUCGGACUUGAUGUACAGUGGUUGGUGGUUUCCACUCCAAAAUAUCCUUGACUUUGCUGGGAUCCACCGCAAUCCCCUUGGCAAACAAUACGUGUCCCAAAAAUUGUAUCUCCUCCAGCCAAAAUGUGCAUUUACUAAAUUUAGCAUAAAGUUGAUGCUCCCUUAAGCGGGUUAACACAAUCCGCAAAUGCCGAGCAUGCUCCUCUUCAUUCUUGGAAUAUAUCAAAAUAUCAUCAAUGAAGACUACCACGAAUUUAUCCAACUCGAGCAUGAAUACCGAGUUCAUAAGAUAUGUGAAGUGGGCAGGAGCAUUUGUUCAUCCGAAAGACAUAACCAGAUAUUCAAAUAAUACAUACCGCAUAGUGAAUGCGGUCUUGGGUAUAUCUUCGGGUCGGAUAUGGUUCUGAUGGUAACCCGACCUGAGGUCAAUCUUGGAAAAUACCUGAGCUCCGGUUAGCUGAUCAAAUAAGAUAUCAAUCCGGGGAAGAGGGUACUUAUUCUUGACUGUGACCUUGUUAAGGGGUCUAUAAUCACUACAGGAAACUCCUAAAUUUUCGUGGGCCAAAAACCCACGAAAAUAAGCCUAAACCGACGAAAAUAGAGAAUUUUCGUCGGCAGGCCGACGAAAAUAGCCGCCGAAAAUAAGUUCGACGAAAAUAGGCGGCUAUUUUCGUCGGUACCGACGAAAAUAACUUAUUUUCGUCGGCUUUCCCAAGGCCGACGAAAAUAGGCAGUCGACCAUUAAUUUUCGUCGGCCGGUGGUGGCCGACGAAAAUACGUGCAGGCUAUUUUCGUCGGCCUAGGUGGUGGCCGACGAAAAUAGCCUGGGAACAUAUUUUCGUCGGCCACCACCGAGGCCGACGAAAAUUGAUGGUUCCCCCCCCCAAAACAGAUUUUUCUGCACCUAUUAAUAAUUCACAGCAAUAUACACAAUAUAUCACAAUUCACAUAUAUAGAUUCACAAGCCUAAUACAUAAUUCACAAAACACAUUCACAUAUACAUAAAUAGUCCAUAGUCCAUUCAAAUAAGUCUAGAGUCUAUAAGUCCAUUGUCCAUUCAAAUAAACAAUUCACAAAACUCUAGUCCAUAAGUCUAGAGUCCAUAAGUCCAUAAGCUACUCACUACUCACUACUCACUCCUCACUAAUCACUCCGGCGGGCUGUGGGAGUUUUGGCCACUCCCUCCUCCGCCACCAGGAAGGUGGCCACUCCCUCCAGCACCAUGGACGAAGAAGUCUUGGACGUUGACACCACCCUCCGAUCCAUGAGCAUGUGACGCUGAAUCCUGCAAUUCAUCAAUCAUUCAAAUAAGGCUGUAUUUUGCUAUCACUAUGCAUAUACAUUGCUGUGUUUGGUCAAUAUUUGCAUAAAACUAAACAUGGAACGUCACCUGUGAUCCAUGGUGAGGAGGAGGUUGUGCAUGCAUCCACGGGUACUGUUGUGGUGGCCACCCCAGAGGUGGUGGCACCCACCCCGUCGGUGGCGGUGCCAUCCACGCUUGAAAUGGCUGAGAGCCCGCCGGUGGCUGGGAGACCGGUGGCACCCAUCCCGGGACUGGCUGCGAUCCUUGGGGUGGAGGCGUCCAAGUGCCUGGAGGUGCCUGCGUCCACCCAACACCGGUCCACUGUGGCUGCGACGCUGGAGCUUGUCCUGGCCACUGUCCCCAUCCUUGUGCCUGCGAAACAUUUUUGAUAAUAAAGAAAGAGUUGCUAUGGAAUUGAAGUGUUCAGAUAGUGUUACCUGGGGAGGGCGAAAAGCGGGCAAGUUCAUAUCAGGGCCGAGUCGAGUAGUCAUUUCCUGCAAAUGGAUGCAACGUUAGAAUCACAACAUUAUACUUUGAAUUCAAUGACGACACGUGAUGAGAUAGACGGAUUACCUGAAAAUAAGAAGCCAUAUAUUGCGUCAGCUGUCCAACCUGCUCCUGCGCUGCUCGAGCCUGCUCCUGUGCUGCUCGAGCCUGCUCCUGUGCUGCCCGAGUCUCCUCCUCCAGCUGAGCCUCUCGAGCAGACCUGGAGGAGCGAGAACUCCCUCUCGAAGAUGAUGCCUUCCCUUGACCUAUUGUCCUGUUAUAUUCCACAACGCCGGUGCCAAAGGCAAACCUGCAUGAUACACAUAGUUGAGUCAUUAAGUGAACACAUUCUUGUUAAUGAAAUCGUCGAAUCAAACACAAACACCUCACCUGCCAUGCUUUCUACCCCCACCACUAUGGUACAACGCCGAGGCAUCUAAGUCUGAAUGCAUCCAGUCGAAGUCAGGCCCAUGGCGUUGAGUCAUUUCCUCCCCAUAUGCAUUCUGCAAAGAAAGUUGGAGUUAGACACAAAACAUGCAAUUUAAUUCGUAAAUACAAACUUGUUUACCAUUUUCUCCCUUGCCGCCUCGCUGCAUAGUACAUCAGGGUUCGCCGGAUCAGGGCCACGGUGACCACGGACGUAAACCUCCAUAAAACUUGGAGCAACUCCACUUUCAGCUUCCUGCAUGAAAAAGAAGAGUUAAACCAUAUAAUUUUCAUAGAUGUAACAUACAAGUUUGAUUUAUAUACUUACCAUGCGGCGUGCGGUACCAAGGUGUCCAUCGGCGCCGUACCUGUGCCCCGGUCCUUCAGUGCCACGGUUGGCACGGUGCUUGUUGGACUCUGCAAUCCACUCAGGCGACGCCCAUCUCUUAGCCAACCACCUCCAGGCUUCCAUGUCCUUCGCCAGCCAAUCCACAACGCUCUCCAGGUACUGCUCCUCUAUGAGGUAGAUCUCAUUGGCCCCUAAUGCUUUGCUCAUUUUCUGCCCCUUUAUCUUCUUGUAGUAGUAGUUGACGGCCACGAUGCGAGCAUUGUACAUGGCAUCCUUGAUUAUCUUAUCAGCGCACUUCCGAAAGUGCCUCUUCACACGUGUCCACUGAGCCUGAUCCUCCUCGAUGUCAUCCGGCAAUUGGAACCUCCCCUACAUAUCAAUGUAGAAGUUAAGUUAAAGUAAGAUUAGGAGAAGUAAUAAUUCAAUGAAUUGCUUAUAUAUGAAAGUAAACUCACCCAGAACUCGUCCCACACAGCCACCUGACAAGUCCUUCGUUUUUUUCCGAACUUCCCCCUCCGCUACUGCUUUCCCCUGACUCCCCUGGCUCGACAUAGUCCUUUAGACCCUAGUCAGCCCACUGCAUAGCCGCGAACCUCUCGCCAUUUAGCUCCACCAUGCCAGGGUAGUAGAAGCGACAGAGGCUACCCAACACCGCGUUCACCUUGGGACGUCUGCCUGUACCGUCCCAAGUCAAGUCUUCCCAUGACCUACAAAAUUUAAUAAAACAAGUAAACUAGUGCAAUCACGUUCAUAUUAAAAAAUUAACACAACAGAAAUAAGCCCCACCAUUCUCCAUGCGGCCGGAUGAGCCUCCUCUCGGCAGGUCUCGGACCAAGCGCAUUGCUCUUCUUAUACCUAAGUAUACAAGUAAAUUCAAUAUGAUGAAAUGAUUAGAAACUAAUAUCAAUUAAACUAAUAUGCAUAAUAAUACCUGAAGGACGUAGAACCAUCUGACGCGUCGCCCGCGUUGCCUGCCCCCAUUGGGUCAACCUCCUCGUCCUGCUCACCCUCCUCAUCCUGCUCACCCUGCACAUGAGCAUCCUACUGAGGAGUCUCCUGCUCACCCUCCUCACCCUGCACUUCGUCUAGACAGUCGAGAAGUUGCUGCUGCCUCUGUCGGCUCUGUGAGGUGCCCUGAAAAAGCCCACUUCCCGAGCUGUCCUCGCUGGCCGCGCUGCCCCCACUCCUCCUCGAUCUCCUAUGCUUGAACAUGUUCAACUGUAGAUAAAUUAAUGUCAAACCACAAUAUAUAAAACAAAUAAUAUGAAAAUUAAUAAUGUGGAAAUUGGAAUACAUAGCUUAAUUGAUUAACUAAAAGAAACAUACUAAUCAAAAGUCAUCUGCAUCCGAUGAUGCUUCGUCGGCUCGUUGUUUAUUCAUACGCUCUUGAUUUCGUUGGAUCCUUACUGAUCUUCUAACGACGACAGGUCGUUUGCGCUUUGACCUAGGUUCUUCAAUUAAGUCGCUUGAAUUGCAACAGAGAUUUUCAAGUCCUUCUCCAUUGGUCACAUGGAAUCGGUGAGCUAUGUCUUGAUUCGACGCUGCUUCUGGUUGAAAAACAGCAUCAUCGUUGUCCCUGCUCGUACUCACAUAGUCAGCACUCUUUGGAGCGACGACUUGUGGGUUGACUUUGAUUGCAACCCACCAAGCCCUAAGGCUUGGGUGAGGAUAUGGCAGGUAGUACACCUGUUUUGCCUGAUUUGCAAGGACAACAUCGCUCAUACUGCUCGGAAUCCUAGAGCUAUGCUUCACCUCGGCAUUACCAUACUUGUCGACACGAGUCCCACUAUGAGCAUCAAACCAGUCGCACUCAAAAAACACGACUUUAAGUUCUUUGGGGCCAUCGAAAAUCAACUCUACAAUGUUUUGAAGAACACCGUAAUAGUCCACUACUUUGUCAUCGUCAACAUAUGAACUUGCCAACACACCACUAUUGGUGGUGGCUGCCAAUGGUCGACUCUUCUCCAAUUUCGCGGUUCGAAAGCGAUAUCCAUUUACAUCAUAGCGAGUAUAGUUUCGGACGGACACAGAGGUAUGUGCCAUUUGCUGCAAGUCCGGGUGCACAGAGUUUUUGGAAACCUAUACAAGUAAUUAGUAUAUGCAUUAUAUCUUCCAAGUCCAAAAUUCAAAGAUUAAGUAUGGACAAUGAGGAACGACAAUUACUAACAUAAUUACGAAACCACUGCACGAAGUUUGGUCCACCUUUCAACCCAUCACGUCGAAGAUUUUCUAAUUGGAUGGCCGUAGGUUUACUAGUAGAUUUCCAACAUUCUUCAUCAAAGAUGCUGGACAUAUUACAAACAUGGAGAUUACACACUAUAGAAAUUAUGAGAUGAGAAAAUGGACGUAACUAUGAGGAAAACUUACUCGAACGCCUCCUAAGUGCUGUCAAUAUUGCUAUACAUAUAUAGCAUUAGCGUGUUCAAAUCUGAUGCUUCAAUGUGACGUACACUCCCUUUUCCAACUGCUUUACCCGGAUUCGCAAAAAUUUGAAGGGUGCUUUGGGGUGAUUCAUUUUCGACAUGAAGUCGCACUGAAGGCGCAAACACAUUGUUGGCUCGAGCGAAAUACCUGGUUGAGAAUUGAGAUAUCUCCUUAAGGGCAAAAGCCUCCGCAAUACACCCUUCGACUCUAGCCUUGUUUCGAACAGACGCCCUGAGCUUUUUCAACGCCCUUUCUAUAGGAUACAUCCACCUGAAUUGCACUGGUCCGCCUACCAAAGCUUCCCAAGGCAAAUGCACAAUUAGAUGUUGCAUCACAUUGAAGAAUCCUGGCGGGAAAACCUUUUCAAAUUUACAAAUAAGAAUUGGAGUUUCUUUCUCAAAUUUCUGCAUCAACCUCUUCGAUACCGUCUUUGCGCAUACUUCCCUAUAGAAGUAACUCAACUCUGCAAAUAUGCUCCAAAGCUCAUCCUUAAAAUAGCCUCGAAACAUCACGGGCAUCAGCCUCUCCAUAAUAAUAUGGUAGUCAUGGCUUUUCAAACCGAUCAAUUUACCGGUCUUCAGAUUGACUGCCCGUUUCAGAUUUGCCGCAUACCGAUCUGGAAAUUUCAGAUUCUUCAACCACUUAAAUAUUUCUUUCCUUUCAUCCGGCUUGAGGCAGUAAUCAGCUCGCGGCCUACUUUCAUGCCCUUUAUCGCUUACUUUCAACUCGAGCAUCGGCCUCUUACAAAUUUCAGCCAUGUCUUUUCUUGCCUUCAUAUUAUCUUUCGUUUUAUCAGUCACAUCGAAACAUGUGCUUAUGAUGCUUUCAGCAACGUUACGCUCUUGGUGCAUCAAGUCUAUGUUGUGCGGCAUGAUCAAGGAUUUUGCAUACGGAAGCUCCCAUAUUGAUGAAAUAUGGGUCCAGUUAUGGUCCUCCCCGUAGCCUUGGAACCUAUCAUUUUCUCCUUGCUUCAGACAAGCAUGCCAUGCCAUUAUCUGCAGUGUAGUUUGCCUCUUUGGUGGCCCAUUUCUGAUUUUGGCUCCACCUCUAAAUGCAGUAAGCGAAUUCCUGAAAUCAUGCUUGAAUGGAGUCCAACGUCGAUGAGCAUCAAAGAAUGACACUUUCCCACCAUGCUUCAAUCUGAAUGCAUCCGUAUCAUUCAUACAUAUGGGACAGCACAACCGACCAUGGACACACCAUCCAGACCAAUCUCCAUACGCCAGCAGAUCAUGCACUGACCACAAAUAAGCAGCGCGCAUGGUAAACUCAUUUUCAGUAUGGCUAUCAUAAGCCUUCACACCUCUCCACAAUUGUUUCAGCUCUUCAAUUAAAGGGCGAACAAACAUAUUCAGCUUUGGCCCUGGAUGCUCGGGGCCUGGGAUGACUAGUGCAAGGAACAUGAACUCUUCUUUAUUGACCAACUCAGGAGGAAGAUUAUAUGGCACAAUGAAGACAGGCCAACACGAGUAAGGGCUUGCACUGGUAUUGAAAGGUGUGAAUCCGUCCGUCGAUAGACCAAGCCGUACACUCCUAGGGUCGUUUGCAAAUUCGGGAUCAAACUCGUCAAAUGCCUUCCACGCAUCACCGUCCGACGGAUGGACCAUUAUGUCUGGAUCAGUGACGAGACGUACACCAUUCUUUGGCCACGUCAUAUGCAGAGCUAUUUCCUUGUUGAGGAACAACCUUGAAAGCCGAGGAAUGAUGGGCAACCGACGAAGUUGCUUAGCUGCGACCUUCGUAACUACCAAUUCACCCUCAUCAUUUGUCACCUCGACAUAUCUAGAAGCUUCACAAUGCUUACAACGGUCCAGCUUGUCAUCCUCCUCAAAGAAUAGCAUGCAACUGUUGGGACACACGUCGAUCGUCUCAUAUGUCAUCCCAAGACCAGCCAACAUCUUCUUUGUGAAGUACAUAUUCUUUGGCAACUUAUGAUUCUCCGGGAGAACCUCGCCCAUAAGUUGGACGAUGUCGUUGUAAGCACUGUUUGAAAUGUUGUGCUUCGACUUUAUCGCCAUUAGUCUUGUGAGAGUCCCAAGAACUGACAUCGGAGUGUGCUCGUGCAGUCUCUCUUCUCCCGCGGCGAGUAGCUGGAAGAAUUCUUGAGCAUCGCGUGGAAGCUGCCCCUGCUCCUCAGCGUUCAUUUCAACCUCCCUACCAAGAUCAUGCAACAUAUCGUCCAUCCUAUCAUGAUCGUCAUCAAGCUCCACCUCCGCGUCAACGUGUCUAAUAGACUCUCCAUGCUGGUACCAUACAAGGUAGUUCGGCAUAAACCCACUUUUGCAAAGGUGUUUCUCCAUUUCUUCCUUCUUCUGAGGCCACUUGUUCUCGCAGCGAUUGCAAGGACACUUCACUAGACGACCAGUUGCAUCUUUGAAAGCGUGCUCAAGAAAAGCCUUUGUUACACCCAUCCAUGCAUUCGAAUGUGCCCCAUCCUUUCUCCACCCGUCAUACAUCACCCUCCGAUCACCGUCCAUUUCAAAGGCUAAACAAAAGUAAAAAAACAUCAACGAUCGUCCGUGGCUUAAUUAGGUGAACUCCCUAUUAGGUAAAGGCCCUAAACCCACCUAAGAGUGUAGGCCGAUGCUUGUGAUUUAUGACGUGUAGCCUACGAUUGCCGCGAAAUUUCGGCAGCAUAACCCCGCUGCUCUCCAAGCACACGCCUGAACAUGGUGUGUUGGAGAACAACUGGGUUACACAACCGAAAUUCCACGUCAAUCGUAAGGCACAUGUCACAAAUCACAAGCAUCGGCUUACACUCUCAGGCUGUCCAAAAUACGUGGACAAUUCCGGAACGGCGAACCUCACAAGCCAAUGUGACGUUCGCCGUUCCCGAACGGGUGACGCAUAAGGUUCGCUACGGUUAACGAUUAAAACUGAACUCUAAACAUUAAAAAAUAUCUCGUAGAUUAAACAAAAGACAUCACCCUCCGAUCACCCUCCAAACGGGUGACUAAUAACUAUAUAGUAAAUAAUAAAUGACACAUUAACCGAAAUUACGAAAACAAUGUAAUUGUCAAUAAAAAAAUCGGCAGCACCUCCACUAUAAAGUGAUGUUUCUAAAACCUGCAAAAAACAACAACACGAUGGUUGCCAACACAGAAUACUGCACGAUAGCUACAUAAUGAACAGCUAUCAAUACCUAGCUAACUAUUUAUACUAACAAGUAAAUAGAUAUCAAUCUAUACAUUAUAUAAAGUAAAUUAGCUAACUAAUUACUAUAAAUUAAGUAAAACCAUUACCGUGGCAAGGUGGAGGGGGCCGCGGCGUGGGACGGCUGUUCGGAGUGGGCGCGGCGUGGGGAGGCGGCUUGGCGUGGCGCGGCGCGGCGAGGGCGCGCAGCGAGAGCACGCAACGCGGCGAGGGCAAUCGUCGAGGGCGCUUGGCGCGGCGAGGGUGCGGCUGCUCGGCGUGGGUAGGCGGCGUGGCGAGGGUGCAGCUGCUCGGCUGCUCGGCGUGGCGAUGGUGCGGUUGCUCGGCGUAGGUAGGCGGCUCGGCGCGGCGAGGGUGCGGCACGCGGCGCGGCGGACGGGCGCGCGGCGGCGCGGCUGCGUGCGCGCGGGCGGGCGGGCGGGCGGGCGCGCGGGCGCGCGGCGCGGUUGCGGCGGCGGCGGCGGCGGAUUCGUUAGAGAGUGAGGUCGCGUGAGAGACGAGAGAGAAGGCCGGAAUGGAAGAUAACGACCUUUAUUUUCGUCGGCCUCAUUGGGGCCGACGAAAAUAGUGGUCCGUUCAAAGUUUAUUUUCGUCGGCCGAGUGGAGACCGACGAAAAUAAACACCGUAUUUUUGUCGGCCGAGCGGAGACCGACGAAAAUAAACACCGUAUAUUCGUCGGCGAGCGGAGACCGACGAAAAUACAGAUUAUUUUCGUCGGUUUAGAGGCCGACGAAAAUAACUUUCGUAUUUUCGUCGGCAAGCUGACGAAAAUACAGCCUGACCCACGAAAAUAGGCCGCAUUUUCGUCGGUCCCAAAGGCCGACGAAAAUAACCUUCUAUUUUCGUGGGCCGGCCGACGAAAAUAUAUCGGCCUACGAAAAUUUAGGCGUUUCCUGUAGUGAAUCCACGCACAUCCGAAGCGUUUGGUCCUUCUUCUUGACAAAGAUGGCUGGACAACCCCAAGGUGAUGAGCUUGAUCGGAUGAAUCCCUUUUCUAGCAGAUCUUGUAAUUGUGUCUUGAGCUCUGCCAACUCAUUCGGAGGCAUUCGGUACGACCUUCUAGAAAUAGGAGCUGUACCAGGCUUCAACUCAAUCACAAACUCUACAUCUCUCUCUGGAGGCAAUCCAGGCAGAUCUCCCGGAUAGACGUCCGGGAAUUCACAUACUCCUGGAAUAUCUUGGAUCUCUGGUAUGAUGGCUUCAUAUACUCUGCCAAAUGGUUUAGCUAUAGUAGCUACGGGAAUGGACAAGAGAACCUCUUCCUGGCCAUAGCUCAACCUGAUGGUUCUCAGAUCAAUGUUGAGGAUAGCUUUAUGCUGGGCUAACCAAUUCAUGCCCAAAAUUACAUCUAUAUCUUGGCCUUUUAGAACAAUCAUGUUUGUGGGAAAGUCCCGUUCAGCCAAUGUUACGGGCACAUGGAAAGCCACUUCUUUAGUGAAUAUUUGUCCCCCAGGCGAAUGAAUUAUAAACCCUUCCCUUGAUUCAAUGUAUGUAAUGCAAUAUUUCUCCACAAACUUCUUGCUUAUGAAUGUAUGUGAAGCACCAGAAUCAAAGAGAAUGACUGCAGGGUGAUUGGCCAUGAGAAACGUACCCAUCAUGACCGGUUCUCCCUCCGGUGUAGUGGCCACUUGUGUAUAAUAGAUUCGCCCAGUUUUCUUCACAUUCUUGCUCGCUGCAUUAUUUGCCAUGUUUCCCUUGCCUUGACUGGAAUUCCCCGGGUUCUACUAAUUAUUGGAGUUGUUCCGCCUCGGAUAUGGGCAGUCUUUGAUGAAAUGUUUAGACUUCCCACAAUUGAAGCAACCAGUAGAUGAACUCGGGAGUGCAGGGAAACGAGUACCAGGGGCACUCGACUGAGUUGUGGAAGUGGGGGCAGUGGCAGGGCGGAUGAAUACAGGCUGUUUAAAGGGGUAGGAGGGUGGACAAGGUGAAGAACGGUUUGGAUUGAAAGGUUGGAUCACCAACCUUUGUCGCUUUUCAGGCCCUUGGUUGGACCUGUCACCUCCAUAGCCCUUUGACUUGCCUGGGCCUGCAUAUUUGGCUUCAACUGCCAGCGCUGUGCUGACAGCCCUGCUAUAGGAGAGGUCGAGGCAGGUGGCGUACUGGGACAAAUGAUUGAACUUGUUGAGAUACUAUGUAAUAGUAUCUCCACCCUGCUUAAGCUUCAUGAAUUCUUCUUGCUUCAUAUGGAGCACCCCUUCUGGAAUGUAGUGCUCCCGAAAUGCCAAUUUAAAUUUGUCCCAGGUGACUUGAUGUUCGGCAGGCUGAAUGGCCACAUAAUUUCCCCACCAGGUGCUGGCAGGGCCUCUUAACUGCUGCACCGCAAAUAAUGGCUUCUGGGUCUCCGUGCAUCGGAUGAGCCCGAAUUUCUGCUCAAUGACCCGAAUCCAUUCGUCAGCUUCAAGGGGAUCUUCAGCCUUGACGAAUAGUGGGGGACGGGUUUCUGAGAAAUCCAAAUAUGAAGUUUCGCGGGGUCCCUGCGGAUAAGCCCUCCCGCCUUGUUGCUGCAGUUGCUGUCCCACCAUUUCACGAAGGAAACGGGUGUUGUCAGCGGUCGCGGUGACCAAGGCAGCGAUAGCCUCGGCCAGUCUGGGUGGAACCGGCGGUGGAUUUGGUGUAUCUUCUUGGCCACGGGAUGUUCCCGCGCCGUCAUGUGCACGAGUUUGAAAUGGCAUCUGAAGCAAAGAAAUAUUUGGAAAAUAUCACAUGCUGAUACAUACCAUCAUUUUACAUUACUUAAGAGGUAAUGUUACAAACUCAAUGUACAACAUGACAUCAUUACCUAUUUUACAUUAACACUAUUUCUAAACUAUACUACUACUAGUACUUAUUAUCCUUAGAAGCUUCAUUGUCGGGUGUAGGGGUCCAUUCAUCAGCCAGGUUCAUUGAAGGAGGGGGCUUGAAAAGAUCCAGUUCCCCACCAAAAGCUUCACCUGCUGUUCUAGAAGGUCCAGCUCCCAUUCUGACAGGAUCUGCAGGUACGUUAGGGUGUAGUCGCGAAUACAAUUCAUGAACUUCCUCAUGUAAUGUAUUGCAGUACACCUGCAAGUUAUCAACUGCCGUGCUAAGCUCCUCCACACGGGCUCGAGCUUUAGCUUCUCGGUCCCAAGCAAUGGAAUGCGAGUUGACGACCCAAUCGAGUGCCAAAUCUCGUUCGGCAAGCUCAUCUUGCAGAUGCCGGAUGUCAGUCCUUAACUCAUUUAUGCGCUGACCAUCCUCGACCCACACACUGUUUUUAUGAUGCAAUUCCGUUCGAAGCUGCUCCACCUGGGCUUCCAGAUCUCCAAUGGGGUCAUUGCUGCCGCUGCUACUAUCCUCGUGCCUUGGAGCCAGCUGAUGGCGAGGCACGCCAAUCGGUCCAGUGGACUUGCACGCGGUUUUCCUUGUGCGCGGUGGCAUAUCUCCAUAAGGGGGAAAAUCUGAUUAGUAUAGUUUUUAUCAUGAUGCAUGCAUAAUUACAGAAUCAAUCUUAGUUGAUUCACAACCUUCUAUACAUUGCACUCUACUAUCUGGUCUUAAUAUAAGUAUUUCAGAAGGUAAUUAGAUAAGAAUGAAAGAAAUUUUCUUAGAUAAGUCUUUGAAAAUUCUUUUUGAAAAUGCCUCAUAACAUCUGCAGAGAUGGGCUUUGCUCCGAUACCAGCUAUGAUGGAACCUCCCAAGUCAUUAGGCCCACCUACAGUUGUCCUUGUCCAUCGGACCUCGGACAACCCUGCAGGUGCACCUGAUCACUUGACAAGUUUGGUAUCUGAAUUUUUUACCUUGCCCAAGAGCGUUUCACCCGUCACACAGAUAUUACAUAUCUUGGGAGGCAAAAACCCCACCCGAUAAACAGUAAAAAGUUUUAAAGGAGGGCACUUCCUCCCGAGGCUUCAGUCUUGAUUUUCUUCCUUAGGCGCCACCUUGGAACAAAAGCAACAAAAAAUUGCUGCUUCCUCACCUAGAACAACAUGGGACAAAGCCCUGAGUACGAAGUGUACUUUCGCAAGUCUUACCCGUCAAAAUAAAAAAAGACUCUCAAGGAUAUGCUGGCCUUUAGGAAUCAAGGUAUGGCUUAUCAAUAAUCAAAGACUCUAUUUGGAGAAAUGCUUACUAAUAGUGGAUCCUUAAAAAUCCAGUUUUACUUGUCAGGUUAAGUAAAGUUACCUGCAUCUAGAGUUCUUUCUACCCUAGUUCAAGCACUUGACCUGCACUAGCCGUCUUUUAUCAACCCUUUAAGUUCACUGGAAUGCUACGUGUAAGUCAGUGACCAAGUCUUCAUGUCCGAGAAGUAACGGCGAUCUGAAUCGAUUAAACUCAGCUGAGGAUCUCCAAUCACACGACAUAUGUAGCACUUAACCCUUGCAUGUGUCAACUCGCCACCGGGGUUCUUAAGACCAGAUCAAGUUCACACCAACCGAGAGCACAGAUACACCACCGUCCAGCCUCUUGCCAUGGAGGGUACACGCUACUCUCGCUAUCUCUCCACUCCCAUUGCGUGUUAUCUUAUUCUGGUAUUAGUCUGCCCAAGGCAAAGCUUACCCAUGAUGAGGCAUGUGACCAGUUAAAGGGUCCUCGGUCUGCAGGCCUACAUCGACAAGGUCCUUAAUCGACUCAGACGGAAACACUACACCGAGACUCCUUUCUCGUGCAAGUCACCCGCCCAGUCUCAGCUUUAUUAUUUUCAACCCAAAGUUUGGUACCUGGCAGAGGUACAUCUUUUCCGAUGUUGAACCCAUCACGACCAUGAUGGAUCCACCAUCAAAUUUUAUUUUGAAAACAUCCCACCCACUUGAAGCAUCAUCUUUUGUCAAAACAAAACAUUUUGUUUUUCUAGAGCAAAGCUAAGCAUAAGAAAAACCUUUUUUAUAAAACAAGGGAUCAAGGAAAGGUAAUCAAAUUCUCAAGGAAGGAAAUGCAUCAAUUUGUUUAGCACGCAACUCCUAUCACCUAAUGCAUCAAGCAAGUGAGAAAGAUUUUAAAAUAGCAAGGAGGUGGCAAAUGCACCGGGGCUUGCCUUGUGUGAUAGGUGAGUCACGCUCUGCUCCACAGAUGUCAAAAUAAAAGUAGUUCCCGGCCUGGGGUUCUUCAGGUGGUGGUGGUGUAGUCCUUGCUCCUUCAACUUCUAUCUCUUCUUCGUUUUCUAUAUAUAGCCAUAUAUAAUCAUGAAUGCUCAUGUAAUGCUUAUGCAAAUGCAAAGAUAAUAAAAGUACAUUAUCUUAGGUCUUGAAUACAAUUUUUCUUCACGGAUCUCCAGGAAACUAGGGUUUCUGGAGUCAGUAGUGAAGUCCAUAGGGCAGGCACCACUAGAAGACUAGGGUUUUGGGUUCUAGGUACCAAACAUGGUCCAAAUCAUACCAAACUUUACCCAAGGCUUCUAAAUAACAUCUAAAGAUUAUCUAAAGAGUUUGGUGAUUUUUGGGAUUAUUAAUUAAUUUCUAAAAUUCCAGAAGUAUGGGUUUUAGCUAUUUUAAAUACACCAUAAUUUCCUAUUUGGAAUAAAACCAUACUACUAUUUUUAUUAAAUAUUAUAGAAAAUUAGGAAUCUAAGAAAAUUGAUCUCAUAUUUUUAACAUUUUCCUAGAAUUUUCUAUGGAUUUUCUAAGCUUGGUAGAAAAGAAAAAGGAGAAAACUGUGAACAGUUCUCGGCUGAAACUGGCCCAAUACAGCCCACGCCUAGGUGAAAUGCGUCGCGCCCGCGUUGGCGGUUUUACACAGACGACCUCAACUUUUUGAAUAAGCAGUAAAUAACCCAGAGCACUAUUUGUUUGUCUCACUAACGUUUGCACCAAGACCCCCGAAGUUCUAUUCCUUCGCAACACCAGGUUCGCGAUGGUGGUCGGCGACGAGCACGUCUCCGGUGAGCCUACAUUGGCCGGAAUAUGCCAAGACCAGACCCCUAACUUAGCUGGCACCGAAUUCUACCCUCGGCGACACUAACCCCUCAAUCAAUUGCACUAAUCUGGGCUGGAGCACGCCUGUCCACGAUGACGGCAAAACCCAAGAAGAAGCUAUGGUGUUCUGGGCAAUUCGGUACGGUCUAGUUCAAUCAAUCGAGCCUACAAGCAACAGGAGAUCCUAGAGAUGCUAGGACAGCACAACUUGGGGCUCAUUUUUGUCCAAAUUUUGUAUGUAAACAAUGUUUAGUUACUUAAGCAAAGUUGCACUCCUACAAUAGCUCUUUAAGUUUGAUGUGUUGACCCUAGGCAAAUUCCUAAUAUUUUUAGAACUACAAAGCUCCAAAGCCAGCCUUGUGCACUGAAUUUCAAACUUGGCCAUAUGAGCACUAGGGUGGCCUUUUUGCAAUUAGGCCCAAAUCUCAUGGUUUCUUUUGCAAAUCUUCAAAUAUGUGAACCAUAUGACUUAAGGUACCCUAAUUCCCUAGUUUUUGCACUUAGAUCCAAAAGUGUGCAAUAUUUGUUAAGAACAAGGCAACACAGAAAAUGUUAAACAUUAAAGUCCUUCGUCCUUCGAAGCAUUACUUCCCUUGAGAGGUAAUGAUUUUCGGACGAAGGUUAUGACGGACGUACCUUUAUCAAUAUAACAUAUAAAUAACGAAGGAGACACAUGAAAUACAAAAAGUAACAUAAACAGUUAUGUAUUACCAUCAACUCAUCUCUAUUUCAUUAUUAUGGAAAAAUAGAAAUGAUAAUAAGUUACAAAGGUACCUGCGGCUUGAAAGAAGGUGAAAGUACAAGCGUGACGCAAAAGCAAGAAUGCCAAGUCAGCGUGAACAGUAUGGGAGUACUGUUCAUCUAUUUAUAGGCACGGGACGCAGCCCAUGUAAAAUUACAUUCAUGCCCUUUACAUUUGCUAAUAACUCUAUGGUAAUCCAUUGGGGUCUAAAUAGCCUUUUCUCCUUUAAGUCGGUUCCCUUUCUUGCUAUCACACCGAAGCUCUUCUGCGCAUAGCUUCGGCUCUGCGCCAUCCUUCGUAUUCUUUGUGCUUCCUCAUACUGUGGUUUUGGCUUAAGUCCGAAGGUACCUGUUCAUGUAUUAUACUCCAGAAACAUUAUUAAAUCAUGUUUUUUUAGGACCUUCGGAAGCCGAAGGCCCACAACAGUAGCCCCUCGCAAUAUUAAUUUGUUAGAAUGAUAAAUUCAAAUUGCGAUAUGGACGAAGGCCCUAAGCCAAAGGUCCGAAAAAACACCUUCCCUUUGCUAGAAUAGCAACAGUCAAUGACAAGCGGGGCCUUUCCACUUGCAACAUACUAGGCGUAUAAAUAAGAGCACACCGCGAGCUCAUUUGGCAUGCUUUCUUGCCAUCUGCUCUUGCUUUCCCAAUUUUUAGCUCUUGCGCACCAACACUUGCUUGAUUUUUAAAUUUUCUAAGCUUCGGCCUUGAGAGUAAUUUUCCAACAUUUCCGAAGAUGUCUGGAGAUAAAAAAGUUGUUGCCGCAACGAAGCUGAGCCUUUCUGAGGAGAAGAAUCUUGGGUUUCUUGAAUCAAUAGCAAAGACAAAUACAGAGAAAAUCACUAGGGAGAUUUUAGAAGGUUUAUCUGAAGACACUGGUGAUAGUGACAGUUAUGAUGUGGAAAGUGUAGGCGAAGACUCCAAAGAUCGACCGUGGCGACCAAGUCACGCAGUCUUCGGAAAAUCAACUAUUAAGUAGAGUCAUCUUGACAAUAUGAGGGGAAGAUAUUUUCGAGACAUGUCUCUGGUGAGGGCUGACAAUGGAGACAAGACUGCUCCUACUCCCGGAGAGAAUGAAGUCGUAAUCUUCCGAAGCUUUUUCAAAGCUUGGCUUCGGUUCCCUUUAAGCGGAUUUGUGGUCGAAGUUUUAAAGAUAUUCCAAAUUUUUCUUCACCAAAUUACUCCCGAAGCAAUCAUAAGAAUGGGAAUCUUCGUCUGGGCUGUGAGGAGCCAGGGCUUGGAGCCAAAUGCAAAAAGCUUCUGCAGUAUGCACGAACUGCUAUAUGAGACGAAGCCCUAGGGUAAAGAGCAGUAUCAUAAUAAUUUUGGUUGCUAUAGCUUUGUUGCCCGCUCUGGCUCAAGCUCCCCAGUGCCGACUUUUUGGAAGAGAUGGCCUAGAGACUGGAUGAAAGAAUGGUUCUAUAUGAAAAAUGAUUUAAAGGCACGAGAAGACAUUAAAGAAAUAAUAAUGUGCCCUAUCUGGCAGCGCUUCGGCCUUCGGAAGCCGAAGGUAGAGAUUGACGAGGCGGCUGAAAGAUGCCGAAGAGCCUUUGGCAUAGUUUUUUCUUUCAUCGGGACAAGGGACAUGAUCCAGGAGCAUAUAGCUUUUAGAGUAUGGCCACUUGUAGAAAAGUGGGAAAUGCCGAAGGAGACUGUCGAUAAGACUGGCGAAGGAGAGCUAGUUCGGUUAAAGUACACCUUCAGAUAUGAAGGUAAGUUUGUUGAGCCGGAUGAUGACUGGUUGAAAUGUAUCGAAGCUACACGUGAUGAAUUGGUUGGGCCGUACUCCAAAGCAGAAGAUAACGCAUUGUCUGUGACCUUCGGGAACCGGAAAAAGAAGAGACUAAACAGAGUUUUUGAUGCUAUUGGGUUCAUGUAUCCUGACUAUCGCUACCCACUACGGGGUCAGAAAAGAAAAGGUGUGGCUCCUGUGAAAGAUGUUGCUUCGGCCGCCUCUAGUGAACCUACGCCAAAGAGGAAAAAAGUGAAGGUUCUCACACACCGACCACGCUACAUUGAAACGGCCACAGUUCCCGAAUUUGGCGGUGAGACCUCUUCGGCUACCGAAGCCAAAGAAACUGCGCUCAUGCAGAAGACUGAAAAGCCGGCUGCAACGCCGAAGGCACCGUUGGCCAAAUUGGGUGAGCCGAAGGUCGAUAAUGUUAAAGAGACAGAGGUCGAGAGAACAAAGAUAUCAGAAGUUACAAGUCCUUCGGUAGAGGUGACAGUGCCGAAGGCACAAAUAGAUCUUAUAGUUACCCCGAAGAGGAAAAGGAUGGUCCACGUACUAGAUGUGCUGGAGGAAAUAAAGACUACAAGCUCUACUCCAAGAAAAACAGCCGAAGUUUCAAAAACGCAAAUUGAAACAAAACAAACUAAAGCCGAAGAUGCAAAAAGUCAUGCCGAGACCGAAGCUGGGCCCUCAGAGCCCGCCAAGAAGAAGUCCUUGGAAAAAGAAGCUUCAGAACAGACUCUGUCAGAACAAGCUGCCACUCCUAUUCCCGAAGCAUCUUCCGAAAUUGUCGAUUAUAUUGUACGACAUGCUUCGGGAAAAAGGUUGUCUGAGAAAGAAAAGCGAGAAGCUCAAUUUUAUGCCCAAAAAUUGAAAUAUCCAAAGGGGGCAUUGAUUUUUAAUGGUAGCGAAAAAGAAGAUUUCUUGUAUUGUCUCCCAGACAGUAAGGAAAUUUCUGUCUGCCGGGAAAUGGGCAAGAGCUUCAGAUUUCCUACACUAGAAGAUGGGCUUUCGGUGCUAUCGAAAGAUGAACUGGCGGACAGCUUAGCAUAUAAUAGCUUAAAGGUAAGAGAAUGAAAUUUUUGCAUUUUAAAACAAAAAUUUGUUUUAUUUGUUUAUACUUAAUACCGCAUUUAUUUUGCAGGGCCUUAUUCUUAGCAACGCCCUCAGGGCGCAAAAAAGUGCUGAAGACGAAGGAUGCACUGUAGCUUUGAACAACCUUCGUUCCGAAGUAACUGAACUAAGGAUCCAAGGUCUUGAAAAAGAUAAAAUAUUACACUCAUUGGUGAAUAAAAUAAAAGAAGACGAAACUACUUUCAAAGCCCAAACUGAAGCCCAAAAGUGCGAAAUUGAGGAUCUUCGGAAACAGCUGGCUGAAGCAAAAUUAAAAUGUGCUAUCGCCGAAUCUGACCGAAACGCCAGCAACUACUAGAAAAAUUAUUGGGAAAAAACAGUUGUAGAGCUUCGGUCUUCAAAAGAAAGUUGUUAUGAAAAAUCCAUAGAAUGUGUGGGAAAAAUAAAGACUAGCUUCGCCAAAGUUGGCGCAUACUCCAGCGAGGAUAACUUCGUAAGAGGCGAUCCUGAGGGCCCAAUUGAAUGGAUCAGCAGCGAAGCCGAUGCCUUUGAAGAAAUUUUAAAUGGCCGUGGAGAUGUCUACGCCUUCUCUGGAGCGAGGGGAGUUGCGGCUAUUUUGGAGAAGAUAGGUUGCGAACAUGUAAAAUCCUUAGCGUAAACCGAAGCUGCCUUAUCUAUUGAAGAUACAAAAGACCCCUUGGCCGAAGCAAGCUUAGUUGGUGGAAAGUUUUUCACCGACAUCUGGGAAAAUGGCGGCCGAGGGAUGGCCCAUGAAAUUAUAAAGAAAAGUGAAAAAAUACCCACGAUGCUAGAGAAGCAGCAAAGGCAGCUGAAAAGACUGCAGAACUUGAAAGGCGGAUAGGUAUUGUCUAAUUGCUUUUGACUUUAUGUUUUAUUUUUGUGACUUCGGACUUAUUCAUGUUUUAUAUCGCAGCCGAAUUGUCUCCUCCCCCGGAGCCCUUCGAGUCACAGGCCGACCCCGAAGCAAAAAAGGAAGAUGAAAUUACUAAGAUAGUCGAAGCUAUUAUGUACGAAGCUGUGACUCAACUACUAAACGAAGCUGCGGAAGCAGUUUUAAAAGAAGAAUAGCUAUUGUUGUAAAAACAUUCGGAAUAUUGAUGUAAUAUUUGCUGAACAAAGUGUGUAAUAUUUUAUAGUUUUGAAAGUAAUAUAUAAGUUGUAUGUAAUUAAGUUCUUUACGAUGCAUGAAACUUUACAUACAUACCAUUUUUGAGCCUUUGGCGAAAAAACACCUUCCCUUCUUUUCAUGCUUCGUGAAGAAUAUCCAUAUUCAUGAAAAUAUUAUGCUUCGUAAGCAAUAGAUCUCCUUUGAUACUAAAGUUGAUGAAGUUGUACUUCUUCAAAACUUAUUUUGUGCCUUGGCACAAUUUCUUCGAAACAAUUUCCGAAGAUCAACAUUGUAUUCCCUUAUUGUGUCAUUGAUGCAAUAUGAUGUAUGAUGUCAUGUUAUGCGAAUGAUGUGAUGAUGCUAUGAUAUGCAAAAUGAUAUUUGUGCCGAAGAUACACACACGUUCCCACAGUAGAACAAAGUCUCUUUGCCGUUUAUUUUUCGGCUUCACUGCUUAUUUUUCGAUGUAUCAUCGUUGACUUUUCGCUGUAAGCCUCCCUUAGGAGCUUCUUCGCCUUUUACUUCGGCGGUGUCAGCAUUGACUUUUCGCUGUAAGCCUCCCUUAGGAGCUUCUUUGCCUUUUACUUCGGCGGUAUCAGCGUUUAUUUUUCGCUGUAAGCUCUGCAUUCCCUUUGGAACGACUUUUGAGCAGAAAACUUACGCUGCGUUCCCUUAAGAACGACUUUUGUUGCUCCGACAAAAACUUACAUUGCGUUCCUUAGAACGACUUUUUGUUGCUUCGGCAAAACUUUUGGAACUUCGUCGGUUUAUGAGGAAGGUAUAUUAUAUUAUGAUAAUGACGAAGCUAUUACAAGGAAUUGAAAACAACAAAAGAACAAGGCUUUCAAUGAUUGCUCUUUAUUGAAAAGGAAAAUGAUAACGAAUGUAAAAACUAUUUCAGAGGUAGGAUAUCUCUUAGUAGAUGUGCUUCGAUUCUGGCACAAUACUGUUGACUGUGCGAGCUUUGGACUGCUCCCUGAAGUCUCGCUGCUGGUGAGUGUGCUGGCUCCCUUCUGGCUGUUGGCCUUGGGGAUAUGCGGGUUGCAUUGGUGGUGGAGGUGGAGGCUGUUGCCAAGAUGCCUGAGGUUGGCUUGCCGAAGCAACAGAAACUGUAGGAUGGUUACCCACGUACUCUGGUAUGUACCGUGAAUGAUACGAAGUAGUAUGCAUAACUUGCUUCGGCUGGUUCUGUUGGGCUGCAGCUUCUGCUAUCUCCUUCUGUUUCUGGAUGGUGACAUGGCACAUCCUUGUAGUAUGGCCCUUGUCCUCACCGCAGAAUAGGCAAUAAAUUUUCCUGAGCUGAUCCCCAAACCUUCCAACGAAGCCCCUGGCGCCUCUGCCCCUUGGAGCUGGGGGCCGAGGAUAGCUUUGUUGCUGCCCCGAAGCCUCGGAGGAAUAUUGCGGCCUCUGCUGCUGACCUCGUCUGUCGUCAUGCUGAGUAGAGUGGAUUGAUCUGACGUGCCUUGGGUGAAUCCUCCCUCCGAAGCCCCUGGUCAUCUCGAAGAAUCUGUAAGCCUCCUCCCUUCUUUGACGAAAGUCAUUAUCAGCGCGGAUGUAUUCAUCCAUCUUCUGAAGCAAUUUUUCCAAGGUCUGAGGGGGUUUCCUGGCGAAGUAUUGGACCAAAGGUGCUGGCCGAAGCCCCUUGAUCAUGGCCUCAAUGACAAUUUCAUUGUGCACUGUUGGCGCUUGUGCCCUCAGACGCAAGAACCUUCGGACAUACGCCUGAAGUUAUUCCUCGUGAUCCUGCGUGCACUGGAACAAAAGCUUGAGCAGUAACCGGCUUCGUCUGAAACCCUUGGAAACUAGUGAUUAGCAUGUCCUUCAGCUUCUGCCAUGAUGUGAUUGUUCCUGGCCGAAGAGAGGAGUACCAGGUUUGUAGAACAUUCUUGACUGCCAUGACAAAAGAUUUCGCCAUGACUGCAGUAUUGCCUCCAUAUGAAGAUAUGGUAGCUUUGUAGCUCAUCAGAAACUGCUUCGGAUUUGAGUGCCCAUCCUACAUGAGAAGCUAAGGUGGUUUGUAAGAUGGAGGCCAAGGUGUAGCCUGUAGUUCUAUUGACAGAGGAAAAGCAUCAUCAAAAGCAAAAUUUCCAUGAUGGGAAUCAUCAUACCAUCCAUCAUCAUCAAACAAUCCUUCUUGAUGAAGCUCCCUGUGCUGAGGCCUUCGUUCUUGCUCAUCUUGAGCAAGAUGGCGUACUUCUUCAGUGGCUUCAUCAAUCUGCCUUUGUAGGUCAGCUAGCCGAGCCAUUUUUUCCUUCUUUUGCACUUGCUGAUGAAGCAUCUCCAUAUUCCUGAUCUCUUGGUCCAACUCGUCCUCCUGGGGUGUUGGACUGGUGGCCUUCCUCUUCUGGCUCCGAGCCUCUCGAAGAGAAAGGGUCUCCUGGUUCGGAUCCAGCGGCAGCUCCUGUCGUCGAAGCUUUCUUCGGUGGCAUGACGAAGGUCAAUGCUUUCUGAAAGUGGUCGAUAAGAGUUCACCGGAGGUGGGCGCCAAUGUUGGGCACUUGUUCUCAAAUGCUAUGAGUUAAGAAGAAGGCAACACAGAAAAUGUUAAACAUUAAAGUCCUUCGUCCUUCGAAGCAUUACUUCCCUUGAGAGGUAAUGAUUUUCGGACGAAGGUUAUGAAGGACGUACCUUCAUCAAUAUAACAUAUAAAUAACGAAGGAGACACAUGAAAUACAAAAAGUAACAUAAACAGUUAUGUAUUACCAUCAACUCAUCUCUAUUUCAUUGUUAUGGAAAAAUAGAAACGAUAAUAAGUUACAAAGGUACCUUCGGCUUGAAAGAAGGUGAAAGUACAAGCGUGACGCAAAAGCAAGAAUGCCAAGUCAGCGUGAACAGUACGGGAGUACUGUUCAUCUAUUUAUAGGCACGGGACGCAGCCCAUGUAAAAUUACAUUCAUGCCCUUUACAUUUGCUAAUAACUCUAUGGUAAUCCAUUGGGGUCUAAAUAGCCUUUUCCCCUUUAAGUCGGUUCCCUUUCCUGCUAUCACGCCGAAGCUCUUCUACGCAUAGCUUCGGCUUUGCGCCAUCCUUCGUAUUCUUUGUGCUUCCUCAUACUGUGGUUUUGGCUUAAGUCCGAAGGUACCUGAUCAUGUAUUAUACUCCAGAAACAUUGUUAAAUCAUGUUUUUGAGGACCUUCGGAAGCCGAAGGCCCCCAACAAUUUGCAUAUAACACCCUAGGGUUUCUAUUUGGGGUUUUUAGUGGUCCUUUUUAGAGUUUCUGGCACUUCUAGAGUUUGGAUGCUAUCAAAUCCUAUUAGAGUUGAUAUCUUAUGACCAUUGCUAAUAAGUUUUGAGAAUUUAACUCAUUUGGGCUUUAUUGACACCCUAAGCUCAAUUUAGGGUUAAGUACUCUACCCUAGGGUUUUACCCAUGACAUGCCACAUCAAUACAACUUGUUUGAAAUCUUUGCCUAGUGAAUGCAUUCUAAGUGUAACAAUCACAUGAUAUGCUAAUGCUCAUGAUGUUAUGCUCAAGUUUUAGUGACAGUAACACCAGGGGUGUUACAAAGGUGGUGUACUACGAGACCGAUUCUUUGUCACCAUCUACUUCCGGCUCCGACGCGCCGUCCAUCACUUCUAAGCGCCAUGAGCGCAAGAAGUUUAGUAAGAUCCCCUUAUGCUACCCUCGCAUUUCUAAACGCACUCCUUUACUUUCCGUCUCAUUAGGAAAACCACCGGUUUUUUACGGUGAAGAUUAUUGUAUGUGGAGUGAUAAAAUGAGGCAUCAUCUAACCCUCGCAUUUGGGACAUUGUUGAGUUUGGAGCGCAGGUACCAUCCGUAGGGGAUGAAGGCUAUGACUCGGACGAGGUCGCCCAAAUCCGGCACUUCAACUCCCAAGCCACUACUAUACUCCUCGCUAAUAAGGUGCAAGGGUUGAAGAGUGCCAAAGAGAUUUGGGACGUGCUAAAAACCGAGCACGAAGGAGAUGAGGUGACCAAGAUCACCAAGUGGGAGACGAUCGAGGGGGAGCUCGGUCGGUUCAUCCUCAACCAAGGAGAGGAGCCACAAGCAAUGUACAACCGGCUCAAGACCUUGGUCAACCAAGUGCGCAGCCUCGGGAGCACCAAAUGGGAUGACCAUGAAAAUGGUCAAGGUUAUUCUAAGAUCACUGGUUUUUCGUAAUCCUACACAAGUUCAAUUAAUUCGUGGUGAUCCUAGAUAUAAGCUAAUGUCUCCCGAGGAGGUUAUAGGAAAGUUUGUGAGCUUUAAGUUGAUGAUCAAAGGCUCCAAACAAAUCGUCGAGCAAGGCGGCACCUCCACACCCGAGGUGCAACCCGUCGCAUUCAAAGCGACGGAAGAAAAGAAAGAAGAGUCUACAUCAAGUAGGCUCCCCAUCGACGCCUCAAAGCUCGACAAUGAGGAAAUGGCGCUCAUCAUCAAGAGCUUUCGCCAAAUCCUCAAGCAAAGGAGGGGGAAGGAUUACAAGCCCCGCUCCAAGAAAGUGUGCUACAAGUGUGGUAACCCCGGUCAUCUCAUUGCUAAAUGUCCUAUGUCUAGUGAUAGUGACAGGGGCGACGACAAGAAGGGAAAGAGGAAGGAAAAGAAGAGAUACUACAAGAAGAAGGGCGGUGAUGCCCACGUGUGUCGGGAAUGGGACUCCGAUGAGAGCUCCACCGACUCCUCCUCCAACGAGGACGCCGCCAACAUCACCGUCAACAAGGGCCUCCCCUUCCCCAACGUUGGGCACAAGUGCUUCAUGGCAAAGGACGGCAAACAGAAGAAGGUAAAAUCUAGAGCCUCCACUAAAUAUACAACAUCUAGUGAUGAGGGUAGCUCUAGUGAUGAUGAAGAUAAUUUGCUUGCUCUUUUUGCCAACUUAAACAUGCAACAAAAGGAAAAUUUGAAUGAAUUGGUAGGUGCCAUUCAUGAGAAGGAUGAACUCUUGAAUAGCCAAGAGGAAUUCCUUAUUAAGGAAAACAAAAAGCAUGUUAAAGUUAAAAAUGAUUAUGCUUAGAAAAUAGAGAAAUGUGAAAAUUGACUAGUGAGCUAAGCAUUUGCCAUGACACUAUCGCCAACCUUAGAAUUGAAAAUGCUAAUUUGAUUGCUAAGGUUGAAAAGAGAAAUGUUUGUGAUGAUUCAAUUGCCAAUCUUAAAAAUGAUAAUGCUAGUUUAAUUGCUAAGAUUGACAAAUUGAAUGAAUCAAUUUCUAGUCUCAAGAUUGAGAAUGAUAAAUUAAUCGCUAAGGAUUUGAAUGUUUGCAAUGCUUCUAUUUCCAAGCUUAGAGAUGAGAAUGCUACUUUACAUGCUAAGAUUGAUGAAUUAAAAAUUUGCAAACCCUCUACAUCUAGGGUUGAUCAUGUCUCUAUUUGUACUAGAUGUAGAGAUGUUAAUGUUGAUGCUAUUCAUGAUCAUCUAGCUUUAAUUAAAGAACAAAAUGAUUACAUAGCUCAAUUAACUGCUAAAAUUAAUGAGCAUGAGAUAGAGAAUGAAAAAAUUAAAUUUGCUCGUAGCAUGCUUUAUAAUGGGAGAUGCCCUGGCAUUAAGGAUGGCAUUGGCUUCCAACAAGGAGACAAUGUCAAGCUUAAUGCCCCUAAGAGAUUGUCCAAUUUUGUUAAGGGCAAAGCUCCCAUGAAUCAGGAUAACGAGGGUUACAUUUUAUAUCCUGCUGGUUAUCCUGAGCAUAAAAUUAGGAGAAUUCAUUCUAGGAAGUCUCAUUCUAGUUCUCAUCAUGCUUUUAUGUAUAAGAAUGAGACAUCUAGUUCUAGGCAUUCUACCCAUGUUAAAAUGCCUAAAAAGAAAUCUCCUACUGAAUCAAAUAAGCCUAAUGUUUCAUUUAAGACUUUUGAUGCUUCUUAUGUGCUUACUAACAAAUCAGGCAAAGUAGUUGCCAAAUAUGUGGGGGGCAAACACAAGGGCUCCAAGACUUGUGUUUGGGUACCCAAGGUGCUUGUUUCUAAUGUGAAAGGACCCAAGACCAUUUGGGUACCUAAGAACAAGGGCUAAACUUGUUUUGUAGGUUUAUGCAUCCGGGGGCUCAAGUUGGAUAAUUAAUAGCGGGUGCACAAACCACAUGACAGGGGAGAAAAUGAUGUUCUCCUACGAGAAAAACGAAGAUCCCCAAAGAGCUAUCACAUUCGGGGAUGGAAAUCAAGGUUUGGUCAAAGGACUUGGUAAAAUUGCAAUAUCUCCUGACCACUCUAUUUCCAAUGUUUUUCUUGUAGAUUCUUUAGAUUAUAACUUGCUUUCAGUUUCUCAAUUAUGCAAAAUGGGUUACAACUGUCUUUUUACGGAUAUAGGUGUUACUGUCUUUAGAAGAAGUGAUGAUUCAAUAGCAUUUAAGGGAGUAUUGGAGGGUCAGCUAUACUUGGUUGAUUUUAAUAGAGUUGAACUCGAUACUUGCUUAAUUGCUAAGACUAAUAUGGGUUGGCUCUGGCAUCACCGACUAGCCCAUGUUGGGAUGAAGAAUCUUCACAAGCUUCUAAAGGGAGAGCACAUUUUGGGACUAACCAAUGUUCAUUUUGAGAAAGACAUGAUUUGUAGCGCAUGUCAAGCAGGGAAGCAAGUUGGAGCUCAUCAUCCACACAAGAACAUCAUGACGACUGAUAGGCCGCUUGAGCUACUCCAUAUGGACCUAUUCAGCUGAUAGCUUACAUAAGCAUCGACGGGAGUAAGUAUUGUCUUGUAAUUGUGGAUGAUUAUUAUCGCUUCACUUGGGUGUUCCUUUUGCAGGAAAAAUCUCAAACCCAAGAAACAUUAAAGGGAUUCUUGAUACGGGCUCAAAAUGAGUUCGGAUUAAGGAUCAAGAAAAUAAGAAGCGACAACGGGACGGAGUUCAAGAACUCUCAAAUUGAAGGCUUUCUUGAGGAGGAGGGCAUCAAGCAUGAGUUCUCUUCUCCCUACACACCUCAGCAAAAUGGUGUAGUGGAGAGGAAGAAUAGAACUCUAUUGGACAUGGCAAGGACCAUGCUUGAUGAGUACAAGACUCCUGACCGGUUUUGGGCUGAGGCGAUUAACACCGCCUGCUACUCCAUCAACCGGCUCUACCUUCACCGAAUCCUCAAGAAGACAUCUUAUGAACUCCUCACCGGUAAAAAGCCCAAUGUUUCAUAUUUUAGAGUCUUUGGUAGCAAAUGCUUUAUUCUUAUUAAAAGAGGUAGAAAAUCUAAAUUUGCUCCUAAGGCUGUAGAAGGCUUUUUACUUGGUUAUGACUCAAACACAAGGGCAUAUAGAGUCUUGUUGGGGACUUGUUCUCAAAUGCUAAGAAUUAAGAACAAGGCAACACAAAAAAUGUUAAGCGUUAAGGUCCUUCGUCCUCCAUAACAAUAUAUCCCCUCGGGAUAUAUAGCAUCUCGGACGAAGGUUACGAAGGUCAUACCUUCGUAAGCAUAACAAAGAAGAAUGAAGCAUUCACAUAAAUCAUAGAAUAUGAAAUAAACAUUUAAAUAUUGUCAUAGAAUUAUCUCUACUUAUAUCAAUGAAUAUAAAUGAUUUUGAAUUACAAACGUACCUUCGGUCCUGCGGAAGGCAAAAGUACAAGCGUGAUGCGAAAGCAAAUGAUAAGUUCGCUUGAACAGUACAGAGGUACUGUUCAUCUAUUUAUAGGCACAGGUCGCAGCCUGUGACAAAUUACAAUUAUGCCCCUUGCGAAAGUUUACAGCAUUGACUCAGACCUAUAUGUAUAAAAAGGUCAUUCUAUCUCUAUGUCGGUUUAAAACGCCGAAGCUCCAUGAAAAGGGACCUUCGGCCAUCUCCUGGAGACGACUUCAGCCGAAGCUGCUUCUUCGUGUGAGACCUUCGGCGCACCGAAGCACGACCCCAACAGUAGCCCCUUUCGCGGUGCUAGAUCGUUCUUCGUAACGAGCUUGACCCGUGAAAAAAGCCUCUUCAGCUUCGGGAAGCCGAAGGUCCAAAAAACACCUUCCCUGAGCUCGUUGCGGAGAAACGAUCCGACUUCCGAGCGCGUGUCGGUCCCACCUUGCAGAGUUACUGUUUGAUCCUUGCGGUCCACUGCGCAGCGGGUAUGAGUUACUGCGCGCCUGGUGUAACAAUUCCGCCGCUUCGCCUUCUUACCUGCAGUACUAUAUAAACAAGCAGGUAGGUGUGAAGUUACCACAGCAUUCAUUGCUAUUUGCACUGUUUUGCUGCCGAAAUUUUCCAUCAUAGCCGAAGCUUAAAUUCCAAAAUCGAACGAAGGUCCGUCUCGACGCUUGCUUCGUCAGAAAGAAGAGCUUCGGGAAAAAAGAAAAAAGAAAAAGGUUUCUGACUUCGCCAAAUUCAGAAUCAAAUGGCGAGAGUGCGAUCUACUGCCAAAGUUGUUCGUGAGGGAGACGAAGCCGAAAGUUCAGGCACUGUGCCCGUCUCCGAAGCGAUGCAGCGCUCCGGUCUAGUGACUGCGGAAGAGGGGCCUGGUGCCGAAGCAAACCCGACAACAGCCGAAGAAGAAAACAUUGAUGGGACUGACUCCGAGGAUGACUACGACAUUGCUACACCCAGCAAGCCCAGUCACCUGGAUUUUGGAAAAUCAACUGUUUCAAAAGCUGACCUUGCGAAGAUGGUAAAAGCAGGUUUUUUCAAUGAAGAUCAGAAGAAGCUACUUCGCUUCGGGGGAGAGGAGUCUACCCCGAAGCCAGAGAAGGAUGAGAUUGUAAUUUUCAAAAGCUUUUUAAAAGCUGGGCUGAGAUUUCCUCUCCAUGGAAUUAUUGGAGAUGUGUUGCAAAAAUUUGGCAUUUAUUUUCACCAAUUGACUCCUAACGCCAUCGUUAGACUCAAUGUUUAUAUCUGGGCCCUCCGAAGCCAAGCUGUGGAACCGUUUGCCGACAGCUUCUGCCGAGCCCACGAAUUACAUUACCAAACAAAGGCCAGAACAGACGGACUACACGAUAAUUUCGGCUGUUACAAUUUUGUCUACCGGAAGACAACAAAGUGUCCUGUCAUCAGCUACCGAAGCAAAUGGCCAGCAGGCUGGAAGUCUGAGUGGUUCUACGUAAAAGUUGACGAAGACAGAGAAAAAUUGGUACAAAGCCCUCUGGAAUUAAUCUUCGGAGAGACGAGGCCACGCUGCCGCAUCGGUGAUUUAAAGGGUCCCACCUGGGCUGCUCUGGGUGAAUUUGAAAUUAUCUCAAAAAAUAUUGGCACCAGGGAUCUAGUUCAGGAAUUCUUGGCAUUCAGGGUUUUCCCUACUCUAAAAGAGUGGGAAAUGCCGAAGCUGGAGGGAGAGAAGAAGGAGGGGAGCUAGUUCGUCUGCCUUAUCACUUUAAAUUCAAGAAGUACUUUAAGAAACCCUGCAAAGAGUGGUUAGACACAGUUGAGACAAUGUGCAAUGAAAUCUUGGGGAAUUACUCCAAAAAGGAGGAUCAAUUAAUGACGGCAGCCUUCGGCACCCGACCGAAGCGGAGGCUGAACCGAGUAUUCGAUGCCCUGGGCCUCGAGUAUCCAGACUAUGAGCAGUUGAAUAAAGGUGCCGAAGGCCACAAAAGAAAAAGAGUGGCUGAAACCGAAACUCUGAUCAGAAGUGAAGAAGGACCAGCAAAGAAAAAGAAAAUUAUCAAGAAAAGAACAAUAUCCACUCCGAAGCGCCAAUCUCCCGAAGAAGAGGGGUCCCCCACACCGCCUUCUACCAGCGACGUGGAUGAAAUUUUAAAGGUAAUGACUGAACCCAUGCCCACGAAGCUAAGUCCACUAGGGCUCCAACUGACGAAGCUUUUUCGAAAGGUGGACGAGCCGGAUCAGACGAAGACAAGCAAACCCAAGCGGCAAAGAAUCAUUGCGGUAACUGAAGUUAUCGAUAAGACGCCGCCAAGGGCGUCAAUCCAAAAAUCGGCAGCUGCCGAAGAUACAACAAUCGUCGAGGGCGUAGCUUCGGGGGUCGCGGCUACCGAAGCCGCUACAGCCGAAGAUACAAACUUAAAAUCCACGAUUGAGAAUAUCAACAAGAUUUUGGAAGACAUGGCUGCGGAAGAAGCUGGUGCGACUACUGAAAAAACCAUGGCCACAGUGCCUGAGAAAGGAAAAGAAAUAGCCGAAGACCCUUCGGACGACGAAGCCUACUCUUUCCAGAACUUAGUUGGGCAAAAACUGACGAAGGACGAAAUAGAAGAACUUAAAGACUACGCCAAGUCUUGCGGCUACAAGUCAGGUGCCCUCCUAUUUGGGGGCAUUGAUGACGAACAGCUGGGCUGCAUUCGGGACUCAGCUGGAGCUAAGGUCAUCGGUACUCUAUCAAAGAGUAUCGGUUUUCCGAAGCUAGAGACAGACAUCAGCCGCUAUCGACGACAACAUAUCGUCGGCAGCUUAUUUUAUUCAAAUUUCAAGGUAAACAUCCUUCUCCCUAACUUCUAUUGCUUUUUAAUAAUGGCAAUAUUCUUUAACGAAGGUUGUUUAUUUGUAGAGCAUGCUUCUAAGCAAAGCUUUGAGGAUGCAGCAAGAUCUAGAAGAUAAGAAGCACGAAGCUAUAAUUGAAAAUUUAGAGAGCAAAAUAAAGGAGCAAUCAGAUGCUUUUGAGAAAAAGAACUUUGAGCUCCAGGCAGCCGAAGGCUUACUGGCGGAAGCUGAAGCAAAAAUAUCAGAACUAAACUCGAAGCUUCUCCGCCAGUCCGAGCAGUUCGAACGAGAAAAACAAGAUCUCAAUGAAAAACUUGAAGCCGGAGCUCAGCAGAAUUCAGAUUUGAGAAAACUACUGACAAAUCUUCAAGAAAAAUGCCUGGGAUUUAGCAACAAGUGCAUUCAACGAUUAAGAAAGAUUUUUUACUCGGUUGGAGCUAGCAGCGAAAAAUUUACCCCCUCAGCUGAAGAUCUACCGAAAACCUUUGAACACAUUGAGGGGGAAAUUGACGAGCUCGACGAAGUCAUAGCUGGGCAUGGUGACUUCUGUGCCUGGGUGGCUUCUCGAGGGACUGCUGCUGCAUUUCUGAAGGCCGGCUGCGAACACGGAAAAAUUGUCAACAGGCCCAACUUCACCUUAUCUCCAUCAAUCCUGGAUGAUAUGCCUGACCUCGCCCGAAGCAUCUCCAAUAGAUUUAUAAAAAUGAUAUGGACAAAAGGCGGGCGGGAGAAAGCUGGAGACGAAGCACGAAGUCAUCUUGAGCCAGUAAGAAAUGAUACUUCGGAGUUACCUUUUUCCUUUGCUCUUGAUUUUUACUCAUAAACUCUUAAUUUAUGUAGGAUGACGAAGGUGAAGAUGAUGCCUAAAUUAUGUCGUCGAAGCUGAAACUUAAUGAAGAUCAGUAGAAGUGUACUGUAGAAAAACUCAGGAUAUUUUUGUAACAAUUCUUGUAAACACAACUAGACUACCUUCAAGGAACUUUGUACAUACCUUGUAAUAUAUUCUUACCCUUUUGCUUGAGGCGCUUUGUUGUGGACGAAAUUAGUAUUUUGAGCCGAAGGCGAAAAAACACCUUCCCUUCUUUUCGUACACAACGAAGCCUAAAAGGUCGCUUCCUCUUUUUGCCGAAGCUUUGCUUUUUUGUACAUGGCAAAACAUAAAAGACUACUUCUCCUUUCUGCCGAAGCUUUCCUUUACAAAACAUAAAAAACUACUUUCUCUUUUCUGCCGAAGCUUUCCUUUACAUGACAAAACAUAAAAGACUACUACUCUUUUACACAACGAUUCAUAAAAAUCCAGUUCUCCCUUAUACUGAAACUUUGCUUUGUGCCAAAGCAACAGAACUUUUCACUUUUGCACACAACAUAACGUAACAAGUCAUAAAAAGGCACUUCUCCGAAGCUUUUUUGCCGAAGCAGCCACUUGGGAACACAAAUGCUAUGAAUGAAUGCUUAUGCAUGCGAAUGUUAUGAUGUAAUGUAAUGCACGAAUGAAUGUCCGAAGGAUAUGUCCGAAGCCAUAUUGUCAGCCAUUACUUGAAAACAACCACACAUUAGCUCUGCAUUCCCUUAGGAACGACUUUGGAGCUUCUUCGCCUCUUACUUAGGCAAUAUCAGCGUUGACUUUUCGCUGUAAGCUCUGCAUCCCCUUAGGGACGUCUUUGGAGCUUCUUCGUCUUUUACUUAGACGGUAUAAGCUCUGCAUUCCCUUGGGAACGUCUUUGGAGCUUCUUCGCCUUUUACUUUCGGCGGAAUCAGCGUUGACUUUUCGCUGUAAGCUCUGCAUCCCCUUAGGGACGUCUUCGGAGCUUUUUUCUCUUUUUCAGCUUCGGCACUCGAUGGUGCGCUCUCAGCUUUUACAUGUACAUCUUUGGGGGAUUUUGCUCUUAUAAAACUAAAAAGAAAAAUUACAUGUGAUGGCCCCAUUAAAAACCUUUCUCCCCCUUUUAGAAAGGAAAAGGGUGCCAUGAAAAAGAAAAGAAAAGUCAAAAUUACAUCGAGUUAUACAUAAAACCGCCGAAGCUCAUCCGCAUUCCAAGAUCUUGGAAUUUCAUUGCCAUCCAUGUCCUUCAGUCUGUACGAACCAGGCCUUGACGAAGAUGCUACUAAGAAAGGCCCUUCCCAUUUCAGUUGCAAUUUGCCCACUGUAUCCGGAUUGGCCACUCUCCGAAGCACCAAGUGUCCUGGCUCAAUAUUUUUUAGCCGGACCUUUCUAUCUCGCCAUUUAACUGUUUCAGCCUGGUACUUAUUGAUAUUCUCCACGGCCUGGAGCCUGAUCCCUUCUAAGGCAUCUUUUUCCACGAGACAAGUAUCUUCGGGACCUGAUUCUGCCGAAGCUACCACUCUUAUUGAUCCAGCUUUGGCCUCUUCCGGGGUUAUUGCUUCGUCACCAAAUAACAACUUAAAUGGGGUAAAGCCUGUAGAUCUUGAUGCUGUUGUGUUAUGGCUCCAUACCACUUUGGUAAGCUGAUCUGGCCACUUUCCCCUUGGUUGAUUGAAGAUUAACUUCAUUAUUCCUGUCAUUAUGAUGCCGUUGGCCCUUUCAACAAGCCCAUUUGACUCCGGGUGCCUGACUGACGCAAAGUGGAUCUUCGUGCCAAUUUGAUCACAAAAAUUUCUGAAUUCUUCGGAGUCAAAUUGUGUUCCAUUAUCUACAGUUAUAGCCUUCGGCACUCCGAAGCGACAGACAAUAUUCUGCCAGAAAAAUUUUUGGACAGUGGCCGAAGUUAUUGUAGCUAAUGGCUUCGCCUCAAUCCACUUGGAAAAAUAUUCCACAGCAACUACAACAUAUCUCAGAUUGCCCUGAGCCGGUGGUAAUGGGCCCAGCAGAUCGAGGCCCCACCUUUGCAGUGGCCAGAUGGGUUGUAUUAGCUGUGUCAAAGACGAAGGUUGUUUUUGAUCUCUUGCACAUUUCUGACAACCUUCGCACUUUUGAACUAACUCAGCUGCAUCCGAAGCUGCCUUCGGCCAAUAAAAUCCUUGACGGAACACUUUUCCAAGUAACGGCCUGGAUCCGAUGUGGGAUCCACAAAGACCUGCAUGUAUCUCCUUCAUUAACUCUAUACCUUCGGCUCUAGACAAGCACUUGAGUAGCGGUGCACAAACUCCAUGCUUGUAUAACUCCCCUUCUAUAAUGAUAUACGGUCGAGCUCUUGCCUCUAUUCUUUUAUUAUAAGCUUCGUCAUCUGAUAGAAAGUUGCCCUGAAGGUAAGAAAUUAUUUCAGUUCUCCAAUCUUCACUGUACACAGGAGAAAUAGUAAGAACUGCUCUUUCAAGUAACUCCACCGAAGGUGCCUUUAUUGUUUCGAAGAAUACAUCCGAAGGUAGCGGCAGCCCCUGUGCUGCAGACCUGGCUAACAAAUCAGCAUGUUCAUUCUGCCCUCGAGGGAUAUUCUUAACAGAAAAUCCUUCGAAGGAAGCUUCAAUCCUUCGGACUGUGUCUAGGUAUUUUUCAAGCUUCGGGUCUUUAGCCUUGCAACUUUUGUCAAUAUGUCCCGAAACAAUCUGAGAAUCAGUUUUAAGGAUCGCUCUCCUGAUCCCCAUCGCCUUUAGUUUCCGAAGACCCAGGAGCAAGGCUUCGUACUCAGCAAUAUUAUUUGUGCAGCUGAAAUCCAGUCUUGCUGCAUAGCAAGUUUUAAUCUUGGACGGUGAAACCAAAACAGCAGCUGCUCCUGCUCCGAAGGUUCCCCAGGAGCCAUCACAAAACACUGUCCAUGCUUCGGCAUCUUUAUUCGCUUCUUCGCCCUGAGCCCCAGGCGUCCAGUCGGCAAUAAAAUCUGCCAAUGCUUGAGACUGGAUCGAGGAUCUGUGCACAUAAUCAAUGUAAAAUUCAUUAAGCUCCGCAGCCCAUUUUCCAAUUCGGCCAGUAGCUUCUUUAUUUCUCAUGAUAUCUUUCAACGGCUGCGAAGAAGGAACAAUAAUAUUAUAUGCCUGAAAAUAAUGCCGAAGCUUCCUGGAUGCCAUUAGAACGGCAUAUAACACCUUCUCCAGUUCUGUAUAAUUUUUCUUUGAGACACUAAGGACCUCAGAUACAAAAUAUACUGGGACCUGCUUCUUGAUUUGUCCAUCAAACUUCUCCUGCACAAGUGCCGCACUUACUGCUGAGUGCGAAGCUGCCACAUACAACAACAGAGGAGCCCCUGGCAUUGGUGGAGUUAAUGUUGUUAGAUCUAUCAGGUAUUGCUUGAGUUCUUCAAAAGCUUUUUGCUGAGCUGGGCCCCAUUGAAAGACUUCAGCUGAUUUUAGUACUUCGAAGAAGGGUAGAUUUCUUUCCGCUGAUCUGGAUAUAAAUCUGUUAAGAGAUGCCAGUCUUCCUGUCAAUCUUUGGGCCCCCUUUCUUGUGGUUGGUGGCUCCAUUCGAAGUAUAGCUUCGAUUUUAUUUGGGUUAGCUUCAAUUCCCUUUGUUGAAACCAAGCAUCCAAGGAACUUACCCUUCUUUACUCCGAAGACACAUUUUUCUGGAUUCAGCUUCAGACCAGCUUGUCUGAAGCUGGCGAAGGUCUCCUGCAGAUCAGCAAUAUGGUCUUCUUGCUUCGUGCUUUUUACAAUAAUGUCAUCAACAUAGGUCAACACAUUUCUGCCUAUCUGAGAUUGGAGAACCUUCGCAGUCAUCCUGCUGAAACUCCCUCCAGCAUUCUUAAGCCCCUCAGGCAUCCGAAGAUAGCAAUAUGUACCACUUGGGGUUAUGAAACUAGUCUUCGGCUCAUCCUCCUUUUUCAUCCAGAUUUGAUGAUAGCCUGAGUAACAGUCCAGGAGACUCAUGAGUUCCGAAGAAGCUGCUGCAUCAACUAAAGAGUCUAUCCUUGGCAGCGGGAACUCAUCCUUCGGACAAGCCUUGUUGAGAUCUGUGAAAUCAAUACACAUUCUCCACUUUCCAUUGGCCUUCUUCACCAUAACAGUGUUAGCUAGCCAUUCUGGAUACUUUACUUCUCUGAUAACUCCUGCACUUAGGAGUCUUUUUACUUCGUUGCGGGCCCCUUCGGCCUUGUCAUCAGACAUUUUCCGAAGCCUCUGCUUGCGGGGUCUAAAGGAUGGGUCAAUAUUGAGCGAAUGUUCAAUAACAUCCCGAUUCACUCCACAUAGAUCAUUGGCUGACCAUGCAAAAACAUCUUUAUUGUUGAAUAAAAACCUUAUCAAGGUUUUCUCUUGAUCUUCAGAUAAUUGCGAGCCCAAUAGCACCUUCUGCUCUGCUAUAUCCUCACACAGCAGCAUGGGCUUCGGCUGAUCAGCCGAAGCUGCUUUUUCCCUCCUGAACUUGUACUGUUCACAAGCUUCAGCUCCAUCUAUAUUAUGGAUUGCCUUGGAAUCAGUCCAGCUUCCUUCGGCCCUUCUGGCAGCUUCCUGACUCCCAUGAAUAGCAAUAGGCCCUUGGUCCGAAGGUAUCUUCAUGCAGAGAUAAGCUGGGUGAAGAAUUGCUUCAAAAGCAUUUAGAGUACCACGACCAAUGAUGGCGUUGUAGGGGUAUUCCAUGUCAACAAUAUCAAACACAAUUUGCUCAGUCCUUGUGUUAUUAACAAAUCCGAAGGUUACCGGCAUGGUAAUCUUCCCGAGUGCCACAAUCUGCCGCCCUCCGAAGCCACAAAGAGGGUGCGUAGCAUCAUGAAUCUUGUCUUCAGGCUCUUGCAUCUGUCUGAAGGCUUUGGCAAAUAUAAUGUCAGCUGCACUGCCUGUGUCAACUAGAACAUUGUGAACCAGAAACCCUUUGAUCACACAAGAAAUGACCAUAGCAUCAUUGUGGGGAUAGUCCUUGAGCUGAAGAUCUUCCUGAGAGAAGGUAAUUGGAAUGUGAGACCAUUUUGACUUAAUGAAGGGUCCCUGCACUCCAACAUGCUGCACCCUUCUCUGAGCCUCCUUCUUCUGCUUUUUGUUAGCUGGCUCUGAGCAAGAACCGCCUGUUAUCGGGAGCACCAGCUUCGAAGCCGAAGCAGCUCCAGCUUGAGUGUUGAACGAAGCCAUCAGCUCAGAAAUGUGGAAGUGAGUUGACCGGAGGUGGGCGCCAAUGUUGGGGACUUGUUCUCAAAUGCUAAGAAUUAAGAACAAGGCAACACAAAAAAUGUUAAGCGUUAAGGUCCUUCGUCCUCCAUAACAAUAUAUCCCCUCGGGAUAUAUAGCAUCUCGGACGAAGGUUACGAAGGUCAUACCUUCGUAAGCAUAACAAAGAAGAAUGAAGCAUUCACAUAAAUCAUAGAAUAUGAAAUAAACAUUUAAAUAUUGUCAUAGAAUUAUCUCUACUUAUAUCAAUGAAUAUAAAUGAUUUUGAAUUACAAACGUACCUUCGGUCCUGCGGAAGGCAAAAGUACAAGCGUGAUGCGAAAGCAAAUGAUAAGUUCGCUUGAACAGUACAGAGGUACUGUUCAUCUAUUUAUAGGCACAGGUCGCAGCCUGUGACAAAUUACAAUUAUGCCCCUUGCGAAAGUUUACAGCAUUGACUCAGACCUAUAUGUAUAAAAAGGUCAUUCUAUCUCUAUGUCGGUUUAAAACGCCGAAGCUCCAUGAAAAGGGACCUUCGGCCAUCUCCUGGAGACGACUUCAGCCGAAGCUGCUUCUUCGUGUGAGACCUUCGGCGCACCGAAGCACGACCCCAACAAGUCUUCAACAAAUCCACUGGAUUAGUUGAGGUUUCUUGUGACAUUGUGUUUGAUGAGACUAACGGCUCUCAAAUAGAGCAAGUUGAUCUUGAUGAGCUAGAUGAUGAAGAGGCUCCGUGCGUCGCGCUAAGGAACAUGUCCAUUAGGGAUGUGUGUCCUAAGGAAUCCGAAGAGCCUCUACAAGCACAAGAUCAACUGUCAUCUUCCAUGCAAGCAUCUCCACCAACCCAAGAUAAGGAUCAAGCUCAAGGUGAUGAAAAUGAAGAUCAAGAGGAUGAGCCACCUCAAGAGGAGGACAAUGAUCAAGGGGGAGAUAACAAUGAUCAAGACAAUAAAGAUGAGGAAGAAGUACAGGGUCAAAGACCGGCACACCCAAGAGUCCAAGUGAUUCAAAGAGAUCACCCCGUGAACUCCAUCCUCGACGAUAUUCAUAAGGGGGUAACAACUCGAUCUCGAGUUGCUCAUUUUUGUGAACAUUACUCUUUUGUGUCUUCUAUUGAGCCAUACAGGGUGGAAGAUGCAUUAAGAGAUUCGGAUUAGGUGUUGGCAAUGCAAGAGGAACUCAACUUUACAAGGAAUGAGGUAUGGCAUUUAGUUCCACGUCCUAACCAAAAUGUUGUAGGAACCAAGUGGGUUUUUCGCAACAAACAAGAAGAGCAUGGUGUGGUGACAAGGAACAAAGCCUGACUUGUGGCCAAGGGCUAUUCACAAGUCGAAGGUUUGGAUUUUGGUGAAACUUAUGCACCCGUAGCUAGGCUUGAGUCAAUUCGCAUUUUACUUGCCUAUGCUACUUACCAUGGCUUUAAGCUUUACCAAAUGGAUGUGAAAAGUGUCUUCCUCAAUGGACCAAUCAAGGAAGAAGUCUAUGUUGAGCAACCUCCCGGCUUUGAAGAUAGUAAGUACCCUAACCAUGUUUAUAAACUCCCAAAGGCGCUUUAUGGGCUCAAGCAAGCCCCAAGAGCAUGGUAUGAAUGCCUAAGAGAUUUCCUUAUCACUAAUGGCUUCAAAGUCGGAAAACUCGAUCCUACUCUCUUUACUAAAACAAUUGCAAAUGAUUUGUUUGUAUGCCAAAUUUAUGUUGAUGAUAUCAUAUUUGGGUCUACUAACAAAUCUACAUAUGAAGAGUUUAGUAGGAUUAUGAUUCAAAAAUUCGAGAUGUAUGAUGGGGGAGUUGAAGUAUUUUCUAGGAUUUCAAGUGAAGCAACUCCAAGAGGGCACCUUUAUCAGCCAAACAAAGUACAUACAAGACAUACUUACCAAGUUUGGAAUGAAGGAUGCCAAGUCCAUCAAGACACCCAUGGGAACCAAUGGGCAUCUCGACCUCGACACGGGAGCUAAAUCCGUAGAUCAAAAGGUAUAUGGGUCGAUGAUAGGAUCUCUACUCUAUCUAUGUGCAUCUCGACCGGAUAUUAUGCAUUGCGUAUGCAUGUGUGCAAGCUUCCAAGCCGAUCCUAAGGAAGUUCACCUUAGGGCCGUGAAAAGAAUCAUGAGAUAUUUAGUUUAUACACCUAAGUUUGGUCUUUGGUACCCCAAGGGAUCCAGCUUUGAUUUAAUAGGUUAUUCAGAUGUUGAUUGGGCAGGGUGUAAAAUUUAUAGAAAGAGCACAUCAGGGACUUGUCAGUUUUUGGGGAGAUCCCUGGUGUCUUGGGCUUCAAAGAAACAAAAUUCAGUAACUCUUUCUACCGCCGAAGCCGAGUAUAUUGCCGCAGAUCAUUGUUGUGCGCAAUUACUUUGGAUGAGGAAAACCCUCAGGGACUAUGGCUACAAAUUGAGCAAACUCCCUCUCCUAUGUGACAAUGAUAGUGCAAUCCGCAUGGCGGAUAAUCCCGUUGAACACAGCCGCACUAAGCACAUAGCCAUUCGGUAUCACUUUUUGAGGGAUCACCAACAAAGGGGGGAUAUCGAGAUAGCUUAUGUUAACACCAAAGAACAAUUAGCUGAUAUCUUUACCAAGCCAUUAGAUGAGAAAACCUUUACCAAACUUAGGAACGAGCUAAACAUUCUUGAUUCUAGGAACUUUGAUUGAAACUUUGCACACAUAGCUCAUUUAUAUACCUUUGAUCAUAUCUCUUUUAUGUCUAUGACUAAUGUGUUUUCAAGUUUAUUUCUAUGCUAAGUCGUAGAUUGAAAGGGAAAUGGAGUCUUCGGCGAAGACAAGGCUUCCACUCCACUCUAUCGGUAUUAUUUACCCUUCACCAUCACUCCACAUCACUCUCACUUUGGUAUAAUCUUCACUCAUAUUUACUUGUACUAAUGGGAGAGAAAAAGGGCUCACAAAGUCUCUGUUUUUGGCGAUUAAUGCCAAAGGGGGAGAGAGUAUUAGCCCAAAGCAAAAGGACCGCACCACCACCAAAUUUUCAAAAAAAUUCGAAAUAAAGUUUUCAAUUGGUAUCCAUAUUUCAAAUUGAUAUAUUUAAAGGAGGAUUUUUCAAUUGGUAUCUAAAUCCUUUUCAUAUUGAUAAAACCCUCUUGAAAACUAAGAGGAGAAUUUCAUCCGGGGGGAGUUUUGUUUUAGUCAAAGGAAAAGCAUUUGAAACAGGGGGAGAAAAUUUCAAAUCUUGAAAAUGCUUCUCAAAAUAUUAUUCAUAUACCUUUGACUAUUUGCAAAAAUACUUUUAAAAAAAGGAUUUUCCAAAAGAAUUUGCAAAAACAAAACAAGUGGUGCAAAUGUGGUCCAAAAUGAUAAAAGAAAGAAAGCAAUCCAUGCAUAUCUAGUGAAAGUAUAAAUUGGUUUAAUUCCAAGCAACCUUUGCACUUGCCUUAUGCAAACUAGUUCAAUUAUGCACUUAUAUAUUUGCUUUGGUUUGUGUUGGUAUCAAUCACCAAAAAGGGGGAGAUUGAAAGGGAAAUAGGGUCAAACCUUUUUCUAAAUGAUUUUGGUGGUUGAAAUGCACAACACAAAUAAUUAGACUAACUAGUUUGCUCUAGAUUAUACAUUCUACAGGUGCCAAAGGUUCAACACAAACCAAUAAAAAGAUCAAAGUUAAGGUUCAAAUCAAAGGAGCAAAAGAAACCGAAGAGAACCCUGGUCUGGCGCACCGGACUAUCCGGUGUGCCACCGGACAAUGUCUGGUGCACCACCGGACAGUGUCCGGUGCACCAGGGGCCGUACAGAUUGAACUCUUCACCUUCGGGUUUCUAGAGAGCCGCUCCGCUAUAAUUCACCGGACUGUCUGGUGUGCCAGCAGAGCAACGGCUGGUGAGCGCAACAGUCGACUCCAACGGUCGCCUGCAACGUGAACAGUGCACGGACAGUUCGCGUAGAGUCAGAGCAGCGCCAGAAGGCGCACCAUACAGUGAACAGUACAUGUCCGGUGCGGCACCGGACCCAAGAUGUCAGAGCUCAAACGUUCGAAACCGUCAGAACCCUAACGGUUGGGUGACGUGACUAGCGCACCGGACUGUCUGGUGCGCCCAUCGACAGCAACCCUCCCCAACGGCUGUUUUGGUGGUUGGGGCUAUAAAUAACCCCCCCAACCACCACUAUUCAAGGUAUCCAAGUUUCCAGCAUAUUACAUUCAAUACAAGAGCUCUAGACUUUACUCCAAGACACAAACAAGAGAUCAAAUCCUCUCCAAAGUCCAAAACCACUCCAAACACUUAGUGACUUGUGAGAGAGAUUUUCGUGUUAAUUUGAGUUCUUGUCGCUUGGAUCGCUUUCUUCUUCCUCUUUCUUGUUCUCAAGACACUUGUAAUCAAAGCAAGAGACACCAAGUUGUGGUGGUCCUUGUAGGGGUCUAUGUGACCCGUUUGAUUAAGGAGAAAGCUCACUCGGUCUAGGUGACCGUUUGAGAGAGGGAAAGGGUUGAAAGAGACCCGGUCUUUGUGACCACCUCAAUGGGGACUAGGUUUGCAAGAACCGAACCUCGGUAAAACAAAUCAUCGUGUCAUCUGCUCUAUUUCUUUGAUUGAUUUGUUUUUCCCCUCUCUUUCGGACUCGGUUUUAUUUCCAACGCUAACCCUGGCUUGUAGUUGUGCUUUAAGUUUAUAAAUUUCAGUUUUCGCUUAUUCACCCCCCCCCUUUAGGCGACUUUCAGGUAAUCUGAUGAAGGAAGAUCUGGUAUAUCUUCAACACUUCAACCACAAACUUGCUUAGUGGAAACCGAAGACCUGCCUUUAGGAAGCUUCGUGUUGGGGCGAAGGCAAAGACGCCACCCUUCGCUCGAGGCCUUCGCUGUAGUCGUUGGUCCAACGGAGAUAAAACGGGCAGGGACACCCUUCGCCCCAUACGACAUCAGACGAAGGCGUGCGACGAAGUCAUCCCACCGUGCGGCCUCGUCCAGCUCGGAGGCCCACGUGUGAUCCGGCCCACUCUAACGGGCCCUACGUGGCCGCUGUGUGUUACGGGCCUAAUUUGUAAAGGCAUCCCUGUAAUUACAGUCUGUAACCCUGCUUUAUGGGAAUAUUCUGGGGAUAACCUAGGUGUCUGAGGGCACAUGCGUCCUUAACACAAGACGCUGGGCGCUCAGACACCUAUAAAUACCCCCGCACAGUGCCCGUGAGAGGCUAGAUUAACCGAGCUAUUGCCAUCUUGCGCGAGAACCCUAUUAACGUCCCUGUUCACCCUUGUUGGAUCCCCUUGCAACUGAGAGCAAGUUCCAACAUUUGGCGCCCACCGUUCGUGCUACGAGAAAACCACCCGCGAUGGCACCCAAGAAAGCUAACCCGAAGGCUGACGAGGCUGCGAAGGCAGCACUACUUGCUGCAAGAAAGGGCAAGGCCCUCGCCCUCACCCAAUCCACCCACCAAGAGGCCACUGAAGACGACGUUCUCCGCACCUGCGAAGACGACACUCUCCGCACCUGCGGCCCUGAAGGACAAUCGCAGCCACCCCCAGGCUUCGCCACACUGGAGGGCGCGGACCUCACCGAGGACGGGGAAGUCCUCGGCGUCUCAGCGGAAGAACAGCUACAGCUGCGCGCCCUGCGCCUCAAGAACCGCAAUCUCCAGAGGCAGAAAGAGAUACUGGAGGCCAAGCGCCAGCGCGUGUCCGCACUAGCCAAAGUGUGGCAAAUGAUACGCGACGAAGAACAGAAGGCCCAGGACCUCAAGCGGGAGAUCGCGCUAAUGCAGCGCGAAGGCCACCUUGGCCUGCAGCACGGGCCACCCCUGCAGCAGCGCGCACAGCUGGAAGACAUGCGCGAAGGCCACCUCGGCCUGCAGCAUGGGCCACCCCUGCAACAGCGCGCACAACCGGAAGACCCGUGUUUCCCCCAGCGCGACCACACCUUCCCGCACGCCGCGCCAUUCCAAGGGGUCAACUACCUUGACGAGCGAAGUCCCCUGGCGCCACACCUGCAAGUGAUGCCUUGGCCCGCUAACUUCCGGGCAGGGACCUAUCCCAAGUACAACGGCAGCACCGACCCAGCACAAUACAUAAUGCGUUAUCAGGUCGCCGUUGCAUCUUCCGGAGGGGACGACGCCACAAUGGCCAAGUCUUUCAUCAUCGCCCUCGAAGGCCCAGCUCUCACCUGGUUCACCAGGUUGCCUCCGUUGUCCAUUGAUUCCUGGAGAAGCCUCCGGGACAAGUUCCUGCUCAACUUCCAAGGGUACCGCCCAGACACCGACGCCUUGGCCGAACUCUCGCUCUGCAAGCAGCUGGAAAAGGAGACUCUGUGGGAGUAUUACCGCAAAUUUUUAACACUCAAGUCACAGCUGCCCUCAGUCGAUGACCAGAUCGCUAUCCACUACGCUAUCAGUGGCCUUCGCGCCGGCGUCCUCUAUAGCCACUGCAUCAGAGAUCCGCCCAAGAACCUCCAGGAAUUAUAUCAGCUGUUUGAAAAAUACGCCAAAUCCGAAGAGCUCCACCAGCGCAAGGUUGAGUCCCAAAGGAAGCCCAAAGAUGCUCCACAGUCCAGCCGCACGUGGACGAGGACUCCACAGCCAGACUCCGGUCGAGACGGCCGCAAUCAACAGCAAGUGCACAACAUCGCCAACCAGCACCCCGCUGCUGACGCCCCUCGUCGCCAGGAAUAUCCCCCCCAGGGCCGCGGAAAUGGAACUCGCGGUCGGGGUCGAGGCGUGCGCAGCCGCCGCGCCGAUUCUACUGCCUCUUCCAUGGCGAAGACUGUGCCCACCAAACCAAAGACUGCCCAGAAACAAAGGCCACUAGAGACAGGAUGGCACGGGCGCAGCCAGCCGACAACCCCAGAGUUGUCGCACACACAUACCAGCAACCCCCUCCACCAUAUAUCCACGCCCCCGCCCCGCAUCCACCGCACCACGCUUACCAACACCAUCAGGAAGUACAAAUCGUACCUCCCCCACCCCCACCACCACACCAGCAACAUCAAAACAUCCCCCACGCCCCGAAGCAGGAAGACUUCGCCGAUCAGCCGUAUCGCGGAGUCAUUCACAUGAUAACUGGGCGGUCCAGCACUGACUUCGACACAAAGCGGCAGAAGCGGGACCACUACCGCAGCAUCAACCACGUCGCCGUCACUGGCCCAGUCGUGCAGACAAAGUGGUCCCACAUACCGCUAACCUUCGAUGCACGAGACGUCGACCUGCGCAGCGCCGCCCACUGCGACGCCAUGGUUAUCAAUUGCAGCGUGGCAGGCUGGGACCUGCACAAAGUCCUAGUCGACAAUGGCAGUCAGGCGGACAUCAUCUUCCUCCAUGCCUUCGAUCGCAUGGGCAUAAGCCACAGCCUGCUCAAGCCUUCAGACAACCCGUUGUAUGGCUUCGGCGGCAAGGGCACCUUUCCUGUCGGCAAAAUAGAGCUGCCUCUCUCCUUCGGUGUAGCACCCAAUGCCCGAAGUGAGCAAGUAACCUUUGAUAUUGUGGAUAUGGUAUAUCCAUACAAUGCCAUCAUGGGCCGGGGCUCCAUCAAUAAGUUCGAAGCAGCCAUUCACGGACUGUACCUAUGUAUGAAGAUACCAGGUCUGUUAGGCGUUAUUACGGUCUACGGCAAUCAACAGACUGCGUGCAACAUAGAGCGGGACUUCGUACCCGGUCAGAGAAACGUGCACUGCCUCACGGCCCAGCGCGAGGUCCCCGCGCCCGCCAGCCCAACCGAUAAACAGCACGACAAGGCACAGCUGCAGAGCAACGACGGGACCGAGACUGUCCCCCUCGACCAGGCCACGCCCAUGCAGACAGUCACUAUCAGCGAAGACCUCACUUCGCAUGAAGAGGAGAAGCUCCUCUGCUGCCUGUCCAAGAACAAGGAUGUCUUCGCCUGGUCAGCCCUCGACCUGGUCGGGGUCAGCCGAUCCAUAAUCGAGCACAGCUUGGGAAUCGACCCUUCAGUGAGGCCGAAAAAACAGAGGCUUCGCAAGAUGUCCGACGAGAAGACAGAGGCCGCCAAGGCAGAAGUGCACCGCCUCCUGGAAGCCAAAUUCAUCGAGCCGGUGGCUUACCCCACAUGGCUCUCCAAUGUUGUGAUGGUGCAGAAAAAGAGCGGGAAGUGGCGAAUGUGCAUCGACUUCACCAGCCUCAAUAAGGCCUGCCCAAAGGACAACUUCCCGUUGCCGCGGAUCGACAAAAUAGUCGAUAGCGCGGCCGGAUGCGAAGUCAUGUCACUCCUUGACUGCUUCUCCGGGUACCACCAGAUAUACAUGAAGGAGGAAGACAAGGCUAGCACCAGCUUUAUAACACCCUUCGGCACAUAUUGCUUCAUCAGAAUGCCGGAGGGACUCAAGAACGCCGGGUCCACCUUCUCCAGGCUUACCAAGAUAGUGCUCGACGGGCAAGUUGGCAGAAAUAUAUUCACAUAUGUGGACAACAUCGUCGUCGCCAGUAAGAGCAAGGCGGACCAUCUCACUGACCUCGCCGAGACAUUCGCCUCAUUAAAACAGCACCUGUCGGAGUUGGCAGUCCUUACAAGCCCCGACCCUUCACUACCUCUGUUGCUCUAUGUUGCGGCUUCGCCGCAUGCGGUCAGCGCGGCACUGGUGCAGGAGCAGACAGUUGAGGGCGUGAUCAGGCAGUGCCCAAUUUAUUACGUCUCCGAAGUGCUGACGCCGUCCAAAUGUAACAUGAUAGAGCUGGAGAAGAUUGCCUACGCAGUCGUCAUGUCUUCGCGCAAAUUGCGCCAUUAUUUCGAAGCAUUCAAGGUACGGGUCACCUCAGACAGGGGACUCGGCGAAUUGUUCAGAAACCCGGAAGCAUCGGUGAGGAUUGCCAAGUGGGUGGCCGAACACUCCGGCUACCACAUCAAUUUCGAGCCUAGGACAGCCAUCAAGUCACAAGUCAUGGCAGACUUCGUCGUCGACUGGACUGGGCCAAUAACACAGCCGGACCCGUCCGCAGAAAAGGUUUGGAUGAUCCACUGCGACGGCGCAUGGUGCCAUGCGGGGGCAGGUGCCAUGGCAGUCAUCACCUCGCCAGCCGGAGUCAAGCACAGAUAUGCGGCUCGCCUCAGCUUCGCUCUGGAAUCCGACAGAUGCACAAAUAAUAUAGCAGAAUACGAAGCAGUCAUCCUGGGUCUCCACAAGCUGAGGGCCCUUGGGGUCACCACCUGCAUCAUCAAAACAGACUCCAAGGUAGUUGCCGGCCAGGUCGAGAAAGACUAUGCAGCAAAGGACCCCGCACUCAUGCAAUACCUCGCGGCCAUCCGAAGUCUCGAGAGACAAUUCAAUGGAUUCACUUUGCAGCAUGUGGACCGGGCCAAGAAUGAAGAGGCCCAAGGGCUCCAAAUAACCAAUGACAGCGAGGGCCACCGAAUAGUCAACCUUAUCAUGACCGAAGACUGGCGGGCACCAAUAACUCUGUUCCUAAAGGGGUAUUACCACCCAACCGACAUCAACGAGGCCAAGCGCCUCAAACAUCGAAGCCGGGACUUUGCACUGAUUGAGGGCCAACUCUACAAGAAGGGGGUCAGUCAGCCAAUGCUCAAAUGCGUCACCGAAACCGAAGGUGUCCAGAUCCUACGCGAAGUCCACAGUGGUACCUGCGGCUCUCACGCAGGGCCAAGGGCCCUAGCUGCUAAGGUGAUCCGCCAAGGUUUCUACUGGCCCGCAAUGAUCUGCGCCGCAAAUCGGGUCACAAGGUCCUGCGAAGCCUGCCAGAAGUUUUCCCCCCGAUCAGGCAGCCUUCGCAAUUUACAAAGCUGAUCGCCCACACAUGGCCUCUCCAGCGCUGGGGCCUAGACAUCGUCGGGCCCCUACCCACGGCUCAGGGGAACCUUAAGUUCGCCUUCGUCGCUGUCGAAUACUUCACCAAAUGGAUCGAGGCAAGGGCCGUCUCCACAAUAACAUCAAAGACUGCCCAAAAAUUCUUUUGGCAAAACAUUGUUUGCCGCUUCGGAGUACCGUCCGAACUAACAGUCGACAACGGCAAGCAGUUUGACAGCCAAGACUUCAAGGAUUUUUGCUUCUCCAUCGGCACCAAGCUUGCCUUCGCCUCAGUCUAUCACCCGCAGUCCAACGGAGUUGUGGAACGAGCCAAUGGAAAAAUCUUCACAGCUGUCAAAAAGAUGCUCCUUGACGAAAAAAGGACAAGUGGGCCGAUUUGUUACCUGAGGCGGUCUGGGCACUAAACACGACUGAGUGCAGGGCGACCGGGUUCACUCCUUUCCGCCUUCUAUACGGAUCGGAGGCCAUGACCCCACAAGAAAUAAAACAUGGGUCCCCGCGAACAGUCCCUUCAGCCGUCCCCGACGUGGACGAGCCCACUUCAAAGGAUCUCAUCGAUGGAGACCGAGUCUUCGCCCUACAAGCUCUGAACAAAUACCAAGCCCAGACAAAAGCAUGGCGCGACCAUGCAGUCGUCCCAAGGGAAUUCAACGAAGGGGACCUCGUACUCGUCCGAACAGCUCGGACAGAGUCCAGGGGCAAGCUGGAGCCCAGGUGGGAGGGCCCCUUCAUAGUCAAGACGAAAGCUUCCCCCAGCGCUUACAGGCUCACAACGCCAAGCGGCGAAGACCUGAAGCACUCCUGGAACAUCGACAACCUCCGCAAAUUUUUUGUUUGACUCAUCAGGGCCGAUUCGCCCUUGUAAUUCGCAAAAACAAUUUUAUUCUGGCACGCACUCUUUUCCUCCCGGGGGGUGAGGUUUUUAACGAGGCGGAGCCAUGUAAUAUACAAGUGAAAAAUCCCCCACAAAAACAUGUGUCGAAAAAAGACCGCGACGACGGUCUUCGACAUUCAACCAAUACGAAGUCACCGCGAGGCUCAGCGCUAGCCACCCUCGCGUGCGACAAAUCCGUGCAAAAGUCGCCUAAGGGUGCAGCCGGACUAGCACAACAAGUGCGAAAAACCGAAGUCUACCGCGAAGACUAUCCGUGCAGAAGUCACCUAAGGGUGCAGCCGGACUAGCACAACAAGUGCGAAAAACCGAAGUCUACCGCAAAGACUAUCUGUGCAAAAGUCGCCUAAGGGCGCAGCCGGACUAGCACAACAAGUGCGAAAAACCAAAGUCUACCGCGAAGACUAUCCGUGCAGAAGUCGCCUAAGGGUGCAGCCGGACUAGCACAACAAGUGCGAAAAACUGAAGUCUACCGCGAAGACUAUCCGUGCAGAAGUCGCCUAAGGGUGCAGCCGGACUAGCACAACAAAAGCAAAAACGAUCACACCAAACUGUCCGCGCCAAGACCGACUAUAUGCGCACCAGUCCAGCAUAACAAAUACACCUGACUAAGUACAUAACGCCUUCGCAAGCAUAGCCAAAUGUGUGGGGGCACACAACCUCAUCACACAAGCCUUUACACAUGUACAAGCGAGGGCACCACACUCUACAUCGGCUCAACCUUAGGAAUAAUUCCCAUCUCCCUAUAGUUAAAUAACAUUAUCCUAAGCUCCUCACCCGCAAAAAGACUUCGCAAUUCCCCUUCACCUGUACUCACGGCGGCUGGCAAAGACAACAGUUCCUGCCGGCCAGCCCUACUCACACGAAGCCGACCUCCCUCCGCCCCACUCACUCUACGCUUCGCAACCGCCCUUCGCCGCCGGCGCCCGGUACUCGGACCAGGCACAUCUUCUGUGUCCGCAGCGUGCGAUGAAGCUUCCACCGCGGCCACAUCCAAGGCCGCAAAGUAGUCCAAGUCCUCCUCCGACGACUCCUCAGUCCACUCAACCGAGCUCCCAGAGUCAGCAAAAUCAAAAAACUCAGACGCAGACCCAUCAUAUUCAUUACCAUCAUCCACGGUCGAAGCCGCCAAAAAAUCAGUAGUGGCGGUUGCGUGCGCAGGCCCAAAAUCUUGAACCUGCGCAGCAACCAAAAUUCAGCAACAUAUCCAAAAUUCUCUAACUACCCACACCCACUACGCCACCUGCGAAGACCCAGCCAUCGCGGGAGCCUCCGCUGUCGCCUCCGCUGUUGCCUCCGCCGCCACCGUCUCAGGAUCCUCAUCCCUCGGCGCAGCGGCUGCGGGGGCAUCAGGAGCGCCUUCGGCAGUUUCCGGGGGCGGCUCCAGGGCGGCCUCAGACACGGCCUCCGCCGGGUUCGACUCCGGGUCAGGCAGCGCGCUGUUCAACGCCCCGAAAUCAUCCACCCUCUCGCCACGCGCCGCCUAAGACACAGCACACAAAUUCAGCAAACCCACACAUAGCCCACAUCCAACAAACAUCAAACAAAAGCCAAACGUUACCUGAGCCCUCGCCGUCUCGGCCCGCUCCCUGACCACCUCUCGACCGUGCGGACCCCACAUCCGAUCGUAAAUGGCUCCGGCGGAUUCCUUCACUAUAGGGUCCUCAACCUUGUAGAUAUCUCGUUCAAAAUCCUCAUCAGCUUGGUCGAAGACCUCAAAGUGCCGGCACCCUUCGCGAGAGAGCGCGUUCAUCGCCCCCUCGCAGGUGACCAGGGAGGCAUACGACAUGAACCCCUCCACGAUAGUGGGGAGUGCCUGCAACUCCUCCUGCACCCACUCCAGGCAGCGAAGUCCGGGCUCUCGGUCCGGCACUUCGAAGUCACAGGUCCGCGCGCCCAGCUCAUGGUAUGAAUCCAUAAGCUGUUUGCGCAUCCGCUCAGCCUCCGUGCGCGUCGCGGCCUCGGUCCUCUCCACACUGCUCUGCAGAGCGUUGAGCCGCUCCCCCAACUGCUCGGCGCGCUCCCUGGCAAGAUUGCCCUCCGCCCGCGCCAAAUUGGCCUCCACCAGCGUAGCCUGCGCCUUGGCGAGGGCCUCAUUGGCCUCCCUCCUCUCCUCCACCAAUCGGCGCCGGAGGUCAGUCUUCUCCCCAUCCAGCGCGGCCACCUUGUCCGCCAGCUUGCGGCACUUACUGUCGGCGACCGAUUUUUCCCUGACGGCGUCAGCAUGUUGCGUCCGAAGUCUCUCGACUUCGGCAGACACAACUGUCGUGAGGGCCCCCGACGCCGCGCGGUCUGCGAAGUCAACCGCCUGCAAAACACACGUAAGACCGCGACCCCAGCAAAGCCGAUAAAAAAAACCUAAGUCUAGCUCAACGUACCUGACUUAGCACCUCCUUCAUCUCCUUCAGCCGGCGGGACACAGCGCCCGCCUCGUCCCUGACAGCAGCGAGUGCCGGCAUCUCGCCUCCGGCACUAAGACCAGCGCCCUUCGCCUUCGGCACUACGGCAGCCGCCGUGGUCGCCGCGGCAGGCGCAACAAUAACAAGUUGGCCUUCGUCCGACCCUGCGACGUAUCAACGAAUUAAAAAAAAUCGAGCCAACGGCUUACCACCAAGAUAGUCGUCCACACUAAUAUCGGUGGCGAAGUCGGCGACGCGCUUGCCCGGCGACGGCAGCCCUCGUGCCACCUUCGCGACCUCCGGCACCCUGCCGGACGGCGGCACAGCCUUCGCAAACUUGGAACCACCGGCGCCAGCCGCAUCCUCCGGCGCCUUGCUAGAUGCAGGGACGGCCGACUUCGCCGCCAGCGGCGGCUUGCCUCCGCCGGGGGCAGCAGCCUUCGCAGCCCCUCGCUGCCUCUUCGGCCUGGCUUCAUGAAGCCUGACAACCGCCUGGCGCUUCUGUGCAGCUCCCUGGCGAUCCUUGUCCAUCACUGCCGACACAACAGCAGCAAUAUUCCGCCCGUAAGGAAACACUUUCCACUCAUGAACCAUGCGAGAUGUAAAAAAGUCUUCGCCGGCCGCGCGGGGGAUAGGAACAUUCCUAGGCCACCAACCCCCGGUAACCCUCAGCAUCCGCGCCGAAGACUCCCGGAGCUCGGGCGAAGACAUCCUUCCCCCCGGGGCCGCGCAUGUCCUCAUCAAUUCUCUAGCAAAACCAUCAGAAACCCCAAGUCCUCCCAUAGCAGUACCUAGUUUCCUCUUCUUAGAGGAUGGGGCGGCCGCCGGCGCAGGGUCGUCUCCAGUCUCUACCACCGGCUUCUUCCCGCGGCGGUCCACAUCGUCUUGGCCGGAAUAGCCGUUGUACGACAGUCGAUUCAAUUCAAAAACCCUGUUCAAACGGUCAUUCGACCCGCGGAUAUCCCAGCUACGUUGGCCCUCUGUCCUCGGCACGUACCGACCAACGAUCCGCACCGCCCCAUCCUCCGCCUCACGCACAAAGGCGGCCGGAUCGCGGCUUUGCAGAUCCAAUGCGAAGGCAGGACUUCGCACCAGCUUCCCACCAUGGGAAGGCAUCUGGCGAGGGCACACUUCGCCCAACGCCCAGCCAUGCGCCAAGGGCCAUACCCCGUACGCCACAAAUUCUUCAACCAAAUCGCGCCCACUGCUCAGGCCGGCGGCGCACCGAAGGGCCCCUUCGUCCGCAUCCUCCUCCGCCACCUCAAAGGGCGAGUAUGCUGAGUAAAAAUGUGAACACAUCUCGGACACGGGGAGCCCCUCAUGGUCUUCGACGGUACCCUCCGCGACGUAAAACCAAAACUCAUUCCAGUUGCCCCACUUGUUGCGGGCGCAAGGAACCAACUCGACUACCUCCAUCGUGGUCUUGCCGGUCUUCGGCGUAAACGUACAGGACCCAAACUAGGCAACUUCAUCUCCAAUCAUCCUCUUCUGCCAAUGCAGGCAAUAGUACUUCGCAAAGACUUCGACUGAUGGCUGUCCGCCGUACGAAGUCGUCGCCCAGACAUACUUCGACAGAGCCACCACGGCAUUCGGAGUCAGCUGAUGUAUCUGAACGUUAAAUCUGCGCAGGACUUCUUCAACAAAUCGGUGCGCAGGCAGGCGGAGACCGGCGGCGAAGAACGCCUCGAACACAACCAACUCGCCUUCUGGCUCGGGGACUUCCUCCGUCCCCGGGACACGAGCAACUCCGCCGCCAAAGUAACCCAGUCGCUGCAUAUCUUGCACGCGGACCGACGACAUCGGCGACACACCAAAAUCCACCGUAUCACCGGCGCGCAACUCCUCCGCCACCAAAGUACUCAGCGUCUCCUCAGACAAGGCGUCGACCGGCGGCGAGGCGUCGGCCGGCGGCGUAGCGGUAGCAGAAGAAGAGGAGGUCGGCAUCGCUACGUACCGUCGGCGGCGGCGGGCGGUCUGCUUCACUCGAGCCAGAUCUCCGGCGAACAAGAGCAAGGAGGGCAGACGAGCAGCAAGACGGUGGAAAAGGUGGCUAGGGUUUUCACCGAGCGCGGAAAGUGAAGUUCAAAAUGCGCCGACCCCCGCCCCUAUUUAUACACAGGGCGCGGCGCUUCGGGAAACCCGCAGUCCAACAGUACGGUGUCAAUCAACGGUCAUGUCAAAAAACCCCCGCGGAACCACUUCGGGCGAGGGCAGCGUCUCCGCCAUCUAGCGACGUCUUCGGCACCAGAUGACUUUGUCGAACUGGUCCCUCGGAGGGCAAAUGUUGGGGCGAAGGCAAAGACGCCACCCUUCGCUCGAGGCCUUCGCUGCAGUCGUUGGUCCAACGGAGAUAAAACGGGCAGGGACACCCUUCGCCCCAUAUGACAUCAGACGAAGGCCUUUGACGAAGUCAUCCCACCGUGCGGCCUCGUCCAGCUCGGAGGCCCACGUGUGAUCCGGCCCACUCUAACGUGCCCUGCGUGGCCGCUGUAUGUUACGGGCCUAAUUUGUAAAGGCAUCCCUGUAAUUACAGUCUGUAACCCUGCUUUAUGGGAAUAUUUUGGGGAUAACCUAGGUGUCUGAGGGCACAUGCGUCCUUAACACAAGACGCUGGGCGCUCAGACACCUAUAAAUACCCCCGUACAGUGCCCGUGAGAGGCUAGAUUAACCGAGCUAUUGCCAUCUUGCGCGAGAACCCUAUUAACGUCCCUGUUCACCCUUGUUGGAUCCCCUUGCAACUGAGAGCAAGUUCCAACACUUCGGUAUAUAACAACUUCGUUUUCCUCCGGAGCAGGGGCAGUACUAUCUCCUCCAACCCUGAUAAUAGACAUAUCACGAAAAUACCUCCCCCUCAUGGCGUCAAUAUGACUCUGUUUGAUAGUCGACUUUCCAAAGAUAGUAUGGCUUGGGCGCCACGGCCGGUCCUCAGAGUCCUCAUCCCCACUUUCCACAUCAUAACUAUCACUGUCACCAGAAUCUUCGGAUAAACCCUACAGGAUCUCCCUAGUAAUUUGCUCUGUAUUUGUUUUUGCCAUGGACUCAACAAACCUAGCAAUGAAAGGAUAUGCAACCUUUUUCUCCUCAUAUAGCUUCGUCUCCUUGGUCGUUUUCUUCUCUUCAGUCAUCUUCUUCUCUCCACUCAUCUUCUUCUUUUCAAAUUUGGAGCAAAAACGUCUUUAAACCGAAGCUCUAAAACUCGAGAAUCAGGCAAGAACUAGUGAGCAAGAGCUAAAAAUUUGACACAAUAACGCAAAUGGCAGAAAUUGCGUGCCAAAUGCUGCCGGUGUGGGUUCAUAUUUAUACGCCCGGUGCUUUGCAACUUGGUGGACCCCCUUUGUCAUUGAUUGUUGCUAUUCUAGCAAAGGGAAGGUGUUUUUUGGACCUUCGGCUUAAGGCCUUCAUUCACGUCGCAGUCUAAAUUCGUUAUUAUAACAAAUUAAUACUGCGAGGGGCUACUGUUGGGGGCCUUCGUCUUUCAAAGGUCCUCAAAAACAUGAUUAACAUUGUUCCCCAAGUGUAACAUAUGCACAAGAACCUUCGGAUUUGGAAUGAAGUUGUUCACAAUAUGAAAAGCAUGAUCGGGACAAAAUGUCGAAUCAAUUCCGAAGCUACGCGCAAGGAAGCUUCGCCUCAGUAGCAGAAAAAGGAACCGACUUAAAGAGGAAAAGGCUAUCUGUUCCUCGAUAGGUUGUCCUUAAGUCAAUUGUAAACAUGAAGGACAUGAAUGUAAUUUUACACAGGCUAUGCUCUGUGCCUAUAAAUAGAUGAACAGUACCCCCGUACUGUUCACGCUGACUUGUAUUCACUCGUGCGUCACGCUUGGACUUUUACCUUCUGUCGAAGCCGAAGGUACAAAUGUAAUUCGAUAUAAUUCACAUACAUUCAAGAUGAUUUAAUUAAGAUAUAUUAAUAAUGUCAGAUGAUUAUUCAUGUUGUCUCUCAUGUUUCAUAUGCUUCUUCUUUCAAUAAUAUAAACUGCGAUGAUGAAGGUAUGUCCUUCAUGACCUUCGUUUGAAGAUCAUUAUAUUCUAAGGGAGAUAAUGCUUCGAAAGACGAAGGAUCUUAACCAUUAACAUUUGUGUUGCCUUGUUCUUAACUCAUAGCAUUUGAGAACAAGUCCCCAACACUAUCUAUAUGUUUUAAUCGAUUGCAACCACCCAGACACUAUUAUGUGGAUACUAUGCUUGCGAGGACCUGAGAGAAUCUCACAAAUUCAACAUUAGGUACAAAUAGCUAAGUAAUGCACAAGUCUAGUGGACAAUAGAAUGUAUCACCCAAAUGCAAAUAUUGAGAACCGUAGGACAUAUGUGGAGUCAUCUUGCACAAAUGUGUGAUGCAUAAGUCCUAGUGGACAAUAGAAUGUAUCACCUAGAUGCAAAUAAUCAGAACCGUAGGACAUAUGUGGAGUCGUCUUGCACAAAUGUGUGCAUCAAAAUGCAAAGUUCUUCAACAACACGAACUGACAUUGGACAAGAAGUAUGACAAGUCCAGACACUGGGAGAAGCUACCAUUAGGUGAUCACAAGAUGCCUGGAGUGUAAAAUAUUACAAAUCAUAUGUAUAUGGCAUAUAACUACUAUUGUUCACGUGAAUAGCUUUUGUACUUAGUUUUUUAUAUCUUCUAAUUAAAAGAUUUAAUCACCCAACCAAUUUUAUAUUUGUAUUCCCUAAGAUUUCUUUUGAAAAAACAAGACCACACAUGUUAUAUAUAUUUUAAUUUUUAUUACCCAGUUAUUCUAAUGGUUUAUACUGUAGCACCCCAAAAAUUCAAAUCUUAAAUUUUUUUCAAACUCGCUCUAAAUUCAAAAUGAAUUUUAAAUUUCAUUUCAAAAUGUUUGUUUGCGAGUUGAUCUUAACAAAUAAAAUAUAAUGGUCUAUAUUCUCUCCAAAAUUCUCCUCAAAAUAUCCUACAAAUAUUAUCCCCAGUGAUCCCCUCUAAUUCUUUCUAGAAAUACGGCCCAAAUAUUCCACCGAUAAUUCUCCAAAUAUUCUCCUCCUGAGAAAUACAUUCAGAGUCAUUUUAAAAGUCUCCACAAAUAUUUUCUUCAUAAUUUUCCGCAUGCUCAUACGUAUACGUACGCCUCCGGUGUCAUACAGUGAGCUCUACAAGCUAAUUUCACUUAUACACGACUAAUACAUGCUUAUCUCCCACUAAUCCUCGCCUCCUCCCCCUAAUCCCCCCACCUAGCCUAUAAAUAGAGGGGCAAGGGCCUCCUCUCAAGCCACCCCAAGCCAUUUCAUGACAACUCUCUCCCCCCACACACGCCCACUCCAAGUCCCACACAAGAACACACUAGCACAAGGAUCGUUCGGUUGUUCUUCAAUCGUUCGUCCACCUGUUCUAAGUUUGUUCGUUCGUUCGUCUGAUCGUUCUAAUUAAAAGAUUUAAUUAAAAGAUUAGUUUAAAAGAUUUAAUUAAAAGAUCGUUCUAAUUCAAAAUGAAUAGCUUUUGUACUUAGUUUUUUAUAUCUUCUAAUUAAAAGAUUUAAUCACUGAACCAAUUUUAUAUUUGUAUAGUAUUUUAUAGUUGUAGUGGGGUAUAGAGGGAGAAUAUAGGGGAACCAUUGUGGAAGAUAAAAAAAUAGAGGAUAAAAUAUUGGUAAUAUGACAAAAAAAUAUGAUAUAGUAGGAAAAAUUUAAGAAAACCGCUGAAGAUAGUCUAAGCAUCGGUAACAGGAUUAGUGGCUUCCUACAAUAUUCAGAGUGAAAGGUUGCUAAAAUUUUGUCGGGUCAAAAGCAAUUCAAAUUUGAACCACAUUUGGAUCACAGGCAUUUUUGCUCAAAAGCCUGCGUAGGACCAGCUGCAACUUAGAAUAAUUGGCUCAUCAAAUUUGUUCAAACAACCCACUUGACGAAAGCCUUUCAAUUGACAGUAGCACACUAGCCAGGAUGACAACUUUAGAGACAAACCACUAUCAUCAACCAUUCUUCGAACACAUGCUCAGCUCUUGACUAGUAAUAUAUGUUCUCAGAAAAUAUAGAUGGAUUUGUGUGUGUGCACAGGGAGGGGAGGGAGCUAAAGCCACUGCGCUUUCUCAAUCUAAACAGCGAUGAGAAAGCAGUAGACACAGGUGAGGAGCAUUCGCUUUUUCCACUAGCAACAAUACAAACUCCUUAUCCUAAUCCAACCUAAAAUCUCCAAAUUACUACAACAUUUUGACCUUUAUACGAUUCAUAUGGAUCAGCGAAGACUACUAAAUAAUCUACUGAAUCUUUGAGCUGGUUCCAAAAACAAACCUAAUUGUAGGUAGUAAUAUAGGUUGACUUAAAUUGUUUAAACAAUCUUUCUGUAAAUGAAGCAAGAUGAAUUUCUCCAAUUUUAGACAAUUGAUGUUAAAACCUAAAACAUGUUGGAAGAUAACUUGUUUGCAGCCCUGAAAAUACCUCUAAUCUGAGUGUCUUUGAUCGCAAAAGAUCAUCAGCUGACUGGAGAGAAUCUACGCCAAGAUCUUGGAAUCCUUGCUUAACUGCUUGCAUUGUGUAAGGAAUAAACCUCAGUACAGAACCUUUGUCAGCUACUGCUCCAACAACGCCCUGCGCGACUUUGAGCUUGAGUGUAUCACUAAGGUACCUUGCAUCACUCCCUUUUGUCAUGGCUUCAAGAGAGCCCAUGCCUCUGUAUUUUUUGACUCGGCGUUCGUCCUAAAAGUAGUGUGUCAAGAGUUAUAACUCAAAACAUUUUCAUCAAAGAGCAGAUGAAAGUUUCAUGCGUCAGACAUAGAAUGACACAAAAUAAUAUAGCACUCAAACAACAUGAGUUAACAAUAUAUGAACAAUCUUACGUCGCCGUUUGUGUAGGAUACACCCUGAGAGAAGAGGCGCAACGCCGCGAAGCCGUCGUCGGCAAGGUCGAUGAUGCUCGACGCCAUUGGUGGAUUGGGGGUUUAGGGUUUUUUUUGCUGCUGCGGCGGCUGGCGUAUGGGGGAGAGAGAGACAGGGAGACGAAAAGAGGCAUGAAGAGAGCGUGAAGUACGCGCUGCUUGUGUUUGUGUUGGUCUUGCUAGAUAGUGAUUUUCAUUUGCUCUUUGUUUGGUAGGUAGUAAGGCGCAUAAUAGUUCGAUGACAAGUGUAACGCCCUGAAUUUGGGGGUAGAAUUUUUUCUUCUUUUCUCUCACCAAAUUCAGGCGUUACUCUUUCCUUUUUCCCUUUUCUUCUCGCUAAGCCUUGAUCUUUUCCAAAAGUUAUAGCGAGAAUUAGCUCGACAUCUUGUGUAACCAAAACCUAGAACUAUUUUUGUUUGUUGCAUCAUGCCGGAUUAUGCACUCUUUUGUUUGCAGUUGAGUGAAGUGGAGAAUUAGGCAUAUAAGAAAAUGUGGCAAUUAGAAAAAGAAAAGCCUUUUCUUUUUCUCUCUCCCCCUUCUCCCCUUUUGGCCUAGCCGCCCCUUCCCCUUGGCCCAAGCGGCCCAGCCGCCCCCCUCCCCUUCCCGCGUGGGCCCCGCGGCGGCCCAGCCACCCCUUCCCCGCCGUGGGCCGUCCUGGCGGACCAAGCCGCGCCCCCCUCCCCCCUUUGGGCCCAGCAGGCCCAACCGCGCGCCCCCUCCCCUUUUUUUCUUUUUUCUUUUUUUCCAAAAAUCCCCUCCCCGCGGGCCCCGCCCGUCAUCCCCUCUCUCUCUCCCUCUCCCUAACCCUAACCGCUGCCGCCCUUUCCCUGCCCUAGCGCCGCCGCCGCCCCUCCCCGGCGCCGCCGCCGCGCCGUCCUUCCCCUCCGGUGAGGCUUCUCCCCCCUCCUCCCUCCUCUCCUCCCCCUCCUCCCUCCUCUCCUCCCCCUCCCUCCUCCUUCCCUCCCAUCGGCGCCCUCCCCCGCGCCAUGGGCGCGCUCACCCGGCCCCGGCGAGCUCGGCCCCGGCCCCGGCCGCCCCCGGCUCGCCCGCCCUCGCCUCGGCCGCUCCGGCGAGCCCCCGACCCCGGCCUCGCUCGCGCCCGGCCGCGCCGCCCCCGCCCCGGCCCCGGCGACGCAGUCCCCAGCCUCGGCUCGCCAGCCCCGCCCGCCUGCCCCGGUGCUCGCCGGCCUCGCCCUCGGCCGCCCCCGCCCCCGGCCUCGCCACCUUCGUGCCCGGCUCGGCCGCCUCCCGGCGAGCUCGGCCGCCCGUCCUGUGCCCCGACCUCGCCCGGCCGUGUCCUCGCCCGGCCGCGUCCUCGCUCGCCCGUGCUCGCUUGCCCCGGCGUGCUUGCCCGCUCACCCCGCCGUGCCUUGCUCGCGUCGUGACGGCCCCGGCGUGGCCUCGAGCUCGGCCCAGCGAGCCUAUGGCGCGCGGCUUUGAGCUCGGCUAGCGCACGACCCCGACGUGCGCACGGCUAGUUCGUGGCGUGUGCGUGCGGCCUCGCGCGCAUGCUCGCGUAGUGCGCGUGCCAUGGCACGACCCGUCGUGUCCCCGUCUACCCCCAGACGCCCCAUCUACCCCCCCCCCCCCCCCGUACCCUAUGCACGCUAAUCCCGUUGUUCAUAUUAAUAAGAUACGAGUCUCAAUUUGGAAAUUGGUUACGUUAGUUAAUUUGUAUAGCUAAUCGUCUAACUCAUUCAAUGUUAAUCUACUAAAAGUGGUCACGUUUACAUUAGUGCAUGUAGCUAAUUCUUUUGUUAGAACCAAUUGGAACUAGAGCACGUGACGUCUAGUUAUUCGUUUACCCGUAGUGCACCUCGAGCAUAAGCCUUAAACCCUGUGAGACCUUCCCUCGUUUCUUUCUAACCAAGGUAAAUUCAUUAUCGUAUGUGAUAUUCUAUGCAUAUUUACUUUAUUUGUUCUCUUGUAUGGUGUACUGUUUGUUUCCUAAUUUGAAUGGAUGGAUGUAUGUAUGCUUGCAAUCGCAUAGAGAACGAUCCGGUUGAAGAGCCCGAGGAACUCGCAGGAGAAGCCCCUGAGCAGCAGUCGGUUGGUGGAGGCAAGUGUCGCUUGACCUAUCUCUGUCCUAUUCAUUCUUUAAUUCACCUCCAGCUUUACACAUUUAUGCCUAAGGAUGUACUAGCUUUGUUAUCCAUGUCCUUGUUUACCUAUUUGGGUUGGAUUAUUAUUGUUUAGAUUUAUGCUAUUGCUCAACUCUAAUCAAUGAACAUGAUGAGAUUAUCUAUGAUACGCUGUUUUCCCUUCUCUUAUUAUGAUGUUAUACUUGUGGUCUUCAAGGGGGCUCGAGCGGUUUCUCGAGUGCCUCUCUGUAAGGACCUGUUCUAUGGAUGACCGCCCGGGAAAACAGUGCAACCAUGAGGGUGGAAUGGGGUGCCCUUAGCUGAAUAAUUAGAGGAUCCGGGGUGUAGAUCACUUAGCCAUCGUGCCGUCAAUGGGGCUCGGUGUAUGCGGCUCGCUCUGCCAAGUUUGGGUUCGCCCCUUGGGGAGGAGUGCGGUGCAUUUAGGAAACCUAACGGGUGGCUACAGCCCCGGGGAAUCUUUGUAAAGGCUACAUAGUGAUGCCCUGCUGGGUCACCUUGGUAUUGAUCAAUGGAGAGUCAUGAUCUCUGGGCAGAAAGGGAAUCACGGCUUGUGGGUAAAGUGCACAACCUCUGCAGAGUGUUUGAAAACUGAUAUAUCAGCCGUGCUCGCGGUUAUGAGCGGCCAAGGGAGCUCCAGUGAUUAGUGGUACUUGAUCAGAGACAUUAUGGUUUCCAGGUGGCUAUGAGAUCGAUGGUUUUGGUUAUGGCUAUGGUGCUGGUAAGUGGUAUUCUUUCCGUUUGGAAAGGGUACAUUGGGCUAAUAACUUGGGUUAAUGCUAAAACUUGGCUUUCUAUUAGUAAAUAAUAAUCUGACCAACUAAAAGCAACUGCUUGACUUAUCCCCACAUAAAGCUAGUCCACUACAGCCAAACAGGAUACUUGCUGAGUAUGUUGAUGUGUACUCACCCUUGCUCUACACACCAAACCCCCCCAUCCCCAGGUUGUCAGCGUUGCAACCACUGCUCAGGAGAAGAUGAAGUUGUGGAAGGAGACUUCCAGGAGUCCGAAGACUACGACGAGUUCUAGGCGUGGGUUAGCGGCAACCCCCAGUCGGCUGCUUGUGAAGGCCGCGUUUAUCUACGUUUCUUUUCCGCACUUUGAUUUAUUGUAAGGACUAUAUGGACGUCUCAGACGUAUGAUCUAAUCGACUAUUAUUUCCCUUUUAAUACUAUUUUGAGCACUGUGUGAUGAUGUCCAUGUUAUGUAACUGCUGUGUACGUGAAUAACUGAUCCUGGCACGUACAUGGUUCGCAUUUGGUUUGCCUUCUAAAACCGGGUGUGACAUAGGUGGUAUCAAAGUCGUGCUGACUGUAGGACCGCUAACCUAGAAUAGAAUGGUCGUUCUAAGGACUAUAGACCUCUGUCCCUGCCUUGACUUUGAUAUCCCUUCAAAAGUUGGUCAUACCGACCAAACCUAUAUUCUACUAUAUGUUAUACCUUGCUGAAAAUUAUGUUUAUUUCUAAUCCUUCAUUUAUUUAUGGUUCAUUACUUGCUGGUCAUAUUAAUUCUGUUCUCACCCUUUUGUUUGCGGUGUCUUUUGUAGAUGGCUCGACUUAGACACACUGCACGAAAGUCCGUCAUCCCCUUCUUACCCUCCCGCCUUGCUGAGCGUCCACUUCGCCGUCCCGUGGCCGAACAGUCCAGCCACUUGGAGAGGCUGCACCACCGCCUGCAUGAGGAGCAGGAACGUCGACGACAGGAGCAGCAGGGCUCUUCUUUCUCGCUCCAGCAGGAGAUGGAGUCCGUGAGGAGCUGCUCCCAUGUGCUUCCACUGGAGGCGCCCCCUGCACCACCACUGGGCGCCCCAGCCUCUGGAGUAGCUGCUGGAGGAGACCCAGACGACGGAGGUGGCGACGACAGCUCGAGCCAUGACACCGACUUUUCUGCUGACUAGGAGCCAGAAGGAUGGGUUGCUCGACCCAUCACUCGCGACGCUGCUCGCGGGUGUCACUUCCAUGAUGCGCUCGACACCCUGCUACGUCAGGCACUUAACCGGCGUACUUGGUCCAUCGAGUAUCGCUGUGUGGUCCACCAGCAUAGUCGCGGGGUCUACCCGGACCGCUGGGAGGCGACCUGCUUGGUGCGCCGUCCGGAGAACAGUCUCCAAGGUGCUAAGGUCUGCUCAGAGCACUAUUCUAUCUCUGAGCGGGACUCAGCUGAGGCGGCCAUGCAAGAUGCUGCACGGCGUGCGCUUUCGCACUACUGCUCGGUUCUCGGUGGGGUAGCUGACGGUCUCGACCUGAAGUAUUACCCCCGCCGUCCAUCUGGCAGCACAGGAGGCGUGAUUGUUUCACCUAUCGGUGAGGACAAUCCUAGGUUGAGCAGCACAGUCAACCUAGCCGCCGUGCUAAACACGGAGCUGGACCAUGCACUAGACGAGCUGGGUAGGGCUCGUGCUGAGAUCGCCCUGCUGCGGGCUGAGCGUGCGGAACGUCGUCACCUGGAUGAUGGUUCCCCCGCCCCCGUCGGGACUCAGCUCCCGUACCGCUCACCUCGGCGUGGACACCAGCCUUAUGGCAACCCCGACUGCAAGACCAAGAUAAAUCUAGAACCAUAGAUCACUAGAGUUGAAUCUUGUAAUUAAUACAAAAUACAUACGUAGAAGCUACAGUCUUAGCGUUAGUCUCGCUCUUAGUUAGUCUUAGUUAGACAGGGUAGUUUGCUAUAUCCUGUGCAUUUAUGUUUGUCAUGAUGAACUAUGUUUGGUUUGGAUCUUUGUAAUGACUGUCACCAGAGUGUGGGUAUCCCCUGCAUUUUGGUUUACCUGUUAUAUGUUAAUGGAGUUAGCUAUAUAGUUGGGAAACCUUUUAUUCCACUUUCCUCUUUAUCUGAGAAGCUGUGUGGUCUGUGUUGGAGAUCAGUGAAGAUGCUCAUCUGUUCAGUGCUGUUGAAGAAUUCUAUACUCUUUUCUUAUGCUGCAAGAUUUGCAAGAUCAGUUCUGAUGUGUGGUUGCAUUCUGCAGAUGUCAGAGAACAGGCGCAGAGGAGGAAGGCGUGCUCAGCAGGAGCGAGCCGCUCAGCAGGAGGAGGUGCCCCAGCAACAGCACCUGCCGCCCCCGCCCCCGAUGUCCAUCGAGCAGAUAUUUCUGAUGCAGACUCAGGCAGUUCAAGCCAUCGGUCAGACUCUGGCUGCCAUUCAGCAGCAGCAACAACAACAGCAGCAGACCCCACCUCAGCCUUCGAUGCCUCAGAUGCCUAGAGACAAGCGUGCUGAGUUCAUGAGAGGUCAUCCACCAACGUUUGCUCAUUCUUCUGACCCCAUGGAUGCUGAAGACUGGCUGCGCACUGUGGAGCGGGAGUUGCAUACCGCUCAGUGCGAUGAUAGGGAGAAAGUCCUGUAUGGUCCCCGUCUGUUGAGAGGAGCAGCUCAGUCAUGGUGGGAGUCUUAUCUCGCCACCCAUGCCCACCCCGACACCAUCACCUGGGAAGAGUUCAAAGGAAGAUUUCGUCAGUACCAUGUUCCUGCAGGUCUGAUGACAGUGAAGAAGGAGGAGUUCCUGGCUCUCAAGCAAGGGUCAUCGUCUGUUAGCGAGUACCGAGACAGGUUUCUGCAGUUGUCUCGCUAUGCUCCUGAAGAUGUCAACACCGACGCCAAGCGACAGUACCGUUUCCUGAGAGGCUUGGUUGACCCUCUUCAGUAUCAGCUGAUGAAUCAUACCUUCCCGACAUUCCAGCACCUGAUUGACAGAGCAAUCAUGACAGAGAGGAAGCGUAAGGAGAUGGAGGAUCGUAAGCGCAAGAUCAGUGGACCUUAGCCUGGAAGCAGCAAUCGUCCUCGUUUCUCAGGCAAUCAACCUCAGCAGUUCAGGCAGAACCAGCGUCCACCUCAGCAGCAUCAGCAGUUCCAAAGGCAGUAUCCUCAGCACCAGUAUCAGAACCGUCAGAGCAAUCAGUCAGGAGGUCAGUUUCAGAGGCAAAAUCAGCAAGCACCUCGUCUUCCUGCCCCAGCAAACCAGCAGAACAGUCAGGCAGCACCAACUCAAGUUGGAAACAGAGCAUGUUUCCACUGUGGCGAGCAGGGCCAUUGGGUGAUGCAAUGUCCGAAGAAGGCAGCCCAGCAGCAGUCAGGCCCCAAUGCCCCAGCAAAGCAGAACGUGCCUCAGCCUGGAGCAGGCAAUCGCUCUCAGCCGCGCUACAAUCAUGGGAGACUGAACCACUUGGAGGCUGAAACAGUUCAGGAGACCCCCGGCAUGAUAGUAGGUAUGUUCCCAGUCGACUCCCAUAUUGCAGAAGUGUUAUUUGAUACUGGAGCAACGCAUUCUUUCAUUACUGCAUCAUGGGUAGGAACACAUAAUCUUCCAAUUACUACCAUGUCAACCCCCAUUCAAAUUGACUCAGCCGGUGGUAGAAUUCGAGCCGAUAGCAUUUGUUUGAAUGUAUGUGUGGAAAUAAGGGGGAUAGCGUUUCCCGCCAACCUCAUAGUAAUGGGUACUCAGGGAAUAGAUGUCAUCCUAGGGAUGAAUUGGCUAGAUAAGUAUCAGGCAGUUAUCAGUUGUGAUAAGAGGAUAAUCAAGUUGGUGUCUCCACUAGGAGAGGAAGUGGUGACCGAGUUAGUCCCGCCUGAGCCAAAGAAAGGAAGUUGUUAUCAGAUAGCUGUCGAUAGCAGUGAAGCAGGCCCAAUCGAGAGUAUCAAGGUUGUGUCCGAAUUCCCAGAUGUGUUUCCAAAGGACUUACCGGGUAUGCCACCAGAGCGGAAAGUUGAAUUUGCCAUAGAGCUUCUUCCUGGAACCGCCCCUAUCUUUAAGAGGGCUUACAGAAUAUCUGGACCAGAGUUGGUUGAACUUAAGAAGCAGAUUGAUGAGCUGUCAGAGAAAGGUUACAUCCGGCCAAGCACCUCGCCUUGGGCCGCUCCUGUCUUGUUCGUCGAGAAGAAAGAUGGCACCAAGAGGAUGUGCAUCGAUUACCGAGCUUUGAAUGAAGUCAUGAUCAAGAACAAGUACCCUUUGCCCAGAAUAGAAGAUCUGUUCGACUAGUUGAGAGGAGCCAGUGUGUUCUCCAAGAUUGAUCUGAGGUCAGGUUAUCAUCAGCUCAGGAUCCGACCUUCGGACAUUCCGAAGACAGCAUUCAUUACCAAGUAUGGUUUGUAUGAGUUCACUGUGAUGUCUUUUGGUUUGACCAAUGCACCAGCCUUCUUCAUGAAUCUGAUGAACAGUGUAUUCAUGGAUUAUCUCGACAAGUUUGUGGUGGUAUUCAUCGAUGACAUUCUGAUUUAUUCUCAUAGCGAAGAAGAGCAUGCAAGUCAUUUGAGAAUGGUAUUACGGAGAUUGCGAGAGCACCAGUUGUAUGCAAAGUUGAGCAAGUGCGAGUUCUGGAUCAGUGAAGUCCUGUUCUUGGGUCACAUAAUCAACAAGGAAGGAUUGGUUGUGGAUCCGAAGAAAGUGGUAGACAUUCUGAACUGGAAAGCGCCAACAGAUGCCCGAGGAAUCAAGAGUUUCAUUGGAAUGGCCGGAUAUUAUCGGCGAUUCAUUGAAGGGUUUUCGAAGAUUGCGAAACCAAUGACAGCGUUGCUAGGCAACAAGGUUGAGUUCAAGUGGACCCAGAAAUGCCAAGAGGCCUUUGAAGCGCUGCAAGAGAAGUUGACUACAGCGCCUGUUUUAGUCUUGCAAAAUGUGCACAAGCCCUUCUCGGUGUAUUGUGAUGCUUGUUACACCGGUUUGGGAUGUGCGUUGAUGCAAGAGGGAAGAGUUGUGGCUUACUCGUCCUGACAGUUGAAGGUUCAUGAGAAGAAUUACCUAAUCCAUGACCUAGAGUUGGCAGUAGUGGUUCACGCACUGAAGACAUGGAGGCACUAUCUGUAUGGACAGAAAUGCGAUGUUUACACAGACCACAAGAGUCUGAAGUACAUAUUCACUCAGUCAGAGUUGAAUAUGAGGCAGCGAAGAUGGUUAGAGUUGAUCAAAGACUAUGAGUUGGAGAUCCAUUACCAUCCAGGCAAAGCAAACGUAGUGGCAGAUGCUUUGAGCAGGAAGAGUCAAGUCAAUCUGAUGGUCGCUCAUCCGAUGCCUUAUGAGUUGGCCAAGGAGUUUGACAGGUUGAGUCUCGGGUUUCUGAACAAUUCGCGAGGAGUCAUAGUCGAGUUGGAACCUACCUUGGAGCGUGAAAUCAAAGAAGCGCAGAAGAAUGAUGAGAAGAUCAGUGAGAUCCGGCGACUGAUUCUAGACGGCAGAUGCAAAGAUUUUCGAGAAGAUGUAGAGGGUGUGAAAUGGUUCAAAGACCGCUUGUGUGUUUCCAAUGUCCAAUCCAUUCGGGAGUUGAUUCUCAAGGAAGCUCAUGAGACAGCCUAUUCGAUUCACCCUGGCAGUGAGAAGAUGUAUCAGGAUCUGAAGAAGAAAUUAUGGUGGUACGGAAUGAAGAGGGAAAUCACAGAGCAUGUGGCUAUGUGUGUUAGUUGUCGAAGAAUUAAGGCAGAGCACCAGAGACCAGCUGGAUUGUUGCAACCGUUGCAAAUUCCCCAGUGGGAAUGGGAUGAAAUCGGUAUGGAUUUCAUAGUCGGAUUGCCUCGCACUCGAGCCGGCUACGAUUCUUUUUGGGUAGUAGUGGACCGUUUGACCAAGUCAGCCCACUUCAUACCUGUCAAGACUAACUACAGCAGUGCAGUAUUGGCAGAGUUGUAUAUGUCUCGGAUCGUUUGUCUUCAUGGAGUGCCAAAGAAGAUAGUGUCAGACAGAGGAACGCAGUUCACCUCUCACUUCUGGCAGCAGUUGCACGAAGCCUUGGGCACACAUCUGAAUUUCAGCUCGGUAUAUCAUCCGCAGACAGAUGGUCAGACCGAAAGAACCAAUCAGAUUCUGGAAGACAUGUUGAGAGCCUGUGCGUUGCAAGAUCAGUCCGGAUGGGAUAAGAGAUUGCCUUAUGCAGAGUUUUCCUAUAAUAACAGUUAUCAGGCCAGUUUGAAGAUGUCACCAUAUUUCAGGCGCUCUAUGGGAGGAGUUGUAGAACUCCGUUGCAAUGGGAUCAGCCUGGAGAGAAGCAAGUGUUUGGGCCAGACAUUCUACUUGAAGCUGAAGAGAACAUCAAGAUGGUCCGAGAGAAUCUGAAGAUUGCGCAAUCGAGGCAGCGAAGCUAUGCAGACACAAGAAGAAGAGAGUUGAGUUUCGAAGUCGGAGACUUUGUCUAUCUGAAAGUGUCACCGAUCAGAGGAGUCAGAAGGUUCGGAGUCAAAGGCAAGCUAGCACCCCGCUACAUUGGUCCGUUCCAAAUUCUCUCAAGGCGUGGAGAAGUGGCCUAUCAGCUCAGUCUGCCAGAGAAUUUGUCCGCUGUGCAUGAUGUCUUUCAUGUGUCUCAGUUGAAGAAGUGCUUGCGUGUGCCAGAAGAGCAGUUGCCAGUGGAAGGUCUCGAAGUCCAGGAGGACUUGACCUACGUUGAGAAGCCAGUGCAAAUCCUUGAGGUUGCAGACAGAGUCACCCGAAGGAAGACCAUCAGAAUGUGCAAAGUUAGAUGGAAUCACCAUUCAGAGGAAGAAGCAACCUAGGAGCGUGAAGAUGAUCUGAUGGCCAAAUACCCUGAGCUCUUUGCUAGCCAACCCUGAAUCUCGAGGGCGAUAUUCUUUUAAGGGGGAUAGGUUUGUAACGCCCUGAAUUUGGGGGUAGAAUUUUUUCUUCUUUUCUCUCACCAAAUUCAGGCGUUACUCUUUCCUUUUUCCCUUUUCUUCUCGCUAAGCCUUGAUCUUUUCCAAAAGUUAUAGCGAGAAUUAGCUCGACAUCUUGUGUAACCAAAACCUAGAACUAUUUUUGUUUGUUGUAUCAUGCCGGAUUAUGCACUCUUUUGUUUGCGGUUGAGUGAAGUGGAGAAUUAGGCAUAUAAGAAAAUGUGGAAAUUAGAAAAAGAAAAGCCUUUUCUUUUUAUCCCUCCCCCCCUUCUCCCCUUUUGGCCCAGCCGCCCCUUCCCCUUGGCCCAAGCGGCCCAGCCGCCCCCCUCCCCUUCCCGCGUGGGCCCCGCGGUGGCCCAGCCGCCCCUUCCCCUUGGCCCAAGCGGCCCAGCCGCCCCCCUCCCCUUCCCGCGUGGGCCCCGCGGCGGCGCAGCCGCCCCUCCCCCGCCGUGGGCCGUCCUGGCGGCCCAGCCGCGCCCCCCCUCCCCCCUUUGGGCCCAGCCGGCCCAACCGCCCCCUCCCCUUUUUUCUUUUUUAUUUUUUCCAAAAAUCCCCUCCCCGCGGGCCCCGUCCGUCAUCCCCUCUCUCUCUCCCUCUCCCUAACCCUAACCGCCGCCGCCCUCUCCCUGCCCUAGCGCCGCCGCCGCCCCUCCCCGGCGCCGCCGCCGCGCCGUCGUUCCCCUCCGGUGAGGCUUCUCCCCCCUCCUCCCUCCUCUCCUCCCCUCCCUCCUCCUUCCCUCCCGUCGGCGCCCUCCCCCGCGCCAUGGGCGCGCUCGGCCGCCCCCGGCUCGGCCGCCCUCGGCCGCCCCGCCCCGCCCUCGCCUCGGCCGCUCCGGCGAGCCCCCGACCCCGGCCUUGCCCACGCCCGGCCGCGCCGCCCCCGUCCCCGCCCGCGCCACCCCCGGCCUCGGCUCGCCAGCCCCGACCGCGCCCGCCCCGGUGCUCGCCGGCCUCGUCCACCAUCCCCGGCCGCGCCGCCCCCGCCCUCGGCCGCGCCGCCUCCCGGCGAGCUCGGCCGCCCCGUGCCCCGGCUCGGCCGCCCGCCCCCGCGCCCGGCCUCGCCCGGCCGUGUCCUCGCCCGGCCGCGUCCUCGCUCGCCCGUGCUCGCUUGCCCCGGCGUGCUUGCCCGCUCGCCCCGCCGUGCCUUGCUCGCGUCGUGACGGCCCCGGCGUGGCCUCGAGCUCGGCCCAGCGUGCCUAUGGCGCGCGGCUUUGAGCUCGGCUAGCGCACGGCCCCGACGUACGCACGGCUAGUUCGUGGCGUGUGCGUGCGGCCUCGCGCACGUGCUCGCGUAGUGCGUGUGCCUUGGCACGACCCGUCGUGUCCCCGUCUACCCCGAGACGCCCCAUCUACCCCCCCCCCCGUACCCUAUGCGCGCUAAUCCCGUUGUUCAUAUUAAUAAGAUACAAGUCUCAAUUUGGAAAUUGGUUACGUUAGUUAAUUUGUAUAGCUAAUCGUCUAACUCAUUCAAUGUUAAUCUACUAAAAGUGGUCACGUUUACAUUAGUGCAUGUAGCUAAUUCUUUUGUUAGAACCAAUUGGAACUAGAGCACGUGAUGUCUAGUUAUUCGUUUACCCGUAGUGCACCUCGAGCAUAAGCCUUAACCCCUGCGAGACCUUCCCUCAUUUCUUUCUAACCAAGGUAAAUUCAUUAUCGUAUGUGAUAUUCUAUGCAUAUUUACUUUAUUUGUUCUCUUGUAUGGUGUACUGUUUGUUUCCUAAUUUGAAUGGAUGGAUGUAUGUAUGCUUGCAAUCGCAUAGAGAACGAUCCGGUUGAAGAGCACGAGGAACUCGCAGGAGAAGCCCCUGAGCAGCAGUCGGUUGGUGGAGGCAAGUGUCCCUUGACCAAUCUCUGUCCUAUUCAUUCUUUAAUUCACCUCCCGCUUUACACAUUUAUGCCUAAGGAUGUACUAGCUUUGUUAUCCAUGUCCUUGUUUACCUAUUUGGGUUAGAUUAUUAUUGUUUAGAUUUAUGCUAUUGCUAAACUCUAAUCAAUGAACAUGAUGAGAUUAUCUAUGAUACGUUGUUUUCCCUUCUCUUAUUAUGAUGUUAUACUUGUGGUCUUCAAGGGGGCUCGAGCGGUUUCUCGAGUGCCUCUCCGUAAGGACCUGUUCUAUGGAUGACCGCCCGGGAAUGCGGCUAGCUUAGCCAUCGUGCCGUCAAUGGGGCUCGGUGUAUGCGGCUCGCUCUGCCAAGUUUGGUUUCGCCCCUUGGAGAGGAGUGCGGUGCACUUAGGAAACCUAACGGGUGGCUACAGCCCCGGGGAAUCUUUGUAAAGGCUACGUAGUGAUGCCCUGCUGGGUCACCUUGGUAGUGAUCAAUGGAGAGUCAUGAUCUCCGGGUAGAAAGGGAAUCACGGCUUGUGGGUAAAGUGCACAACCUCUGCAGAGUGUUUGAAAACUGAUAUAUCAGCCGUGCUCGCGGUUAUGAGCGGCCAAGGGAGCUCCAGUGAUUAGUGGUACUUGAUCAAAGACAUUAUGGUUUCCAGGUGGCUAUGAGAUCGAUGGUUUUGGUUAUGGCUAUGGUGCUGGUAAGUGGUAUUCUUUCCGUUUGGAAAGGGUACAUCAGGCUAAUAACUUGGGUUAAUGCUAAAACUUGGCUUUCUAUUAGUAAAUAAUAAUCUGACCAACUAAAAGCAACUGCUUGACUUAUCCCCACAUAAAGCUAGUCCACUACAGCUAAACAGGAUACUUGUUGAGUAUGUUGAUGUGUACUCACCCUUGCUCUACACACCAAACCCCCCCAUCCCCAGGUUGUCAACAUUGCAACCACUGCUCAGGAGAAGAUGAAGUUGUGGAAGGAGACUUCCAGGAGUUCCCAGACAACGACGAGUUCUAGGCGUGGGUUAGCGGCAACCCCCAGUCGGCUGCCUGUGAAGGCCGCGUUUAUCUACGUUUCUUUUCCGCACUUUGAUUUAUUGUAAGGACUAUUUGGACGUCUCAGACGUAUGAUGUAAUCGACUAUUAUUUCCCUUUUAAUACUAUUUUGAGCACUGUGCGAUGAUGUCCAUGUUAUGUAACUGCUGUGUACGUGAAUAACUGAUCCUGGCACGUACAUGGUUCGCAUUCGGUUUGCCUUCUAAAACCGGGUGUGACAACAAGUGGGCCCUAUUAUCCCGACGGCUAGCUAGAUUGUGAGCUGGGCGGGUGUCACACCCGGUUUUAGAAGGCAAACCGAAUGCGAACCAUGUACGUGCCAGGAUCAGUAAUUCACGUACACAGCAGUUACAUAACAUGGACAUCAUCACACAGUGCUCAAAAUAGUAUUAAAAGGGAAAUAAUAGUCGAUUACAUCAUACGUCUGAGACGUCCAUAUAGUCCUUACAAUAAAUCAAAGUGCGAAAACGAAACGUAGAUAACCGCGGCCUUCACAGGCAGCCGACUGGGGGUUUGCCGCUAACCCACGCCUAGAACUCAUCGUAGUCUUGGAACUCCUGAAAGUCUCCUUCCACAGCUUCAUCUUCUCCUGAGCAGUGGUUGCAAUGCUGACAACCUGGGGAUGGGGGGGGUUUGGUGUGUAGAGCAAGGGUGAGUACACAUCAACAUACUCAGCAAGUAUCCUGUUUGGCUGUAGUGGACUAGCUUUAUGUGGGGAUAAGUCAAGCAGUUGCUUUUAGUUGGUCAGAUUAUUAUUUACUAAUAGAAAGCCAGGUUUUAGCAUUAACCCAAGUUAUUAGCCCGAUGUACCCUUUCCAAACGGAAAGAAUACCACUUACCAGCACCAUAGUCAUAACCAAAACCAUCAGUCUCAUUGCCACCGGGAAACCAUAAUGUCUCUGAUCAAGUACCACUAAUCGCUGGAGCUCCCUUGGCCGCUCAUAACCGCGAGCACGGCUGAUAUAUCAGUUUUCAAACACUCUGCAGAGGUUGUGCACUUUACCCACAAGCCGUGAUUCCCUUUCUGCCCGGAGAUCAUGACUCUCCAUUGAUCACUACCAAGGUGACCCAGCAGGGCAUCACUACGUAGCCUUUACAAAGAUUCCCCGGGGCUGUAGCCACCCGUUAGGUUUCCUAAAUGCACUGCACUCCUCCCCAAGGGGCGAACCCAAACUUGGCAGAGCGAGCCGCAUACACCGAGCCCCAUUGACGGCACGAUGGCUAAGUGAUCUACACCCCGGAUCCUCUAAUUAUUCAGCUAAGGGCAUCCCAUUCCACCCUCAUGGUUGCACUGUUUUCCCGGGCGGUCAUCCAUAGAACAGGUCCUUACGGAGAGGCACUCGAGAAACCGCUCGAGCCCCCUUGAAGACCACAAGUAUAACAUCAUAAUAAAAGAGGGGAAAACAGCGUAUCAUUGAUAAUUCUCAUCAUGUUCAUUGAUUAAAGUGGAGCAAUAGCAUAAAGCUAAACAAUAAUAAUCCAACCCAAAUAGGUAAACAAGGACAUGGAUAACAAAAGCUAGGCAAUCCUUAGGUAUACAUGUGUAAAGCGGGAGGUGAAUUAAAGAAUGAAUAGGACAAAGAUAGGUCAAGGGACACUUGCCUCCACCAACCGACUGCUGCUCAGGGGCUUCUCCUGCGAGUUCCUCGGGCUCUUCAACCGGAUCGUUCUCUAUGCGAUUGCAAGCAUACACACAUCCAUCCAUUCAAAUUAGGAAACAAACAGUACACCAUACAGGAGAACAACUAAAGUAUAUAUGCAUAGAAUAUCACAUACGAUAAUGAACUCACCAUGGUUAGAAAGAAAUGGGAAAAGGAAUCGCGAGAGUUAAAGCUUAUGCCCGAGACGCACUACGGGUAAACAAAUGACUAAACGCUACGUGCUCUAGUUCCAAUUGGUUCUAACAAAAGAAUUAUUAGCUACAUGCACUAAUGUAAACGUGACCACUUUUAGUAGAUCAACAUUGAAUGAGAUAUAUGAUUAGUUAUACAAAUUAACUAACGUAACCAAUUUCCAAAUUGAGACUCCAACCUUAUUAAUAUAAACACAUGAUUAGCGUGCAUAGGACACGGGGGGGUAGACGGGGCGUCUGGGGUAGACGGGGACACGACGGGUCGUGCCAAGGCACUGCGCACUACGCGAGCACGCGCGCGAGGCCGCACGCACACGCCACGAACUAGCCGUGCGCACGUCGGGGUCGUGCGCUAGCCGAGCUCAAAGUCGCGCGCCAUAGGCACGCUGGGUCGAGCUCGAGGCCACGCCGGGGUUGUCACGACGCGAGCAAGGCACGGCGGGGCGAGCGGGCAAGCACGCUGGGGCAAGUGAGCACGGGCGAGCGAGGGCGCGGCCGGGCGAGGACACGGCCGGGCGAGGCCGGGCGCGGGGGCGGGCAGCCGAGCCGGGGCGCGACGGGGCGGCCGAGCUCGCCGGGAGGCGGGCAGGCCGGGCACGGAGGCGGCACGGCCGGGGACGGCGGACGGGGUCGGGGAGCACCGGGGCGGGCGCGGCCGGGGCUGGCGAGUCGAGGCCGGGGACGGCGCGGCCGGGCGCGGGGCGGCCGAGGGCAGCCGAGCAGGGGGCGGCCGGGGCCGGGGCCGAGCUCGUCGGGGCCGGGCAAGCGCGCCCAUGGCGCGGGGGAGGGCGCCGACGGGAGGGAAGGAGGAGGGAGGGGGAGAAGAGGAGGGAGGAGGGGGGAGAAGCCUCACCAGAGGGGGAGGACGGCGCGGCGGCGGCGCUAGGGUUAGGGAGAGGGAGAGAGAGGGGAUGACGGGCGGGGCCCGCGGGGAGGGGAUUUUUGGAAAAAAAAAAGAAAAAAGGGGAGGGGGCGGUUGGGCCGGCUGGGCCCAAAGGGGGGAGGGGGCGCGGCUUGGGCCGCCAGGACGGCCCACAGCGGGGGAGGGGCGGCUGGGCCGCCGUGGGGCCCACGCGGGAAGGGGAGGGGGGGUGGCUGGGCCGCUUGGGCCAAGGGGAAGGGGCGGCUGGGCCAAAAGGGGAGAAGGGGGGAGAGAGAAAAAGAAAAGUCUUUUCUUUUUCUAAUUUUCCAUAUUUUCUAUAUGCCUAAUUCUCCAAUUCACUUAACCACAAACACAAGAGUGCAUAAUCCGGCAUGAUGCAACAAACAAAAAUAGUUCUAGGUUUUGGUUACACAAGAUGUCGAGCUAAUUCUUGCUAUAACUUUUAGAAAAGAUCAAGGCUUAGCGAGAAGAAAAGGGAAAAAGGAAAGAGUAACGCCUGAAUUUGGUGAGAGAAAAGAAGAAAAAAUUCUACCCCCAAAUUCAGGGUGUUACAAACCUAUCCCCCUUAAAAGAAUCUCGCCCUCGAGAUUCAGGGUUGGCUAGCAAAGAGCUCAGGGUAUUUAGCCAUCAGAUCAUCUUCACACUCCCAGGUUGCUUCUUCCUCAGAGUGGUGAUUCCAUCUGACUUUGCACAUUCUGAUGGUCUUCCUUCGGGUGACUCUGUCUGCAACCUCAAGGAUUUGCACUGGCUUCUCAACGUAGGUCAAGUCCUCCUGGACUUCGAGACCUUCCACUCGCAACUGCUCUUCUGGCACACGCAAGCACUUCUUCAACUGAGACACAUGAAAGACAUCAUGCACAACGGACAAAUUCUCUGGCAGACUGAGCUGAUAGGCCACUUCUCCACGCCUUGAGAGAAUUUGGUACGGACCAAUGUAGCGGGGUGCUAGCUUGCCUUUGACUCCGAACCUUCUGACUCCUCUGAUCGGUGACACUUUCAGAUAGACAAAGUCUCCGACUUCGAAACUCAGCUCUCUUCUUCUUGUGUCUGCAUAGCUUCGCUGCCUCGAUUGCGCUAUCUUCAGAUUCUCUCGGACCAUCUUGAUGUUCUCUUCAGCUUCAAGUAGAAUGUCUGGCCCAAACACUUGCUUCUCUCCAGGCUGAUCCCAUUGCAACGGAGUUCUACAACUCCUUCCAUAAAGCGCCUGAAAUGGUGACAUCUUCAAACUGGCCUGGUAACUGUUGUUAUAGGAAAACUCUGCAUAAGGCAAUCUCUUAUCCCAUCCGGACUGAUCUUGCAACGCACAGGCUCUCAACAUGUCUUCAAGAAUUUGAUUGGUCCUUUCGGUCUGACCAUCUGUCUGCGGAUGAUAAGCUGAACUGAAAUUCAGAUGCGUGCCCAAGGCUUCAUGCAACUACUGCCAGAAAUGAGAGGUGAACUGCGUUCCUCUGUCUGACACUAUCUUCUUUGGCACACCAUGAAGAUAAACGAUCCGAGACAUGUACAACUCUGCCAAUACUGCACUAAUGUAGUUGGUCUUGACAGGUAUGAAGUGGGCUGACUUGGUCAAGCGGUCCACUACUACCCAAAUAGAAUCGUAGCCGGCUCGAGUGCGAGGCAAUCCGACUAUGAAAUCCAUACCGAUUUCAUCCCAUUUCCACUGAGGGAUUUGCAAUGGUUGCAACAAUCCAGCAGGUCUCUGGUGCUCUGCUUUGAUCCUUCGACAACUAUCACACAUAGCCACAUGCUCUGCGAUUUCCCUCUUCAUUCCGUACCACUAGAAUUUCUUAUUCAGAUCUUGAUACAUCUUCUCACUGCCAGGGUGAAUCGAAUAGGUUGUCUCAUGAGCUUCCUUGAGGAUCAACUCCCGAAUGGAUUGGACAUUGGGAACACACAAGCGGUCUUUGAACCAUAUCACACCUUCUGCAUCUUCUCGAAAAUCUUUGCCUCUGCCAUCUAGAAUCAGUCGUCGGAUCUCACUGAUCUUCUCAUCAUUCUUCUGCGCUUCUUUGAUUUCGCGCUCCAAAGUAGGUUCCAACUCGACUAUGACUCCUCGCGAAUUGUUCAGAAAUCCGAGACUCAACUUGUCGAACUCUUUGGCCAACUCGUAAGGCAUCGGACGAGCGACCAUCAGGUUGACUUGACUCUUCCUGCUCAAAGCAUCUGCCACUACGUUUGCUUUGCUUGGAUGGUAAUGGAUCUCCAACUCAUAGUCUUUGAUCAACUCUAACCAUCUUCGCUGCCUCAUAUUCAACUCUGACUGAGUGAAUAUGUACUUCAGACUCUUGUGGUCUGUGUAAACAUCACAUUUCUGUCCAUACAGGUAGUGCCUCCAUGUCUUCAGUGCGUGAACCACUGCUGCCAACUCUAGAUCAUGGAUUGGGUAAUUCUUCUCAUGAACCUUCAACUGUCGGGACGAGUAAGCCACAACUCUUCCCUCUUGCAUCAACACACAUCCCAAACCUGUGUAACAAGCAUCACAAUACACCGAGAAGGGCUUGUGCACAUCAGGCAAGACUAGGACAGGCGCUGUUGUCAACUUCUCUUUCAGCGCUUCAAAGGCCUCUUGACAUUUCUGGGUCCACUUGAACUCAACCUUGUUGCCUAGCAAUGCUGUCAUUGGUUUCACAAUCUUCGAAAACCCUUCAAUGAAUCACCGAUAAUAUCCGGCCAUUCCAAUGAAACUCUUGAUUCCUCGGGCAUCUGUUGGCGCUUCCUAGUUCAAAAUGUCUGCCACUUUCUUCGGAUCCACAACCAAUCCUUCUUUGUUGAUUAUGUGACCCAAGAAUAGGACUUCACUGAUCCAGAACUCGCACUUGCUUAACUUUGCAUACAGCUGGUGCUCUCUCAAUCUCUGCAAUACCAUCCUCAAAUGAUCUGCAUGCUCUUCUUCGCUUUGAGAGUAAAUCAGAAUGUCAUCAAUGAAUACCACCACAAACUUAUCAAGAUAAUCCAUGAAUACACUAUUCAUCAGAUUCAUGAAGAAGGCUGGCGCAUUGGUCAAACCAAAAGACAUCACUGUGAACUCAUACAACCCAUACUUGGAAAUGAAUGCCGUCUUCGGAAUGUCCGAAGGUCGGAUCCUGAGCUGAUGAUAACCUGACCUCAAAUCAAUCUUGGAGAACACACUGGCUCCUCUCAACUGGUCGAACAGAUCUUCUAUUCUAGGCAAAGGGUACUUGUUCUUGAUCGUGACUUCAUUCAGAGCUCAAUAAUCGAUGCACAUCCUUUUGGUGCCAUCUUUCUUUUCCAUAAACCGGACAGGGCGGCCCAAGGCGAGGUGCUUGGCCGGAUGUAACCUUUCUCUGACAGCUCAUCAAUCUGCUUCUUAAGCUCAACCAACUCUGGUCCAGAUAUUCUGUAAGCUCUCUUAAAGAUGGGGGCGGUUCCAGGAAGAAGCUCUAUGGCAAAUUCAACUUUCCGCUCUGGUGGCAUACCUGGCAAGUCCUUUGGAAACACAACUGGAAACUCAUACACAACCCUGAUACUCUCGAUCGGGUCUGCUUCACUGCUAUCAAUGACCAUCUGAUAACAACUUCCUUUCUUUGGCUCAGGCGGGACUAACUCGGUCACCACUUCCUCUCCUAGUGGGGACACCAACUUGAUUGUCCUCUUAUCACAACUGAUAACUGCCUGAUACUUAUCUAGCCAAUUCAUCCCUAGGAUGACAUCUAUUCCCUGAGUACCCAUUACUAUAAGGUUAGCGGGAAACGCUAUCCCCCUUACUUUCACACUUACAUUCAAACAAAUGCUAUCGGCUCGAAUUCUACCACCGGCUGAGUCAAUUUGAAAGGGGGUUGACAUGGUAGUAAUUGGAAGAUUAUGUGCUUCUACCCAUGAUGCAGUAAUGAAAGAAUGCGUUGCUCCAGUAUCAAAUAACACUUCUGCAAUAUGGGAGUCGACCGGGAACAUACCUACUAUCAUGUCGGGGGUCUCCUGAACUGCUUCAGCCUCCAAGUGAUUCAGUCUUCCAUGAUUGUAGCGUGGCUGAGAGCGGUUGCCUGCUCCAGGCUGAGACACAUUCUCCUUUGCUGGGGCAUUGGGGCCUGACUGCUGCUGGGCUGCCUUCUUCGGACAUUGCAUCACCUAGUGGCAUUGCUCUCCACAAUGGAAACAUGCCCUGUUUCCAACCUGAGCUGGUGCUGCUUGACUGUUCUGCUGGGCUGCUGGGGCAGGAAGACGAGGUGCCUGCUGAUUCUGCCUCUGAAACUGACCUCCUAACUGAUUGCUCUGACGGUUCUGAUACUGGUGCUGAGGAUACUGCCUUUGGAACUGCUGAUGCUGGUGAGGUGGACACUGGUUCUGCCUGAACUGCUAAGGUUGAUUGCCUGAGAAACGAGGACGAUUGCUGCUUCCAGGCUGGGGUCCACUGAUCUUGUGCUUACGAUCCUCCAUCUCCUUACGCUUCCUUUCUGUCAUAAUUGCUCUGUCAAUCAGGUGCUGGAAUGUCGGGAAGGUAUGAUUCAUCAGUUGGUACUGCAGAGGGUCAACCAAGCCUCUCAUGAAACGGUACUGUCGCUUGGCAUCAGUGUUGACAUCUUCAGGAGCAUAGCGAGACAACAGCAGAAACCUGUCCUGGUACUCACUGACAGACGAUGACCCUUGCUUGAGGGCUAGGAACUCCUCCUUCUUCACUGUCAUCAGACCUGCAGGAACAUGGUACUGACGAAAGCUUCCUCUGAACUCUUCCCAGGUGAUGGUGUCGGGGUGGGCAUGGGUGGCGAGGUAAGACUCCCACCAAGACUGAGCUGCUCCUCUCAACAGACGGGGACCAUACAUGACUUUCUCCCUGUCAUCACACUGAGCGGUAUGCAACUCCCGCUCCACAGUGCGCAGCCAGUCUUCAGCAACCAUGGGGUCAGAAGAAUGAGCGAACGUUGGUGGAUGACCUCUCAUGAAUUCAGCACGCUUGUCCCUAGGCAUUUGAGGCAUCUGAGGCUGAGGUGGGGCCUGCUGCUGUUGCUGCUGCUGCUGCUACUGAAUGGCGGCCAAAGUCUGACUGAUGGCUUGAACUGCCUGAGUCUGCAUCAGAAACAUCUGCUCGAUCGACAUCGGGGGCGGGGGCGGCAGGUGCUAUUGCUGGGGUACCUCUUCCUGCUGAGCGGCUCGCUCCUGCUGAGCAUGCCUUCCUCCUCUGCGCCUGUUCUCUGACAUCUGCAGAAUGCAACCACACAUCAGAACUGAUCUUGCAAAUCUUGCAGCAUAAGAAAAGAGUAUAGAAUUCUUCAACAGCACUGAACAGAUGAGCAUCUUCACUGAUCUCCAACACAGACCACACAGCUUCUCAGAUAAAGAGGAAAGUGGAAUAAAAGGUUUCCCAACUAUAUAGCUAACUCCAUUAACAUAUAACAUGUAAACCAUAAUGCAGGGGAUACCCACACUCUGGUGACAGUCAUUACAAAGAUCCAAACCAAACAUAGUUCAUCAUGACAAACAUAAAUGCACAGGAUAUAGCAAACUACCUUGUCUAACUAAGACUAACUAAGAGCGAGACUAACGCUAAGACUAUAGCUUCUACGUAUAUAUAUUUUGUAUUAAUUACAAGAUCCAACUCUAACGAUCUAUGGUUCUAGAUUUAUCUUAGUCUUGCAGUCGGGGUUGCCAUAAGACUGGCGUCCACGCCGAGGUGAGCGGUACGGGUGCUGAGUCCCAACGGGAGCGGGGGAACCAUCAUCCAGGUGACGAUGUUCCGCGCGCUCAGCCCGCAGCAGGGCGAUCUCAGCACGAGCCCUACUCAGCUCGUCUAAUGCAUGGUCCAGCUCCGUGUUUAGCACGGCGGCUAGGUUGACUGUGCUGCUCAACCUAGGAUUGCCCUCACCGACAGGUGAGACAAUCACGCCUCCUGUGCUGCCAGAUGGACGGCGAGGGUAAUACUUCAGGUUGAGACCGUCAGCUACCCCACCGAGAACCGAGCAGUAGUGCGAAAGCGCACGCCGUGCAGCAUCUUGCAUGGCCGCCUCAGCUGAGUCCCGCUCAGAGAUAGAAUAGUGCUCUGAGCAGGCCUCCGCACCCUAGAGACUGUUCUCCGGGCGGCGCACCAAGCAGGUCGCCUCCCAGCGGUCCGGGUAAACCCCGUGACUAUGCUGGUAGACCACACAGCGAUACUCGAUGGACCAAGUACGCCGGUUAAGUGCCCGACGUAGCAAGAUGUCGAGCGCAUCGUGGAAGUGACACCCGCGAGCAGCGUCGCGAGUGAUGGGUCGAGCAACCCAUCCUUCCGGCUCCUGGUCAGCAGAGAAGUCGGUGUCGUGGCUCGAGCUGUCGUCGCCACCUCCGUCAUCUGGGUCUCCUCCAGCAGCUACUCCAGAAGCUGGGGCGCCCAGUGGUGGUGUAGGGGGGCGCCUCCAGGGGAAGCACAGGGGAGCAGCUCCUCACGAACUCUAUCUCCUGGUGGAGCGAGAAAGAAGAGCCCUGCUGCUCCUGUCGUCGACGUUCCUGCUCGUCAUGCAGGCAGUGGUGCAGUCUCUCCAAGUGGCUGGACUGUCCGGCCACGGGACGGCGAAGCGGACGCUCAGCAAGGCGGGAGGGUAAGAAGGGGAUGACAGACUUUCGUGCAGUGUGUCUAAGACGAGCCAUCUACAAAAGACACCGCAAGCAAAAGAGUGAGAACAGAAUUAAUAUGACCAGCAAGUAAUGAACCAUAAAUAAAUGAAGGAUUAGAAUAAAACAUAAUUUUCAGCAAGGUAUAAUAUAUAGUAGAACAUAGGUUUGGUCGGUAUGACCAACUUUUGAAGGGAUAUCAAAGUCAAGGCAGGGACAGAGGUCUAUAGUCCUUAGAACGACCAUUCUAUUCUAGGUUAGCGGUCCUACAGUCAGCACGGCUUUGAUACCACUUAUGUCACACCCGGUUUUAGAAGGCAAACCGAAUGCGAACCAUGUACGUGCCAGGAUCAGUAAUUCACGUACACAGCAGUUACAUAACAUGGACAUCAUCACACAGUGCUCAAAAUAGUAUUAAAAGGGAAAUAAUAGUUGAUUACAUCAUACGUCUGAGACGUCCAUAUAGUCCUUACAAUAAAUCAAAGUGCGAAAACGAAACAUAGAUAACCACGGCCUUCACAGGCAGCCGACUGGGGGUUUGCCGCUAACCCACGCCUAGAACUCGUCGUAGUCUUGGAACUCCUGGAAGUCUCCUUCCACAGCUUCAUCUUCUCCUGAGCAGUGGUUGCAAUGCUGACAACCUGGGGAUGGGGGGGUUUGGUGUGUAGAGCAAGGGUGAGUACACAUCAACAUACUCAGCAAGUAUCCUGUUUGGCUGUAGUGGACUAGCUUUAUGUGGGGAUAAGUCAAGCAGUUGCUUUUAGUUGGUCAGAUUAUUAUUUACUAAUAGAAAGCCAGGUUUUAGCAUUAACCCAAGUUAUUAGCCUCAUGUACCCUUUCCAAACGGAAAGAAUACCACUUACCAGCACCAUAGUCAUAACCAAAACCAUCAGUCUCAUUGCCACCGAGAUACCAUAAUGUCUCUGAUCAAGUACCACUAAUCACUGGAGCUCCCUUGGCCGCUCAUAACUGCGAGCACGACUGAUAUAUCAGUUUUCAAACACUCUGCAGAGGUUGUGCACUUUACCCACAAGUCGUGAUUCCCUUUCUGCCCGGAGAUCAUGACUCUCCAUUGAUCACUACCAAGGUGACCCAGCAGGGCAUCACUACGUAGCCUUUACAAAGAUUCCCCGGGGCUGUAGCCACCCGUUAGGUUUCCUAAAUGCACCGCACUCCUCCCCAAGGGGCGAACCCAAACUUGGCAGAGCGAGCCGCAUACACCGAGCCCCAUUGACGGCACGACGGCUAAGUGAUCUACACCCCGGAUCCUCUAAUUAUUCAGCUAAGGGCAUCCCAUUCCACCCUCAUGGUUGCACUGUUUUCCCGGGCGGUCAUCCAUAGAACAGGUCCUUACGGAGAGGCACUCGAGAAACCGCUCGAGCCCCCUUGAAGACCACAAGUAUAACAUCAUAAUAAAAGAGGGGAAAACAACGUAUCAUUGAUAAUUCUCAUCAUGUUCAUUGAUUAAAGUGGAGCAAUAGCAUAAAGCUAAACAAUAAUAAUCCAACCCAAAUAGGUAAACAAGGACAUGGAUAACAAAAGCUAGGCAAUCCUUAGGUAUACAUGUGUAAAGCGGGAGGUGAAUUAAAGAAUGAAUAGGACAAAGAUAGGUCAAGGGACACUUGCCUCCACCAACCGACUGCUGCUUAGGGGCUUCUCCUGCGAGUUCCUCGGGCUCUUCAACCGGAUCGUUCUCUAUGCGAUUGCAAGCAUACACACAUCCAUCCAUUCAAAUUAGGAAACAAACAGUACACCAUAUAGGAGAACAAAUAAAGUAUAUAUGCAUAGAAUAUCACAUACGAUAAUGAACUCACCAUGGUUAGAAAGAAAUGGGAAAAGGUCUCGCGAGAGUUAAAGCUUAUGCCCGAGACGCACUACGGGUAAACAAAUGACUAAACGCUACGUGCUCUAGUUCCAAUUGGUUCUAACAAAAGAAUUAGCUACAUGCACUAAUGUAAACGUGACCACUUUUAGUAGAUCAACAUUGAAUGAGAUAUAUGAUUAGUUAUACAAAUUAACUAACGUAACCAAUUUCCAAAUUGAGACUCCUACCUUAUUAAUAUAAACACGUGAUUAGCGCGCAUAGGACACGGGGGGGGCGGGGGGGGGGGGGUAGACGGGGCGUCUGGGGUAGACGGGUCGUGCCAAGGCACUACGCACUACGCGAGCACGCGCGCGAGGCCGCACGCACACGCCACGAACUAGCCGUGCGCACGUCGGGGCCGUGCGCUAGCCGAGCUCGAAGCCGCGCGCCAUAGGCACACUGGGCCGAGCUCGAGGCCACGCCGGGGCCGUCACGACGCGAGCAAGGCACGGCGGGGCGAGCGGGCAAGCACGCCGGGGCAAGCGAGCACGGGCGAGCGAGGACGCGGCCGGGCGGCCGAGCCGGGGCACGGGGCGGCCGGGCUCGCCGGGAGGCGACCGAGCUCGCCGGGAGGCGGGCGGGCUGGGCACGGAGGCGGCGCGGCCGGGGGCGGGGGCGGCGCGGCCGAGGACGGCGGACGGGGUCGGGGAGCACCGGGGCGGGCGCGGCCGGGGCCGGGGCCGAGCUCGCCGGGGCCGGGCGAGCGCGCCCAUGGCGCGGGGGAGGGUGCCGACGGGAGGGAAGGAGGAGGGAGGAGGGGGGAGAAGCCUCAUCGGAGGGGGAGGACGGCGCGGUGGCGGCGCCGUGGAGGGGCGGCGGCGGCGCUAGGUUUAGGGAGAGGGAGAGAGAGAGGGGAUGACGGGCGAGGCCCGCGGGGAGGGGAUUUUUGGAAAAAAAUAAAAAAGGGGAGGGGGCGGUUGGGCCGGCUGGGCCCAAAGGGGGGAGGGGGGCGCGGCUUGGGCCGCCAGGACGGCCCACAGCGGGGGAGGGGCGGCUGGGCCGCCGCGGGGCCCACGCGGGAAGGGGAGGGGGGCGGCUGGGCCGCUUGGGCCAAGGGGAAGGGGCGGCUGGGCCAAAAGGGGAGAAGGGAGGGAGAGAGGGCUUUUCUUUUUCUAUUUUUCCAUAUUUUCUAUAUGCCUAAUUCUCCAAUUCACUCAACCACAAACACAAGAGUGCAUAAUCCGGCAUGAUGCAACAAACAAAAAUAGUUCUAGGUUUUGGUUACACAAGAUGUCGAGCUAAUUCUCGCUAUAACUUUUAGAAAAAUCAAGGCUUAGCGAGAAGAAAAGGGAAAAAGGAAAGAGUAACGCCUGAAUUUGGUGAGAGAAAAGAAGAAAAAAUUCUACCCCCAAAUUCAGGGCGUUACAGCUGGCAACCCAGGACGACAGAGGCAACGAGACGGUACCUCCCGACUCGAGUGUAAUCACUGAACUUUUGAUUUGCCCAAGUGAUUUUACAUGUUAUGAACCAUGCUUCUAAUUUUUAAUCCUGGAAUAGGCAGUAUCUUGAGAGAUUUUCUGUAUAUCUGUAUAUUUUUUUAUUAAGCAAGCUUGCUGCAGCAUUGUUACCCUGGACCAGUGGAUUAAAUUUUGUACGGUUUCCUGUAUGUGGAAGGUUGGAGUAACUUUUAUGGAAUCAUGCCUACGUAGCUGCAGUUCAUACACUGGAUGAUCAGAAUGUUGUUAAUCUUCUAGUUACUACUUAUAACCCCUCUAUAUAUCUGCCUGUUCAAAAUUGAACAAUUAAUCUUGUAUUUCAGUUUUCUAGCCUUGGUUUUCUUUUAUCGUCUGCACAAUUCCUAGGUUAUUAAAACGAUAAAACGUUGAAACGCUCAUGGGUGAAAUUUUGACAUUUAAACAACAUAGGAAAAAUACCAAUAUAUCAUAAUUUCAGCACAAUUCUCCUGAGCGUUCGAUAAAAAAAAUAAUUUCAAACAAUAACAUGAAGUUAAAUACCAAAACCGAGAAGUUAGUGGUUUACCAAAACUUCACCUAUGAGCCAGAUUGGACCCCAAAAGUAACUAACAGACUAGGCCCAAAAGUAGCUAAUGGUCUAAAACACAUGAAACACUGUGUUUUACAGUCUAGAACGCCAAAACGCGGUUUCAACCUCUAAUUAGAAUUUUGACGUUUAAAUGUAGUUUUAAGAAAUAACACUGCACAAUUCUAUGCAGUCAAAUGCUUCUUCUGGCAUGGGAGUUGCUCCUAACAUUAGGGAGACGUUUGUCGAGCUCCAAAUGAAGAAGGCAUUCUGAUAUGUUAUCUUCAAAAUCGAAGAAAAGCAAAAGCAGGUAGUUGUGGAGAAGACGGGGGCGACUACUGAAAGCUAUGAUGAUUUUCUGGCCUCUCUCCCGGAGAAUGACUGCCGAUAUGCGCUGUAUGAUUUUGAUUUUGUUACUGGGGAGAAUGUGCAAAAAAGUAAGAUUUUAUUCAUUGCCUGGUAAGUUUCAGAAUCAUAUAUGCACGCAUCUUUAUUUUGUUUCAUACAUGUUUAGCAGUUCCGUUAAGUUGUAAAGCCAAUGCCAAUGAAACUAGACUAGAAUACUAGAUCCAUAGAAAUAGCUAAAGAUGUGAACUGUUGAUGAGUUAGUCAUUCGAGGAUCUGAAAAAAUCUUAAAAUGCACCAAUCACAGUUAACUUAACAUACUAGUUGUUUAAGUACUUAAUCUUUUAAAGUGUUAUUAACUCAGUAUUGAACUGUAAAGUUGGAUUGGAUCUUGUGAUGUGUGAUCUUGCUAUGAUAGCACUUGCCACCUCUACUUUAUAGUGUUUGCUGGUAACCCAUACUAGUUAGCAUUUUAGUAGCUCAGACCAAAAGGAUUAAUAAUGCAUGUGGCGCAACAGUUAGGAAUAUUCUUGGCAAUAAUUGUUAAUCUAUUAUGUAGAUUCUGAUGUGGUCUUUUUGGACUGCACUAUAUGUAUCCCUGUGGUGCCUCAUAUUCUUUCAUGCUCAAUGCAUCCGCUCUGGCCUUCCUGCUGGUUUCACUUCACCAAACCUUUUACCUAAUCCACCGUUACCCCAGGUGAUACGACCACGCUAUUAAGAAACACGUUACAACCUCCAAGGCAUACUACAUCAACUCAGGUACAAUCAACAUCAUCACAAACCCAAGCCUUUGAUGGACCAAUUACACGUAGCUGAGCUAAGAAGCUACAACAAGAGGUGCACGCGCUACUUUAUGAAUUUCAAUUAAACACUAAUGAGAACUUUAUGCUACCUAAGUCGUGUAUGUUGAUAUUACUUAGGUUCACCAAAGAGCAAGGACAAAACAUAUCAAGGGCGAAUCAGUAAGAAGAGUUAUGUCCGAGUGAGUCCAGCGCUACAGAACCGUCCAGAAGAAACAGUCAUAUCUUUUGAUUCCCAAAAGCUAUGAAGGCCCAUAAGUACUUUUUAGAAAGCUCUUGAAGUCUAGUUUCCAAUGCUUCUAAAGCCGACUUAAUCAAAUCUACCAGAAAGGCAGCCGACCUACUUUAGUGCUGACUGGUCAGAAGGUCAACAGUCUGCUUGAUGACCAAGUUUUUGUAUUAAACUGCAUCAUUCUACGAAGUUUCAUUAAGCAUGCUAUACAUGGUGAGAAAGCUUAUCAAGUCAGCUUUCCAACGCAUCCAGCCCCACGUCAUUUGGAGAUUCCUAGAAGAAGUUAUUGUCAAAAUACUGAAGGCUGCGCAGAAGUCAAACAGCCACACGGAAAUCAGCUCUGCAGAUCUCUCGAAGAGGCUCCUUCACAUUAGCACGUGAAAAUACUUUUGUUUCGUGUUUAUACCUUGCUAAGGCUGGUUCUUACUAGUAUAAAUACCCCCCUAUGUCUAUGAUGUAAGGCAGCUUUUGAUAAUCUAAAACAGAACCCCCUUUGUUCAGCUGUGUGCUAACAAAUAUUGAGAGUGAUCUCUACCCCUUUGCUCUUGUGAAUUCCUUCGCGGGAUUGCAGAAGCGGCGGCUUCAUCCGCUCCCAAGUGGUGCUCCUACUCCCUUCGAGGUCUCCUCGAUUGAUUGUAGGUUGUGUUGGUUGGUUCUUUGAGAGUAUGGUUGGGAGAAUCCUCGAUUCAGGCUGCCGGUUAAAGACGGUGGUUGGCUUCGAGUUUUAUUUGUCUGGUUGCACUAGUUAUCGCUGCUUGCAGCAAGUUAUCUUGGCUUCUUUGAAGGUAGUUAUCUGAAGAUUGAUCCUACAUCGUGAAGAUCGGGCAUCAUGACGCAUCAUCUGGUAUCAGAGCCUCAGUUGCCACGGUAGGAUUCUUUACCCUUAGCUACAUAUAUUUUGUGUUCGUCCUAUCCACCAAAAAGCCAUAAAAUAUUUUUGCCAUAGCCCUUUGUUUCAAUCUGUUGUUCCAGUGAGUUUUGUUAAGUUUCAGUCCUUAGAGUCUUUGUUUAGUUGAUGGUCACUCUAUCCUUUGUGUUUCCUUUGAGCCUCUUAUAUAUAUCUGAAAAUAUCCACAAAAAGAAAAUUCUGAAAAAAAAACUUAUCAUUUCCUUCGCGUUAACUUUGAUCCUAUUUAAGUUAUAGCUGCUGGUUGAGUUCUUUGUUAAUUAUUAUAAAGUGUGCAAUAUCAUAUCAGAUCUCUGUGUUUAGUUCUAUAAAAAAGAGUAUAAAAAAAGUGCCAAAAAAAGUGUUGAUCAAGAUUGUGAAAGAAAAGUAGAACAAUCAAUUUGUUUAUGUGCACAAGUGCUGAAAGUUUUAUCAAGUUGUUCAACUAGUUUGCUAUUGUCAUUUGGUGCAAAAUUUUGGUUGGAUCUGAUUGCAACACUUGCAUUCCAAUCAUACUCCUUGUCUGCAUCAAAUCUGAAAUUUCUUGCGCGUGUGUUUGAUCUAUUUACAUCACUCGUAUCUUGUGGUCAGCACUAAGCAGGGAACUUCUAGUUGGAUGGUUAUUUAACUUAACAACAACUAGGAUUCAGAUUGCAUCUCUUGUUUAUUAUCCCCCCACUAAGCUCCACAUAUAAGCCAUCGUAAUCGGUACUCUGGUCUUGUAUUCGCUUAACCACCACUUUCGUGCUACCACCACACAUUUUCUUGCAAUUGAAGAAUGUGUCACCAUGAUACAAUUCAAUGAGCUCAAACAAAGCAUAGAAGCCAAGCAAGAUCUGUUGGCACAAGAUCUUCAGACACUUAUGGCUGAAAUCAGAGGUCGUCGUCGACUCCCUAACGGUGUAAGAAACCAUGAUGAAGAUGGGGAAGAAGGUGAAGGAAAUUAUUCUAGAAGGGCAAGUGAACAUGGGAGGAGAAAUCAAGGUGCUGCACGUGGUAGAGGAAGAGGCCGGAAUCGAAGAAAUGAUGACAAUGAAGAAUCUGAAUUUGGGAAUGAUGAUGAUCAGUCCCAACAUCGCUAUGGUCGUCGUCAUCAUAGAGGCGUCAACCAAGAAGAGAGAUUUGGGAAACUUAAGUUUACCAUGCCAAAAUUUGAUGGUAGAUCUGAUCCUGAAGAUUAUUUCAUAUGGGAAUUGAAGGUGGAGAAAAUAUUCCGCCUACAUAAUUAUUCAGAGGAGAAGAAACUUGCAAUGGCAUCUCUUGAGUUUGAAGGACAUGCUCUGAUUUGGUGGGAGCAACUUCUUCGUGAUUGUGAAGAAGAUGGAGAGGACCCUAUUAUUACUUGGCAAGAGAUGAAGCGAGAAAUGAGAAUUCGUUUUGUGCCGAAGCAUUAUCGGCGUGAUCUUUUUGAUAAAUUGCAGAAUUUGAGGCAAGGAAGUUUCUCUGUUGAGGAGUAUUAUAAGGAGAUGGAGAAGGCCAUGAUUAGAGCCAAUGUGUAUGAAGACGAAGAGCAAACCAUUGCACGUUUCAUGGCUGGGUUACACCGCAACAUUCAGCGUAUUGUUGAGUUUCAGCCGUACCAAAGUCUUAUUGAUUUGGUACAUCAAGCCACCAAAGCUGAACGCCAGCUGCAACAAGAUGCUAAGAGCAGCAAGCCCUUGUCAUAUGGUGCACGAACCAUGACUGGAAGAAGCAAAUCGAUCUCAAGGUUUACUGUUGCAUCCUCAGCGACAAAAGGUUCAACUGGAGGCUUGCGAUCCAAUAUUCAAGGCAAUUCUAGUGGAAAGAAUGGUGCUGCUCCAAACACGAGUUAUAAACCAGCAGCAUCCACUUCAACAUCAGUGGGUUCAACAGCCAAGAGUAGUGGUAUUCAGUGCUUCAAGUGUGGAGGUCGUGGUCAUGUCAUAAAAGAGUGUCCAAAUAAUCGUGUGAUCCUUGUGACUGAUGAUGGAGAAUAUACAUCAGCUAGUGAAGAAGAAGCUGAAGCAGGAAAUGAAGAUGACAUUGAUAAAUCUGAAGAACAUACGGGAUGUGAAUUUGAGCAUGGUACUACUCUUGUGGUUACACAAAUCUUGAGUGUUCAAAUGAAAGAAGCUGAAAUUGGACAACGACAUAAUCUUUUUCAAACGCGAGCAAAAGUGCAAGACAAAGUAGUAAAGGUGAUCAUUGAUGGAGGGAGCUGCCAUAAUCUUGCAAGUCGUGAGAUGGUUGAAAAGCUUGGUUUGAAGUUGCAGCGACACCCUCAUCCAUAUCAUGUCUAAUGGUUGAAUGAAUCGGGAGAUAUCAAGAUUGGUUAUAAGGUGAAAGUUUCGUUCAAGAUUGGAGAGUAUGUUGACACAGUGGAGUGCGAUGUUGCACCCAUGUCUGUGUGUCACAUGCUGCUAGGAAGACCUUGGCAAUAUGACCGAUAUUCUCAGCAUUGUGGAAGAACAAAUCAAUACACGCUAGAUCUGAAAGGGAGAAAGUUUGUACUCAAGCCUAUGACCCCUCAACAAAUCAUGGUUGAACAUUUACAAAAGAAAACUGAAAUUAGUGCAGCAAGUAGAGGAGGAGAAGAGCAAAAUAAAUUGAGUGCCAUCCACAAUUCGGUAAGCGAGUGCUACAAGCCAAAUUCAAGAGAUAAAAGGAAGGAAGAGGGAGAACAUCUAGUUAUGCUAGCCAAAAAAUCUGAGCUGAGAGAAGUGAGGAACAACCCAUAUCAAGUACUCUUUGUACUUGUGAACAAAGAUGUUUUGAUUUCUCCUAACGACAUAACAUCUCUUCCUAGUGUUGUGGCUGAUCUUUUGUAGGACUUUGAAGACGUGUUUCCACAAGAAACACCGGCUGGACUACCUCCAAUUCGAGGGAUUGAGCAUCAAAUCGAUCUUAUUCUAGGGGCUGCACUUCCUAACCGUCCACCAUAUCGAACCAAUCCUGAAGAAACUAAGGAAAUACAAAGGCAAGUGCAAGAACUUCUUAAUAAAGGUUUUGUUCGUGAAAGCUUAAGCCCUUGUGUUGUUCCUGUGAUUUUAGUACCUAAGAAAGAUGGAUCUUGGAGGAUGUGUGUUGAUUGUAGAGCUAUAAAUAAUAUUACCGUUCGCUAUCCUAUUCCACAGCUAGAUGAUAUGCUUGAUGAAUUAAGUGGUUCCACAUUUUUUACUAAAAUUGAUUUGAGAAGUGGAUACCAUCAAAUAAGAAUGAAAACUGGAGAUGAAUGGAAGACUGCAUUUAAAACAAAAUUUGGGUUGUAUGAAUGGUUAGUGAUGCCCUUUGGGUUGACUAAUGCUCCUAGUACUUUUAUGAGAUUAAUGAACCAUGUCUUAAGAACUUUCAUUGGAAAAUUUGUUGUUGUCUACUUCGAUGAUAUUCUAAUUUACAGCAAGUCUUUUGAUGAACAUGUGAAACACAUUCGACAAGUUUUAGAUGAGCGUAGAAAGGAGAAAUUAUUUGCUAAUCUUGAGAAGUGCAGUUUUUGCACAGACCAUGUUGUGUUUCUUAGCUUUGUUGUUUCAGCAAAAGGAAUAGAGGUGGAUGAAUCCAAGGUGAAAGCCAUCAAGGAUUGGCCAGCUCCAACGAAUGUAAGUCAAGUAAGAAGUUUUCAUGGUCUUGCUGGUUUUUAUAGAAGAUUUGUGCGAGAUUUUAGUACCAUCGCUUCCCCUUUAAAUGAAUUGACAAAGAAAUGUGUUGAAUUUAAAUGGGGAAACUCACAAGAAGAUGCUUUUCAAGAAUUGAAGAAACGUUUGACUGAAGCACCUGUACUUAUUCUUCCUGAUUUCACUAAAACUUUUGAAGUAGAAUGUGAUGCUAGUGGGAUUGGGAUAGGAGGAGUUUUAAUGCAACAAGGAAAACCUAUAGCAUAUUUUAGUGAAAAAUUGGGAGGUGCUCAAUUAAAUUAUUCUGUGUAUGACAAAGAAUUGUAUGCUUUGGUCCGAGCGCUUGAAACAUGGCAGCACUACUUAUGGCCAAAAGAGUUUGUUAUUCAUUCCGAUCAUGAAGCUUUGAAGUAUUUGAAAGGACAAGCCAAACUGAACCGUCGCCAUGCCAAAUGGGUUGAGUUUAUCGAAACAUUUCCAUACAUUGUGAAAUAUAAGAAAGGUAAGGACAAUGUGGUCGCUGAUGCCUUGUCUCGAAGGAAUGUGUUGUUGAAUCAACUAGAGGUAAAAGUUUUGGGUCUUGAAAAUUUGAAAGAAAUGUAUCAUGAUGAUCCUGAAUUUUCAGAACCAUACAAUCAUUGUAAAGAUGGAAAAGGUUGGGAAAAUAUCAUAUACAUGAUGGAUUUUUGUUUAGAGCUAACAAACUUUGUGUACCAAAUUCUUCGGUUAGAUUGCUUUUAUUGCAGGAGUCACAUGGAGGCGGUCUAACAGGUCAUUUUGGACAAAAGAAGACUUAUGAAAUGCUCAGUGAUCAUUUCUAUUGGCCAAAGAUGAGGAGAGACGUCAUCAGAUUUGUGGAGCGUUGUGUCACCUGUCACAAAGCUAAGUCAAAAUUGAACCCUCAUGGUUUAUAUACUCCUUUACCCGCUCCUAAAAUUCCUUGGGAAGACAUAAGCAUGGAUUUUGUUUUAGGACUGCCGAUGACUCUAAAAAAGAGAUUCUAUUUUUGUUGUGGUUGAUAGAUUUUCAAAAAUGGCUCAUUUUAUCCCAUGCAACAAGAGCGACAAUGCUUCACAUGUUGCCAAUUUGUUUUUCAGAGAAAUCUUGAGGCUACAUGGAGUGCCCAAGACCAUCGUAUCUGACCGUGAUGUGAAGUUUGUGAGCUAUUUUUGGAAAACAAUGUGGGCAAAGCUUGGGACUAAACUUUUGUUCUCCACAACAUGCCACCCCCAAACUGAUGGACAAACUGAAGUGGUGAAUCGUACAUUAUCAAUGCUGCUGCGAACAAUGGUAAAGAAGAACUUGAAGGAUUGGGAGGAAUGUUUGCCACACGUGGAGUUUGCUUAUAAUAGGGCAGUACAUUCUACAACUAAUUUAUGCACCUUCGAAAUUGUAUAUGGGUUCAAAUCUAUUGCUCCGAUAGAUUUGUUGCCCCUUCCAUUGCAGGAAAGAACUAAUAUAGAAGCUUCCAAGUGUGCUGCCUAUAUAAAAAAGAUACAUGAGAAGACUAAGGAAGCAAUUGAGCUCAAAGCAGUGCGCAAGGCUACAAGCAUGAACAAGCAUAGGAAGAAAGUGUUAUUUGAACCGGGGGACUUGGUUUGGAUUCACUUGCGCAAGGAGCGUUUUCCUGAGCAGCGCAAAUCCAAAUUGAUGCCACGAGGGGAUGGUCUAUUUCGUGUUUUUGCCAAGAUCAAUGAUAAUGCAUACAAGAUAGAUCUUCCACCAAGCUAUGGCGUGAGCAACACGUUCAAUGUUGCUGACCUCUUACCAUAUACAAGUGAAGACACUUCAGAGUCGAGGACGACUCCUUUUCACGGGGAGGAGGAUGAUACGACCACGACAUUAAGAAACACGUUACAACCCCCAAGGCAUACUACAUCAACUCAGGUACAAUCAACAUCAUCACCAACCCAAGCCUUUGAUGGACCAAUUAUACGUAGCCGAGCUAAGAAGCUACAGCAAGAGGUGCACGCGCUACUUUAUGAAUUUCAAUUAAACACUAAUGAGAACUUUAUGCUAUCUAAGUCGUGUAUGUUGAUAUUACUUAGGUUCAACAAAGAGGAAGGACAAAACAUAUCAAGGGCGAAUCAACAAGAAGAGUUAUGUCUGAGUCAGUCCAGCGCUACAAAACCGUCCAGAAGAAACAGUCAUAUAUUUUGAUUCCCAAAAUCUAUGAAGGCCCAUAAGUACUUUUUGGAAAGCUCUUGAAAUCUAGUUUCCAAUGCUUCUAAAGCCGACUUAAUCAAAUCUACCAGAAAGGCAGCCGACCUACUUUAGUGCUGACUGGUCAUAAGGUCAAAAGUCUGCUUGACCAAGUUUUCGUAUUAAACUGCAUCAUUCUACAAAGUUUGAUUAAGCAUGCUAUACAUGGUGAGAAAGCUUAUCAAGUCAGCGUUCCAACGCAUCCAGCCCAACAUCAUUUGGAGAUUCCUAGAAGAAGUUAUUGUCAAAAUACUGAAGGCUGCGCAGAAGUCAAACAGCCACACGGAAAUCAGCUCUGCAGAUCUUCCGAAGAGGCUCCUUCACAUUAGCAUGUGAAAAUACUUUUGUUUCGUGUUUAUACCUUGCUAAGGCUGGUUGUUACUAGUAUAAAUACUCCCCUAUGUCUAUGAUGUAAGGCAGCUUUUGAUAAUCUAAAACAGAACCCCCUUUGUUCAGUUGUGUGCUAACAAAUAUUGAGAGUGAUCUCUACCCCUUUGUUCUUGUGAAUUCCUUCGCGGGAUGGCAGAAGCGGCGGCUUCAUCCACUCCCAAGUGGUGCUCCUACUCCCUUCGAGAUCUCCUCGAUUGAUUAUAGGUUGUGUUGGUUGGUUCUUUGAGAGUGUGGUUGGGCGAAUCCUCGAUUUAGGCUGUCGGUUAAAGAUGGUGGUUGGCUUCGAGUUUUAUUUGUCAGGUUGCACUAGUUAUCACUGCUUGCAGCAAGUUAUCUUGGCUUCUUUGAAGCUAGUUAUCUGAAGAUUGAUCCUACGUCGUGAAGAUCGGGCAUCGUGAUUGCACUAUACGUAUCCCUGUGGUGCCUCAUAUUCUUUCAUGCUCAAUGCAUCCGCUCUGGCCUUCCUGCUGGUUUCACUUCACCAAACCUUUUACCUAAUCCACCGUUACCCCAGGUCCCAUCGACAUCCCGCAUCCGUGCUAAGAUGUUGUACUCGACCUCGAAGGACCGCAUCAAGUAUGAGCUCGAUGGGUUCCACUACGAGACCCAGGCGACCGACCCAUCCGAGGUGGACAUUGAGGUCCUGCGGGAGUGGGCUCACUGAAGCUAGUUCGCCUUUGAAGAAGAAGGGACCUGUGGAGGGCCGUGAACCUUUUGGUCAGAUGCAAAUCCUAUUACCAAUGAUGAAAGCUCCCACCUUGGUAUUUUUUAUUAAGUUUCUGUAAGCAUGUCGUUUAGGCGCGACACGUGACUCUAGCUGGUGAAGCAUUAACAAAGCUGUAUCUGUAUGAGCUUUGGUUGUCGAGCCUAUAAACGAAGCAAGGUUUGCGAACUUGUUAUAUUGUGGUAUUGAUGGUACUGGAUUACUGGUUGUGGGUUGCUGGGAAUGCCUCUGUUGGUCUGGUAUGUGGGCGUGGUUGUGGUUCGACUGAGAAUGGGCCUUGUUGGUUUGGACGUCCGAAUCUGUGGAUAGACUGGUGUUAAUCAAACGAAUGCUAUUGUGAUGCUGGAGACUGGUUUGGAGGAAGCUUUGUCUGUUGUUGUCGUGUUGGGAACUUUAGGUUCUCACAUUUUCCAACUAUAUGGAUCAGUAUCUCUCGUUAUAUAAGCUAUGACUAUGGUUAGUCUUUAUAGACUAGCGCUUUAGUGCAUAGUUUAGUUAUCUCAAUGUUACGUUAGCUUUUUAACAAACUUUUAGGUAGCAUAAAAAUAAGUUAUUUUAUUAAAACAAAAGUAUAUCUGAUUACAUAAACAAAUAACAUUACAUAAUUUGUAAAUCAUAAAUUAAAAUGAUAUAAUUCAGUAAAAUAAAAGGUUAUAUUAUUUAUAAAUAAAACCUAAUUAUGUAGAUUGUAUAUAUGCUUUAUUAAAUAAUUUUGAAGCUCCUCAUGGACAAGAUCAGUAUGGAUUAUGGCUUCAUGUUAAAUGAUGGUUGCAUAGUUCGGUUCAUGGAUGCUUCAGAGUGAUGAUUGAUAAUGCAGUAUAGGACUUGAAUAUCCCAUAGUCAUCCACAUCAAAUGAUCUUCUAUACUCAUACUCAAUGAUUAUGUUGUGUUGAACAAUACAUGAACAUAUGGUCAUACUGAAUAUUCACUGGGAAAAAGAACGACUUAGGCUAGCCGGAAUAUAGAUGCUAGCAUUAGGUCUUCUAAAAUACAACAAAUACAUGCCAUUUUAGAGUCUAUGAGAGAGAACUAGUCUGCACCGGUCACUAGGAGUAGAUGCCAUCGACAAGGUUGUACUCUUAGUUAACCUCAUGUCCAUUCAUUGUGAAGUCCAGUUUGGUGCUUCUCUUUUAAGCACGUCAGAACAACGACAAUUGGUUGUGCACCUUGACAUCAUUGAUCGGCCUCGCUACCCAAAAGGGAAUGUGAAAUUAAGUCAUACACAAGAGUAUUGAACAUGCUCUUUCCUCUAGGAUAUAAAUCAUUUAACACACCUUCCAAACUUCUAUAGCUUGAUCACCAAGAAGAAAACCUCAGAGUAUGGUUGAUGACAUUAGGCUCAUCAUUAAAAAUAGUCUCGAACGUCUAUUUUCUUUUAUUUAUGAGAUAAUGCAUUUUUAUAGAAAUUAAUAGCCAAGGCCCCUCUUAUCUGAACAAAACAAAUAGUUAGAAUAGACACGUUUGUAGUACUUUUGACAACAAAUACAACAACACAUCUCACGUUGAUUAACUAUAAGGGGUGUUUGGUUUGAGGAAUCACUUCAUCGAAGAUAAUGUGAUGCAUCAUGAGUCUAUUCAUCAAAUUUAAUAGAAUGAUCUCAUUCUUAUAUUAGUACUAACUAUGAGAAAUGAGGUGAUGAUGAAUCAACUCAUUCCAUUCCACGAACCAAACAAAAAAGUGAUGAGUGAGAAGAUGAUGGAAUAACUCAUUCCUCGAACCAAUCACCCUAUAAGUAUCUAAACAAUAUUGUUUGUCAGAGUAUAAAUCCCAAAGCGACCAAUUGUUUGGAAACAGACACUAGUAUUUUGGAUCAGGUGGUGGACAGGUGGACUACAUGACACUAUACUAACAAAAAAGAGCUGCACAUAAAGUAGGGAACUAGUCUCGCAAACCUCUACUGUCCUGGUACUGGUAGUAGAAUCAUAUAGGAGUAUUUGUAUGAGCUGUGUUUAAGCACAAAAAACUGCUUUGGCCAACAGAUACCGUCACUUUGGACGCAUCAAAUAAUGAGGUGGUUUUAUAUGGCAAAGAUGAAAGGUUGUAGAAGUCUAGAAGAUGAGUCAUUAAGGAAUCAGGGUUACUAGCUCGUUAUUACACGUGUGAAUUGUGCAUUUACAAUCCCUUUCGAAAUGACUGAGCGAAAGAGGGCAAAUGUGCGAGUUCUUUGCUCAACCGUAAUCUCAAUCAGAUGGUGGAACAUGCUACCACGGAUGAAGAGGUCAGAAGUACAACAAGGUGCAGGGCAUUCGUCACUCGACCGUUGCCUCUAGGUACAGACUCUAGCCAUGCCAGGCCAGCUCCCCUCCCUCCAGGACACCAGCACCAACGACAACGGUCACUUGCCGCUACGCUAUCAGACAGUAGCCAGCACACUUCACAAGCUUCUUCUCUUGCAGGCUCCAGCUGCAGCCCGACCGGCCUCCUUCCCUAGGAUUCUUUUGCAGCUUCCAUUGUCUCCCCAUCUAUUUAACCCACCCACCCCCGCUUCGUCUCCCAUGUCCCAAAGCAAAGCAAAACAAAGCUUCAAAGCAUCUCUGCUGGGAUUUUAGCAAGUGGCAACGACGAGCGACCCAAAAAAGCAAUCAAUAGUCACCAUAUCAGCUCCUCUCGCUCCACACCCCCCUGCUCUGUGACUUGAGGUAGGACAGGAGGCAGAGGCGAGCAAUGGGGUUCGUGCUGGUGGUCUCUCUGCCCUUCAUCUUCCUCUCCAUCCUCCUCGGCUUCGGCUUCUACUUCCUCGGCAAGCACUGGGGCCGGGAGGAGAGCGGACCGGCGUCGGCGCGCAGAUCUACGGCAUGUCGCUGCCGCCGCCCGGCGUCAUCGGAGCCUCCUUGCCGCCGACUCAGCCAUUCCACAGCAAGAAACAAGGGUCCGAGGCUGUGUGACUGAGAUUCAGACGUCUCUCCAUCCAUCCAUCCAUUCUACUACUACUACUACUACUACAUAUAUGUCUUGGUGGUGAUGUUGGAUUUAUAUUCUUUCUUCUUUAAUUUCGCCCUGGUUGUCUUGAGAGUGUAGAUUGAGAGUCAAAUCUAUGCUUGUGUCUAAAGAUGGUGUGUGUGUGUGGAUGUUGUGAUAUGAUUGCAAUCACACUUUAUAUCUUCUGUAAUCAUGCAAUGGCGUUGCAGUAGAAUGGCUUGUGUGUGUGACUCCUGGAGGCUAUAUAUGUGUUUGAAGAUUGCAACUGAGCAUCUCCACAAGAUCUUUCAAUUUAGGAUAAUUCAAUAAAGAAAUGUUAUAGCAGGAUCAUCUAAAACAUUUCUGUCGUAUUUCUUGAAAUGUGCUAUCAGAUGUCUGAAGUUGGGGAAAUGUCUGAAGGAGCGUUCGAUAGGGAGAAAACCGAGAUACCAAAAUGCUGCCAAGUUCCAGAACCAGGUUAGCCUUAUUUGGGUUAUUUGGGAAUGAUUUUAAGGUUUGGUUGGCCGCCUCACCGUCCACGCCACAGAUUUUCCGCCAUCGCUGUGGCGGCCAAAUUGAGCGCCGCUGCUUAGGUAGGGUGUGGCAGCGUUAGCGCCAUACCAAACAUGCCCAUAUGGACUAGGAUAGGAACGAACAGGCCCUCAAAAUCCCCUCCAAUGUAGAUUGGAAGGAAACCGAACGAGCCCCUUACCAGUUCCACCAAAAUGAACUCACAAGCAUUAACAUUAAUAGGUAUCAUCGUAAAUUCAUAAUACCGAGAGCAUUUACUCUCUGUUACAAUCAGAUCAUUUCCUUAUUAUUAUUACAAAUAGAUAAAACCAGCACCAAAAUUCGCAGAAAAACAAUUCUGCCCAGAAUGAACAAGGAGGAGAAGAGGCCAAGAAGGCAAGGCAAGCAACACGUGCUGAUCGCUUCCCCACCUGACCUGGCUAAUUGCAGAGCAAGAACCUGGUGAGCACGAGCACCCCGCAGGCGGCGGCGAAGAGCGCGAAGACGGCCAGGUCCCUAGUCUGCCACCUCCUGGGCCUGUCUGCUGCGCCCUUGGCCUCAGCGCGAAGGUUCUUGGCCCUGCGCAGUGUGUCCACCUCCUUGAGCAGGUCGAAGCGGAGGCCCUUGCGCUUGAGCUCGGAGACGCACCUGGCCAGGUACAGCGCAUCCUCGCGCUCUCGCGCGAGGACGCGCUCCAGGACGGCCUCCGUGUCGGACUUGUACCACAGCGCCCAGAGCAUGGUGAGCGAGGAGAGCAGCGAGACAAGGUAGGGGAUCCACGACCGUCUGCAUGCUGUUGUCGCUGCCGCCGAGGCAGCGGAGGAGGAGGAGGAGGAGAGGAAGAGGAGCAGCACGGAAGCGGCGUGGAAGGCGAAGAAGGCGCAGUAGAGGAAGGCGAUCUCUUUGCGGGCGCCGUUGAGGCAGGCCUCCCAUAGCGCCACGCGGCGCGCCAGCAGGUCCUCCUCCUUGACCCACUGCUUGAGCAGCAGCCGGUGCGUCUCGCUCGCCGCGAUCUGGCUCAGCGGGUGUUGCUGUUGCGCCUCCGUCACGACGAGGGCGCCGGAGUCGGCCAUGUGGGACGGCGGCGGUUUCGUCUCGUGCGCGUCCUAGUUCUGUUAGGAUGGAUGGACCGAUGGAGGGAAGGGAGUUUAUUUGGGGUACAAGUGCAACGAUCGGGGGAGGGCGCGUGGGCUGAAAAAGGUUUGGGGAAAAAAGCCGAAAGCAAACGAGUUCGCGCACAUGAGCGGCGCAACAGUCGGAAUUUUCUCGGGCCGAAUCAUUCACGUUUCGUGGUGGCCGGUGGACCUACCUGGCACACAUUAAGACUGGGUCACUGUGGACUGAGAUUUUGGUCCACUAGUCAGUCUCAGUCCUGCAAGGGAUCGGCCCACUAGACCGUCGGCAGUUCUCGGACUCGAUAUUUUUACGCAAAAAAAACAUGUCAAUCAAUACUGCAAUAGAGGAUAGCGGCAUGAAUUUCAUACCCCAGAAAAAUGCUUCAAAAAGUCUUCACAACGCCCCAGUGGAGACACACUAAACACUAUCCCGGUGGUGUCACUGUCCUUGGUCAAUAAAAGGAUCAAGUACUCUCAUCGUUCUGGUGUAGUGAACCGCUCACAAAAGUGUGCUGUGUCAAAUAUUUUUUGUGAUCCCAGUUACCUAGUGUACUUGUACACCAGACAUAAAAGUUACAAUAAGGGUGACAACAAUCAUGCUGUAGGCGGGCGCUCAGUCACAUUGGACAUUUGUGUAAUGCAUCUAAACGACACUACUACAAAAGGCUAGCUGCAUAGGAGCUAGAAUUUUGUGAAACAACACAAGACCUUAUAACUCUAAUCCGAGUUCAUACAACGUGCCAACAAAAAUGAUCGUAUUGCUACAGGAAUCAAAUGCAGCAGCUUCCAACCUGAGUAAAAUGUCCAUGUGCAAUCCACACUCACUAUAUUAUACUAUAAUGAGUAAAAUAUUGUUGUAAUGAAUGUUCAACUCCACAAUGGUUUGCUUAUUAACCUAGCUUUGUCCAAGUAUGGAACUCAUUUCCAGUAAUUUUUGGCUUGAUUUUAUUUGGUGGAGGCUCUAUACCUUAUUUUCCCCCUUUGGUGGCUCCCAACCCGAGUAUGUCACUUAUUAACAUGAGAGUGUGGUGUUAGUGGAGAUCGUGUUCCAUUACUGCUUGUCAGGUUCACACCAUAAAUCAUAAUGAUUACCCCUUUAUAUGAUACACACAAUGAAGGUAUCCACUAUUAGAAAAGUAGACAUUUUUUGGAUUAAAACUAGAAUAGAGACCAUGACCUCAAGACGAUGGAGAUAAGACCAUUGUUAUUGUGCCAAGUUGGCUUAAUUAGUGGUGCUCCAAACAUAGUUGUAGCAACAAGUGUAGGCUACCAGUUACCACAAAGGUGACCACAUGAGUGAUGAAAUACCACUACCCGAUCAAUGAUAUUCUAAAAAAACAUUGUGCAAGCUCAAGGUUCCCUAUGACAGAUAGAUGAAGAAAGGACUUGUUCCCACAUUUUCGUUUUCGAUAUACCCUGUUCCCGUUCUCGUACCGCAAAAUAAAUAUGAAAAUGAAAACAGUAGAGGUGUUUUACCGACCGCUUUGAUCCUUAUACCAAGCUCAAUGAGAUCAAUGGUGGUGCACAAUAAUUACUCCCUUAUGAACUAAUGAGAUUGCUAACCAAGCGAAUUUCAACUUUCAAAUCCCUCACUAGGUAAUGAUUCUUUCUCACACUCAAUAUGAGUAUAAAUGCAUGAAGUGGGUCGAAGAAGAUGGGUAUAUUUUCGCCCCCUACUACUUCAGGUAACUAAAAAGGUUGUUUUAAACAUAUAUGUAACUAUUGGGAUCAACCUUUUCAUGUAUCAAGAUUUCAAACUUGUAAUGUUUGAAUGGUGCAAUCCUGACACUAUGGCGCACUAGACUACAUUUCUAAUUUAUCCAUAAUAUGGACAUGCAGUUAUAUUAGACUCUUUGGAUACUCUAAAAAAGUGUACAUUGACUUUGAAAGCAUAUUGAGCUUGCAAGUGAUAGUACUUAUUAUUUUGUAUUUAACAUACAUGUUAAAUUUGUCGUUUACUCCUAUGGUUUUUAUACACUGCUUACAAGAUGUACCUCGAGGAUUCUAAAUCCGUCGAUCCAAGAAAUGAGAAGAAGAAAGAACAUGAUUAACUGUUAGGCGUGACUUCCUGGUACGUAUCAAUGUUCGUAUUUUGUAUUAUAUCAUGCAUGCUAUCUAUAAGUUUUAAUCGAUUGCAACCACCCAGACACUAUUAUGUGGAUACUAUGCUUGUGAGGACCUGAGAGAAUCUCACAAAUUCAACAUUAGGUACAAAUAGCUAAGUAAUGCACAAGUCUGGUGGACAAUAGAAUGUAUCACCCAAAUGCAAAUAUUGAGAACCGUAGGACAUAUGUGGAGUCAUCUUGCACAAAUGCGUGAUGCAUAAGUCCUAGUGGACAAUAGAAUGUAUCACCUAGAUGCAAAUAAUCAGAACCGUAGGACAUAUGUGGAGUCGUCUUGCACAAAUGCGUGCAUCAAAAUGCAAAGUUCUUCAACAACACGAACUGACAUUGGACAAGAAGUAUGACAAGUUCAGACACUGGGAGAAGCUACCAUUAGGUGAUCACAAGAUGCCUGGAGUGCAAAAUAUUACAAAUCAUAUGUAUAUGGCAUAUAACUAGUAUUGUUCACGUGAAUAGCUUUUGUACUUAGUUUUUUUAUAUCUUCUAAUUAAAAGAUUUAAUCACCGAACCAAUUUUAUAUUUGUAUUCCCUAAGAUUUCUUUUGAGAAAACAAGACCACACAUGCUAUAUAUAUUUUAAUUUGUUAUUACUCAGUUAUUCUAAUGGUUUACUGUAGCACCCCAAAAAUUCAAAUCUUGAAAUUUUUCCAAACUCGCUCUAAAUUCAAAAUGAAUUUUAAAUUUCAUUUUAAAAUGUUUGUUUGCGAGUUGAUCUCAACAAAUAAAAUAUAGUGGUCUAUAUUCUCUCCAAAAUUCUCCUCAAAAUAUCUUACAAAUAUUAUUCCCAGUGAUCCCCUCUGAUUCUUUCCAGAAAUACUGCCCAAAUAUUCCACCGAUAAUUCUCCAAAUAUUCUCCUCCUGUAAAAUACCUUCAGAAUCAUUUUUAAAGUCUCCACAAAUAUUUUCUUCAUAAUUUUCCGCAUGCUCAUACGUAUACGUACGCCUCCGGUGUCAUACAGUGAGCUCUACAAGCUAAUUUCACUUAUACACGACUAAUACAUGCUUAUCUCCCACUAAUCCUCGCCUCCUCCCCCUAAUCCCCCACCUAGCCUAUAAAUAGAAGGGCAAGGGCCUCCUCUCAAGCCACCCCAAGCCAUUUCAUGACAACUCUCUCCCCCCACACGCCCACUCCAAGUCCCACACAAGAACACGCUAGCACAAUGAUCGUUCGGUUGUUCUUCAAUCGUUCGUCCACCUGUUCUUAGUUUGUUCGUUCGUUCGUCCGAUCAUUCUAAUUAAAAGAUUAGUUCAAAAGAUUUAAUUAAAAGAUCGUUCUAAUUCAAAAUGAAUAGCUUUUGUACUUAGUUUUUUAUAUCUUCUAAUUAAAAGAUUUAAUCACCAAACCAAUUUUAUAUUUGUAUAGUAUUUUAUAGUUGUAGUGAGGUAUAGAGGGAGAUUAUAGAGGAACCACUGUGGAAGAUAAAAAAAUAGAGGAUAAAAUAUUGGUAAUAUGACAAAAAUAUGAUAUAGUCGGAAAAUUUUAAGGAAACUACUGAAGAUAGUCUAAGCAUCGGUAACAGGAUUAGUCGCUUCCUACAAUAUUCAGAGUGAAAGGUUGCUAAAAUUUUGUCGGGUCAAAAGCAAUUCAAAUUUGAACCACGUUCGGAUCACAAGCAUUUUUGCUCAAAAGGCUGCGUAGAACCAGCUGCACGACGAUGGCGGAAACGAAGGGAAGGCGGCGGGACUUGGCAGCGCGGACGAUGGCGGCCUGGGCGUGGGGCUCGGUGUUGCAGUGCACGACGGCGGCGAUGCCGAGUGAUGCCAUGGCCGCGGCCAUAGCGGCCUCGGAGACAGUGUCCAUCGGGGACGCGACGCAGGGGAUGGAUAGCGGGAUGCGGCGGGAGAGGCGGUGGAGAGGUCGACGGCGUCGGCGGGGAAGCCGAUGUAGCCCGGGAGGAAGAUGACGUCAUCGUAUGUGUAGGAUACUCCCUACGAGAAGAGGCGCCGCGAAGCCGUCGUCGGCAAGGUAGGUGCUGCUCGACGCCAUUGGUGGAUUGGGGGUUUAGGGUUUUUUUUGCUGCAGCGGCGGUUGACGUCUGGGAGAGAGAGACACAGGGAGACGAAGGGAGGCAUGAGAGAGCUCUGCUUGUGUUCGUGUUGGUCUUGUAGGUGUACAUUCGGGCCGCCCGGCCCAAGCCCGAAAAGACCCGUAUUGUUUGAAUUUCGGGCCGUGCCAAACCGGCCCACGGCCCGACCCGUAAUUGCUUUAACGUGUCGGGCUCAUUUCGAGCGGCCCGAAAUUAUAAAAGCCCAAAAUUCACAUUAGGACCCAAAAUUCAAUUUUUGGUCUGAAAUUCACAUCAGGGCCCGAAAUUCACAUCAGAGUUAAUAAAACAAAUAAAAAGAAGACAAAUAAAUUUAACCAAAAGCAAACUUAAUAUUUGUAUUACGUUACCAGAGCUAUGCAAUGACUACCUCGUUUACAAAUCAUUUUGUUAGAAAGAAAUAGAGUAUAAUCAGCUCUAUAUAAAGUUUGUAAGUUCAGUUCGUUAUAUAAUGUUCAUAACAAAAAUAAAACUACAUCACAUACUCUAAUUCAAAGCUAUAAAAAAUAUCUAACUAACAUUAUCUCUAGCUUUGUGUUCUUUAUCAAGUACAUGAAAAUAUGGAAUGAAGUGUGGUUUUAAUAAAUAUAUGGGCCUUUUCGUGCCUCUAUAUGGGCCAUUUCGUGCCUGCCUUAAACGGGUCGUGCUCGUGCCCGCCCAUGGGCCGCGACCUCGGCCCAAACCCGGCCCGGCACUAAAAUAUUUUUGGUCGUGCCGUGCCUAGGCCAUGCUUUUUUUCUAUGCUUCGGGCCGAUACAUCAGGCCCGGCCCAAAUGUACACCUAUAGUUGGUCUUGCUGGAUUUGCAUUUGCUCUUUGUUUGGCAGGUAGCAAGGCGCAUAAUAGUUCGAUGACAAGUGGGCCCUAUUGUCCCGGCGGCUAGCCGGAUUGUGAGCUGGGCUGGCAACCCAGGACGACAGAGGCAACGAGACGGUACCUCCCGACUCGAGCGUAGUUCAAACUUCAAAUAUGCGGUCUUUGUUUCGGCUUUUUCCUAACUUCUCACCACCAAGCUGCUGCAGAUUAAAACACUUAGCUUUGUUGUCUGUAUUUUUAUAGUCGUUUAAUUUAAAAUCGUCUAAAAUCAACGUAAACAUUGAAUCGGUCAAGUCAUCGCGAUAGUAGAAAACUAAGAAUCCAUCACAUUCUAGAUUCUAAAUCUUAUUCUUUCAUCUUUCUCCACGCGUAAUCCUCUUGAUAAUCAGAUUCUCCUCACGACUAUAUUCUUCUCAUAGCCAGAUUCUCAAAAAAACUCAUUAAAACAAAGCUGAACAAACAUGCCCUAGCAAAAUAAGCGGUCUUUCUGUCACAUCCAUAUAUCGCUUUUUAGAGCCUGAUUGUAGGGAUUCUUGUCGCCUACCAUUUUACUCGCAUGUAUAACAGUUAACUCUUCACUAUUAACGUAGGAUCCCACAUGUCUCUCUCACAAAAGUGUCGGAGAGGCCCACUAGUUAGCAGAAGGACGAUGAAAAGAUUCGCCGUAGAAGGACCCACCCUUGGAUAGUCCCGAGGCAAUGAGCCCCAAAUCGGGCGAGGCGGAGCCAGAACGGGGUCAGGUGAAUUGAGAGAAAGCCAAUCUAGUGCAUUUCACGCGUGACCCAGGAUAGACCCACCAUAAGUGAUCGACCACAUUAACCGCGUUUGGCACUAAGCCGCAGCAGGGGUAGUGGCGGAGCCAAGGGGGGCCCGGUAGGGGCCAUGGUCCCUCCCAAGGCUCGCCUCGUCUCCAUAGAACCUCGUCGUUCAUCUACCAUAUAUCGUUUACGUUACCGUUGAAAAAAUUAAGGGGAAAACCCAAUUAUAAGGUGACACAAGGUUAUAAUCACAAUUAACCCUGAAUUAACAAUGUUAAAGGUAAGGAGCAAAUGACGACUUCGUUUUCAAAGCAGAUGGGUAAAAUCACAAAGUUGUAAAACUAGAGAUAAAAUCACCAUUGUAGAUCAGAGAAAAGUAUGGUCAUAAUUACCCCUAAUAAUAAUUUGAGUGAUAUAAGUUGGUACUCCUGUCUUGCUCUUCCCCAAUACUAUAUUAUCCAUUCAAGACACGCGAGGAUAGUCACAGGCUCAGCCAUUUUGUCCACGUGUGAGAUGCUGCUCUGCCUCUGUGUCACUGUCACUGUCAGAUUUGCUUCCUCCUUCGCAAAUCAAAAGGGCCACAUCCCACCACGACACCACUGGAGGGCCCACUAGCCCAGUCAGAUCCAGCGGGCCGAACGCAUCGCGGCCGUCCAAUGCACCGCCGCCGAGCACCACCCACCCCACCUCCCCUCCUACGGCCCAGGCCCGCCGUCCACUGGCCCCACACACCUAGCCGAGACCGAUGGACUGACCGACACCCUGACCCUACUGUCACCCACGAGGCGUGUAUGCCACACAGGCCCCCACCCACGCACACCGACACGAAGCGGCGGCGCGUCCGCGUCUAUGGAGAAUUUCGCCCCACCACAAGAAAACGAAAACCCGCAGCAGCCCCGUGGAAGCAGCCCAGAUAUAUAUAAAAAAAUAAAUAAAGAAAAGGAACCUCGUAGCCAACAGAACAGUAGGGGCUCCCUUCUCCAGUUCUCCUUGCUUGCGUCUUCCUAGUCUCGUCUGCGUGUGUGUGAUCGACGCAGAGGCACGGGCGCUCGCACCAAGCCGAUCCGAUGGCCUUCAUGCGCUCCCGCAUGAAUACCCCGCUCCUUCCUCUCGUCAAUCCGAUCAUGCUCUGUGGUGUAGAUCCGUGUGGGAACUGGGUCGGUUCGCGCGCGAUCUAGGUGUUGUACUUCAUUGAGUGCUGCCCGGGUUAGAUCUCCUUGGGAGGGUUUGAUCUGACUCUACCGACGGUUCGUCCGGCUGACUGCAAAUGCGUAUGGGUUCAUAGCCUAUAUGUACAUGUCUAUUCGUAAAAGCAACCGGAUAUGUAUUGAGUCGCUAGCAUAUAUUCAGAACCCCAAUUGGCAACCGGUGCGGGAAAAUUGUUUUAGCUAUGAAACUGGGGGAUGGGGCGAAAUUGGAGUAGAGGUGGAAAUGAAGACUAUUUUUUAGUUAUUAUGAUUUGGACUUUGGUGUUGUUAAUAGCUCAUUUCUUUAGAGCAACUCCAAAAGGAUGUUAAAAAUUUUAUCCCAAAAACUGAUUAUUAAGAGUAGGCUAAAAAGUUUUAAGAGUGAAUUAUGAUGAGUACUUCAAGAGUUCCUUUAAAUGUGACAUGUGGCGUAAUCUGUACAGUCGUCGGGAGGUUGUGGAUGAUCUGAUACGUUGAAAAAUGAAUUGGGGAGGGAUGGAACACACCAAAAUAUGAGGGAGAUGAGGUUGUGGAUGCGGGACGCUAAUUUUUUUGGGGAAGAAUGAUUGAGCUGUUGGAGUAAGAAAAACCACUAUUCUUGACUAAUCUGUUUUAGGGUUAGUUUACACGUUAUUUUGGAGUUGCUCUCAAGGAAAUAACGUUCAGUUCAUCCCUGAACGAAUAUUCUUGCUUGCAUAGACUUUUGAUCCUCUGAGGGAUGGCCAUGGUGGUAUAGUCUUAUUCCCGCUUCGUUGCUUCCACUAAGUGCAAAUAUUUGGAGUAUGCCUCUUACACCCGAUUUCCCGCUGCCUGCUGCCUUUUAGGUUAGUGUAGGGACGGUGAACUGCUUCUCAUACAGUUGGCGAUGCAAUUGAUUGAAUUAAAAUUAGCAUGGAUGGUUGAGCUUCUGUUUGGUGUUGUGCCUAAUCCUGUCCAUUAUUGUGCAAUCACUGAACUUUUGAUUUGCCCAAGUGAUUUUACAUGUUAUGAACCAUGCUUCUAAUUUUUAAUCCUAGAAUAGGCAGUAUCUUGAGAGAUUUUCUGUAUAUCUGUAUAAUUUUUUAUUAAGCAAGCUUGCUGCAGUAGUGUUACCCUGGACCAGUGGAUUAAAUUUUGUAUGGUUUCCUGUAUGUGGAAGGUUGGAGUAACUUUUAUGGAAUCAUGCCUACGUAGCUGCAGUUCAUACAUUAGAUGAUCAGAAUGUUGUUAAUCUUCUAGUUACUACUUAUAACCCCUCUAUAUAUCUGCCCGUUCAAAAUUGAACAAUUAAUCUUGUAUUUCAGUUUUCUAGCCUUGGUUUUCUUAUAUCGUCUACACAAUUCCUAGGUUAUUAAAACGAUAAAACGUUGAAACGCUCAUGGGUGAAAUUUUGACAUUUAAACGUUUAAACAAAGUUUAAACGUAGUUUUAAACAACAUAGGAAAAAUACCAAUAUAUCAUAAUUUCAGACAAUUCUCCUGCGCGUUUGAUAAAAAAAAUAAUUUCAAACAAUAACAUGAAGUUAAAUACCAAAACCUAGAAGCUAGUGGUUUACCAAAACUUCACCUAUGAGCCGGAUUGGACCCCAAAAGUAACUAAUAGACUAGGCCCAAAAGUAGCUAAUGGUCUAAAACACAUAAAACGCUAUGUUUUACGGUCUAGAAUGCCAAAACGCGGUUUCAACCUCUAAUUAGAAUUUUGACGUUUAAAUGUAGUUUUAAGAAAUAACACUGCACAAUUCUAUGCAGUCAAAUGCAUCUUCCGGCAUGGGAGUUGCUCCUAACAUUAGGGAGACGUUUGUCAAGCUCCAAAUGAAGAAGGCAUUCUGAUAUGUUAUCUUCAAAAUCGAAGAAAAGCAAAAGCAGGUAAUUGUGGAGAAGACGGGGGCGACUACUGAAAGCUAUGAUGAUUUUCUGGCCUCUCUCCCAGAGAAUGACUGCCGAUAUGCGCUGUAUGAUUUUGAUUUUGUUACUGGGGAGAAUGUGCAGAAAAGUAAGAUUUUCUUCAUUGCCUGGUAAGUUUCAGAAUCAUAUAUGCACGCAUCUUUAUUUUGUUUCAUACAUGUUUAGUUGUUUCGUUAAGCUGUAAAGCCAAUGCCAAUGAAACUAGACUAGAAUACUAGAUCGAUAGAAAUAGCUGAAGAUGUGAACUGUUCAUGAGUUAGUCAUUUGAGGAUCUGAAAAAAAGCUUAAAAUGCACCAAUCACAGUAAAUUUAACAUACUAGUUGUUUAAGUAGUUAAUCUUUUAAAGUGUUAUUAACUCAGUAUUGAACUGUAAAGUUGGAUUGGAUCUUGUGAUGUGAUCUUGCUAUGAUAGCACUUGCCACCUCUACUUUAUAGUGUUUGCUGGUAACCCAUACUAGUUAGCAUUUUAGUAGCUCAGACCAAAAGGAUUAACAAUGCAUGUGGCGCAACAGUUAGGAAUAUUCUUGGCAAUAAUUGUUAAUCUAUUAUGUAGAUUCUGAUGUUGUCUUUUUGGACUGCACUAUAUGUAUCCCUAUGGUGCCUCAUAUUCUUUCAUGCUCAAUGCAUCCGCUCUGGCCUUCAUGCUGGUUUCACUUCACCAAACCUUUUACCUAAUCCACCGUUACCCCAGGUCCCCGUCUGUUGGGGACUUGUUCUCAAAUGCUAUGAAUUAAGAACAAGGCAACACAAAAUGUUAAAGGUUAAUGCCCUUCGUCCUUCGAAGCAUUACCUCCCUUAGGAUAUAAUGAUCUUCAGAUGAAGGUCGUGAAAGUCAUACCUUCACCAUUGCAGUGUAUAAUAAUGAAAGAAGAAGCAUAUGAAACAUAAGAGAUAACGUGAAUAAUUAUACAACAUCUUUAAUAUGUCUUUAUAAAAUCAUCAUAAACGAAUAUAAACAAUAUUGGAUUACAUUUGUACCUUCGGCUAGACAGAAGACAAAAGUCCAAGCGUGACGCAUGAAUGAGUACAAGUCAGCGUGAACAGUACAAGGGUACUGUUCAUCUAUUUAUAGGCACAGGGCGCAGCCUGUGUAAAAUUACAUUCAUGCCCUUUAUGUUUACUAUUGACGUAAUGACAAUCCAACAAGGACUAGAUAGCCUUUUCCCCUUUAAGUCGGUUCCCUUUUCUGUCGUUGAGCCGAAGCUUCCUUGUGCAUAGCUUCGGAACUAGUUCAACCUUCGUCCUGACCCUGCUUUUCAUAUUGUGUACAACUUUAUCCCGAGUCUGAAGGUUCCUGUACAUAUAUUACACUUGGGAAACAUUGUUAGUCAUGUUUUUGAGGACCUUCGGGAGACGAAGGCCCCCAACAGUAGCCCCUCGCAGUAUUAAUUUGUUAUAACAACAAAUUCAAACUGCGACAUGAACGAAGGCCUUAAGCCGAAGGUCCGAAAAAAACACCUUCCCUUUGCUAGAAUAGCAAUACUCAAUGACAGACAGGGCCUACCAAGUUGCAACACACUGGGUGUAUUAAUAUAAACCAUAGCGGCAGCAUUUGAUACGCCAUUUCCACUAUUUUCUCAAACUUUUUAGCUCUUGCUCACUAGCUCUCGCCUGAUUUUCAAGAUUUUUGAGCUUUGUUUUAAGGACGUGUUUUCACCAUGUCUGGGAGAAGAUGAGUGAGGAAAAGAAAAUGAUUGUGGAAACGAAGGUAACUGAGGAGACGAAGUUGUUUGAAGAAAAGAGAACUGUGGAUCCUUUUAUCGCCGGGUUUGUUGAGUCUAUGUCAAAAACAAACACAGAGAAGAUUACUAAAGAGAUUCUAGAAGGUUUGUCCGAAGAUACUGAUGAUAGUGAUAGUUAUGACGUGGAGAGUGGAGACAAAGAUUCUGAAGAUCGGCCCUGGCGACCAAGCCAUACUGUCUUCGGAAAAUCAACUAUUAAAUAGAGUCAUCUUGACAACAUGAGAGGAAGUUACUUUCGAGAUAUGUGUAUCGUGAGAGCUGGCGGAGACAACACCGCCCCUGCCCCUGAGGAAAAUAAAGUUGUUAUCUUCUGAAGCUUUUUUAAGGCUGGUCUCUGGUUUCCUUUGAGCAAGUUUGUAGUUGAAGUGCUGAAGAUCUACCAGAUCUUCCUUCAUCAGAUCACCCCCGAAGCUGUAAUGAGGAUGGGGAUUUUUGUCUGGGCUGUAAGGAUUCAGGGGCUAGAGCCAAGCGUGAAGUGCUUCUGCAGUAUGCACGAGCUUUUAUAUGAGACGAAGGCUACUGGCAAAGAAUAGUACCACAACAACUUUGGUUGUUAUGGAUUUAUUGCUCGCCCCAACGCAAGCCACCCGGUGCCAACAUUUCGGAAGAGAUGGCCCGGAGCCUGGAUGGAGGAGUGGUUUUAUGUGAAGAAUGAUUUAAAGGCAAGAGAAGACAUUAAAGAAAUCAUCUAGCACCCUAUCUAGUCCCGCUUUGGUCUUUGAAGGCCGAAGGUGGAAAUUGAUGGCAAUGUCAAAGCAUGUCAGAGGGCUUUCAGCACUGUGUGUGCCUUCAUUGGCACAAGGGAUUUAAUUGGCACAAGCAUCCUUCAGGGUAUGGCCACUUGUGGAGCUAGGAUAUGCCGAAGGAGACCACCGCCGACUCUGGUGAGGGUGAUCUGGUCCGACUGAAGUAUACCUUCAGAUUGAGGGAGAAGUUUGAUGAGCCGAACGACAACUGGCUGAAGUGCAUCAAAGCUACCAGUGAUGAGCUGCUUGGAGCAUACUCCAAGGCCAAAGAUAAUGCUCUAUCCGCAGCCUUUGGAGGUCGAGGCAAGAAAAGAUUAAAUAGGGUAUUUGAUGCUAUUGGCUUCGUAUACCCUGAUUACCGCUACCCGCUGCGAGGGCAAGUGAAAAAGAGGAAGAUUGCUGCUUCGGUCACCCCAGCUGAGCCUAUGCCGAAGAGCAAAAAGGUGAAGGUUCUGACCCACCAACCAUGUUAUAUUGAACCAGCCGUAGUGCCUGAAUUUGGCGCAGGGUCCUCCUCAGCAGCCGAAGCAACAUAAACUGCUCUGAUUGCACAAAGCGCUGAAGAGGCGACCGUAGUGCCGAAGGUACCCAUAGCCGAGCCAGUCGAGGCUAAGGUUGAUAAGGCUGAAGAGCCAAAAGUUGAAGAAAUAAUAAAAGUGCCAAAAAUUCUGAGCCCUCCGACAGAGACAAAACUAUCGAAGGUGCAAAAGGCUUCUACCGCAACUCCCAAGAGGAGGACGAUGACUAACGUGUUGGAUGCUGUGCUCGAGACUACAAAGGCCUUGAGCCCUACUCCUACAAAGAAAAUUACUGAGGCUGCCAAAGCGCAAGCUGAAGCCGAAAUUGGACAAGCAGAAGCCGAAGCUAUGAAAAUUUAGGCUGAAGUCGAAGCCGGGCCUCCAGCGCCCGUCGCGGCGAAGCCUGCCGCACCUAAGGAAAAAACGGCAGGGCAAGAGAUGGCAGAAAGGGCAAGAUCUCCUGCCUCCGAAGCGCAGGCCGAAGCUGCUGAUUACAUUUAUCGACAUGCUUUGGGGAAGAAAUUGUCCGAAGAUGAAAUUGCGGAAGCAAGGCAUUAUGCUCAAAAGCUGAAAUAUUCGAAAGGAGCCUUAGUAUUUAACAGAAGUAAUGAAGAUGAUUUCCUGUACUGUCUCCCGGACAACAAAGAAAUAUUCGUUUGUCGGGAGAUAUGUAAGAGCAUGGGAUCCCCGAAGCUAGAAGAUGGUCUUUCGAUUUUGUCGAAUGAUGAUCUUACUGAUAGCCUAGCAUACAACAGUAUAAAGGUAUAGAAGUUAGCUUUGAAUUUGAGAAUGACGUAUUUUAUUUGUCAUGCUCAAUUCUUUCUUCUCUUUUGUUACAGGGCUUGAUUCUUAGUAAUGCCCUGAGGGCACAGAAGAAUAUUGAAGACGAAGGUUAUACAAUGGCUCUGAAUAACCUUCGUUCAGAGGUGAUUGAAUUGAGAAACGAAGGUCCUGAAAAAGACAAAAUCUUAAUUUCAUUGGUAAACAAAGUGAAGGAAGACAAAGCUAGUUUCAAAGCUCAGGCCGAAGCCAAAAAGACUGAAAUUGAAGACCUUCGGAGACAACUGGCCGAAGCUAAGGAAAACUGCGCACUCGCACAAGCUAACCAAGAAAUUAGCGAAUAUUGGAAAAAUCAUCUAGAGAAAAAUGUUGAAGAACUUCGCACAUCCAAGGAAAGGUUCUUUGAAAAAUCCUUGGAUUGCGUGAAGAAAAUAAAAGGUAGCUUCGCCAAAGUGGGUGCCUACUCUGCUGAAGAAAACUUCAUACGAGGCGACCCCGAAGGCGUUGUUGAAUGGAUAAGCGGAGAAGCUGAGACCUUCGAAGAAAUUUUGAGUGAUCGCGGGGAUGUUUGUGCGUUUUCCGGUGCACGGGGAAUUUCAGCCAUCUUGGAGAAGGCGGGAUGUGAUCAUAUUAAAGCCGUAGCCCAGGCCGAAGCUGCCUUCUCCGUAGAUGAUACGAAGGAUCCUUCAGCUGAGGCAACCUUGAUGGGCGGGAAAUUUUACAAUGAUGUCUGGGUGAAUGGUGGCCGAGAGAUGGCCCAUGAAAUUAUAAAGAAAAGUGAAAAAGACACCCAUGACGCCCGAGCAGAAGCAAGACAAGCUGAAGAAGCUGCAGAGCGCGAAAAGCAUAUAGGUAUUAUUUUUUGGUUUUUAGCUUUGGCAUUUAUUUUUGUGGCUUCGGACUGAUUAUUUUUCCUACUUCAGCUGAACUAUCUCCGCCACCGGAACUGUUCGAUCCCUUAGCUGAUCCAGAAAUGAAGGAAGCGCUGAACAUCAUAAACAUGGCUAAAUCCAUUAUCGACGAAGUCGUCAACAAAUUGCUGAACGAAGUUGCAGAGAAAGUCCUUAAAGAGGAAUGGAUUUUAUUGUAAUAAACAUUCUGAAAAACUUGAUGUAUAUAACAAAUGAAGGAAGAUUAGUUUUCUACUGUAACAAAACUUUGUUAUAUUUGGAGUGUGUAAUGUUGAAUUGAAUAUGUAAAUUACUGCAGUUUAUUUCUUUGCGAUGUAUGAAAUUUACACACAUAUCGUUUUUGAGCUUCGACGAAAAAACACCUUCCCUUCUUUUUAUGAUUCGUAAAGAAAAAGAUCCAUUAUUCGUAAAGAAAGAUAUCCAUGCUUUGUAAAGAGAGAUCCCUUCUUGUGACAAGGCUGAUAAGACUGUAUUUCCCAAAACUUACUUCGUGCCUUAUCACCUUUUUAUUUUGACGAAGCAUUUGCCGAAGAUUAGCUUCGUAUUCCAUUCUCGUGUCAUUGAUGCAAUAUGAUGUAUGAUGUGAUGUUAUGCGAAAUGACGUGAUGAUAUGAUGCAAAAUGAUGAGGAUGCCAAAGACACACACCCACACGCCCACACUGGAACACACAAGCUCUGCAUCCCUUUAGGAACGACUUUUGAGCUUCUUCACCUUCUAUUUCGGUGAUAUAAGUUCUGCAUCCCGUUAGGAACGACUUUUGAACUUCUUCGCCUUAUAUUUCGGCGGUAUAAGUUCUGCAUCCCCUUAGGAACGACUUUUGAACUUCUUCGCCUUAUAUUUCGGCAGUAUUUGGCUCUGCAUUCCCUUUGAAACGACUUUUGAGCAGAAAACUUACGCUGCGCUCCCUUAGGAGUGACUUUUUGUAGCUUCGGCAAAUUAGGCUCUGCAUUCCCUUAGGAAUGACUUUUGAGCUUAAAACUUACAUUGCGCUCCCUUAGGAAUGACUUUUUUGUAGCUUCAGUAAAUCUAGCUCUGCAUUCCCUUAGGAACGACUUUUGAGCUUCGUAAAUUUGUGAAGAAGAUAUAUUUCAUUCUGAUAGAAGAAAAAUCAUUACAAUAAAUUAAUACUAAAUUUACAUUGCUUGUUCCUUAUUAAAAAGAAAAAUGGCAUAGAACAUAAAAUUCAGAAGCAGUAUAUCGCUCAGUAUAUGUGCUUCGAUUCUGGUACAGUACUAUUGACUGUAUGAGCUUCGGAUUCCUACCUGAAUUCACGUUGUUGUUGGGAGUGCUGGCGCCCUUCUGGUUGCUGGCUUCGGGAAUAAGUAGGUUGCAGUAGUGGUGGCGGUGGGAGUUGAGGCCAAGAAGCCUGUGAAUGGCUUGCCGAAGCAACAGAAGCUGCAGGUUGGUUGCCCACAUAUUCUGGUAUGUAGGGAGAGUGGCACGAAGCAGUAUGUAGGACUUGCUUUGGCUUAUUCUGUCGAGCUUCUGCUUCGGCAAUCUCUUUUUGCUUCAGAAUAGUGAUCUGGCAGGUUCUUGUAGUGUGGCCUUUGUCCUCACCACAGAAUAAGCAAUAAAUUUUUCUGGGCUGAUCCUCAUAUCUUCCUCCGAAGCCCCUGCCGCCUCUGUCUCUUGGAGCUGGUGGCCUGAAGGAGCUUUGCUGCUGUCCCGAAGACUGUGAGGUGUGAUGUGGCCUCUGAAGCUAGCUUCUUUUGUCAUCAUUCUGACUGGAGUUGUGGAUUGAUCUGACAUGCCUAGGGUGGAUUCUUCCUCCGAAGCCCCUAGUCAUCUCAGAGAAUCUGUAAGCUUUCUCCCUUCUUUGGUGGAAGUCGUUGUCAGCCCGGAUGUACUCAUCCAUUUUUUGAAGCAGCUUCUCUAGACUCUGGGGGGGCUUCCUGGCAAAGUAUUGGGUCGUAGGUCCUGGCCGAAGACCCUUGAUCAUGGCCUCAAUGACAAUUUCAUUGGGCACUGUGGGUGUUAGUGCUCUCAGUCGCAAGAACCUUCGGACAUACGCCUAAAGGUAUUCCUCAUGGUCUUGUGUGCACUUGAACAAGGCCUAAGCUAUGACUGGCUUUGUCUGAAAGCCCUGAAAACUGGUAACCAGCAUGUCCUUGAGCUUUUUCCAUGACGUGAUUGUCCCUGGCCGAAGAGAAGAGUACCAUGUCUGGGCCACGUUUCUGACUGCCAUGACGAAGGACUUUGCCAUGACAGCUGCAUUGCCUCCAUAUGAGGAUAUUGUUGCCUCAUAGCUCAUCAAGAAUUGCUUUGGGUUCGAGUGCCCAUCAUACAUGGGUAGCUGAGGUGGCUUUGUAAGAUUGUGGCCAUGGGAUAGCUUGCAAUUCUGCUGCCAGGGGAGAAGCAUUAUCAAAAGUAAAGCUACCAAGAUUGAAAUCAUCGUACCAUUCAUCUUCAUUGAACGAGCCCUCCUGACGAAGCUCCCGGUAUUGAUGCCUUUGGUCGUGAUCAUCUUGAGUAAGAUGACGCACUUCCUCAGUAGCUUCGUCGAUCUUUUUCUGAAGGUCGGCCAGCCGUGCCAUCUUCUCGUUUUUCCUUUGCACCUGCUGGUUAAUGAUUUCGAGGUCCCUGAUCUGCUGGUCCAACUCCUCCUCCUGAAGUGUUGGACUGGUGGCUUUUCUCUUUUGGCUUCUGGCUUCUCGGAGAGAGAGAGUAUCCUGGUUUGUGUCCAGUGGCUGCAGUGCAGCCCCUGGCGCUGUUGUCUUCUUCGGCGGCAUGACGAAGGUUAUUGCUUUGUCGAAGAUUGUGGAAGUGAGUACACCGGAGGUGGGCGCCAAUGAUGGGGACUUGUUCUCAAAUGCUAUGAAUUAAGAACAAGGCAACACAAAAUGUUAAAGGUUAAUUCCCUUCGUCCUUCAAAGCAUUACCUCCCUUAGGAUAUAAUGAUCUUCAGACGAAGUUCGUGAAGGUCAUACCUUCACCAUUGCAGUGUAUAAUAAUGAAAGAAGAAGCAUAUGAAACGUAAGAGAUAACAUGAAUAAUUAUACAACAUCUUUAAUAUGUCUCUAUUAAAUCAUCAUAAACGAAUAUAAACAAUAUUGGAUUACAUUUGUACCUUCGGCUGGACAGAAGGCGAAAGUCCAAGCGUGACGCACGAAUGAGUACAAGUCAGCGUGAACAGUACGGGGUACUGUUCAUCUAUUUAUAGGCACAGGGCGCAACCUGUGUAAAAUUACAUUCAUGCCCUUUAUGUUUACUAUUGGUCUAAUGACAAUCCAACAAGGACUAGAUAGCCUUUUCCCCUUUAAGUCGAUUCCCUUUUCUGUCGUUGAGCCGAAGCUUCCUUGCGCAUAGCUUCGGAACUGGUUCAACCUUCGUCCUGACCCUGCUUUUCAUAUUGUGUACAACUUUAUCCCGAGUCCGAUGGUUCCUGUACAUAUAUUACACUUGGGAAACAUUGUUAGUCAUGUUUUUGAGGACCUUCGGAAGACGAAGGCCCCCAACACCGUCGACAUCCCGCAUCCGUGCUAAGAUGUUGUACUUGACCUCGAAGGACCGCAUCAAGUAUGAGCUCGACAGGUUCCACUACGAGAUCCAGGCGACCGACCCAUCCGAGGUAGACAUUGAGGUUCUGCGGGAGCGGGCUCACUGAUGCUGGUUCGCCUUUGAAGAAGAAGGGACCUAUGGAGGGCCGUGAACCUUUUGGUCAGAUGCAAAUCCUAUUACCAAUGAUGAAAGCUCCCACCUUGGUAUUUGUUAUUAAGUUCCUGUAAGCAUAUCGUUUAGGCGCGACACGUGACUCUAGCUGGUGAAGCGUUAUCAAAGUUGUAUAUGUAUGAGCUUUGGUUGUCGAGCCUAUAAACGAAGCAAGGUUUGCGAACUUGUUAUAUUGUGGUAUUGAU